CCUUUGCGCAAAGAUGUCGUACUUUCCUCCAAUUGAUUUCAUUAUAAGGUUGAAGGAAGAGCUCUUCUCUCAGUUCUAGAACAAGAGGUGUGAUUGGGCCAACGAAUCGUUUACCAUAUAAGUAUGACAUGGGCAUGUAAACCAUCCGACAGUAGCACCACAUUUUUGCUGCAUUUAUGCACUUAAAUUAUAAGAGGCUAGACCAAAGAUAGGAAAAUGAAAGCUAGACCAAAGUAGACAUGGGAAUAUGCAUUUCUAAAGACCAAUAAGCCAACCCCAGGUUGAAUUUUUAAGUAUUCACGCGUAGCAUUGCAUAAGGCUUAAGUUACACAGCUUUUGGCUUAAGCAUUUUGAGUCAGUGUGACCAAUUCCAAGUUUUAUGCAAGAAGACCUUAGUAUGAAAAAUACAUUACGUGCAGAAGUAGAUCUGAAAUUCAAGCACUUGAGUAGAUGACUACAGCACAAACCUGGAUGCAUGGGAAGACGAGAAGGGAAGAGCCAAAACUCUGGGGGCAUUGGGUUGCUUCCUGACCAGUCAAACAAGCCAAAAAUCUACACGGAAGAAACAAUAUCAUAUAAGAUUCAGUCCAUGACACAAGAAUGCAUUGUAUAGGAUGAAUGUGAACUUUUGUUUCAAGUGGCCAUACUGAAAGCCAAGUCUUUCCCCAAGAGGGAAUGGAUGUCACUCCACCACGAUCGAGGAUCCAUUUACGCCCUCUUGCACAAGCAUUUUCUCUACCACCAUCGGGCCCUUCUCCAAGGAUACGCAUACAAAUGUAGCUGAGUGUUGUACAAAACAUGGUGCUGUGUCCCUCAAUAUGGAAUCCCCACCCACCAUCUUCAUUCUGCAAUGUACAUAAGCCAUUUUCAUACUUCGAAGCUCCAAACCCAUUUAUGAGGUUAGGAGGAUGACUAGGUUCAAAAUAUAUAUACCUGAUGACAGUAUAGGUAGCGAAGAAUUUCUUUACGAUAUUCUCCAGGGAAUACAGUGUCAAGAUGCCCUGUAAUGUAUAGACACAUGACCUACAUUUUCCAUGAAAUUAUGCCAUUGAGAAUGGCUGUUAAAAUGGUCUAUAUACAUGAUUUUAAGGAGGGUGAGAGGGUGUUGAGUAGACUCACCAGGGGAGGAAGGAAAUACAAUGGGCCAGCAUUUUCAGCAGGCCAAUGGCCAUCGCUAGCCUGCAAGGCUGAAAAGAAAUGCGCACCCCUUCUCACUGCUGCUGUGGCUGUCUCAUAUGUAAUUUCUUCACCAUCCCCAACCUUCACUUGUGGUAUUGUUUGUUUGAAAUUCUUCUCUCUCAAAAACUGCAGGUUUUUUUUAGCCAAAUGAAACGGGAGUUGGUAAAGAACAAGUUCAAAAGAAAAAGUAAAUUAACCUCAAUGGUAAACAUUCACUUUAUACUAUUGUUUCCAAGCUAAUAGGGUCUCUUAGAAUCAAGAUAGGUGUAACAAUGACCAAUUGACUUUUUAGGGGUGAAAACAUGGUAUGUACUGACUAGGGCCCAUAUUUUAGGUAGGUUUUCAUAAAGGCCGACAAUUACAAGAUUAUUGGUCUCUAGAUUAUCUAAUUGGGUUUUGCCUCCAUAUAGUUCAGGUCCCAAAUGUCCCUAAUUGGGUUUUAGUUAGGACAUGAGAUGCAUAAUAAUAGGAAAAUUUAGGGGUGACAAUUCAUGUUGGUGAGUAGUAUUGGUGUGGUGUUAAAACUCAAGUAUUUUACUAUAUAACUCAACCCAAAUCCGAAAAUAAUAAUAAUCUUGUCAAAAACAUAAACUCAAAUACUACCUAAUUACCAAAUAGGUCAUCUAACAUAUUUAACCCAUUAAAUAAUUAAGACCUUUUAUUUGAUAAUCAAGUUGAGUUAGGUCUUAUAUAUGUCUAUAUAUUAAUGUUAAUAAAUUUAAAAUUAGUUGAAUAAUUUAAAGAUAUAAUUAGAUUAAUAACUGGAUUAUUAAAUGAGUCAAUUCGAUUUAAAUUCAUAUUAUGUAGGUUGACCUAAAAAUGACUUAUUUAUUAAAUGGAUUCUACAUAUCAAUAUAAAUAUAACCUAAACUCAUUUAUACUUAAUCUAAACUCGUAAAAAAUGCAUUAGGAAUCAUAUCAAACUUUGCCACGCCUAAUAGAAAUGCCAAAUUCACUGAAAAAUGAGAGGAAGGAUCAUAAAUUGAGGUAGAUUAAAUAAACAUAAUUGCACUAGGAGACCUUUUUACAACCAUAUGAACUAUCACCUAAAAUACUAAGUUGUUAAGUAAUAAAACAACAAUGAACACGAAAUCUAUUGGAGCUACAACCCAAUGAAAAACUAAUACAAAAUUUAUGGUCAAUAAUCAAACAUGGAUUGAAAUAUCGGAUUUUACAGAUAUAUCGGUAUUUCGAUUCUACGGAUUUAUCAAAAAUAUCGGUGGAUAUUUUUUCACAAAUAUCAGUGGAUCGAAAAUUAUUUAAAAUUCAUAGAAAUGCUUAAAAAAAACUCCAAAAAAUGAUAAAAAUUAGUAACAAUACACAUUUUAAAGUUAUCUUGUAAGUGUAAUUGACAUACAUAUAAUCAAGAACAAAAACAUCGUAUAAACAGAGAUAUAUCAGUAGAUUCAAUAUUUGAAUUUUAAAAAUAAUAAAUAUGAAUUUUGCAAGUGUAUAAAAUUAGAAUUGAGUUAAGAAAUAUUUGAUUUUAUUGAAUAAAAAUAAUUUAUACAUAAAUAUAAUACAUAUGACAUUACAAUAGUCCUUAGUAUUAAAAAGAAGAUCGAUGUAGUUCCAUUGUAUUAUUUAGAUGAAGGGAGCUCAUCUUGUUGAAGACAAUAUUUAUUUUAAAAAUUUUAAAAUACUUUUAUAAAAACAUGUUUUAUUAUAUUUUAAAUGAAAAAUUAAAUUAAUUUAUAUAAAAUAUUUUAUUUGAGAUUUAAUUUUUAAAAUUUUAUUAAAAAUAAUAGUAACAACUUUUUCUAUUAACAUUAAUUUAUUUAAAUAAUAAAAAUUAUUAAUAAUUUAUCUUAUUAAAUUAAUUUUAAUUUAUAAAAUACCAUUAAUAAAAAUCGAAAUUUUGAUAGUGAUUUAAUUAAAAUAAAGGUUGAUAAUUAAUAAUUAUUUAUAUAGAGAUAGGAAAUUUUUUUUUUUUUUUUUUUAUCUAUGCUAAAUCUAAAAAUUAAAAGGGCCACCCGCUUCUCUCACUUGGGCAUCAAGAAGCCCUUUUCUUCUGAAGUUGCCCUCCAGACGAGAGAAUCCCUAAAAAGGCCCUAUUUUCCUCUGCCACUCGCAACCCCCGUUUGAUUACCAAGAAAAUCCAUCCCCCAUUCGAUUUCCGGGAAAAUUCAUUCUCGUUUGAUUUCCGAGAAAAUCCAUCCAAAACCCCCACGAAAAACCAAAAAAAUUGCUUUUCUUUUGCUCCCUUUUCUGGAUCUGUUUUGGGGGGUCGCUUUGCUGUUGUGCCAUUGGAUUUAAAUUUCACGAACCCUAAAUCCACAAUUUUUGAGCCAGGUUGAAAAACACAACCUUUGCCUGCAAAUCAUGAUCAGAUUACCAAAUAGCAUCUUAUUUAAAAAUAAAAAUAAAAAAUUGGACAGAUUUUGUAUCCUGUGCGUGGACUGGACUGGAAAUUUCCGAAAAAUCGGUAAAAAUACCGAAAUAUCGGCGAUAUUUUCGGUGAUUUUUCGAAAUCCUCCUCCGGCUGCUCCGCCGUCACCUCCACUUGCGAUACUUCGAUAUAUCGCCGAUUUUGCCGAUUUUCCUCUCGAGGGAUAAUCGAUGUUGAAUUUCGUUUCGAGGCCGCCGAGAUAUAUCGUCGAAAUAUAGCCGAUAAAAUCCAAUUUUUCAAGUCCAUGCACUCGGAACACAGCGUGAUUUUCAUUGUGUGUGGAUGGGUAGUGUUUUGUGUGAUGUCUUUUCUGAAAUUGGGACCGACGUUUGAAUUAUUUGCGUAAAGAGGCUGGUAGUGUGAGACACUUGCUCUAUGUGUGGCCCCAGAAAUCGACAGUCCAAUUUCAGAUUCAUGGGAUCUGACGGCCAUAAGCUAGAAAAAGGAAUAUUAUGCAUCACAUAAUAAAACUAUUUUUAAAAACGAUUAUCAAACAAGACGUUGGCUUCCAAUUAGAAAAUGACGGCUAUUGAUCUCAACGUGAAAAUCUCUCUCCCUCUCUCCCUCUCCCUCUCCCUCUCCCUCUCCCUCUCCCUCUCCCUCUCUCUCUCUCUCUCUCUCUCUCUCUCUCUUUAAAUGGUAUAAGUCGACAUAAAAAGAAAAAGGAAAAUAGAGGACAUGUCAUUGUAUUAUGUAGUUAUAAGAGCUAGGCAAGGGGAUAUGAAGCUUAAGAUGGCACACGCACCUCCCUUACAAAUGGAAAGAAAGCAAGAUUAAUGGAACUAUUGAUCCCAGACACUCCCCCAAUAACGGGCUAUGCUUUUUGAACGUGCUUUAGUCUAUCAGCCGAUGAAAAACCCGGCCCUGUGAAGAACUAUUGGUUUGACUCCACUAAGUCUUUUCGUGCUUCCUACUCACAACUUUUUGUUGGGUUCACCCCACUUGGCUAAUUUGAAUCUAAACCUUCUCUUUUUUUGGGUUCAUUUCUUCAUAGAAAUGAUCAUCAUCCACACUCAAACAAAACAAAACAAAACCAGAAAAUCCAUGGAGCUAGACUAUAUAUGUCAAACAAAACUUAGAGCUUGUUUGGCUAGGAAGUGCUUUUAAACUUUAUGAAGUUGGUUUCAAGUGCUAGAAAGAUGUUUCCUAGAAUAACUGCCAAACAAGCUAUUAGAGAUAUAUAGAUGGGAUCAAAUGAUCACCUGCAUUCGCCAUAGAAGGUCGCCGCUGGGCUUAACCUGAUACCGGUUCUUCCAGAAAUUUUCGCGAGCUGCUUCGACCUCAGCUCGCUCUUCUGGGGUUCCAUAAUCAGGAUCAAACUCCCAUAUCUGUCUUCCCACGAAGUUGUUGGUGCUGUAGAUGUAGGGAUCAUUGCCCCCAUCUGCAACCUUGAGCCUCCACAUUUUCCAACUCACCAAACGGACGAUAUAUAUCUCUAUAUCCAAGUGUAUAAAUGUUUGCACCUCUCUUCCGAAAACACCUGCUGAUCAUGCAAUCACUAUCCUUAUAUCAGAGGCCCCAUAAAUGCAAGAUAACCUGGUAUCUUUGCCACAAAAUAAAGGUAAAAUGAUUGGAAACAAGAGAAAGAAGUAGGCAGCAAGAAAGAGAUACAGACCUGGCCUUGUUUUCCAGAAGAUGGGAAUUCCCAGCAAGAAAUGAGAGAUGGGUAUUGAUUCAGGAAGUGGGAAUGGUGAGUUCCUUGUGGGAAAUCAAACAUUUAUAUAGAAGCAGAACACAAAGUCACCCACUCCAUCAUACUACUUUAUUUUUUUUUUAACUCAACUUUCAGAUUGUGGAAGUCAGUGUGGAGUAAAAACUAAAAACUGAAAACACGUUUUUGGACUUUUAACUGUUAAACAAACAAAUCGGUGGUCUUUCCAAUAAUCAAUCAAGAUUGUUUUUUCUUUUCUUUGUGGGGAAAGUGUGUGUUGUUUUCUCUAAUGGCUUCAUGUAAAUUCUACAUUUUGUUUUCAUCUCAACAUGGAGUCUAGUACAGGUAUCUAUGGAGUUACUCUCUCUCUCUCCCUCUCUUUUGUUUUUAUCUCAACAUGGACUCUCUCUCUCUCUCUCUCUCUCUCUCUCUCUCUCUCAUCCAUCACCAUAAUACCUAUAUUAAGAUAUUAAGAUACCAAUGAUACCUAUCACUAAGGAAAAUAUUAAGAUACUCAAAAUCUAAAUCCGAAAUAUUAAAUAUAUAUGAUGAAAUCUAAUUUAUUGAAUUAAAGUACAAAUAAACAAGAUUAAGAUAUAAGCAUAUAAACAAAUAAGAUAUUAUCAGAUUGAUGAUAACCCAAAUCCUAAUAAAAGUAAAUUAUAUUUUAUAUAUAUCUUAAAAGAAUGAUUUUUUUUUUUCUUCUAAACAUGGCCUUUGACAUUUUAAAAAGUAUAUAUAUGUCUUAAAGGACGAUCGAGGGCACAAGACAAUAGCAUAAAGGCAAAGGCUCUCUAUAAUACAAGUCCCAUGCGAGGAAAAGUUUACGUACGAAAAUUAUGCCCUACACAGGCUGAGUUUUAAAAAAAAUGAUAAUAAUGAGUAAAUCAACAUGGCAUGUUUAUUCUUCGCCAGAUGGCUUCAGUAUGAGCCAACCUGCACUCUCACUCUCAAGAAGGUAACGGUACUCCAACGCCAUUCAAAGUUCAAACCCAACAAAAUCAUGCAUAUAAAAAAACACAAAAAUAUUCUAUGAAGGUAGGUAAGAGCUAGGAUAGUUGAAAUUCAAGGGAUUAUCUUUCCUAAAAAUUAAUCCUUCACCUUUUUUCAACCUAAAAAAAUACUUAUUUUUGACAAAAAUAUCUUCAUCUUUUUUUUUAUAAAAAUAAUCAUUUUUUUUAAAUAUACAUAUAAAUAAUAAAAAUAUUGAAGGGUAUUUAUGUCAAAAAUAGGUUACUUCAAAAAACGGGAAGGUCUGUUUUACAAAUUUGGGAUGUUUUCAUCAUUUUUAAUUAAUUAAUCCUAUUAUUUUCCAAUCAUCUUAAUUUUGCCUUUUUUUUUUUUCUCCCUCACCCUCCUUAGUUAAAAUAUAUGUUUAGUUUUCAAAAAGUAUUAAGAAAAGAAAAAAAAAACAUUUAAAGAAAUAAUUAUUUUAUGUUUGAUUAGUUAGAAAUUUAUUUAUUUUUAAAUUAGUUAAUGUUUACAUUAAAGAGUUAAAUAAGUAGAAUGAAUUUUAAGUAUCUAAGUAUAUAAAAAUAAUUUAUCAAAAAUAAAUUCAUUUUUCCUUUUCUUUUGUUUUUUUUUUUGUUUUAUUUUUUUCCUAUCAUUUUCUCUCAAAUUUUGAGAGAAUCAAAUAUAGCCUAAGACUUGCUAAUGGCCGGAUUUUCUCACAUUUCACCCUAUGCAAUAUGGCCUAACCAUAAUUAAUAAAUAGGAAAACAAAAUGGAUCUAUAUUUUAUUUCAUUUUUUGAAAUAAUUGAUUAAAAUGGAUGAAAUUAACAAUCUCAUAUUUGUAAAUUUAAUAUCUCCUAUCUUUUUGUCUGAAAAAUUAAGCCAAUGUCUUUUCAAAUAUUAAUUAUUUAUGUGAAUUUUAAAAGAAAAUAUUAUUUUUAUACUAAAAAUAUGAGGACAUUUUUGUUUGAAACUGGUUAAAAAAGUCAAGAUUUAAAUUUACAAAAUGGGAACAUGUGGAAGAUAUGAAGAAGAUGAUAGCUCAGGAAACCUAUCUAUCUUGAUUCCUCAAAUUGUCCCUCCAUCAUCAAGUCUACGAAAAUAGGAUAAAAAAUUCAUCCACCAACGACCAAGAACAUGUGGUGGAUUCUCUCCCCACGUUCCUUGUUUUCACUUGUAGCCUUCUGUUCCGGAUAGGAAGAAUGUCACUUUAAUACGUCUCUCAGUCCUCUACUCACAACUUGACGAUGAACUAGUAAAUUUUCACUAGGAUUUCGUUUUCUUUCCUAGAGAAUUUGUAAUGUGUACAUUGAAAUGGAUGACUCUAUGUUGGUUUCUUAAAGAAAAUAAAAAAAUAAAAAUGGAAGAAAAAUAAAAAUAGAUUUAGAGUUAAUAAAUAGUUUUUAUAUGAUAUUUUAAAUUUAUUUUACUAACCUUAACUUUGUAUUAUAAAAAUCAAAUAAUUUAAAAAUAUAUAUUUUUAAUUAAUUUUAAUUAUAUAUAUAUAUAUAUAUAUAUAUAUAUAUAUAUAUAUAUAUAUAUAUAUUGCAUUUUCUAGUUAAUGUUAAAUAGCAACUUUUUGCAUACUAUGAAAAUAUAAUUAAGGGUAGGAAAAGUCCCACCACAUAAGAGUAGGACAUUUAUCAAACUUGUACAAUUAGAUUUGAAACUUCAAUAGAUUGGGACCGAUAUUUAAGAAUCCUCUUGAUUAUAAUUAAAUACAAAGACUUUACUAGAUUGUCACGUGGAUAUUUAAGAACCAUCUUAGAAAAGGGGUUUAGAUGUAAUUAGAUAUGACAACGACUUUAGUAGAUUAUCCCUUGAAUAUUUAAAAAUCCUCUCGAAAAAUAAGGUUUGAGGAUAAGUUUACUCAUUCAUUAAAUAAUAAUUAUAAUUUUCAACUUUGGGGUAUUGGAAUGGGAGUAUAAACGAUAGAUUUUAUAAUUGACUUAGAAAUAUUCAAAGUCCAACAUUUCAACAGUGAAGAAUUGAUUGCAUGUUGAUGGUAUCAAACUGACUAAUAUUUAUCAUAAGGGUUUUUUUUUUUUUUUUUUGUCUUUUUUUUUUCAAAGGGCCAAAAUAUCCAAACUGCCAAUUUGUGAAUGGUUUUUAAGAAUAAUUUUUUAUUCUCUAAAACAACAAAUAUAGAAAAGCAUGUUUUGAUAAUAAAAAAUUGUUUUCUAUUUUCUAAUUUUAAGAACAAAAAAUAGUAUAUUUUUAAAUAAUAUCUUUUAAUUAUUUUAUGUUGAUUCACUUAUUUUUAAAUGAUUGUUUUAAGAAAUAAUUAUAUAAAUAUAUAAAAUAAUUAAAAAUAAAAUAUUAGAUAUAAAAAUUAUUUUUAAGAUAAGUUUAAAAAUAUUAAAAAUAAUUUUAAAACAUUUUAUGUUUUAAAACAAAAUUUUGUAAUAUAAAAAUAAGAUAACAAUUUUCAAAAACUAUUUUUUUAAAUAGUCAAGCAAACGGAGCCCAUGUUUCACUUCCCUUGAUUGCUUAAAAGCCAAGGUGGACCCUUGAGAAAGUUGACUUUACAUAUAUUUCUAUGUUUAGGCAAUUAUGACAGUUUCAUGGUUUUUAUUUUGAAAACAUGUUGUCAAUAAUUGUAUGUUUCACAAUAAAUAUAAGUACUUAAUCUUCACCAACAUUUUCAAACUUUCAACAUCCCACUAUUCUUUCUCAUUCAAAGAAAGUAAAAAAUACGCGGUUUGGGGAUAUUUUCGAAAAUAGUUUUCAAAAUAUAAUUAAAUAUCUUUUGAAAAAAUAUCUUAUUUUCAAAACAAUUCUUAAAAACUUGUUUUUGAAAACAAUUGAUAACUUAUGUUUUCAUGCUUUUUAUUUAUUUAUUUAUUUAUUUUAUCUUAUAAACAUUAUGUAAAUGUCUAAUUAACUUUUUUUAAAUCAAUUCUCAAAAACCCAGUUUUGAUAACAAUUCUUAAAAUCGGUUUUCAAAUACUUUUUUCAACAAAAUUUAUUUGAAAAAUCAAAUAUUAAAAUUGGUUUUCUCAAUACUACAUACUUACUAAUGUAUUAUACAAAAAAAAUUAGAACAAAAAACACAGAAAACACGUUUGACAAGCAAAAACCAUUUUUUAUUUUCGGUAUUUAAGAAUAGAAAAUAUGAUAUUUUUAGAAAAUAUUUUUUAAUUGUUUUCUAUUUUCGCUUGUUUUCUAAAGGUUAUUUUAAGAAAUAAUUAUACAAUCAUAUAGAAUGAUUAAAAAUAAAAUACUAGAUAUAAAAAUCAGUUUUAAAAAUAUUAAAAACGGAUUAAAAACAUUUUAAAUUUUCAAACAAACUUUUGUUCUACAAAAAUUAAAAAAUAAAUUUCAAAAAUUAUUCUCAAAAAGUAUUUUUUUUAUAAUUGUUUUCAAAAAUAGUUACCAAAUAUACUUUAAAUGUUUUUUUAUUAUAUAUUUUAAUUAUUUUUCAUUUUUUUAAGAUAAUUUUUAAAGAAUAAUUAAAAAUAAAACAAUAUCAAUAAAAGUUAUUUUAAGAAAUAUUUGAACAUUUAUUUAAAAUGUUAUCAAACAAGUACCCUAAAAAUUGUUCUAAAGAGCAUCCUAUUGAGUUAUUGUUGACUAUUUUUUUUAUUUUUAAGAAAAAACUGUUUUCAAGAGCUGGUAAAUAACAUAAACUUAAAAUUUAUUUUCCAAAUUAUUUAAAAACUUUUCUUUUUUCUUUUUUUCUUUUUCUUUUCUUUUUUUUUUGGGGGGAUUCUUUUCUUUUUUUUUUUUUGGGGGGGCGGCCGCCGCCGCGGGGAGGGAGAAAUUAAUGAGUCACGUUCUUUUUAGGUGAAUCCAUGAAUCCUCCCAAUGAAUGGCCCCUUAAUUCGUUGAAUUUGUUGAAUUUGUUUCACAGUACAAUCCAAAUGCAUCCACUUUUCUACCAGAUCCAGCUGUCCCCAAGAAGACAUUCAAUAUUAAAUAUUAAAAAUUGACUACUUCUUUGUAAAGUAUUUCAAUUUGGCUAAUUGAAAUUUUAUUUAUUUUGGAUUUCAGCUUGAUGCAGUUCCCCUUUUUUGGUGAAAAAUUCUUAUUAAACACCAUCAAUGUGAAAGGGAAAGUGUGAGCCGUUUACUUAUUGUGGGGGAGCUUAAAAGUCUUUGUAGGAAAGGGAGAGAAGGAAAAUGGCCAAAGAAGUGGAAAAUGAGGAAAGUGAUUGAAAGGGAGGUGAUUGACAAGGUUGGUAGGGCUCAUAGUUUAAUAGAGGCAUAAGAAAAAUAUAAUAAUUUUUUAUGAAUAAAUCUUAAUUAAUAGAUUUUAAAUUUAUUUUAUUAAAUAAUUAAGAAUAUUAUAAAAUGAAUAUAUAUAUAUAUAUAUAUAUAUAUAUAUAUAUAUAUAAUGAGGAGGAAGGAAUUAGAGAAGAGAAUUGAUGAAGAAUUUCGUUAUGAGAAAUCUUUUAUAAGUUUUACCAAAUGAUCUUCCAUUACUCAUAUUUAAGAUGAGUAAAUGGAAGUUCAUAAAUGAAUUUCAAUGUGGUCAUUCUCCACUCAUUUACAAUAAAGAAGGUACUAUUAUUUAGGUUUAAGUUCAUUUAUCUUACUUAAUGUUUUGGUUAAAUACAUUUGACUUUCAUUAAUUUGAAAUUUCAAUCUAUACUUUCUUUAUUUCAAGCAAGAGAUGGUAAAUAAAAAUAACAAAUAAAAAGAAUAAAAAAUGUAUUUGAUAAAAUUUCAAUCCAAUAAAGGAUAACUUUUAUCAUUUAUUAUAUACUAUGACACAUUCUUAUAAGACAUGAGUCUUAGGUGGUGUUUGUUUUUUUAGCUUUUUGCUGAAAACAAUUUGUUUUAAGAAUUUAGGUUGUUUGUUUUUCUAUUUUUUCAUGACUUAUUAUAAACUUUUUACUAAAUAGAAAAAACCAAAAUAUGUAACUUUUUUUAAAUAGAAAAAAUAACAUAUCAGUUUUUCUUUACUUUUUAAUACUUAAUAGAAAUAAAAUACUACAAAAACAAACAACCUAAUAUUUAACAUUAUUAAACAUCAAAGUUCUAUAUAAAAUUAAGUAAAAAAACAAACACCUGUAUGUAUGUAUGCAUGCAUGUAUUCCAAAAUCGCUAUUAUUUUUUUUUUUUGAAAACAAUUCUAAAAAAUAAAUUUCAAUUAUUUUUUAAAAUAAUAUUCUAUUUGAAAACUCAAAUACAGGAACCAUUUAUUCACUUCAUAUAAAAUGCUUUCAAAGUAUUUGUCAUAUUUGAAUUGUUACUCAAAACAUUUUAUAAAAAUUAAUUAAAAAGCACCUUAAUUUUAUUCCCAAAACAACCUAUUUUCCAAAAAAAAAUCUCAAAAGUUUAUAUUUUAUCUAAAAUUUGUCAAAUAUCUAUUCUAAAUAAUAUUUUUGACAUAAUUCAUAUGAUUUGAUGAAGUAUUUUAAUUGAAUUAUUUUCAUUUAAUUUAAUUGUGAUAAUAUUUUGGACUUACCUAUUUAAUUAUUUUGAAUUUUGUAUGAUUUUGGAGGCUCAUUGUAAGCAUUUCAUAAUUUUAUUUUGUUAUAUUGGGUUUGUGAUUAAUUAGGCUUCUUUUCAUAUGUUGGGUAGGGUUUAUUCUAACAAUUCAAAUGGAAAAUCAAUUAUUUUUCAUCUAAAAAAAGGUGACCACUUUUGAUAAUGACAAAAGAAACCAUUGUACCAUACAUCCUUCCUUAUCAUGCGUAUUCAGGACUUCAAGUCCUGAAUUUCCAGGCAUUUGGAUCCAAGUGAUGAUAAAGAAGUUGGCCACUUGUAUUGGAAAAUAGACUAUAAAAAUAAUAUUCAUAAAAAAUACAUAAAUUUAAUUUUGGAAAAAUUUUUAUAUCCAAUAUAUUUAAUUUGUUAGUAUCUUAAUACACAACUUAAACAAAAAAUUAAAUAAAAAAUUGAAUUCCUUAGAAUAUGAAAUUCACUCAAAUAUUAAAAAAAAGUUGCAUAAUUUUUAUUUAUUUAUUUAAAAUUACAAAAUAGCAUAUAAGAAUAUUUAGAAGUUUACAUUACAAAUCAUUUUAAAAAUAUAAGGUAAAUAGAUACUUUAUAUAUAGAAUGUUCUAGUUUUAUACAAUAUAUAUAUAUAUAUAUUUUAAACAUGAAAAAUAUCCAAACAAACACUCAAUUUAUUUAUUUAUUAUUUUUUAUAUUUAUUUGCCAAUUCAAAAUAGAGUGCAAAACAUGUCAAUACCAAAUAACUCCUUUAAUUCUUUACCAUAAUUUAACAACUAUUUUAUAGGCUCCAACAAGGAAAAUUUUCUUGAAUUUUUAAUAAUGCAUAAAGUAAUAAUCCACCUUUAAAUAAUAUAUUGAUUUGGUUUGAUUAAUUUGAUUAUAAUAAGAUAGUUUGACUUUGAUAUUGUAUUUAAUAAUUUUGUUUUUGGCAUUUCCCCUCUUGUACCUUCAAGGUACAAGUCCAACAAACCAAAAUGGUUAUGAAUCUUAUGAUACAAAUAACCGAUUAUUAUAUAAGAAUUAGAUUAUGUUUGGUGGCAAUUUUAUGAAGUAUUUUUUUUUUUUUUAACUCUUUUAACACUUAAAAUAUAAUUUUUUUAAAUAUUAAAAAGAUUAAAAAUAUUUUUUAAAAUCACUAUCAAACAAACUUUUAAUCUACCUUGGUUCAAUCAAUAAAGAAUUGACUAGUUGUAUUGAUAAAGAGUAUUGAAGUUGAAGGAAACCUUUCACCACUCACAAAUUAAAUGAUUAAUUUUUGGAAUAAUAAUCACCCUAAAAUAAUCACCCUAACUUUCUUUUGAUAUCAAAGUUUAGAAAUAUUUCAAAGCAAUAUUGGAAAGUGGAGACACCAAUUUGAAAAAGAUUUCACAUUACUUUUUCCUCCUUUUUGAUUUUCUCAUGCCCAACACAAUACUCUCCACAAUAAAUAAAAUAAUAUUCAUAUUCACAAUAAAGAAGUUGGCCACUUGUAUUAGAAAAUGGACUAUAAAAAUAAUAUUCAUAAAAAAUACAUAAAUUUAAUUUUGGAAAAUUUUUUAUAUCCAAUAUAUUUAAUUUGUUAGAAUCUUAAUACACAACUUAAACAAAUUUUUUUUAUAAAAAAAAUUGAAUUCCUUAGAAUAUGAAAUUCACUCAAAUAUUAAAAAAAAGUUGCAUAAUUUUUAUUUAUUUAUUUAAAAUUACAAAAUAGCAUAUAAGAAUAUUUAGAAGUUUACAUUACAAAUCAUUUUAAAAAUAUAAGGUAAAUAGAUACUUUAUAUAUAGAAUGUUCUAGUUUUAUACAAUAUAUAUAUAUAUAUAUUUUAAACAUGAAAAAUAUCCAAACAAACACUCAAUUUAUUUAUUUAUUUUUAUUUUUGAUAUUUAUUUACCAAUUCAAAAUAGAGUGCAAAACAUGUCAAUACCAAAUAACUCCUUUAAUUCUUUACCAUAAUUUAACAACUAUUUUAUAGGCUCCAACAAGGAAAAUUUUCUUGAAUUUUUAAUAAUGCAUAAAGUAAUAAUCCACUUUUAAAUAAUAUAUUGAUUUGAUUUGAUUAUAAUAAGGUAGUUUGGCUUUCAUAUUAUAUUUAAUAAUUUUGUUUUUGGCAUGGCCCCUCUUGUACCUUCAAGGUACAAGUCCAACAAACCUAUGAUCCAACAAAUCAAAGCAUGUUAUGAUACAAAUAACCAAUUAUUAUAUAAGUAUUGGAGUAUGUUUAGUAGUGAUUUUAUGAAGUAUUUUUAAUUUUUUUAAUAUUUAAAAUAUAAAAAAAUUAAAAAAUUAGAAAAAUUAAAAACACGUUCUAAAUUUAUUACCAAAUAAACUCUUAAUCUAUCUUGAUUCAACCAUCAAAGAUUUUAAAUUUAAUUCCACCAUAGAUUGGUUAGUUGUGUUGAUAAAGACUCUUGAAGUUGAAGGAAACCUACCACCACUCACAUCUUAUAUGAUUAUUUUUUUAGAAUAAAAGGUGUACAAUCACCCUAACUUUCUUUUGAUAUCAAAGUUUACAAGUAUUUCAAAGCAAUGGUGGAAAGUGGAGGCACCAAUUUUAAAAAGACUUCACAUCCUUUUCCUCCUUUUUUAUUUUCUCAUGCCCAACACAAUAUUCUCCACAAUAAAUAAAAUAAUGUUCAUAUUCAAAUUCAUAAUAAUAAUUUCUUUUUUCAUCCUUUUCCCAUGGUGGAGGAAAAAUUGAGCUUCCCAAUAUUUUCCUAGAAAGCACCAAGAAAUUAAUUGAAUCUCUGUGUAUAUUUGUAUCAUUAAUUCUAUUUUAAUUAAUAAUAAUUGUGUUCCACUUUGUGUUAAUUUAAUAUGACCUCUCCUUAAUUUCUUACCAUGGAAAAACAAUUGCCCCCACCAACCAAUCAAAUUGAAAAUUUCUUAGUGAUGUCAUCAAAGAUGGUCACAAAGAAUACUGAUCUUCCAUUCCAAUUAAUGUAAUCAAAAUUGAAAAAUUCAUAUGAUGAUAAUCUCUUAAUUCAUUUUAUUAAUCUUUUUUUCUUUUUUUUUCUUUUUUCUUUUUUAACAAAAAAAAAAAAAAAAAAACCCAACAAGUUAUAAAAUUACUCAUAAAUUGAUUAGUUUAUUUCAUCAAGUAGACAAAACCCAUAUAGUGGGGCUUCUCUAUUUUGACUGUGGAAGUCAAAAUCCAGGACACAAUUAAGAUGACAAUCUAGAAAGUUGAGGCUGGAGUGAAGCUUCAUCUUGGAAUUUUUUUAAUGGAUAAGGAGCCAUGUUUUCUACAGGGCCUGCCAUAGAAAAUUCCAUUGCACAAAAAGUUGACUAACUCUUAAUCUUUUGUUUUUUGGCCUUCUUUUCCAAUCUUCACCUCAUUCUUUCCCAUUAGGUUUGUAAGCCCUAUUUGGCCUUUUGUCCCAAAUGUUAAUGUAUUUUGAAUGUUUUAUUGCUAUUAGUUUUGUAAAUUAAGCCUUAUCAUUUUUAAAUAAUUGGUUUAAAAGGAUAAAAUUAUCCUCAUAUUUAUGAAUUUAUCCCCUCUUAAAUCCAUUUUGACAUAAAUAUCCUUGAUUAUUUUAUGUAUUUAUAGUAUAUUUUAAAAGAAAAAAAAUUAAUUUUAUAAAAAGAAAUAAUGACAUUUUUGUCAAAAUAAGACAAAAAAAAAAUGAAAAGUUUGAUUUUUAAUUAAUUUUAAUAAUCCUUUUAAUUAAAUAAUUUUAUUAUAUUAAAGUCUAAAUAAAGAAAAUAAAGGCGUCUUGUCGCUAUCUUCUCUGUCCGUCUCUCUCUUAACCUUUAAGCAAAGAAUAGAUCACACUUUGAGUCUAUCCAAUUGAGCAAACUCUUAGGAUCAUAUCAUCAACAUUGUCAAAAUAAUAAUAAUUCCCCAUACCCAUUGAUUAAAUUUAAUAAUUCAUAUUACUAUGUCAUUAAAAUUGUCACAAUAUAAUAACACUCAUAGUCUAUCAUUCUUUAUUUGACUAGAAAUAAGGGUGUGAUCAUUUCAUCUCGAAACCAUUUAGUACUUAAAUAAGAAUAUAUUAAUUUUUUUAAUAAUCUUUGUCAUCAAUAUCAUUUAAAUAAUCCAAUUUUUAUUAUAGGUCAAGUUAAAUAUCAUAAAAAAACUUUUAUUUACCUUCCUUAAACAUCAAUUGAUAUUAUUAAUAUGAAACUAUAAAAACAUUAUUUCAGAAUAUUACAUAUUCACAAUUUAUAGAAGUAUAGUGGGGAGAGCCGGUCAAACAAAUAUUCCCUGUUUAUAAUGUUUCUUCUCUAUAUUUAAUGGCACAAGAAGUUGAGUAGCUCUUAUUUGUAAUUUGUCGUUUUCCUUCCUAAAAAAUUUCCUUUUACACUCUUUAUCUCAUUCUUUCCCAAUAGGUUGAGUCUAAAUAUCUUGUUUGAUCUUUUGUCCAAACAAUUGAAAGUUCAAAACCCAUGAAUUAGGGUUUAGAUAAAAAAAAAUUAAAUAAACAAAUGAAGGUAACCUAAAUUCAACACCUAUCAUAUUCAUCUAGUAGUUCUUGGAUCAAAUUCAACUCAAGUGUGGAUGGAAUAAUGCAGUCAACUUUGAAUCAUGCAAUCACCUUAACAAUCCUGCCCAUCAAAUCUGUUGAAAUUAGUUGCCACGUGCAUGCUUAUGAUGUAUGCAAUUCUAUAUAUGUUCCCAUAAUGUCUGGUCAUCAACUUAAUUACAAUAUAACCCACCAAGACAUUUGAGGCCUCAUAAUUAGGAUUAGCUACUCAUAAAACAUAAAAUAUUGGGUGAUUAAUUAGUCGGUUUUCGUCACCUUCCAAACUUUACCCUAAGCUGCUCAUUAAACUAGUCCCCUGUCUUCCCAAGUUUAAUUUACACAAUCUUUUACUUAGGUUAAUAAUCUUAGUAGCUUUUAUUUCAAAGAAAAGUUGGUCUUCUUUGGCUCUCUAAAUUCUUUGCUUCGUGCCUUUUUAACCAGUCUCAAAGUUACAUACAAUCUUAUCAUUAGAUGCCUUGUUUUAUUUAUUUUGAUGGAGGAGUCUCUACUUCUUUGACUCUUCUUUUUGACUAAGACCCCAGACAGCCAUGUUGGAGGUGGAAUAUGGAUUGGAAAAUGUCCACAUACCUAGAGUCCUAUAAUAUAAUGUAUACUAAUGAGCGUGAUCAUGAUCAUGGACCCAAGAGAGAAUAUUCAACUCACGACGUUAUUCUUUUUCCAUUUUUAAUAGCUGAUCUUUGUUGAACUUGGUCUUUGUACUGUUCAGGGAUUUUCCUUUUUCCGCUCUUUCACACACAUGGAGCCACAUUCAGGUAUUGUUUGGGGAAAAGACAGAUCUAAUGGCAUAUUUUUUUUAGCAGUAUAUGAUACUAUAAACUAACUAGGGUAUGUGCCAUGUCUGGAAUUCCUCAAUAGAAUCAUAUUUGUUUAACUGAUUCGUACCUGCAUAACCUUCUUAGGGAAAAUAAAAUCGGCCAUGGAAAGCAUACAUACAUAUAUAACAAAAAAGAUUGUACGUGGAUCCAGCAGAUGUUGUUGGGUCUACUGCAUAUGUUGUUAAUGGAAGAAAGCAGUUGUUUUGGUCAACCAUGCCUGCUUUCACCAAUAUCAACUUACAAGAUCAUAAUGGGAACUCAGCUUUAUCUAUCGUUAUCUUCGAGUGACACCCUAUUGAAAUUGAGUGCAACUCGCUUGCUAGCAAUUGGUGUUUGUAGGCGCACUGGGCGGUGUUCACAUCGUGCCAAAACCUAGUCAACUCAAACCAUAUAUAAAUAAAAAUCGUGUUAAACAUGUAAAUCAAAAUACUAUUUAAUCAUUAAAUAAGUGACACGUAUCUUAUGCAUUUCAUUUAACCUAUUUAAUAAUCAAGUUGAAAUAGGUCUUAUAUAAUUUUAAUCAAACAUAUUUAUGACUCAAUUGAUUUAUUUAUUUAAAAAUAAAUUUAAAAUAAGUUAAAGAUGAGUUAAAUAAUUUAAAGUUAUCAUUAGUUAAUUAAUCGGAUUAUUAAAUGUGUCAAUUAAGUCAAAUUUAUGUCAUAUGGUUUGACCCAAAUUACCUAUUUAUUAAAUGACUUAUGCAGGUUAACAUGAAUUUAAUCAAAAUCUGAUUAUACUCAAUUUAAGCCUUAAAAAAUGUGUUGGGUUUAAGUCAUGUUAAUGGAUCCCAUCAAAGUUUGUCACCUUUAAUAAUAUAUAUGGAGGUGAGGAUUUACUUAAUAAAUUAUAUACAUUAAUAUUAGUAUAGUUAUGAUUAAGCCAUGUAUCAAAUUCUCAAAAGUUAGCUCAGUUUGAUCAUUAGCAUUAUUACUCAUUUUUUUAUUAGAUUAAAGUUUAUUUGACAGUGCUUUUAAAAAAUACCUUUAAUAUAAAAACGUUUUUGAAAAACAAAAAAUUAGAUGUUUUAUAAAAUUAAAAAAAAACAAUAUUAAACAAUUAAAAAAAUCACUCAUUAUGCUUCUUGAAGAAGCAUUUGAUUGGUAAUUCUCUCAUAACAUUUAUAAAAAAAAUACUUCCACUAAAAUCUCUUUUAAUACAAACACUAUAGAGGCAAUUUUCAUGAUAGAAAUAUAUUCAUUUGUGGCUUGUAGCAACCUUACCAUAACAUGGGGGUCAUUAAUUAAGAACUUUAUGAACCCAUUACGGAUCCGUCCCUAGUGUUGCUAGGAGGAAGACCUAGCCCCCACCACCAACUACCUCAAUUUAUGUAUAUAAAUUUUAAGACUUAAAUGAUUAUAUUAGUUUAUAUCUAAUUUUAAAAUUAGAAAAUUAAAAAAAAAUUAAUGCUGCGUUUGAAAGUAGUUUUUUACAAAGUGUUUUUAGUUGAAAUAUUUUCUUUAAAAGUGUUUUUAGGAGAAUUACUUAUGAAGCAUUUCUUAAAAAAACACUAUAAAUAAUUUUUUAAAACUAUAAAUGAUUUUUUAGAUUUUUGAAAAUAUUUAUUAAAUUUUGUUAAUUAUUAUUAUUAUUUUAAAAAAAAUACUUUGUAAGCUAAAAACACUUCUUAAAAUCACUAUCAAAGCAACUUUAAGAAGGGGCUAACAACUAGUGUACCUAAUAGGCAUCCCAACUUGCUUAGUUUAAGAUGGAGAAUGUAAUGAAAAUGAAAAAAAAAAAAAAAAAAAGGUUCCUUGUAUGAAAAAAUCAACAAAAUUAUGGUGGUGGUUACAAAGGCUUAGUAGUCUCCUUAACAAGUCCCCUCAAUUAAAAUCUCAGUAGUACUUCUCUUUUCACCAUUUUUUUUCCCUAACACAUCCUCCAACUGAAGUCUCAGCCCCCCUCAGACAAAAAAUGUUUAGUUGAGAUGCGAAAGGCUCAACUUUUGCAAACCUCGAAAAGAGAAGACAAAAGACUUGUUGUGUUGGCACCUAACUUUUGGGACUUCUUCUUUAAGCCUCAAUUGGACUUGGACUAGGAAUAUAAUUCUACAAGGAUGACUGGUGGGGUGUGUGUUACUGAAUUUUUUUUCUUUUUGGAUCGAGCUGUGUUGGUGGGCUUCUCCUUACACCACCCGGCCUGAAUGCUUUCAUGGACCUAUGUUGGUUAUCUUUUCUUUUUGGGUUUCUAUUGGAGCCCAAAUGACUUAAUUUCUGUUUUGGAAGAAUUUUGAAAAUCCGUUUUAAAAAACAACUAAAAACAAUUUAAAAUGUUCUUGGAAAACACUAUAUUUUUGUCUUCAAAAAUGGAAAAUUGUUUUCUAUUUUAUGUUUCUUCUUAUUUGAUAUAUUUAAUAAAAGAUGUUUGAAAACUAAUAAUUUGAAGAAAAAAAAUGAAGUUUUGACAUAUUUUCAAAUAUCUCAAAAUAUAAUAAGUUAUUUGUACUUAUUUUAUAUAAUUAAGAUAAAACAUUUAACAACUAUUAAAAUGCAAAGAAAAUAUUAAAAAAUUCAUCUAACUUAAAUUUUCUAAGAUGUGCUUUUUUUGUGGUGCAUCGUUAAAUUUACAAAAAGUUAUGACUUAAGAAUUAUGAUUAUGAUUGAAAUGUGUGUUUAAUUAUUCAAAGUUAUGACUUUCGAAUCAAUUAUGAUUGAAAUGUGUGUUCAAUUGUACAACGAAUUCCCAAUUUAGGGAAGAAUAUUAAAUUUUAAUUGAAAUUGUUAGAUUUAAUGGGUACUUAGAUGAGCCUGAUUUAUCUUUUAGAAUCAUAAUUAGAGAAAUUUCAUUAAAAUUAAUUAUAGUUAUUUAUUUUGAUUUUCUAUAAGGAGUUACAUUUUGAAAAAUUACACUAAAUUCAUUUUUAAUCCAAAUUUUACAAGUUUUACGUUCUUUUCAUUUUUGAAUGAAUCUACCAAAAUUCAUCUUAAUUUCAUUAAGAUUGGAUGAGUUAUAAGGAAAAAAAUAUAUUGAUAGCUUAUAUAUGGUUUGUGGAUGAAUUUCAACUAUAGAUUACACUUCGGGAGGAAUAGGAGUUUUUCAUCAAGUUGAAAAAGUCUUCUAAGAAAGAUUGUCCGUCCUCUAAAGCAUUUUUCACCAUUUACAAUUUUUUUUGUUUUGUUCUUUUUAGCAAAUAAGCCAAACCACAUGCAAGAAGGAAUGCAUCAACACUCUUUCAACAAGUAAAUCAACAUAACUUACAUAUAAAUAGCAAUACUCCUUGAUUAAGAAUUACAUUAACUUUCAACUACAUAAUUCACAAAAGUAAAUAUCCUUCACUGAAAAUUAUUUCAAACCAUUUCAAAGAUUAAUUAAGCAUAUUUCAACUCAAAUUCUCCUCUAAUAUACUAAUUAAAACAAUAUAAUUUUAUUAAUAUAAGAUAAAUAUAAGGAAAUUAACUAAAGAAGAGAUAAAAUACUUGGGGCCUACAAGUGAUUAAAAAAACAUCUACUAUGAAGAACAAAAUUUAAAUAUAAAGUUUUAUCUAGCUCAAGUCUAUUAAUCUUUCUUGAGCCACUUGACUAGUAUCUUUCCAUUUUAACUACUUGUCUUUUUCUUCCAAAGUAUACUUGGAUUCCAUACCAAAAUCGAUCUUGAUAUCUUCUUGAAUCCACAUAAGUUCUUUAAUUAUUCUAAUCUUAAUUUAUGUGGAUGAUGUUAUUAUAAUAGAUAGAAACCCUUGCUAUAAUCCAAUGGAUUAUUAUCACUCUUAGCUCCAAAUUUGCUCUAAAGGACCUUGGCUAGUUGAAAUAUUUCUCGGGAAUUGAAGUUAACAUCACACCUUGGUUGGUACUCUCCCAUAUUUGACAUUCACUAGACCAGAUAUCACUCACGCAAUUAACGAAGUGUGCCAAGGUCUCCAACAACCAAGGCAAAUUUCAAGGUUGUGAAAUGAAAUCUACAUUGUUGAUCAAUUGUUAACUAAGAAAUGAAUAAUAAUUUUUAGGAGAGAGGCACUAUCAAAAAAAAAAAAAAAAAAAACAAAAUCAAUGUCAAACUUAUUUGGGUUUAAAGAGGAUUUGGUUGAUUAUAAUUCAUGUGUAACUGCACUUCCUUUGUCACUACCACCAUGUGACUCCAUAUAGUGUUUGGGAGAGUUAGAUCUUGGAAUUGGGCGUUUGCAAAAAUAGCCCGAAGGUCAAAAGCAGUUCAGGGUUGUGAUCAUAGGGUAUGGGUUAGAGAAACAAGAUGAUUGCUUUUAAAGUUUAAACUGAAAAUGUAGCGAUUCCCGAAUUUAAUAAAAUGUAGAAGUGUAGAAAAAAGGAAAACGAAACCAUGGAUUCAUGCCUCUACAUGAACUAAGCUUAGACAUGUUGACUAAUCAAACUCUAAUAUUGAUUUUACACCUGAGGCGCAUAUUUAUAGACUUUGAAGGCUUUCAUAUUUAGUUUCAACAAGGUACUUUUUGAAGAUGCAUUAAACCGUUUCUUUAUCUAAUGCAUUACUUCACCCACACUGAGUCUGUUGGUAGCAGUAGUAUUUAGUUUUGUGGGGUAUUAUUUGAGAUCUACUUGAGCAUUGAAUAAAAUUAGACUAAAAUGUUGUCUUCCCUUCCAGGUAUACUGCAGAGAACUCUGUAAAAUUUGGAGCUCCUCGAGAUAUGGCUUUGUGAUCCAUAUCUCAUGAAGCACAAUAGGGCUCUUUUGUUACUAAGUAGUGAUUUUGGCACUACAGUGCUCUUCAAUUUCUCUCUUAAUUUUUCAAUUUACAUGAAUGUGGAAACUUUUACACAUCAAUCAUUUGCUACAAUAAUAAUCAUGUAAAUUUGGUAUACUUUUCCCAUUCUCUAUAAUUGAUUAGCUUAGGAGCUGUAUGGAGAGGAAAAUGACAUGGGUCGGUGUUUGACAAUAACAGGAAACCUCUGACUCUUGGCAUUAAAAUGAGCUAAAGAUGGGUUUGGAAACCACUUUCAAAUGAAAAUUGACAUGCAUAAUUUUUUGUGUGUUUGACACAAUAAAAAUUACUUAACCAGAAAUGAAAUAGCGAGACCAAAGGGAAAGGGCUUGAGCGUCCUUGAUUCAAAGUCUCUAUAUCCCAAAGGGGAAGCAACUGAGCUUGAUAGCUGCCAUCAAGACAGAAUGACUCUUUGCACGAUUCUAUUGAAGAAGCUGAUUUUCCUACACGUUCAGCAUCGGUUCAUUCCGUACUGCUCACUAUAAGUACCUUUUGCCCUUAUUGAGGAGAGGGAGGCUUGUGCCAACCACUGCCCUUAGUCUCCCUGCCUCUGACCUCACUAUAUCGAGGAGUGACUUUGUCACAUGGCUUCAGAUGGAAUUACAGCACAGUAUUGGAAUUAGUAUUCAAAUGGCUACCCUAUGGAGAGUUUUUUAGGCCUCAAUCUUAACAGUAUAGGUUGACCACUCGGAAACUGGGACCACAACCUAGCCUAGGCUUGAUCCAGGCACUGCUUAGAGACACAUUUCACUUAACUUCUUUGAUCUGUUACUUGUAUUUAUUGUGACACUUAGUUGCUUCUUGUUUAUCUGAUCCAGGAAGCUUGUUUUAUCAAAGAAUGAGACCUUUCGAUGUUUAUGGAUGAAUUCCUCUUGUCAGCAUUGGUUCUUUAAUAUUCACCAAAAAGUGAACAAGCUUGGAGCCUUAGGUAGAUAUUUUACAAAGCCUUCUGUACUGUUAUCUUAUGCUAAGUACUGAAUAUAAAUGUUGUUAAGGGUACCACCAGUGACAUGCAGAUGCAAUGUUGAUCAUGGAUCUGUAUAAUUGGUCCACUUUUCCCAUUCUCUAUAAUUGAUUGACUUAGGAGCUGUAUGGAGAGGAAAAUGACAUGCAUAAUUUUUAGUGGAUUCAUGCUUCAAUCUUAACAAUACAGGUUGACCACAACCUAGCCUAAGCUUGAUCCAGGCACUACUUAGAGACAAGUAUUUAUUGUGACACUCAGUUGCAUCUUGUUUAGCUGAUCCAGGAAGCUUGCUUUAUCAAAGAAGCAAGACCUUUCGAUGUUUAUGGAUGAAUUCCUCUUGGCAGCAUUGGUUCUUUAAUAUUCACCAAAAAGUGAACAGGCUUGGAGCCAUAGGUAGAUAUUUUAGAAAGCCUUCUGUACUGUUGUCUUAUGCUGAGUACCACCAGUGACAUGCAGAUGCAAUGUUGAUUAUGAGAACACCAAUGGCAUAGUACAUCAACGGAUAUUUGAGUUGGCUUAUAAAAUAGGAAAGAAUUUAUUCCUUCCAUUUGUAUCAGCACGACUCAAUUGAUUAGCUAAAACUUAAGCUAAAUUUGUUGACUUAUCUUCCAUUUUCUACCCAUCUUUCUAUAUAUAUUUUGCACAUCAACGUUAAUUUAAUAAGGUCCUGCUAUUGUUUUAUUCUCUUGUGUUGAAUUUUGACUUAGUAUUUGCUGGAAUUUGAAUUUUGAAUAUUGCAGCUGGAGUCUUGCACAAAAUCUGCAACAUCUAGAUAUUUUCUUAUUUUUAUUUGGUCAAGAUUUGGUUUCUAUUUUAUAGGAAGUAGUUGUUCAUCAUCUAUUAGCUUGAUUUUCUGCUAUUCUAAUGUCAUUUAAGUUACAAGUUCAUGUAUAAAUUCAGCAUUCUUCAUCAAUAAGAUCAGAGCUCCGGCAGCCCAAAAAUAUAUAUUCUGUAUAAGUAUUUAAUCUUAUACCAACAAAGUGGUAUCAGAGCCAUAGUUAUCUUGAGGGGCCAGUGAGGUGAGUGAACCCAAACACCUUCUAAAAUCAUUUAGCAAUGGAAGAGUCAAGUCUCACAGUUGCACCAUCAAUUCUUGAUGGAGACAAUUAUGAAACUUGGGCUGUUAGAAUGACAGUUCAUCUACAAGCACUUGAUGUUUGGGAAGCAGUGGAAGAAAAUUAUGAAGUUCCUCCCCUGGGAGCCAAUCCAACUGUGGCUCAAAUGAAGUUGCAUAAAGAAAGAAGGACAAGAAAGGCUAAAGCGAAAGCUUGCUUGUUUGCUGCAGUUUCACCAUCAAUUUUCAUCAAAAUCAUGAAAAUUGAUUCAGCUGCAGAAAUUUGGGAGUAUCUCAAGGAGGAAUACAAAGGAGAUGAAAGAAUCAAGAACAUGCAGGUGAUGAACUUGAUUCGAGAAUUUGAAAUGAAGAAAAUGAGGGAGUCUGAUGCUGUUAAAGACUAUGCUGCACAACUUCUUUCAAUAGCAGACAAAGUUAGGCUGCUUGGAAAAGAAUUUUCCAAUGAGAAGAUUGUUCAAAAGAUAUUGGUUACACUUCCUGAGAAAUAUGAAGCUACAAUUUCCUCUUUGGAGAAUUCAAAAGAUCUGUCAACUAUUAGCUUGACAGAAUUAUUACAUUCCUUGGAGGCUGUGGAACAAAGAAGACUCAUGAGACAAGGAGAUACUGCAGAAGGAGCAUUUCAAGCAAGAAUGCAGAAAAAUGCAGGCCAUAAAAAUGGAAAGGUGAACAACAACAAGUCGUGUGGCAACAACCAGAAAAAUGGAAUUUUUCCACCUUGUCCUCAUUGCAAGAAGACAAAUCAUUCUCCACAAAAAUGUUGGUGGAGACCAGAUGUGAAAUGCAACAAGUGUGGUAAACAAGGACAUGUGGAGAGGAUUUGCAAAAAUCAACAGCAGGAAGAAACUAAUGCAGUAGUUGACUAUUGUCAGGAGGAGCAAUUGUUUGCAGCAACGUGUUUUGCUAAUAAAAGCACCUCUAAAAGCUGGCUUGUGGAUAGUGGUUGUACAAACCACAUGACAAAUAAUCAAGAUCUCUUUAGAGAACUUGAUAGAACAACUAUUUCCAAAGUCAGAAUUGGAAAUGGUGAGUAUAUUCCAGUGAAGGGCAAAGGAACGGUUGCUAUCGAAAGCCAAACAGGUUUGAAACUCAUUUAUGAUGUUUUGUUUGUGCCUGACAUUGACCAAAACUUACUCAGUGUUGGACAGCUCAUUGAGAAAGAAUUUAAAGUUUAUUUUGAAGAUAGGAAUUGCAUUAUCAAGGAUGCUGAAGGCAAAGAGGUGUUCAACAUAAAAAUGAAGGGCAAGAGUUUUGCCUUGAAUUUACUGGAAGAUGAGCAUACUGCUAUUUUACAACAAGAUAGCACAACAAUGUUUUGGGACAGAAGGGUCGAGCACUUUCAUCAUGAUGAUGUGCUUUACAUGAAGAAAAAUCAAAUAGUUGAAGGACUUCCUGACUUAGAAAAAGAUCUUCCUAUAUGUGCUACUUGUCAAUAUGGGAAGCAAACUAAACUUCCCUUUCCAAAGAAAAUAUCCUGGAGAGCAACCCAAAAACUGCAACUGGUGCAUACUGAUGUUGGUGGAUCUCAAAAAAUGCCAUCCUUGAAAUGGAAUGCAAACAACGUUUGGUGGAUCUCAAAAAAUGCCAUCCUUGAAAUGGAAUGCAAACAAUUUUGGGCUAAAACUGCAAGAAGAGCAGUAUAUUUUCUGAACAUAUUGCCAACAAAAGUGUUAAAGAAGCAGACCCCUUUCGAAGUUUGGUUUGAGUGUCUAUGUGCAAGACUUGGAGUUUGCAUCUACGAAGUCAAGGAGGAGUGUUGAAUUUUGACUUAGUAUUUGCUGGAAUUUGAAUUUUGAAUAUUGCAGCUGGAGUCUUGCACAAAAUCUGCAACAUCUAGAUAUUUUCUUAUUUUUAUUUGGUCAAGAUUUGGUUUCUAUUUUAUAGGAAGUAGUUGUUCAUCAUCUAUUAGCUUGAUUUUCUGCUAUUCUAAUGUCAUUUAAGUUACAAGUUCAUGUAUAAAUUCAGCAUUCUUCAUCAAUAAGAUCAGAGCUCCGGCAGCCCAAAAAUAUAUAUUCUGUAUAAGUAUUUAAUCUUAUACCAACAUCUUGCACAAACUAUUCUUCAAAAUACUUUACAAUGGCAUAGAUAAACUUGUCAUUUGCUUAACAUUGUUCAAAGGGCUUGACAUUGCUCAACAUUAUUUGAGCUUUUCUCCUACAGAUGCUUCAAUGGCAUGGCAAUGCAACCAGCCUUCAGGCAAUGGCACCCACUUACAUACUCUGCAAGAGCCCACAAUGGAAAAAUAUUCCUAUAAUCUGCACAGUGUAACAUGCAGUUAUUCAUGAAGGCUCCAGUGAUUUCCUGCCAUAGAUAAUUGAUGAUCAAAUGGUUAGACUACCACCCAGUAUAUAUAGUCAGCUACGAAAGAACAUCAUUUUCCAUUUCCCAAAACCAUGUUAAAAUGUUAUUCCUUUUGUUUUUAAUUCAUGUUCAAGUGUGCUACCUGUUGGGGAAAAUCACCAUCUUCCAUUUGGGAAUUAAUCAACAACUUUGCAGCCCUGUGAAGAGGUGUUGGGUCUCUCUCAGCCUGUUAGAAAGGAAAGGUUAGACUCAGAUGUUUGGGGAGAAGCCAUAUUGUGAAAAUAAUGUAGAUGACCAAGUUAAGCUUAGUGAUGAUGAAACUGUAUAAAAUAACCUGCCCAGAAGAAAGCAGCCCCAUCAGAGCCCACCCAGUUUGUACCAGAUUUGACUUGUUUCCUUCAAGAGGUGUAUAUUUCUGUAUCACCAAGCACAAGGAUUACUUUUUUUUUGUCCAUGUUUCUAUCAGAAAACAGAGAGCAGUGGGUGGCAUGUAAAAAUUACCUUGUCCCGGCAAGAAAUAUAGCUCUCUCCCCAACCACCAUCAUCUCUUUGUGAUUUGAGUAGAAACUCAACAGCUCUACCAAUAGCAAGACAGUUGUGGUAAGUCUUGCCAGCAGCUGCUAGGCCUCCAAGUGCCCACCAUGAGCUAUAGAUGAAACAUACUCCCCACUUGCCAUACCUGGUGAAAUGCUUCUUUGUUUAAAUGGAUCUGCACUGCAUAUAUAAAAAAAUAAUUCCCCAGUGAAAUAGUAAUAGUGGAUUUGAGAAACAAACCAUGAGCCAUCAGGCAUUUGUUGGUCUUCAAUGUACUUGGUAGCAUUUGUGAUGAAAUUGUCUAUCUCCUCCGUCCUGUGUUCGGGGUAUAACUUCUUAAACAAAACUAGAGCCUGAAUUGCUGAUGCAGUGCACUCAACAUACCUGGAUCAUCGUUUUGUUAGUCUCCAAGGAAGUUAAAUCUAGUAGAGUUAGAAAAGAAGGUCUAUUAUCAAGAAUCUUACUCAUGCUCGAUGACAAGGUCUUCAAACAUUUCACUGGGGUUGAGCAGCUGAAAAGAGAAGGGAUUGGCAUUGAUUUAGAUUCAAAGGAUACAGAGAGAGAGAGAGAGAGAGAGAGAGAAAACGGAAACAUUGAAGUUAUUUAAACAUGUUGAAGUAAUUUACCUCCAACCAUUCUGAAGCUCCUGCAGGCUCCCAGCCUACUAUACCACCAUUUUCACUCUACAGUGGUUUCGAAAAGAGGGGUUAUUGCUACUAAGAAGUUAUGACUUGUUUUGUGAUGGGGGAAACCAUGCAAAUGGCCCAAGGAAGAUGGUUCUCACCUGUAGGGAAAGCAGGAUGUUGACAGAAUCAAAUAGCCGUCCAGGUUCGAUCUUCAUACCAACAAUUUCUGGUGCCAUCAUUGAAAAGAGGAGACAACACUGUAACAGAGAGGGGACUUUAGUGAGAAACCAAGUGACUUUAGUUAAUUUGCAAGCCCUGACUCAAUUGAAGUGUUUGAGCAGAAAGAGUUACCUUCAAACCUUCUGCAGUGCAAUCAGAAACUUGCCAACCAUGAUCCUUAUCUGAGAAUGUCCACGAUCCUUUGGAAAUGUGGCGGUACAUGCUUUUAAAGUCACCGGAAGGAUUGUCCUUGACCUUCAAGAUUUCAAGCAAUACGAAGUAAAUGGACCAUGAGAAACCAAAGUAGAUUCUGGUUAAAGUAAAGCCAUAAACAAUGGAAUUCAAGAUCAAACCUGAGAUUCCUUUAGGAAUUCAUGGCCUUUCUUUAGCGUAGGUCCAAUUUCAUUGGUCAUAUUGCAAGCUAGCAGUGCUUGAAGGGCAAGACUAGUGUCCCACUCUUGACUACCAAAGGUCUGCAACAAUCGACAAUUUCAAAACCAAUUAGGCAGGAAAGGGACAAAAGCAUAGCUUCAAACCAAUUGCGUACUUGAAAAAUUUUAAGAAAAAGAUGACUGGAUAUUAUCUAUUUUUUCUACAACUGUUUGGGAGAUUAGUGAUUGAACUUGUUUUCUGACCUGCAUCUUUAUUCCAUCUUCUCCAACCCAUAUAUAAUCUGGAAUCCUAGCAAGGUGCUUCUUGAAAUAAUCCCCGUUUGGAUCUUCAACCCAACAUGAAAGCAUACACAACACCUAUUCAAUUUAAGCCAUAUUAGCACCCCAAAGAAGAGAUAUACUGUCUGAAUAGACAUUAUCCAUUGCAGAAAAAUUACCUUCUCCACACAUCCAAUGGUAAUGUAUCGACUGUUUUCAUCUUCAUAAUGGAUGUGUUUCAUUGUUACUUCAAGAGCCUUCUUUCUCAACUUGUUGAAGGGCCAACGAGUAAGAAGAGGCUCGGUACAUAUGUACAAACUAUCCCACAUCAUAUCUUGUAUUAGGGGGUGGGGGUAGUAGAGAUCCUCCUGCAAUAAACAAUUUUGAAAGUGUGUUUCAUGCAUGCGUAGCAUAUUCAUCGGAAAAGGAAAAGUGUUCCAUACAAAAUCAAAACUUACUUUUGCACAAAGAUGCCGUACUUUCUUCCAGUUGAUUUCAUUAUAUGGUUGAAGGAAGAGCUCUUCUCUCAGUUCUAGAACAAGAGGCGUGAUUGGGCCAACGAAUCGUUUACCAUAUAGGUAUGACAUGGGCAUGAAAAUCAACCGACUGUAGCACCAAAUUUUUGCUGCAUUGAUCGUCUCAAAUUAUAAGAAGCUAGACCAAAGAUAGGAAAGUGUAAGCUAAACCAAAGUAGACAUGGGAAUGGCAUUUCUUAAGACUAAUAAACCAUCCCCAGGUUGAAUUUGUAAGUAUUCAUGCGUGAUUUUAUAUUUGUAUAAGGCUGAAGUUACACAACUUUGGGCUUAGCAUUUUGAGUCAGUGUGACCAAUUCCAAGUUUUAUGCAAGAUGGCCUUAGGAUGUAAAAUGCAUUAAGUGCAGAAGUAGAUGUUAAAUUCAAGCACUUGAGUAGAUUGCUACACCACAAACCUGGAUUCAUAGGAAGAUGAGAGGGGAAGAGUGAAAACUCUGGGGGCAUUGGGUUGCUUCCUGACCAGUCAAACAAGCCAAAAAUCUACACGGAAGAAACAAUAUCAUAUAAGAUUCAGUCCAUCACACAAGAAUGCAUUGUAUAGGAUGAAUGUGAACUUGUGUUUGAAAUGGCCAUACUGAAAGCCAAAUCUUUCCCCAAGUGGGAAUGGAUGUCACUCCACCACGAUUGAGGAUCCAUUUACGCCCUCUUGCACAAGCAUUGUCUCUACCACCAUCGCGCCCUUCUCCAAGGAUACGCAUACAAACGUAGCUGAGUGUUGUACAAAACAUGAUGCUGUGUUCCUCAAUAUGCAAUCCCCACCCACCAUCUUCAUUCUGCAAUGUACAUAAGCCAUUUUCAUACUUCAAAGCUCCAAGCUCAUUUAUGAUGUUAGGAUGAUGACUAGGUUCAAAAUAUAUAUACCUGAUGACAGUAUAGGUAGCGAAGAAUUUCUUUACGAUAUUCUCCAGGGAAUACAGUGUCAAGAUGCCCUGUAAUGUAUAGACACAUGACCUGCAUUUUCCAUGAAAUUAUUCCAUUGAGAAUGGCUAUUAAAAUGGUCUAUAUACAUGAUUUUAAGGAGGGUGAGAAGAUGUUAAGUAGACUCACCAGGGGAGGAAGGAAAAACAAGGGGCCGGAAUGUUCAGCAGGCCAAUGGCCAUCACUUGCCUGCAAGGCUGAAAAGAAAUGUGCACCCCUUCUCACUGCUGUUGUGGCUGUCUCUUCUGCAAUUUCUUCACCAUCCCCAACCUUCACUUGUGGUAUUGUUUGUUUGAAAUUUUUCUCUCUCAAAAACUGUAGUUUUUUUUUUGCCCAAAUGAAAUGCGAGUUAGUGAAGAACAAGUUUAAAAGAAAAGGUAAAUUAACCUCAAAAGUAAGCAUCUAUUUAUACAAUUGUUCCAAGCUAAGAGAACCAAGAUAGAGUUACAAUUGUUAAAACACAUAAUAUAUAUUUUGGGUCCAAAUACUACAAACUUAACCUUUUAGGAAAUUAGUUGUUCAACAUGGUAUCAAAACUCGAUUUUGGAAUGGGUCUUACCCUCUCCUUGUCCAACAAUCUGGUUGAUGGUGUCUCAACAAGCUCAAAAGAAAAGAAAAGAAAAGGCAAAUUAACCUCAAUAGUAAGCAUCUAUUUAUAUAAUUGUCCCAAGCUAAGAGAAUCAAGAUAGAGUUAACAAUUGUUAAAGCACAUAAUAUAUAUUUUGGGUUCAAAUCCUACAAACUCAACCUUUUAGGAAAUUAGUUGUUCAAUAUAGUAUCAAAACUCGGUUUUGGAAUUGGUCUCACUUCUCAUUAUCCGACAAUUUGGUCGAUGGUCUCUUAACCUAGGGCAUGGUGUAUGAGGGGAAUAUUGUUGGGUUUUCCAUAUCUUUUAUAGAAGGAAUUGGGUGACUCCUUAUCAGUACUGUGAGGGGAAAAUCUCACCCUUUAAGUUAAUUUUUGGGGUGGGAAGGCCCAAAAUCAUCCAAUGGUAGUAUCCCCAAUAUAUUUUUUCUUUUUUACUUCAUGAUAUCAUAAUUAACCUCAUUUAGUGGGAGGUGAACGUCAUAUGGUGGCCUGAAAAUACAUGUUUGAAGUCAAGUGGUUUCAAUACAUGUUUCUUUUCCCAAUACAUCAAGUUCGCAUGCAAGCCUGGAAAUAGAAGCUGCACAUGUAAGAGGGAGAGAGAGUGAGAGAUUAUGGUUGUUUGGUGGUGAAAACAUGAUUCUAAAGAGGGCCCCAUAUCUUGCGAUUUUUUGGGUUCCUUUUUUCAUAGAAAUCAUCACCCAUAAUCAAAUAAAUGGAAACAAAACAAGAAAAGCUAUGUAGCUAGACUACGUAAAACAACAAGUAUGUAUGCAUGGAAGACACGUAUAGUCAGUGAAAAACUGCAAUCUAGGACGCAGAUGACAGAUCAAUAUCUGUUGUGAUAUCAAGACUUGAGAUAGAUGGGAUCAAAUCACCUGCAUCCGCCAAAGGAGGUCGCUGCUGGGCUUAACCUGAAACCGGUUUUUCCAGAAAUUUUCACGAGCUGCUUCGACCUCAGCUCGCUCUUCUGGGGUUCCAUAAUCAGGAUCAAACUCCCAUAUCUGUCUUCCCACGAAGUUGUUGGUGCUGUAGAUGUAGGGAUCAUUGCCUCCAUCUGCAACCUUGAGCCUCCACAUUUUCAAACUCACCAAACUGACGAGAUAUAUCUCUAUAUAUAUCUAAGUUUACAAAUAUGUGUGUCUCCCUUCCGAAAACACCUGCUGAUCAUGCAAUCACCAGAAAGGUAAAACAAGCUUUUCUUUGCAGUAAAAUUAAGUUAAAAUGAUACAGACCAAGGACAGAAAGAUAGGUGCUGGGUGGGCAGAGAAGAGAGAAACUUCAGAAACUUGGAAUGGCGAGUUCCAGGAGGGAAUCGCUCAUUCAUAUAGAAGCACAGCAGCAAGUCAAUCACCAACCCCCAUGACUUGUAUUUAUGAAUGAGAAUACUAACAUUUAAUUUAUGCUUAUCUAUGUAUAUGCAUUGAUGUUACAUAAAUUUGUACAUUUUUAGAAAUUUAUUUUGGGAGUCCAGGGACAGUCCCUGAUAGAUAUCAGUCGUUCAAUCCUAAAAUUAAUAUACUUUAAGGUUAUGUUUGGUUCUCGGAAAAUACUAAGGAAAGAAAAAAAAUACAAAGAAAAAUGAUUUUUUCAUGUUUGGUUGUUCUAUAAAAAGUAUAAAAGAAAAUGAAAUAUAAUUAAAAUUAAUUAAAAACUUAUGUAUUUUUAAAUUAUUUAAUCUUUAUAUUGAUGAGUUAUAAUAAAUAAAAUGAGUUUGAAAUAACAAAAAAAAUAAUUUAUCAACUUUUAAUCCAUUGUUUAUUUUCCUUCACUUUUUCUUUCCUUUUAUUUUUCCUUUGUAUUUUCUUUCCCUUGCAUUUUCCCUCAAAUUUUCUGGAAACCAAACAUAGUCUAAAACAUACAUGAAGAAAUGACACAUCAAUUAGGUAUUGUAUCAACUAACAUUCAAAUGGAAAGUCUCAAUCAACUAACAUGUGAAAGAUUCCAUUUUUGCAAACCCCCAAAAAUGGAAAGGAAAUAAAUGACCUUCUGUGUUGUUGCCAUCAGUUAUAAUUAUGGUUCUUGUGGCUGUUCUUAGGAGAAAUGGCCACCAGUAUUUGAACAUAGAGUAGAUGUACUAUAACUUCAGAAACUUCAGAAUCUUGGAAUGGCGAGUUCCAGGAGGGAAUCGCUCAUUAAUAUAGAAGCACAACACCAAGUCAAUCACCAACCCCAUGACUUGUAUUAUUUUGGGACAGUCCCUGAUACAUCAAUUAGUCAUGUUUAAGUGACGUUUCACCAAUUUUUCCCCAACACGUCCAAUUAAAGUCGCAAUCAAAGCAAAAAAAUUUAAUUUAGAUGGUGGACAUGUGAAAAAUUCCAGUUUUGCAAAGGAAAAGGAAAUAAUUGACCUCUGUGUUGUUGCCACCUGUUAUGAUGGGUGUUCAUUUUUCUAUGGUUGUUGUUCUAAGGAGAUAUGGCUACCGACAUUUGAACAUGGAUUAGACGGCAAUGCUAGAUUUUUUUGGGGGGAGAAUUGUGCUUAAGGGAGUCCACUUGUUCAUAAUGGGUCAAUUAUCCUUCAAAAUCAUAUAAUUGACAAUUGAUAAGAAGGAUAUAAACUUUAGAGAGACCAACGUACCUUUCAAAGUUGUUAUGUCCCUUAACACCCAUACUUUCACCUAUCGUUGAAUUAGAAAAGUUAUCAAUUCAUAGUUUAUUCAUCAGACUGACAGUUAAACUAUAGUCGAAUUGAUGAUGUCAUAAUUAUAUAACUAAUAUAUUAUUAAAAUUAAAAAUAGUUACAAAAAUUAAAAUAAUAAUUUAUAUAUUAUUUUAAAAUCAAAAUUUUAUUUUAAAAUCAUAAAAUUAUUUAAAAAACAGAAAAUUAGUUUCAAAUCAUAAAUUUUAAUUAAAAUCAUAAUCUUAAUUUAAAAUUAGAAAUUUUAAAAUUUAUUUUUAAAUCAUAAACUUAUUUUAAAAUCGGAAAUUUAUUUAAAAUCUAAGGGACACAAAGUUUUUAGAUAUUUAUUUAAAAUCAUAAUGUUUUCAUUAAUUUAAAUUAAAAUCACAAAUUUUAAAAUAUGAAAAUGGGGAGAAGAGCUGCUAAAGAAAGGAGGAAGAGGGGGCAGCAGCAGGGGUUGGGAAGAGUAGUGGUGGUCGGAUCGGCUAGUCCGAUUGGGUUUUUAAAACACAACUUAACACAUAAAAUGGAGAAUGGUUCUAAGGAGAAUUUUAUGGUCCGGUGUACCAAAGUUAGAUUUUUGACUCUUGGAUUUAUAUAUUUAAUUGACUUUUGAUUUGCAGUGUACAAACGAAGAAGAAAAAAACUUGUUGUCAAUUUCUUGUUGGGGGCUUUUUUUUGCCAUCAGUUAUAAUUAUGGUUCUUGUGGUUGUUCUUAGGAUAAAUGGGCACCAGUAUUUGAACAUAGAGUAGAUGUGAAUCAUGUGAUAGCCUACUUACAUAACUCCACACCCAACCAAAUCAACAACUCACUAUUUAAGACAAAUAUAACAAUGUGUAUCUGAGUUUACAAAUAUGUGUGUCUCCCUUCCGAAAACACCUGCUGAUCAUGAAAUCACCAGGAAGGUAAGACAAGCUUUUCUUUGCAGUAAAAUUAAGUUAAAAUGAUACAGACCAAGGACAGAGAGAUAGGUGCUGGGUGGGCAGAGAGGAGAGAAACUUCAGAAACUUGGAAUGGCGAGUUCCAGGUGGGAAUCGCUCAUUAAUAUAGAAGCACAACAGCAAGUCAAUCACCAACCCCCAUGACUUGUAUUUAUGAAUGAGACUAUUAACACUUAAUUUAUGCUUAUCUGUAUAUAUGUAGUGAUGUCAGCCAUAGUAACUUGAUUUCUAAAUUCAUGAAUCUUGUAACAUAAAUUUAUAGAUUUUUAGAAAAUUAUUUUGGGAGUCCAGGGACAGUCCCUGAUAGGUAUCAGUCAUUCAAUCAUACAAUUAAUAUGGUUUAAGACAUACAGUCCCUGAUACAUCAAUUAGUUAUGUUUAAGUGACGUUUCACCAAUUUUCCCCCAACACGUCCAAUUAAAGUCGCAAUCGAAGCAAAAAAAAUUAAUUUAAUUUAAAUCAAAGCAAAAAACUGGACAUGUGAAAAAAUCCAGUUUUGCAAAGAAGAAAAAACAAAAAAAAAAAGAAGAAAAAAAGAAAAGGAAAUAAUUGAUGGGUGUUCAUUUUUCUAUGGUUGUUGUUCUAAGGAGAAUUGUGCUUAAGGGAGUCCACUUGUUCAUAAUGAGUUAUUGUGAAUUGACAAUUGAUAAGAAGGAUAUGAACUUGGGUUAUUUGAUUAAAAGGGUCUCUCAAAACCUAAUUUUUGAAAUUUAACCUCCCACCCUUUUUUGGUAUCAUUUGGACAAAAAUAUCCUUAUUAUUUUCUUGUAAAAAUAAUUAUUUCUUUAAAACCUACAUGUAAAUACUUGAAAUAGAAAAGGGCAUUUAUGUUAAAAAUGGAUUACUUUUUCAGAAAAAACAUGGGAAGGGUUUGAUUUUCAAUUUUGGGGAUUAUUUCAUCCCUUUUAACCAAAUAUUUCUAUAAACUUUAGAGAGACCAAUGUACCCUUCAAAGUUGUUAUGUCCCUUAACACCAAUACUUUCACCAAUAGUUGAAUUAAAAAAGUUAUCAAUUCAUAGUUUAUUCAUCAAAUUGACAAUCAAACUAUAGUGGAAUUGAUGAUGUCAUAAUUAUAUAACUAAUAUAUUAUUAAAAUUUAAAAUAGUUACAAAAAUUAAAAUAAUAAUUUAUAUAUUAUUUUAAAAUCAAAAUUUUAUUUUAAAAUCACAAAAUUAUUUACAAAACAAAAAAUUAGUUUCAAAUCAUAAAUUUUAAUUAAAAUCAUAAUCUUAAUUUAAAAUUAGAAAUUUUAAAUUUUAUUUUUAAAUCAUAAACUUAUUUUAAAAUCGGAAAUUUAUUUAAAAUCUAAGGGACACAAAGUUUUUAGAUAUUUAUUUAAAAUCAUAAUGUUUUCAUUAGUUUAAAUUAAAAUCACAAAUUUCAAAAUAUGAAAAUGGGGAGAAGAGCUGCUAAGGAAAGGGGGAAGAAGGGGUGGCGGCAGGAGUUGGGAAUAACAGUGGUGGUUGGAUCAGUGUGGACCCCGCAUUUUCGGCUCAAUGCGUUUUCCACUCGAAUGGCGAGCUCGAUUUUUAUUUGAAAAAUUGAUUUUUAUUGAUUAUUUGAAAAUGACUUGGAGUCGCCACUUAUUUUUGUUUUAUUUUUAAAGGGUAAACAAAAUAAGAAAGAAAAACCCUAAGUGUGACUCCUUAUUUUGGAAAAGGUGAUCUACGAAAACCGGAUCGGGUUCGGGGGUCAGGUUACUUAUCGAGAAGGUACGGUAAAGACCGUAGCACCCCUCUAAGUCCCUAAGUUGGGUCUCUACUAAUGAGAUGAAGCUGAUAUGACAAUCAAUGAGAAAAUCAAUAAAUACUUGAAUCAAUCAUGCACACAUGAGAGUCAGAAAAUGCAUAUAAACUAACCAGAGUGGGAAUGAGUGCAUACCUGUGCAGCGAGCCACUAUGCGCUAUCAAGAGAGAGGGUUAGUGCAAAAUAAAGAGCAUAAACAUAGCUCACAUGUCACUAAAUUGAGUACAAAAUCAUCAAAGGCACGCAUGACACUUCACUCAAAAUUCAUUUUUAUUUUAAAGAAAAUUUAUUUGAUGUUGGGCCCUCACCAAAGCCCAUUUAUUUUGCACGAAUCAAUUCCAUAAAUCCCAUCACCUGAGAAUUACAAAAUUUGAUUUUUGGCUUAUUUUAAAACAUUUUAAAAUCAGAGAAGUUAUGAAAGUUGCAUGCCGAAGAGAGAUGACAACAAAUUUUAUUAAAAAUAGAAUUUUGGAACCUAAAGAAAACCUAAGGAUGAAAGAUGGAAAAUAUUGAAAUUAUUUGAAAACCGAUGUUUAAAAAGUUAUUUGCAAGAAAGGAGUCAGAAAAUUAUUUUCUAAGCCAAAAGAUCGUUGGAAUGGGAGGUGACACGUGGCAUAGGGGUGACUAAGCAAGCCAUGCAGACUAGAAAUGCGAACUUGGGGCACCUUGAGCACUGACUGCAUAUUAUUCCAUCUCUGCAUUAAUGUUUCGGCCAUGUAGACUUGAACCCCAACACACUGAAUGCUCAAAACUGGUGCAAACUUUUGCUGUUUCCACUUUGCAGGCCCUUAGCUACAGGCUCAGAUCACUCGUGAACCAUUUAAUUCCAAUACCAUUGGGCCAGAUAAAUGGACAGGUGAAGAAAUAGCAGAAGCUCCCCAAGCAGAAAGCAUACUACCUACUUCUAAAUCCCGAUGUUCAAUUCCAACCUUGUAGUCUUCCAUGGAAAUUGCAAAACUCCGUAUCUCCGAGUGUUCGGUUGACAAGAAUAAUGACUGCAUGGCUCGUGAAAUCAUGCCAAUAGAGUGCCCAAGUUAUAUGUAAAUUGACAUUGAAAUCCCUAGACACAGAAACUGGGGAACGAUUCUCAUGUCAAGAGCAUGAAAAUCAUCAUGAUUGCAAACACCUGCUGCUUCUAGCAUUGCACGCCAAUGUCAGAGCAUAUGGCGAUCCCAUGGGUCUUGUAUUGACAAGAAGGCACUGAACAUUAUCCUUCCUCUAGUCCAAUUCGCUACUUCCAUCGGCAUGGCAUAAUGGGAUAAGCUAGGUCACAACGUUUCCCCACACUACGCUCCAAGAUGCAGCCAGUUUUCAGAUCUUUCAUCAAUGCAAAUUGGAACAGGAGGUGGAGCUCGUCUACCGACGAGAAGCUGCUGAUUCAACAAACAAGCCAGAUUCAUAUCUUCUUUAGGAGCAACUAGUUCCGCAACUACAUCUAAUUGCCACCCCGUCAACAAUAAUAAUAUCUAUCCUAAAACACUGGAUUCAUUUUAGGAGCUUACUUCACCCUGUACCAGACAGCAAACAUUCUCCUGCUUCAUCUUCAUGACGAGUCUCAAAAUUCAAAUUGGAGAGAAACGGCAGUCUGCUUGUUUGGUGACUUCAAUGUCCAUGCUGUCUCCCUUCCCGAAACCGCUUCUUGCCAUGCACCCAAAAUAUAGAAGAAGCAACACAGGCCCAAUGCAACAAAGAUGGAAGUAGCCCAAUACAUCUACCUUUCCAAAUGUGAGAGAUAAGGGAAACAACUUCCAGACCCGUGACACUGCAGCGAUGAAAGGCUGCCCAAGAACAUGGACCAACAGCCUCCAGAUGACCAGUGUUGACAAUGAGGGGGAGAGAUUGAUGUAGGCGAGUAAGGGUAGCAACACGCAGGGGAUUUAAAGAAAAUGGGUUUGCAUGGAAGAAAAUUUGACGUGAAUAUGGUUGUGGGGUUAGCUAUGGUACAUGGAUAUGAUGAGUAGAUGAGGAAUGGCAUGGUGCAUGGUGGUGUAGAGAGAGAAUGGUGAUAAUAGAAAUGGGUAUGAAAGGUGUAUUGGGUAAGGGUGUGAGAGAGAUGACCAGAUUUGCAUGUUCUCAUGAGCGUGGGUGGAUGGAUCUGAGGAGUUUUGGACAGCCAUGCAUGGGCGGAAACAGGUAAUGGAUUGGUGGAAUGAGUAGAGAGGUCUAAUGAGAAAAUGGGUAUAUGAAGAAUAACCAGGUUAGCAUGGUUCUCAUCCUGGAUCAUUUCUAAAAAUGAGGAUGACUCGUGAGAAGUAGUGGCAGCCAUUUUAAGAAGGAUAUCUUCUAUGUACUUGUAAGACUCAAAUGAACCUCCAAUCAUCAAAGAUUGGCUCAUGACGAGCACCCUUGUCACCACUUGAAACUCUCAUGCCAAGAUAGGGCGAACCCAAUUCAGCCAUGGCUUUCUCCUUUCUCUCAGUGUUCUCAUACUACUCAUUAUCAUCAUCAAUGAUACAAUCAGUGUCUUCGACGUCCAAAGGUGUGCAGUCAUUGAAGCUAUUGAUGGCUUCUUCACCCACUACAUCCUCAUCCAAACAGAGAUGGUUAGGGUAAGGAUUCCCUCUAUUUUCAUCCUCGUCUCUAUCAUCAUGAUUGUGCAUUGCAUGGAAUGGCACGAGACCAUAAUUUCCCGAGUCUUCUCUGCAUGAAGCAUAAUGAGACGCCUCAUCACGAAAUCCAUACCCAUAGGAAACGUUCUCAUAUAAGCAGAAUCCCAGAAACCCCAUGGAUCAGCUUCUUCAUUAUCAAACUGCCACCGCGUGUCACCAUUGAAGGCGCACCCUUGGCUGCUGAUUUUACAAUGCUUUUGGCAUCCUCUGAAAAGAAGAAGAAUUGGCUGAAUAAUUAUUAUUGAUGUUGAAGUGUGUAUUUAUACAAGGAGGUUUGAGAUAUUUCUCUACAAGUCAGGAAUCAGCUUACCAUAUUCUAGACUAUCCAUCUAUAAGUCAAGAAUUACAAUAGGAAAACUAACAUAUACAAAUCAUCUAUUCUUAAUAUGGAAGAUUUAGAAAGAUUGACUUUCCAACACUCCCCCUCAAGUUGGAGAGUGGAUAUCCUGCACUCCCAACUUGCGAAUCAUAGGAGCAAAAAACUCCUUUCCCAAUGGUUUAGUCAAAAUGUCUGCAAGUUGGUGCGCUGAGCUCACAUGUCUUGUAAUAAUGGAACCAUCUUGGAUCUUGUCCCUAAUAUAGUGACAAUCCAUCUCAAUGUGUCUAGUACGCUCAUGGAAAACAGGGUUGGCUGCAAUGUGCAAUGCUGCCUUGUUGUCACAAUACAGCAAGGCAGGUUCCUUAUGUAAAACACCCAAAUCUUUCAAAAGGUACCGAAGCCAUGUCAACUCACAACAAGCUCCUGUCAUUGCACGAUACUCUGCUUCGGCUGAAGAGAGUGACACUGUUUUCUGUCGCUUUGAUCUCCAAGAAAUCAGUGAAGGUCCAAGGAAUACACAGUAGCCUGUAGUGGACCUUCUAGUAAGUGGACAACCUGCCCAAUCAGAAUCACAAUAGGCUCUCAAUCUGAAAUCAUUAUUCGAAGAGAAGAACAGACCCUGACCAGGUGCAUUCUUGAGAUAACGUACAACUCUGAACGCUGCUUCCAUAUGAGUCUUUCUCGGUUGAUGCAUAAACCGGCUUAACACAUGAACUGCAUAAGUGAUAUCUGGCCUCGACACAGUUAGAUAUAUUAACCUUCCAACCAAUCUCUUAUAACGACCUUGAUCCUUGAGCAAAUCGCUCUUAUCAGACAAUUUCAAUCCUCGUUCCAUAGGUGUAUCAAUAGGGGCAGCGCCCAACAAUCCUGCAUCCUCAAUAAUCUCUAAUGCAUACUUACGUUGGGAAAUAAAAAUCCCAUUUUUAGAAGCAGAAACCUCAAUGCCAAGAAAGUAUUUUAAAUCGCCCAGAUCUUUGAGAUGAAAAUGACUAUGCAGAAAUUUUUUUGUUGUAGCAAUGCUCACAGGAUCAUUUCCAGUAAUCAGAAUAUCAUCAACAUAUAUCAAGAGGGCAGUAAAGGACUUGCCUUGUUUUUUGGUGAACAAAGAAUAAUCGGCUCGAGAUUGUGCAUAACCGGCGGAUUGAAUAGCUUCUGAGAACUUGGCGAACCACUGGCGAGAAGCUUGUUUCAGACCGUAGAGUGAUUUAUGAAGGCGACAUACCAAGUUUUCCUCCCUCUGUCGCCGAAGCCCUAGCGGCGGAGACAUAUAUAUUUCCUCAUGUAAGUCGCCAUGAAGAAAAGCGUUGUUAACAUCCAUUUGAUGAAUAGACCAGCCACGGGCUGUGGCCAAUGCAAGCAAGCAGCGGACAGAUAUGAUCUUGGCGGUGGGGGAAAAGGUAUCCUGAUAAUCGACACCUUCUAAUUGAGUAAAGCCUUUCGCUACCAAUCGUGCUUUGUAACGCUCAAUAGACCCAUCUGAACGGUGUUUAAUUUUAUACACCCAUCGACAGCCAAUCGGUGUCUUGCCAGCCGGAAGUGGAGUUAGAGACCAAGUGCCAUUAGCUUGGAGAGCUUGCAAUUCAGAACGCAUUGCCUUCUGCCACUCAGGAUGAGCGGCUGCUUCCGAAUAAGACCUGGGUUCUGUGACAGCACUAUGUUGAGCAACAAAAGAUCUAUAUGCAGGCUUAUAUCUGUGAUAAGAAACAUAAUUGGCCAGUGGAUAUCGUGUACCUUUAGUUGGACCUGGAAUCAAGGAAGACGAUUGAUUGGAGGAAACGUGGGAGCAAACAUAAUCGUGGAGCUUGAUUGGCGGGGCGAUAUGGCGGCUGGAGCGACGGAGCGGAGUGGCUGGUUUGGGUGAGUGUGUUUCUGGUGAAAAGAUGGGUGUCUCAGUUGGAGGAGCGGACGGGAUGGAUGCAAACGGUGGCCCCGGAGAAGGCGAUACUAGAGUUGUAGAAGGCGAUGGUGAAGGGUUUGGAUCAAUCUGAGAAGAAGGUUCGAUAAUGAGUUCGGAAGGUCGAGAAGGAGAGGAAAAGUCAUCAUUUUCUGUGGUGGGAGACGGUGUGCUUGUGUGGUUGGAAAGAAGAGGGGAAAGUGUGUGAGAAGUAGAGUCAAAGGAGGAAGAGAUGUCGUGGGCCACUAAGGGGAUUGGACCAGAAUUAUGGGUCAACGAAGGGAGAGUAGAGUUGGGCUUGAGAGAGACAUAAGGAAAAAUAUCUUCAUAAAAUUUGACAUCUCGGCUAGUAAAGACCUUUUUGGUUGAUAAAUCAAAUAAUUUGUAUGCUUUCUGACCAACAGGAUAACCGAUGAAGAUGGAUGGCAUGGCACGGUAAUCAAAUUUGUGAGAGGUGUGAACAUUGGUGGCAUAGGCUAAACAUCCGAAAACACGGAGAUGGGAGUAAGAAGGUGGUUUUGAGUAAAGCAAUUCAAAAGAGUUUUGAAAGACAAUAUUGGUGAAAGUAACCGAUUGAUGAUAUGUACGCAGUGAGAGCACACUCCCCCAAAAUUGAGUGGGAACUUGAGCAUGGAAUUUCAAAGCUCGGGCUACUUGUAAAAUUNUGACGAUGUUUGCGUUCCNNNNNNNNNNNNNNNNNNNNNNNNNNNNNNNNNNNNNNNNNNNNNNNNNNNNNNNNNNNNNNNNNNNNNNNNNNNNNNNNNNNNNNNNNNNNNNNNNNNNAUCGACAAUAGUGAGAAAGUAAUGGGCACCAAACAGAGAAGGGUGUCGAUAACGUCCCCAAAUGUCACAAUGAAUAAUCUCAAAAGGUUUUGUAGAAGAAAUAGCACUAGUACCAAAAGGUAAACGACUUUGCUUAGCCAAAGGACAUAUAGGGCAAGCAUUAUUGGACUGAACAGAAAAAUUCAAAAAAUUCUUGGCAAUGAAACUCAAACGAGAAGGUGAUACAUGGCCUAAGCGACUGUGCCAGAGAUCAGUGGAAGAGAUGGCGAGAUUGCAGGCUGGUUGGUUUGUGGAUGAGGAAUGGUUGGUUAAAGAUUUCUCCGUCGCUAGUGCCACCAAAUAGUAUAGUCCGUCACGUUGUUUACCCAAACCAAUCGUCCUCCUCGUAGCCAGAUCCUGCAAAAUACACAAAUAAGGGAAAAACGUCACUGAACAAUUUAGACCUCUUGUCAAACGACUAACUGAUAUUAAAUCAACUUUGAAUGUAGGCACAGAUAAGACAUCAUGCAGAUAAUAGACGGAAUUCAGAGGCAAAGUCCCUUUCGUAACGAUAUUCGCUUUUUCUCCACUAGGCAAUAAUACGGGCGGUAACGAGCAAUUUUUAUCUUUAUGCAAUAACUUAGAGGAUGAAGUAAUAUGAUCUGUCGCCCCACUAUCAAUAAUCCAAUUGCGGGAAGCGACUUUGGACAAACCUGGCUUUGUUACCGCAUUCACUUUGGAACUAGAGUUUUCAUCUUGGUUAUUAAGAAGUGACAAAAGUUGCUUGAGUUGGGCUUCUGACAAUGCAACUGCAGGUUUCCCUUCAUCUGCCUUAGAAACUUGGUUAGCCGCAGAAAAACUUUUAUUCCGAUUUGAGUUUGAGCCUAAGUUCAUUCUUGCUUUAGGAUGGUCUGGUAGGUAUCCAUGUAGUUGAAAACACUUUUGGACCCAAUGACCCAUAUCUCCACAAUACGAGCACUGGGGACGUCCUCUACCAGAACCCAUGCGGCGCCGAUCUUGAUCAAAAAAUGGUCUGCCAUCUUGUCCUUGAGAAGACCGAUUCUCCCGGAAAUUUUGAGAACCAGAGGGGCGAUUAGUCGGUUCCAUCCUUCUUGUGUUCGAUCGAUCUAUUCCGUCCUUCCAAGUUGUCGAAGACUUGCCGUUGCUGCGCACAGCCAUAGCAGCACUUGCGGCAGAUUCCGCUGCUGCGUUCGUCGAAGUGAGGAGGCGUUGCUUUUCUUCUUGAGAGAUAGAGGAGUAUGCUUGGCGGACAGAAGGAAGAGGAUUCAUCAGGAGGAUUUGCCCGCGAAUAGCACUGUAAGAUUCAUUCAAACCCAUCAGAAAUUGCAUCAAUUUUUGUUGAUCUUGUUGUGCCCCAUGUGCUGCAGCGUUGUAGGAAGCCAGUUCAUCCCACAGGCCUUUCAAUUUUGUGUAAUAGGCAGAGACAGAGAGUUGCUCUUGUCGAAGACAAGCAAUAUCUCGCUGAAUUUCAAAGAUGCGAGGCGCAUUGCUCUGAGAGAAUCGCUCACAGAGAUCUUCCCAAACUUCAUGAGCAGUAGAAUAAUAAAUUACACUGUCCGCAAUUUCUGGAUUGAGAGUAUUGACGAUCCAAGAGUGAACCAUGUCGUUACACCGUGACCAAGUCGCAUAACCUUCAGGAUCAAUUUCUUCUGAAGGAGCCUUGAUCGAGCCAUUAACAAAACCCAAUUUGUUCUUGGAGUUUAAAGCUAGAAUCAUAGCCCUUUUCCAAGCCGAAUAAUUGUCUCCAUUCAAAGAUUUGGAAAUCAAAACCAAACCUGGGUGAUCUGAAUGGUGAGUGAAAUAGGGAUUGGAGAGAUCUGCCUUUGAGAAAUUCGUAGGAAUUUCUGAUUUUGCCAUGAUGAUUGAAGAAAAGAGAUGCUACACGAGAGAGAUUAGAGUGCAGCAAUGAAUCAGGAUUUUAGUCCUGCUCUGAUACCAUGAAAAGAAGAAGAAUUGGCUGAAUAAUUAUUAUUGAUGUUGAAGUGUGUAUUUAUACAAGGAGGUUUGAGAUCUUUCUCUACAAGUCAGGAAUCAGCUUACCAUAUUCUAGACUAUCCAUCUAUAAGUCAAGAAUUACAAUAGGAAAACUAACAUAUACAAAUCAUCUAUUCUUAAUAUGGAAGAUUUAGAAAGAUUGACUUUCCAACAUCCUCUGCUCUUCGAUAGGAUUAUGGGACCUCAGGCAUGUGAGAAAAUGGGCAACAAAUGGGUAAUGCCAGGAAGGAGAGGUGGAUAUGAACAUGAAGGACAAGCGAUGUCAUGGAUGAAGUGUGGCAACGGGUGGAGAGAGAAAAGGUGGUGAGUAAAGCGGUGUGUUUGAAUGGGGUAUGAGACAUGAAUUUAAGAGUGAAGAUGUGAGUGUGUGGAGUGAAAGCAUGAGCGUGAGUGGUGAUGAGUUUGAAUGGGUUUGGGGUGGCGGUGUAGAGAGAGAAUGCAAGAUGAUGAGUGCAUGUGUAGAUAUGGGUGUGAAAUGAUGUAAAUCUGAAAAAGAUGACGAGCUAAAUAUGUGAAUGGAGAUCCGAGAAAGAGUACAGUGAUAGGUAUGAACAAACGAAGUGGUGAUAGAAUGAAUAAGAAAGCAUGCAUGUGGUUAGUAUGGGACAUGGGUAAUGAAAGGCAGAGUAGAGAGAGAAAAAAGUGGUGAGGGAAUAAUGGGCAAGAAAUGGUGGGUUGGAUACAUGGCAUACGGGUUGGAUGGACAUGAGGCAUGGCAGCCAAUAGAUUUAACAUCUCCAACUCCGUGAAUCACUCAUGAUUAUCUUCUCAGCAAACCCACCAUACUUCACUUCAGGAAUGUCUAUUGGACUGCUACAUGCUGCAACAAUAUUAUCCCCAUCCAAUAUAAGAACAUUCCAUGAAAAUCCUGAACCGUUAGGGCUGACAUGUGACACAUUCUCACUCAACACAUCCACAGAAAGAAUUACUUGAGUGCUAAGCCAGGUGGAAGGCAAAAUCAUAGUACAUCUAUCAGAAAACCAUGAGUUACCAAGGAUGCUUGAACCAUACAGCCCAGGGAAGUAGUUAUCCUCAGCACACAUCGCAACAGGAACCACAGAACAAGGAUGAAGCAUCCACGGAUGAUUUCAAGGUGUCAUUGACAAGGCUGAAGUUGCUGAAUCACUUGAACUCUGACCCAUUCCUUUAUUCAGUAUCAUCUUAACUUUGAGAGCGCGCAUCUUUGUAGGACUUCACAGCUGGGUUUGGAUCCACUCUCAUGACCCAUUCAAUUAAGAACAGAGGAAAACGUGAAAGGAUCAUUUACAAAAAACAGAGUAUAAAGACAGAAAAUCAAUGAGUGAAGCCCUAUUUCAUUUUUCUAUCCAUGGGCUUGCAAGAGGGUUGACUGUUGAGAGACUACGGGCUCAUAUAAAAACAGGGGGAUUAGAUUCUGAAAUAUCUCACAAUGAAGCUAAAAACAAAUUCAAGUUACUCUUCAACAAAGCUAAGAAGAAGAGAAAGAUAAAACAAUGACAACAAACCCACAAUCGUACCAGAGAUUAGUGAAAACUAAACAUUCAAUCUGAUGCACAUACCCAAGACAAACAAUAAUCCAGAAACAAGAUGGAGAAGAGUAUGCAAAGGGUUCAUACCUGAAAAGCUUCUUGCUGGAACCUUACUGCCUCUCUAGAAAAAUCUCAACUCAAACGUCUCUCUGCCUCGAAAAUAUCUCCAGCCGAGCCUCAAAAGGCACCUCCUCUCUCAAGCUAAACUAUCCUCCCUUAAAGCUCUCAUGUCUCUCCCUCUUACUCUCUCCCUUUUCUCCUUAGUUAACCUCCCCAGAAAACCAGUCUCCUUCUCUCUCAAGCUUUCUCUCUCUCUCAAAAAAAAAACCAAACAAAAGCUCCCUCUCUAAAGAUUUCUGCCACCUUCCUCUUCUAGGCCGAUAUCCCUUUUCUCUCCCGGAUUUGCCCCUCUAACCAUCUCUGUAGCGACAGCCACGCCCUGCACCACUACUCUGCAGCUGGCAGAAAGAAAAAGCCUCCUCCAACGGCCAGACAACCUUUUUCAUGCAGCUGGCUUUUCUCCCUCAAAUAACAACCAAAAUGAUUUUUGUCUGAUUCCAUGAUGACACGUGUCGACCCUAGAUUGGCCUUCAAAAGCGAUUCCAUGAUGGCCAGUCAGGGAUUGACACGUGGGUGCUUAGGAGCGCGACACCUGGCCAAAAGAGCUGCAAAAAAUGCAUGAAAGUGAGGUUCCCAAAAUGGGGUCUACAAUCGGCUAGUCUGAUUGGGCUUUUAAAACACAACUUAACACAUAAAAUGGAGAAUGGUUCUAAGGAGAAUUUUAUGGUCCAGUGUACCAAAGUUAGAUUUUUGACUCUUGGAUUUAUAUAUUUAAUUGUGACCUUUGAUUUGCAGUGUACAAACGAAGAAGAAAAAAACUUGUUGUCAAUUUCUUAUUGGUGGCUUUUUUUUCCAUCAAUAACUAAGUAAAAUUGCAUUUAUAUUGAAUUUUGGAGGUUAAUAAUUUAGUAAUGGAAGUUAAGUAAUAAUAUUUUAUAUUAUUAAAAUAUAUAAUAUAUAAUAAAAAAAUAAUGUAUUAUUUAAUAUCAUCUUCAUUUUUAUUUUAUAUCAAUGUUAUUUAAAAAUACAGAAUAAUAAUUUUUAGUUUUUUUAUCAAUCAUUUAAUAAAAAAAAUCAAUUCUCAUAAACUAAGGAAGUUGAGUUCAUUUUGAAUUCUAAUUUUAUUAUAUUAGAUAACUAAAAAAAUUAAUUUCAAUAUAAGUUAAUUAAAACAGCAUUUUGCUUUAGUGUAAUUCUCAUAAAUAAAUUAAAAUAUAUAUUUUAUUUAAAAUAUUUAUUUAUUACAUGAAAGAACUAAGGAUAAAAAAUUAAUUUAAAAAAGAUAAAUUUCAUAAUAAAAUUGUUUAAUAACAAAAAUCUUUAUUUUAUAAAAUGGAUAAAUAUGAAAUAAAAAAGUUAUAAAAUUAUUAAAAUAAAUUUAAUAAAUGUGAAUUUUAUAAAUCAAUUAAAAUAGAUAUUUUAUAAUUUUGACAUACCAAUCCAAAAAGGACCUAAGUGACUUAAGCAAGUCUAUCCAAAUUAUAGCAGAUUCCGGAGUAUGACAUACCACUUAAUGGUUCCAAUCCCACACAUAUUAUCAAGUAACGAUGGAGCUGCUGUAUGUAAUAUGACCUUCCUCAAUCAAUAAGCAAAUCAAGGUGUUCUUUCAAGUGCAACUUUGCCUUCAAGAAAAGAAGAAAGAAAGGAAAAAAGAUUGGAAAAAGAGGGAAAGAAAAUAAAAUUCCUAUUCCAUCUAUCUUUGGAUUUCAAUAACAAGCGCAUCUCACCUUCCUUUCAAUAAUAAAACUAGAUGACAACUCAUUUUAUUUAGAGAAUCAACUGUGGAGAAGGCUUCUCCAUGAGAACUAAGGUCACAAUAGUUUACAUAAUGUUGGUCCAUAGUUUGUGAAAUUUUUUCUACCCUGGUUCAAUAAUCAUCAGUAAGAUGGAAAAGCACAAGGAUUCAUUGCUAAAAGGAAGAAUGAUUGAGAAUGAGCAAAAAACAGAAUUUAUAGAACACUGAAUUCAUUACCAGAAAUCACAAAAAGAGAGACAUAAUUCUAGCAUACUCAGUGAAACGUUUCACAUGGAUGCUUUUAAUGUGGACAUUCAUUUUGGAAUUCCUACUUAUCGGGAGGGAAUGUUUCAUGGACUGUAUAUGCCACAUUCAUGGGACAACUUCAGGUGAAAAUAAUAAAAUGGCAUCGGUAUUUAUCAAAGUUACCUUCACCUAUCGGUAAGAUCUUGUCAUUUCGUAUGUUGCAAAACCACCAUCUGCAUUCUGUUGAGAUUCCAAGGGAAAAUCUAUAAAAUGAGUACAACACUCGCCUGAAGUCAGACAGUAGAGAAUCUUAAAUAUUGAUAAUCAGAAAAGACGGGAGAACAGGCUGAACAAGGAAUUAUAACUGGUUCCCAAAGCACACACUUGUAAAAAUCUUCAACACAAAACUUGAGUUGAGAAUCCCAUUCUAGGUAUGCUUGAAAGAUUCAAAAACAAGUUUCAGCCAACAAACAUAAAUUUGCAAUAUACAAGUAUUAUAAAAUCUGAUAUAGAGUUAUAUACUUUUCGGAAUAAUUUUGUGGCCUAGAAUUUUUAAGGCAAUAAUAAAUUUUUUAAAACUGCACAAAGAAGAACAGGUCAAAAUAAUACCUUUUGUAGUUCGGGAUAGAUUGGAUGAUCCCCUCUUCAAUAACACCGAUGCUGUUAAUUAAGUUGGAAUGGACUCUAUGUCAGAAAGGGACGAAAGAGAGUGUGUUGGCUGCCCUUUUGCAUCUUUUUUUGACAAUCUGCAGAAGUGAAAUUGGAAGGUAGUUGAAAAUCGCUCAAAUCCUUUUUUAUGUGCAGUUUUUCAGAAUUUGUAAGGCUUUGUAUAGAAGAGGCAUGAGGUAGGACAACCCUAGGAUGGUUGCCUACACUCAAGGGUAGGUGGGCUAGGGUUUUAUUUUUAGGGUAUAAGGAGAGGAACAAGGAAUAAAUUUUAUGAUAGAGAAAAUUAUAAGAUAAGAAAUAGAGAGAAAGAAGAAACAAUAAAGAAAAUAUGGAAAACCUUAGAGUCUCACUAAGGCCUUCUAGGAGUCUCACCUAGAAGAAAAUCAAUGGAAUCUCACCAUUGAGGGUUGCAACCUUGCAAUGAAAGAAAAUAUAAUAUUAUUCAUAUUAAUUCAUUCAUUUGAUUUACAUUGAUUAGCCUAUUUAUAGGCUUUUCUAUGAAAUCCAAAGUCUACUAGAAUUCUAAUAACCUAUUAUGAUUCUAAUUCUAAUUAUAACAUCCAAAGUCUACUAGGACUCUAAUAACCUAUCAUGACUCAAAUUCUAAUUAUAUUAUAACUCAACUAGCUAAUCCUAAUUAGACUCCAACAAAUACCAAUCCCAAUUCAAUUCUAAUUAAUAUUAAUCCUACUUAAAGUUUACUUAGGUCUUUACUUUCUUCCUUGAAUAAACUUUAAAAGGCUUUCCCCAUCAAGGCAUCUAUGUCUAUGAAGGAUUUUAUAGAUUGAGGGAAUGUUAAGUGCCUUUUUUUUUUUUUUUUUUUUUCUGAUAUUUUGCUUGGUGCCCUUUGCAUUCUCCCUGUCUACUCUGGUAUACCCUUGUUAUGGCUCGUUUGUAGCUUCUUUUUAUAUAUAUCGACCAUGUGCUUACCUAAAAAAAUAAAAAAUAAGAAAGAAAGAAACGCUUUUUGUUUGGACUGCUUGUCCUCUCGCUUCAACUUCAUUUCUUAUGGCAAAUAAAAGAAAGUUAGGUAUGAGAUUCUGAAUUCAGUAUGUUUAAAAUCUAGUUUUUAGAGUGCAUGCUAUACAUUGUGAGCCUAAAUCCUACAAACUUAAGCUUUUAGAAAUUUUUUUGAUAAGAGGUCAUGUAUUUGAACCUAACCACAUGUCUAUUUCCCCACUUUAUUAUUAAGCUUAAAGGAGGUUGUUUGUAGUUUGUUUAUCUAUGGACCUAUAUGGGCAUGUGUGUGCCUAUUUGUUUCUCUAGGUGCAGGUUUGGAGCUGCAUGUGAAGAAGGAUGUUGAAGGGCAUAAUAUACAUUAUAAGCUUUUAGAAUUGGUUGCUAAAACCAGUCGACUAGGAAGCAAAAACGUUUCUUAAAGAUCAAUACCAUUUCUAUUAUAACCAUUUUUUGUUUGCAAACAAAUGCAUAUAUAUGGGGUGAAGUCUAAAGAAUUUCAAAGCUAAACGUACAAGCCAGAUGCAUAAUCAACCAUGAGUUUUAUUAGAUUAUCAUUCAAUGGCAUCAAUCAUUUUUAGAGAGAUGGAAUAGGAGAAAACCAAUGAUUUCUCAGUAACUGAUACCCUACCCAAAAAUCCUUAAGGAAGGAUUUAUAACUAGUAAAGACUAUCAGUUUAUAAACUUUGUGCAUCAGCAAUUAAGUCUUCUACAUGAACUAUGUAUGAAUGUGUAACUGUUUAAAAUAUUCAAAUGAACAAGAAGGUUUAUAAAGUUUUUUCCAUAAUUAAAGGAUGCAAUUCAAUCAAUGGAUUGUUGCUUACUCCGAACUAUGCAUAUAUAUUUAUUUGUCCACUACCGUGAAUAUAGACCAUAUUCUGCACAUUCCAAAAAUCCUAAAUUUUAAAAUGCGAAAACACUCAUUGUUCAAGUCAGUUCUAACACCCAUACCUAUACCCACUCAGUAUGUCCACACCAUAACAUUUACAGCAUCAAACAAUUGCUCCAUAUCUAAUGGUUCCCCAAAUGUUUUCAAUGGAAGUUUAGAUAAUAAUAGAACAGCCUGCACAAGAGAAACAAACAAUAAAAAUGUCCGUAUAACAAGUAUUUUGAGUUAGUUCAGUUGUUACCUUCAAUCCUUCUACUGUACAACCAGAGAUCGGCCAUCCAUGAUCAACACCAUACUCUUCACCUAGGUUUGUUGAAAUAAUUGCUUGAACAACAAAAGAAGUAUCCCAUAAUUGACUUCCAUUAUAAUCCUGCAGUAAACUUAUUAUGUAUAACAGAUGGAUGAUAAAGUUCAAUAAUUUCCAAGGAAUAAAAUACAUAAUCUGCCUUUACAACACGCCACUAUGAAUGGAUAUAGACACUAUAAAUGGCUACAUCCACCAGAAAAAGUAAUAUCACAAUUCUCCAUAACAUAUAAAAUGGAAAUGGCACUUUGAGAUAAACUAGAAAGAGACCAAUACUACUUAUGGACCUGCAUUCUCAUGCCGUCUUCAGCAAUCCACAAAUAAUAAAAAAUUCUUGGAAUAUGCAACUUAAAGGCCUCCGAGUUUGGAUCUUCAAUCCAGCAGCAAAUCAUAUUUAACACCUGUACAAAUUAGAUAACAGGAAAUCAAGACCUUCAUGGAACAGACAAUUAGAUCAAGAGCACCUGAGUAGAGUGGUAGAACUAAAGAAGCUAACUGGUUUAGUUCUUAAUUAAUAGUAAUCGGUACAUUUAUUGAACUUAGUAAUCACUACAUUUAUUGCAGUUCAAAGGACCUUUCUAUACUUCACAUGUACCUUGUUCACAGGCCCUAUGCAUAUAUACCGUGUAUUCUCAUCUUCAUAGUGUACAUGCUGCAUUACAGUGCAUAAAGCCUUCUCUCUCAACUUGUUUCCGGGCCAAUGCCCCAGAAUAGGCUCAAGCACCUUAUGAAGAGAUGCCCAUAGAAUAUCCUGAACCAGUGGAUGUGGAUAGUAUAGAUCUUCCUGCCAAUAAUUGUAAAGACAAAUAUCAAAAUCAUCCGGGACCCUAAAGUAUAAGAAAGAUGCAAUUGAUCUUCUUCAUAAAUUUCCUUCUUAAAUGCUUAUUAAAAUGAUGUCAUUGAUUCGUCCUUCAUGCAGUCGUGCCAUUUGAUUAUGGCCCAGACCGGUGUUAUCAACAAAAUUUAUAAAACCUAAAUCACCUUAUACUAGGAUAGCAUAGCUAACAUAGUAUAGUGGCUCUAGGAUCGUCCACAGGGAUGAGUUUUUGUCAUACAGUUGACUUUAGUGAAGGAAAUAAAAUGGUGCUUUUCCUUAUGAAAAUUAGCUUUUAAAGAAAAUGGAAUUGUGGUUGCAAAGAUUGAUUUUAAGUCAAACAAAAAUAAUAAGUGAAGUUAACUACAAAGAAAAUGUCUCUUGGAGCUUUAGGUCACUAAGAUCAGGUUCCUUAGGAAAAAGGGGAGAUUCCGGAUCUUUUCCUUGCGUUAGGGACAAUAACAUAAAGGAUGGUUAUCUCCCGAACCGGUUUUGUAUUUAGCAAUUAAGAUUUGAUCCAAAGGGUUCAUGAAAAAUGGCAAUUGCUUUCCAUUAAUGGCUUCAAACACUAAAGACCCUCACCUUGAACCACCUUCCAAUGGCUCGUAAAUGAUAACUAAUAGACAUCCAUGGAUCUAGCAAUAAGCAUCCAUAAAAUCCGAAAAGCUUACCAAGUAUUGGGCAUCCAAGGUGAUUUUAAGGGAUUUAAAGCUAAACCUUGAAAUAAAAACCAUUAAUGGUUAACAACUACUUUCAUUUAAAGCAAGGACAACUCCCAUCUUUUCAUUUGGGUCUUUCACCUAGCUUCCCUCACUCCAAGAAACGUAAAACCUAGCCACUCAUCCCCUGAGAAAUCAUCCUCAGAGGUUGUUUGGCUAGAAAGAAAAGUGAAAACAAAAUGAGAAGGAAAGGUAGAGCAAAAGCUCUGUAUAUUUCUUUCUACGGGAAUUUACAAGUGUUCAAUCAUUUUUUCAUUCCCCCACGUCUCUCUCACUCUCUCCCAAAAAAUGUUACCAAAAAUAAAAAUAAAAAUAUAUAAAAGAAAAUAUCUAGGUUGAUUACAAGGGGAAAAUAGGAAAUUACACAAAAUAUCUGGAGAUAAAAAUCUAAUGGAGUCGGUGCACAGGAAGAUUUCGCAUAGUGUGCGAAAUUGCCUUUCACUCAGUCCUGCUCGCAGUCCUGCAGCUGCUCCUCCUCUUGAUUUCUCAUGCUAUGCGAAAUUUUCACAUAGCCAUGCGAAAUUUUCACAUAGCCAUGCGAAAAAUGCUGGUUGUUGGAUUUCUUCCUCUGGUUUUCUUCCUUGCAUCUCUAAUUGGCUUGACAACCUAUUGCCAAGCUUGGCAAAGGGCUAUGAAGUGCUCCAAAGCUCGGAUUCUUUAUGUAUUUGAGCUUCAACUUGUAUUGCCAUGGAUUUCACAAAAUUCUCCCUCAUUCUUGGCUUGUUUCAAUGAUCAAAUAGCUACCAAAAACACCAAAACUUGCCAAAAACUGAUUAGUAACCCUUGCUAGGUCCUUAAUGUGCCAAUUGAGUUAAAAAGUAUUAACUACCACUCAAUAGUGUUUAAAAUAGUUAGUUUCAAGCUAUAAAAGAGUACUUUUUGAGUAGUAAUCACUCCCCCUAACCGACAUAUUGCUAGUCCCUUAGCAAUGAAGGAGAGAUAAAGAAAAAUAGACAGUAAAAUAAUUUUCAAAAUCAUGCUAAUCAUUUCAAAAAAUUUUCAAGUGGCAUGAUGCUGAUUAUACUCUCUCAUGGAACAUCAAAGAGGUAAAACCUAACCUUCAACAAAAGUCAUCAAAUCUCUUGCCUAAUCACAAUUUAUAAAGAGUAGGCAUUAUGCAAAUUUAAGCAUCAAAAGAAUUUCUACUCCCAAAGGUCGAAUCCUUAUUUUUCCACAAAAAUCUAAGUGUUAAGCUUAUUAGUUUCCGAUUAUAGUAUGUCGAACUAUUCUCUCCCCCCCAACCUAGUUCUUUCUCAAACCUUAGGAAACUAACCAACUUCCAAUAGGCUAAGAAUGCACCUCUUUUAUUUCACAAUUUUUUUUUCAUUGUAGGAGUGCAAUGCUAAAGGUAUUGUUUUCUAAAGUGUCUAUGUAACAGGGAUCCAUCGAUGACUCCCAACCAAUCAACGUUUAGGGCAUCAAGCUUUAAGGAUCUUUCGACCAAUAACUCCUCAGAUUUUUCCCCGGGCUUUUGAGAUUGAAAUUCAAUAUCCAAGCACCUACAAUAUGUUAAACUCCACAUAUUCACCCUUGUAACGAGCAUUGAGGUCGGUGACUCCCAACCAAUAAAGGCUUAGGGCACCAGGUUUUAAAGACUUUCACCAUAUACCCCUUGGACCUUGCUGAAGUUUCAAGGCAAGUGAAACACUUUGUUCUUUCUUUAUAUAUAUAUAUAUAUAUUUAAAGGCUCAUUGGCAUUUUAUAAGGUAUCCUAACACUAUUAAAAUAAGGUCAAAGGUACCAAGUCGAAAUUUUCCUAAGUUCAGGGGGUGAAAUAGUUUUCCAUCUUAUAAUCGGAACCUAAUGUGCACAGUGUGUGGUAAGAUUAAAGUGGAAAAAAUAAGGUUGAAUUCAAUAGGAGUUUCAAUAAUUCAUCAACUUCAAUAAGCAUAAUACAAACUCUAAGAUUCAAGUAAAAAGACAAGAACUCAAUUUCUCCCAUUUCAUUUUGAGAAUUUUUCCUUAAUAACCAUGGAGAGUAGAGUAAAAACUUUUAAAAUUAAGCAAAAAGUAACUAAAUUAACAAAUUAACCUAGCAUUAUUAACAAUUCUUCCUUCCUCAACUCUCCCCCUAAUCAAGAUCAACAUUGCCCUCAAUGUGUCAAGAGCAAUUGAAAUAAAGGGAGGAAGUGGUAUCUCCUGAGUGAAAUGGAGUUUGAUUCAUAUAAGAGAAACCACAUGAGUAAAAAAAACAAAAGAGUAAUGAGUAGAGGAAAUAGAAAAAUGUUAAGUAUAAUAAAAAAAAUGAUGUCUAUAUAUUAAUAUGAGAAAGUACAAUAUAAGAUAUGAUCAAAUAAUAUAUCCAAUCCCAGAAUAUAAAACAUCAAAAUAAGAACAAAUCUCCACUAAUAUAAUAUGUAAAUACAAUAAGAUAAAGAGAUGUCCUAUGAUCAAGUAGUGGCAGCCUCAGGUGGAGAUGAUGCAUCCUCAGGUGUAGUUGUGACUGUGUCAACUAUCUGAGGCUCAUCAUGAGGAUCAUAUGAAGCAAUGGCAUCUGUGGUGGCCUCCUAAGGUGGUGGGAUAUGGACCUCUACUAUGGUAGUGUCCUCAGCUGGAAUAGUAUCCUCAGUUAGAGCUAAAGGCUCUGAUGAUGCAAGAAGGUCAGGCUAAGGUGGAGGCAGAAGUCCUAGGUGCUACUAAAUCUGGUGGAGUAUAAUAGUCUGUUGGUCCUAAUGGGCACGCAUCUCAACCAUCUGCUGGAAGAGAGCAGCAUGUGUGGUGGUCAGUGUUUGAAAGGUAUGUACAAGGCCGCGAAACUUCGAAGCAGAGAUGGUGAUGGAAGGCUUGGAUGUAGUAGGAGCAACUGGUGGAACAGUAGGAGUCAUAGGGGGAGCAGCAGAAGUAGCCUCAAGCAUAGGCACUGGUGGUGUUGAAGUAGGUGAUAUAGGGGCAGGUGGUAUAGUCUUUGUCAGAAGCUCGCCCUGCUCUGUCUGUGGGGGCACUAGAGGUGUUACCAUGGAAAGGGCUUCUAGAGGUGCAGAAUAGCCCGCCAACUGAUUCCAUUUUUCCAGAGUGAAUUGCUCUCGACAAAGCCAACGACGCUCGAGCCGAAGCUCAGUAGGAAAGCCCAUAUACUCUAAGAUCUGGCAAAGCAACCUCAGGAAUAGUAAUGGAAUGGUGUCCACCCUCUGAAGCUUCUUCCUAUGGACCUUCUCCUCAAAGUGGAGGAUGGAGGCCAUGAUUAAGUGGUGUGGGCCAAAGUAGAAGCCCUUUGAUAUAUGGAAUAAAGCGUCUAAAAUAGCUCAUCGCCACUGUACCGAAUGCUAUAGGGGAAAGAGGUUGGAGCGUAGCACCACAUCUACGAGGAGCAUCCCAAGUGGAAGCUCCUUCCGUAGAAGGAUCGAAUAUGUAGAGGUCCCCUUGGAUAAAAUGUGGACCAUGUCCCUCUGAGAUACUAGGGACCACUGGCCGAAAGCAGAUGGAUCAACUGGCUUGAAAGGAAUAUGUAGAGUCUCUGCAAUAUGUUUGGCCUCAAGGAUACCAUGACAUCCAUCAAUGGUGAAGUGAAUCGCGGUAGGACUCAGGAUGCCACGAGUAGUCAUAGACUGGUAAAAGUCUAAUGUUACUCUAGGAUAAAAGAACUCACAAUGAGUCAUAAGGUGCUCAAGAUAGUACCUCUGCAAUAGGUCAUAAGAGUCUCGGAGCUCAGGCUACUGUUGCAUGGCCUCUUGAUCAAAAUAUAACUCCGAGUAGGAAGGUCUCACUCUACAAUCUGAGUUACCCUCAAUGGGUGGUGCUGCAAACAUCGGGCGUUUGAUAAUAGACUCCAGUGACUGUCAGAAGGAAGCUCAGAAUCUACAGGAGCUUGAGCAUGUGUAGCUACAGGAGGCUCAGGUUGUGGAGCUCUAGAUAACUCGCCUAGGCCUGAAGUCCUGACCCUUUUGGCAGGAGGGCGCCGCACUGAAAUCUCAGGGCGUGAAGUAGUCGCCCCUGGUGUAGUAGGUGGUCUCCUUGUCUCAUAUCUGCGUUGAGGAGCAGGAUAUGAAGGACUUGUGGGCACUCCAUCCUCAAAAGGUGGAAUUUGUAGGGCCUCCGUGGCCUAAGAUGGAGAAUCACGAGGCACCCGAGCAGAUGAGGCUCUCUACCUCGAAGUGCGACUCGGUGAGAGGGCGGAAAGGGCUCCUUGGGUCCGUGCCAUGUCGAAAAUGGAAGGUGGGCCUUAGGUAUGUGCUCGAAGGGGGCUCGGAGUGCGACUCUUUGAAGUAAGAUGCGCGUGGCGGGGUGUUGAAUGGAAAGAGACGAGGUGACACUAUGAAGAGAUGAGGUCGCAAGGUGGCAAAGGAAAAUGAGGGGUUCGCAAUGAUAGGGGUGCUUGCGAAAUGAGAAAAUUAGGGCUCGGGGGUUUAAAAAGAGAUGGUAGAGUGUCUUUUGGUUUUCGUACAACGUCUUUUGAUUUUUGCAUAGAGUGCGAAAUGGGUUCGCAAACCCCUUAGGUUUUUGUAUAGUGUUUCGCACUGUGUUGGGUAUGCGAAAUGAGUUCGCAGGGUUAAUUUAUUUUCGCACAGUAUGCGAAAUUGGUUCGCAGGGUGUGCAAAAUUGGUUCGCAGGGUGUGCGAAAUUAGUUCGCAGGGUGUGCGAAAUUGGUUCGCAGGGUGUGCGAAAUUUUCACAGCCCAUGUGAAAUGAGCCAUGAAUUUCGCAUGUCUUGCGAAAAUUUCACAGGGUGUGUGAAUUGCCUUGGUUUUUCCUUUGCUAAGAAUCUUUAAGGACACACCCAACUGCUUUGAAGUCCCCCCUGCAAUUGAUCAUCAAAAACCUAAGUUAAAUCAAACCAAAAUAAAAUUAAAACAAGAAAUCAAAAUCAAAACAAGUAAUAAUACAAGAAAACUCUCAAAUAAAAAAUAAAACAAAAAGAUAUGGACUGAUAGUCUUUAGAAAGACUAAGUCCAUAAAAAAAAACUAGUCUUGUCAAGCUUGAUGUGGAUCAAGGAGGAUGAAUUCCUCUUUGUCAUGGGAAAAAUGCUCUACAAAGGGCUUGAGACGAUGGCCAUUCACUUUGAAGCUCCUAGUGCUGUUGGAGUUGAGUAGUUUCACUACUCCAUUUGAAUAACCUUGGUAAAUGGUAAAAGGACCUAUCCACCUUGAUUUCAGCUUGCCUGAAAAGAUGUGGAGCUUAGAGUCAUAGAGCAAGACUCUUUGUCCCUUUUGAAAAUCCUUAUGGGAAACCAACUGAUCAUGCCACCUUUUCAAUUUCUCUUUUGCAAUUUUUGAAUUGAUGUAGGCAUCAUUUCUCAAUUCUUCCAACUCAUUAAGGUCUAAGAACCUCUUCAACUUAGCUCUGCUCAAAUCCAUGUUGAGCUUCUUGAUUGCCUACUAAGCCUUGUAUUCCAAUUCCACAAGGAGAUGACAUGCUUUGCCAUAGACUAGGCAAUAAGGAGACAUCCCAAGAAUGGUCUUGUAAGCUGUUCUAUAUGCCCAUAGUGAAUCAAGGAGCUUGACUGACCAAUAUUUUCUGUUUGUGUUCACCACCUUCAUCAAUAUGUUUUUAAUCUCCCGGUUUCCUAACUCAACUUGCCCACUAGCUUGAGGGUGGUAAUGUGUAGCUACCUUAUGCUUCACCCCAUACUUGGCUAGGAGAGUUUCAAAAGGCUUGUUGCAAAAAUGAGUACCCCCAUCACUAAUUAUGGCUUUGGCGCUAUUUGAUGCGACUCAUGGUAGCUUAGCUUUAAAGGCGUAUCAACAAAAUUUAUACCUUAAAUACUAUUACUAAAGUAGCCAAGCUACUAUAGCAUAGUGGUUCUAGGAUCGUUCACUGGGAAGGGUUUUCGCAAACACUGGUGAAGUUCGGAGGAUGGAGUGAACUUUUCUUAAUAAAAAUUAGGUUAAGAUGAAAACAUAAAAAGAUGAAGGUGUUGUAAACUAAACUAACAUGAAAAUAGGUUAAAAGAUGGAAAAAGAAGUUUCUCAAAGCUUUGGAUAGCCAUGCUUAACUCACUAUGUAAAAAUGGAGAUUUUGGGACUUUUCACCUCGAGUUGGGGAAGCAACUAAGUGAUGCUUACUUCCCGAACCGGUAUGAGUUUAACAAUUGAGUUUUAGUCCUUGAAAACUUACAAAAAGGGUAGCUGACCUCAUAAAUGCUCUUUUAUUGGUAUAAGUCAUCUCCUCGACUUGCAAUACAAUUGCUCGUAGAGAUUACUAAUGAACGUCAGUGGAUCUACAUAAUGAAUCCCCUGANNNNNNNNNNNNNNNNNNNNNNNNNNNNNNNNNNNNNNNNNNNNNNNNNNNNNNNNNNNNNNNNNNNNNNNNNNNNNNNNNNNNNNNNNNNNNNNNNNNNAAGGUUUCAGCCUCUCAUCCUUGGGGAUUUCAUCCUCCAAGGAUGUUUGGCUACUAAGAAAAUGAGAAAGAAAAUAGAAAAGAAGCGUAUGAACAAAAGUGCUCUUAUAACUUAUAAAGUUACAGGUUACAAGAUAUCUUUGUCUGAGGCUCUUCACCUCUAUUUAAAGACAAUAACAAGCUAAAUUACAAGAGCUAUUACAAAAGCAACCUAUUCAUUGGUUGAUUACAAGGGUAAAAUAGGUAUUUACAAAGCUAAAAAUCAAGCAAAAUAUCUUGGAGAACCGGCAGUGGAAUAUCAUCAACAGCGUCUCAAAACAGGGGAUUUCAAAGGCAUUUUCGCAAAGGGGAAAGAUGAAGGGUCCAAAUUUCGCAAGGUGAAAAGGCACCUUGCGAAAUUUGGACCGGUCAUCUUGCACCUUGGCGAAAAUGCCUUGGAGAUCCUUCGUGUUGAGACGCGGUGUNNNNNNNNNNNNNNNNNNNNNNNNNNNNNNNNNNNNNNNNNNNNNNNNNNNNNNNNNNNNNNNNNNNNNNNNNNNNNNNNNNNNNNNNNNNNNNNNNNNNAUUUCGCAAGACGAAGGAGCUCCUUGCCAAAUUUCGCAAGGUGAAAAGGCACCUUGCGAAAUUUCGCAAGGUGGUUCUUCAUGGUGCGAAAUGGUGUUCCCAUGGCUUGAUGCAGUUGUCUUCCGAAGGCCAUAUCUUCCUCAUUUCAGCUCCAAAUCGUACACGGUUUGAAGCGUUAGAUUCUUGACUUCCUGAUCUUUGAAAUGGUAUAUAGCAUUUAGAAAAUGGACUUCAGGAAGUGCUCCAAAAGUGUGAAAGAAUACUGUAGCUUCUGUCCUCUAUUUUCUUCACUCUGUUUUCCUCUUCUCCAUUGUUCUUUCCUUGCAUACUUUGAACGACUUUGGCAAAGGGCUAUGGAGCUCCAAAGCUUGGUUCUUCAUGAAUUUGAGCUUCCAAAAUCUUUGCCAUGAACUAUAUACAGCUCUCCCUCAUUCUUGGAUUGCUUUGGUGUAGCUAAAAGCUAUCAAAAACACCAAAACUUAACACAAUUUGAUUAGAAACGAUUGCAAGGGUCCUUAACAUGUCAAUUGGGUUAAAUGAAUAUGAUUACUACUGAAAGGUGCUUAAAACCAUUAUAAUUAGGUCUACAAAAUAGCACUUUUUGGUAGUAAUCAGGCACCCCAAAUCUUGAGAAGAUGUUUUCCUUAAGAAACUUGGGAAUCACUCUAUGGUCAUUGUGUUUGCAUGAGAUUGCCUCAACCCACUUAGAAACAUAAUCUACUCCCACCAAGAUGUAAGAGUAGCCAGAAGACAUAGGGAAAGGUCCCAUGAAGUCAAUGCCCCAAACAUAAAAAAAAUCAACUAUCAAAAUAGGGUUCAAAGGCAUCAUGUUCCUGCUUGUCAACUUCCCAAGCCUCUGGCAUCGAUCACAACUCUUGCACAUGGUGUGAGUAUCUUUGAAAAGUGAUGGCCAAUAGAAACCUAUUGCAACACCCUCAUGGCUAUCUUCUAAGAAGCAAAGUGGCUUCCACAUGCAUUUUCAUGGCAAUGACUCAGGAUUCCCUUUUGUUGUUCUUCAGGAACCCACUUCCUUAUUAUCUGAUCCACACAAUACUUGAAUAGAAAUGGCUCCUCCCAAUAGUAGGCAUGAAUUUUUUCAACGAAGUGCUUCUUAUCUUGUGUUUUCUACUCACUUGGAACUUCUCCUAUGACUAGGUAGUUCGCAAUGUGAGCAUACCAAGGAGUAACUUCCACCAACAUAAGAGACUCUUUUGGAAAAUCAUCAUUAAUGGGCAAACCAUGGGAAUUAUGUGCGAUAGCUAGCCUUGAAAGGUGGUCUGCUACCACAUUCUCCACUCAUUUCUUGUCUUUGAUUUGGAGAUUGAACUCUUGAAGCAAGAGAAUCCAUCUAUUCAACCUUGCUUUAGCAUCUUGCUUAGUCAACAAAUACUUUAAAGCAGAGUGAUAAGUGAAAACCACAAUGAAAGACCUGACCAAGUAAGCACGAAACUUAUCCAAGGUAAAAACUACAACUAACAAUUCUUUCUAGGUGGUUGUGUAGUUUCUUUAAGCCUCAUUCAAUGUCUUGCUUGCAUAGUAGAUCACAUAGGGUUUUCCAUAUUCUUUUUGCCCAAGAAUAGCUCAUAUAGCAAAGUCACUGGCAUCACACAUUACCUCAAAGGGAAGUUGCCAGUUGGGAGCCCUCACUAUUGGUGCGGUUGUCAGAAAUAGCUUCAAUUCUUCAAAACUCCUUUGGCAUCUAUCAUCCUAUAUGAAUUUAGCAUCCUUCACCAAUAGUUCACAAAGAGGCCUUGCAAGCUUAGAUAAAUACUUGAUAAACUUCCUAUAGAACUCGGCAUAGCCAAGGAAUUGCCUUACUCCUUUGACAUUUAUUGGGGAUGGUAACUUAACAAUGAGUUCAACCUUUGCUUUGUCAACUUCAAUGCCUUGCUUGGAUAUGAUGUGCCUAAGGACAAUCCCUUGGUGUACCAUGAAAUGGCACUUCUCCUAAUUAAGCACUAAGUUUUUCUCAAUGCAUCGGUUUAGAACAGCUUCUAAGUUGACCAAGCAUUCAUCAAAUGCACUUCCAUAUAUAGUGAUAUCAUCCAUAAAGACUUCCAUAAUAUGCUCCACCAUAUCACUGAAAAUGCUUAACAUGCAUCUUUGGAAAGUUGCGGGUGCAUUGCAUAAGCCGAAAGGCAUUCUCCUGUAUGCAUAAGUUCCAAAUGGGCACGGGAAAGUGGUAUUCUCCUGGUCUUCAACAUCAAUUUCUAUAUGAAAGUACCCGAAGUAGCCAUCCAAGAAACAAUAAAAAGGAUGCUCAAAGACCCUCUCAAGCACCUGAUCAAUAAAGGGCAACGGGAAAUGGUCCUUCCUUGUCACCGCAUUCAGCCUCCUGUAAUUGAUACACACUUUCCAACCUGUAGUGAGGUGUGUAGAGACCUCUUCUCCCUUAUCAUUUUGCACCACCGUGAUCUCUGACUUCUUUGGCACAACUUGAGUAGGACUCACCCAUAGGCUAUCUGAUAUGGGGUAAAUAAUACCGGCCUGAAGUAGCUUAAGAACUUCAGCUUGCACCACCUCUUGCAUAUGAGGGUUCAACCUUCUCCGAGGUUGACAAACUGGCUUAGCUUCAUCCUCCAUGUAAAUAUGAUGGGUGCAGACUAAAGGGCCGAUCCCUUUCAAAUCAGCUAUUUGCCACUCUAUUGUUUUUUUACAUAUUCUAAGGACUUCAAGUAGACAAUCCUCCUGAUGGAUGGUAAGAGCUGAAGAUAUAACAAUAGGGCACUUCUUGUCUUCUUCCAAGUAUGCAUACUUCAAAUUUGUGGGUAGUGGCUUAAGAAUAAGCUUUGGGGGGUCCUCUUUAGCAGCUCUUUGUGUCUUCUCCUCAUUGAAUAAGGGUAGAAUUUCUUCUCUCCUCCUCCAAGGGGGUAGGGUAGCAAGCAAAUCUGAGGGUUCAGGUAACCCUUCAUUAAGAUCCCCAAAACUCUCAAUCAAAUCCUCCUGCAUUCUCUGAUCACAAUGCUCCUCCACUAAAGUGUCAAUCAUGCACAGUUCCUUUGGACCUUCUUCUUCUUCCAGAUGAAUAUGCUUCUAGCACAAAUGGAAGAUGUUGAGCUCUAAUGUCAUGUUGCCAAACGUGAGUUACAUGACUUUAUUCCUACAAUUGAUGAUUGCAUUUGAUGUAGCUAGGAAUGGUCUUCGAAGUAUGAUUGGAACAUAAUUAGUUCCUUUGACAACCGAAUCCGUAUCAAGAACAACAAAAUCCAAUGGAUAGUAGAAUUUGUCAACUUGAACCAAGACAUCUUCAAUCAUCCCUAUUGGAAUCUUCACUGAUCUAUCUGCCAGAGAUAGAGUGAUGGAUGUUGGCUUCAACUCUCCAAGUCCCAACUGCUUGUAGACAAAGUAGGGUAGCAAAUUCACACUUGCUCCCAAGUCCAACAAAGCUUUCUCCACACAAGUCCCUCCAAUACUCAUUGAGAUGGUAGGGCAGCCUAGAUCUUUGUACUUCACUGGAGACUUACACUAUAUGAUGGCACUCACUUGCUGAGUUAAGAAGGCUUUCUUGUUCACAUUCAACCCUCUUUUUACAGUGCAUAAGUCCUUCAAGAAUUUUGCAUAUGUCGACACUUGUUUGAUCAUGUCUAGCAAAGGGAUAUUGACCUUCACUUGCCUCAACACUUCAAAUUUUUUUGAUGCAUUAUUGGUUCCCUUUUUGCCAUGCAAAGCUUGGAGGAAAGGUGGAGGCAUGUGUUUCUUCAUCAUAUCUUCCUUGAUGACUAUCCUCUCGGGUUCUUCAUCCACACUAGAAUCAUGGUCAUCUUUCUUUGUACUUUUCCCUUUUCUCUUUCCUUUAAUUUCCUCACUCUUUUUUUUUUCUACUACACUCUCUUCAUCAUGCUUUGGCUUGGAUGUGGGCUGAUCAACCUCUUUACCACUCCUCAAGGUGAUAACUUCUUUGACUUCCCUCACUUUUGAAUAUUCUCCCUCUUGAGCCUCCAUUUCAUGGAUACCCUUGGGAUUUUGUUGAGGUUGAGAAGGAAACUUUCCUUUCUCUUGCACUGUGUUGAGGUUGGUAAGCCUUGAGAUUGCGUAUUGGACAUUGUCUAUCUUUUGAGACAGUCAUUUUGCAUCUCAUCCAUCAUUUUGUUCAAUGUACUCUCCAUACUAUCAAUUCUCUGAUUCAGUUGAGCAUUGAUGGAAUUCUAAUCUCCUACAAAGUCUCCCACAACCUUGCUAAGGUUCACAAUAACUUGUUCAAGAUUCGAGGCUUGCUAAGGUGCUUGAGCAGGUUGUGUGUACAGAGGUGGAUUUGGUUUCCAAGAGAAAUUUGGAUGGUUCCUCCAAUAUGAAUUGUAGGUGUUGCCAUAUGAAGCAUUGUUAUUGGGCUUGAAUUGACCAAUAACAUUUGCUUGAUCACCAAAAAUCUCUCUUACUACUGGAAUUGUAGGACACUCCUCCACCCUAUGCUCAUAAGAUUGACAAAUGGAACAAGGCAUAGCUUGCACUGGUAUCUCAGAAAUGGCUUGCACUUCUUGUACCUUCUUCAUUUCUAGCUCUUCCAAUCUCCUUGCCAUAGCUGCAACCUUUGCCUUCAUGUCAAUGUCUUCAUUCAAAACAUACAUCCCACCCUUAGCAUUAGGUUGAGACUUCAUUAUUCCCAACUCUCUAGCAUUUGGUUCAUCCCAUCCUCUUGAAACUUCAGCCACAUAACUCAAAAGGUCCAUGGCUUCCUCCGGAUUCUUAUUCAUGAAGUCUCCUCCACACAUAGUUUCUAGGAGUUGCUUCAUUGAAGAAGACAUACCAUCGUACAAAUAGCUCACUAAAAGCCAUGUGUCAAAGCCAUGGUGAGGACAAGCAUUAAUAGCUUUCAUGUACCUCUCCUAACACUCAUAGAAUUUCUUAUUCUCCUUAGUUGAGAAGUUCAAAAUUUGCCUUUUCAAACCAUUGGUCCUAUGAGUAGGGAAGAACAUCUUGAGAAACUCGGCUUGCAAAUCAAUCCAAGUUCGGAUACUCCUUGGCCUUAGAGAAUUAAGCUAAAUCUUGGCCUUAUCCUUCAAGGUGAAAGGAAAUAACUUGAGCCUCAUCAAGUCAAUUGAAGCUCCUCCUUCUUGGAAUGCAUUACAAACCUCCUCGAAUUACUUAAUAUGUGAGUAGGGAUUCUCACUUUCCAUCCCAUGGAAAGUAGGUAGGAGUGGCACGAUGUGAGGUCGGAUUACUAGUUGCUCAAUGGGAGGCACUAUGCAUGAUGGUGCACUCAUACGAGGUGGAUGCAUGUAGUCCCUCAUGGAUCGGUAUGCAUUGAAAUUAUCCUCUUGACCAUGUUGGCUAUUCUAGUCUUUAGGUAGAACAUCCAUGAUGUUCAAGCACACUUCCAACUCAGUUUCUCGAGGAGUUUCGAUUUUCACAAGUCUUCCCUCAAUAUCUCUUAUCUAAUAGGGCAUGCACAAUUAGAUACCACUGAAACAAAAAACAAAGAAAACAAAAGAAGUACAAUUCUAGGAAAAGUUAGGUUAGCUAAAAACUAAAUAAAAGAUAAGCUAAAAUAGAGACAAAGAAAAAUAAUUAGUAAAAGAAAAAUCACAAAACUUGUGAUGAAGAUCACAAGUGUUCACCAAAGGUCAUGUUAAUGCACUUUGGCACCAUCCCCGACAAUGACGCCAUUUGAUUCGUCCCUCAUGCAGUCAUGCCAUUUGAUUCUGGCCUAGACAGGUGUUAUCAACAAAAUUUAUAAAACCUAAAUCACCUUACACUAGGGUAGCAUAGCUAACAUAGUAUAGUGGCUUUAGGAUCGUCCACAGGGAUGGAUUUUCUUCGUACAGUUGACUUUAGUGAAGGAAAUAAAAUGGUGCUUUUCCUUAUGAAAAUUAGCUUUUAAAGAAAAUGGAAUUGUGGUUGCAAAGAUUGAUUUUAAGUUAAGCAAAAAUAAUAAGUGAAGUUAACUACAAAGAAAAGGUCUCUUGGAGCUUUAGGUCACUAGGAUCGGGUUCCUUAGGCAAAGGGAAAGAUUCCGGAUCUUCUCCUCGCGUUAGAGACAAUAACAUAAAGGAUGGUUAUCUCCUAAAUCGGUUUUGUAUUUAGCAAUUAAGAUUUGAUCUAAAGGGCUCAUGAAAAAUGGUAAUUGCUUCCCAUUAAUGGCUUCAAACACUAAAGACCCUCACCUUGAACCACCUUCUAAUGGCUCGUAAAUGAUAACUAAUAGACAUCCAUGGAUCUAGCAAUAAGCAUCCAUAGAAUCUGAAAAGCUUACAAAGUAUUGGCCAUUCAAGGUGAUUUUAAGGGAUUUAAAGCUAAACCUUGAAAUAAAAACCAUUAAUGGUUAACAACUACUUUCAUUUAAAGCAAGGACAACUCCCAUCUUUUCAUUCGGGUCUUUCACCUAGCUUCCCUUACUCCAAGAAACGUAAAACCUAGCCACUCAUCCCCUUAGAAAUCAUCCUCAGAGGUUGUUUGGCUAGAAAGAAAAGUGAAAACAAAAUGAGAAGGAAAGGUAGAGCAAAAGCUCUGUAUAUUUCUUUCUACGAGAAUUUACAAGUGUUCAAUCAUUUUUUCAUCCCCCUACGUCUCUUUCUCCCUCUUUCCCAAAAAAUGUUACCAAAAAAAAAUAUAAAAAGAUAUCAAAGAAAAUAUAUAGGUUGAUUACAAAGAGAAAAUAGAAAAUUACACAAAAUAUUUGGAGAUAAAAAUCUAACGAAGUCGGUGCAUAGGAAGAUUUCGCAUACCAUGCAAAAUUGUCUUUCACUCAGUCCUGCUUUCAGUCUUGUAGUUGCUCCUCCUCUUGAUUUCACAUGCUAUGUGAAAUUUUCACAUAACCAUGCGUAAAUGCUAGUUGUUGGAUUUCUUCCUCUGGUUUUCUUCCUUGCAUCUCUGAUUGGCUUGGCAGCCUAUUGCUAAGCUUGGAAAAGGGCCAUGAAGUGCUCCAAAGCUUGAAUUCUUCAUGUAUUUGAGCUUCAACUUGUAUUGCCGUGGAUUUCACAAAAUUCUCCCUCAUUCUUGGCUUGUUUCAAUGAUCAAAUAGCUACCAAAAACAACAAAACUUGCCAAAAACUGAUUAGUAACCCUUGUUAGGUUCCUUAAUGUGCCAAUUGAGUUAAAAGGUAUUAACUACUACUCAACAGUGUUUAAAACAGUUAGUUUCAAGCUAUAAAAGAGUACUUUUUGAAUAGUAAUCAGUGAUCAUCAUGAAACUGCAAAUUAAAUAAAUUUUGAGGAAAAAAAAUGAUUGAAAAUCUAAAUGCAUAUUGCUAGUUGACUUGAUUUAGAAUUUUAAGGAAAUAUAAUAGUUGAACCACAAUAAAAACCAGAAUUUAGUUGUAAAUUGUAUAUAAUAGACUCCCAUUCUUCAUUAGGUGAAUUACUUUCAAAAGAUUGGCUCAUUUUUGCAAGAGAACCUAUUUCUUUUCACAACAUCCAAAAAACUUCUCUUAGACCCUUGGCUACUCAACAAUAAGCUUAGAGAAAAGGAUGAACAACCCCUAAAGUUAUUAUUCAUAAAGUAUUAGUGUAAUUUACAACUCAAUAGGAAAUACAUGAAAUUUAUAUAUAAAAAGAUUCAUAUGUGCUGCAUUUUAAAUUUCCAUUAAAUUCCCAAAUGCAGGAACACAACCUUACUUUGGAGAUAUUUUUCAAUGACAAAUGAAAAUCAUGGUGUUAACAAUAUGUCAGAAAUCUUAAUUAAUAUCUAUAAAGUAUCGAUAUUAUUUUAACACUUACACUUAACUAACCAAAAUGCCAAUAAACACAUCGAAUUACAUACUGAUAAAAUGUUGAUAUUAUCAAAACAUUAUACAAACCAAAUUUAUGUUGUGAUUACCUUUUCUCUUUUUCCAUUUUUUUUCAUUUUGUAGAUCCUCCAAAAUGAGUUUUAAUUUUCCUUUUGAAUCCUCUAGAAAGACUUCUUAUUGCAUAAGACUUCUUUCAAAUAACAUUUUUUAUACAGUACUUGCAUUGAAUUACUUGCCCUUGACAUCACUUGUAUAUUGAUUUAUACAUAGAGCAUUUAAAUUAUGAAUCCAUCUUAAAUCAUAUCAAGAUUGUCUUCAACCUUUUGUUUUUGUUUGGUUGUAAGUUCUCAGCAACACAACAUCUUCCAUUUUAGGAAAACCCUAUCACCAAAAGCCACAAAACGAUUAGAAGCUAACCUAUUUUAAAAGGCCCAAUGAUUUAAGAAACAUUAUUAAGAUGGCUUUCUCAUCCAUUACUACAAAAAUUCCCUCCAUUGUAGGCAACAACAAAAAUUCCUAGUACCUCUCAUCAUGCCAAACACAUUUCAAAUGGGCAAUACACAUGUUAAUCAAAGCCACCGUAAAUAAUAUUUUUUUUGCACAAGAGACUUGGUCAAGGAACCAUAGAAGCUUUAGUCUAAAAAUAUUAUCUCUAUUGGAGUAAAAAAUAAAUAAAUAAAUAAAUUUUAAAAAUAAGGUUGAAUAUAGUGAACUUCACAUGAAGUUAAAAUAGACAAUGAAAAAAAAAAGAAAAGAAAAAAGAACUCCACAAUUUGAUCAAGAUGCCAACAUGACUAAGCAACUCUUGCUUAUAUCUAUGUUAUUUUCAGGAAGAAGCAUAUAUGGCACCACCACCCUUUCAUCCUUAGUGAAGGGAGAGUUAUGCAUGGGGUAUGGACUAAAAGCAAUCCACCAAAGCACAAUUGGAGCACUUUGGUGUUGCAUUUUUGUACUUUCAGCAAUAGAGUUUCAGUUAGACAAUACAACAUAGGCCCAUAGUACCACUUCUUUUGUGACUAUCAUACUUGCUGACAACACAAAAUAAAAUUUUCAAGGUAAAAAAAACAUCUACUGGAUUUCUCAUAUAGAUCCAAUCAAUGUAUCUCCUUGGAAUCAGAUAGGUGAGAUCAAGACAUGGGGAAAAUUACUUCACAAUGAAGAUACUCCUUGAUCUUCUUACAUAUACCAGUAUGCUUCAAAAUGGAGAGAAACUUGUAGACAUCCUAGUGAUGGUUAACAUAAAAUCUAUCAGCAACUAAUAAGAUUAAUUUUCAGGGGAUAAACUUGUAGAUCAUCCAUAUGCAAGGAUACUGAUCAGAAGCACAGUUGUGGACCCGCAUUUUUCACGUGCGUCCCCACUCGAUCGGCUAGACUCGCUUUUUAUUUGUAAAAAAAUAAUUUUUGGAAAAGUCGGAGUCGCCACUUAUUUUAUUUUUAUUUUAAAGGGAAAAUAAAACAAGAAAUAAAACCCUAAAAAAAACGACUCCAUAAUUUUUGGAAAAACAUGUCUUUGAAAAACUUGAGUCUAAGUCCAGGGAUCAGGUUACUUAUUGGGAAGGUACCUCUGGGAGGUAGCACCCCUCUAAGCCCUAAAGAGGUCUCUACUGACUAAAUUGGGGGUAAUGUGGCAAUUAAUUGAUUAAUUGAGGAUACCUAGAUAGACUAAGUUGAUUUCAAAAAAUAACAUGCCAAAUAGGAUCAAAUUACCAUAAAGAAGAGUUAGGGUGCAUACCAGGACGACUUCUCAAGCGUUAUCAUAAAACAUUAAAGUUAGUAUUGAGAUACAUCACACAACAUGCAUUUUAUCAAAGAUAAUCAAACAAUCAUCAAAUGUAUAUCAAGGCAAUCAAACAAGAUAGCAAGCAUGGGCAUAGUACGCAACGACAAUCAUAUUCAUAGGGUUUAGAAAGUGGGUAUUAGGGAACGUACCUGAAUAGCAUAUAUAACUCCUAAUGCUCCUUAGGACAUGAGGGUUAGAUAAUAAAUAAUAAAUAAUAAAUCCUAGCAUGCCUAUCUAAUUAAUUAGCAAAAAUUAUUAGGAUACAGAAUAAUUAACCAUACAUAUCUUGUAUACAAUUCCUAAAAAGAAAAAUGUAAAUAUGAUUACAAUAAAUAGCAGGGUAGUAGCAAAAAUAAAUUUUGAAAAGAUUUUCUUAUGUAGGGGUUUCACCAAUUCCCCAAAUUAAUAUACACGAAUUUAGCCUAAAAUUAUCCCAUUUAUUAGGACCACAAGCUUUGAUUCGUGUUUUGUUCAAAACCAAAAUUUUUGUUGAAAAUUGAAAAGGAUGCAAACCGAUUAAGAUACGGUUGCAUAUUAUUUUUUUAAAAAAGAAAAGAGAUUUUGAUUCUAGAGGCUUUAAAUGAAUUUUUAAAAAAAAUCUUAAAAGGUUUUUUUUUAGAAAAAGAGUUUUGUUUUAAAAUAAAAGAAAUUAACUUUUAAAAUAGCAAAAAUUGAAAACAAAAUAUCAAUCAAAACAAAAGGAAACAAAGAUCACAAAAUAAAGAUUUUAGAAAAUCUUGUCAAUUAAAGUGGUGAGAGUAAAGGCCAACCUUUGUGGGUUUCCAGUGGCCCUAAAAAAAAAUUUGACCAACAAUCACUAAAGCAACAAAUUUAUGACUUCCUAAUCAAACAAACUAACAAAAUUAUCAUCCAAAAACUAACAUUUAGAUUUCAAGAAACACGUGAAUAACUAGAAUUAAACUAAUUGGAAUUAAAAAUGUAAACUUUACCUCACAAGAUCAAUUAAACUAAAGAAUUAAGAUCGAUAACUCGUUCAAAUUAAAAAUAAACUAGAAUUUAAACUAAUCGGAAUUAAAAAUAUAAACUUUACCUUACAAGACCAAUUAAACUAAUAGAUUUAAGAUCAAUAACUCAUUCAAAUUAAAAAUAAACUAGGAUUAAACUAAUUGGGAUUAAAAAUAUAAAUUUUACCUCACAAGACCAAUUAAACUAAAGAAUUAAGAUCAAUAACAUAUUCAAAUUAAAAAUAAACUAGAAUUAAACUAAUUGGAAUUAAAAAUAUAAGUUUUACCUCACAAGAGCAAUUAAACUAAAGAAUUAAGAUCAAUAACAUAUUCAAAUUAAAACUAAACUAGAUUUUAAACUAAUCGGAAUUAAAAAUAUAAACUUUACCUUACAAGACCAAUUAAACUAGUAGAUUUGAGAUCAAUAACUCAUUCAAAUUAAAAAUAAACUAAAAUUAAACUAAUUGGAAUUAAAAAUAUAAAUUUUAUCUCACAAGAUCAAUUAAACUAAAGAAUUAAGAUCAAUAACAUAUUCAAAUUAAAAAUAAACUAGAAUUAAACUAAAAGGAAUUAAAAUUAUAAUUUUUACCUCAUAAGAUCAAUUAAACUAAAGAAUUAAGAUCAAUAACAUAUUCAAAUUAAAAAUAAACUCGAAUUAAACUAAUUGGAAUUAAAAAUAUAAAUUUUACCUCACAAAAUCAAUUAAACUAAAGAAUUAAGAUCAAUAACAUAUUCAAAUUAAAAAUAAACUAGAAUUAAACUAAUUGGAAUUAAAAAUAUAAAUUUUACCUCACAAGAUCAAUUAAACUAAAGAAUUAAGAUCAAUAACAUAUUCAAAUUAAAAAUAAACUAAUUGGAAUUAAAAAUAUAAACUUUAUUUAAACUUUCAUGUAGAUUAAAAUAAACUAGCAUAGAACUAAUGAAUUGCAAUCAUAAAAGAGAGACAUUUAAUCUAAUAAAAAUAAAAGAUUGUUUGAAAUCGAGAUUUAAAGGAAUUUAUCACAAACAAUUAAUUAAACCAAUAAACUAAAACCCAAACUAAAAAAAAGAAAUACUAUAUCGAAAACCGAAAACUAACCUGUAUUGUAUCGGAAAAAUACUCUCUUGUGUUUCAAGUCCUCUACUGCUCCCCCCAAAAAAACUCUUGCGCGUGUCCUCUCUAAAAAAGAUUGCUCUUGUAUGUGGAUCUCUGCUCCAAAAGAAAAGUCCUCCUCGUGUGUUCUCUCUAUGACAUGUUUAUAUGGCAACACCUUCUCUCUAUUGAAUAUUCUAUUUCCUUUUUUAAUGCACAUGGAUAAGGAAAGUGCAUACAUGGUGGCUCAUUGGGAGAUUCCCUCAAGGAUGCAACCACAUCUCGUUUGGUAAGUGAUACAAGUUGACUUUUCUUUUCUAAAAAAAACAAAAAGAAUCCCCCUUACAACCCACUAUAUGCGUGUUGUGCACAAAGUGGCCACUUCCUUUCUAUUUUCAUGUUAUUUUCCUUUCUACUCAUCCAUCUGUACCACAACGUUGCAUUCUAAGGAUACUUUCAAUUUCAUCAGCUGUCAUAUACUUGGAUCUGAACUGUGGCCACCCAACAUCACUCUUCCGACUACUAGUAUCCAAGCCUUGUUGAGAAAACCGAUGAUUCGGUCUACCUUUUUGCAUUGACUUGGGUCUUUGAUUCCUCAGAUCACUUAUCCCAAGCAUUGCUUCAUAUUUGUUCAUGAUGGGUGGAGCUGGGGAAAGAUGGGGAUUUAAUAGUUGGGGCUGCAACUCUGAUAAAUGACCAAAUGAAGGUUGAACUGAAUGAUGCAGUCUAUGCUGCUGUUGCUGCAGCUGCUGUGGCUGCUACUGUUCAGGAUAUGACGAAGUUCUGUACAGAGGCUUCAAUUCUGAGAGAUGGGCAGAAGAAGCAUGGGGCUGUGAUGACCAUCUUUUUCCAUCCUGAAGGCUUUCAGUCUCAAACAUAUGUUGAUCAAACCAGUAAUGUAGAUCCUCUUGUACUCCCCAAGAUGGUGCUCCUCAUGCAAAACAAAAUAAGAUAAGAUUAAAAAAUCAAAGGAAAAGAGAAGCAACUAAUGAAAGUCAUGAAAUUGGUAAUAAAGUGAAAUACGAUUAAAAGAAAAUGAAAGAGAAAAUGAGAUAUCAGAUUGUACAAUUCCAUCAUUCAAUAAGGGGGUUGUAUGCAUAUUUAAUAUCUAAACAAUUCUAACAAUUCUCUAUUAAGUAGGUAAAUAAAUGAAAGAAGAAAAAUAAAAAAAAUAAAAACAAAACGUAAUAGAAAUUAAAAAAUGAAUAAAUAAAUGGAUGAAUAAAUAAACAAAUAAAUAAAUGAAUAAACAAAGAAAAUAUAAUCAUCAAAUGCAUGCAAUAAUGAUCAAGAGAUUAUAUAAAAAGGUUGAGCCCCAAUGAAGUGUUUAAGCGGGUCUAAGGUGAACCUAGGCGAGUUUAAGGUGUCUAAACGGGCCCAAAAUGUCUAAAUUAGCCAAGGGUGAUGCCUAAGUGGACCUAAGAGCUAUCCUAAGAAGGAAUGAAAAGCUUAAGUCUAAUCAAGACUGCUAAGGAUCAUAAUAAGGGGUUAGGCAAUCCCUCAACCAAAGUCUCCGAGGUGGCUCAGAAAAAAUAAGUUGUAUGAGUAGUUAUGGGCCACCAAGGAAGUACUAUGAAGCACUAGAAAUGAACUUAAAGACAUAUGCUAAAGAGACAAAAUUGAGGGUCUACAACAGUACAAGAGCUAAAAUAGCAUCAUAAGGGGAUGGUAAAUGUUAAAAACAUGAGUUCGGAAGGAGAAAAUAUGCUAACCAACCUUCGCACAUUGAUUGCGGGCUUGAUUCCAAUCUACUUCUUGAUAAGGGACUAUGUAUAGCUCCUUUCUCAAAGAAAUAAUUGUGGGUGUAAUUAGACCAACAAACCUCUUCCCAUAUAUGUAUGACAUGGGCAAAUAAACCAUUCGGCAAUGACACCACAUCCGUCCUAUAGAUAAAAAUUUGAAAGCUUACCACCAAUAAAUAAAAUCUUGCUUGUAGUGAGAUAAAAUAAACCUGAAAAGCUGCCUAAUUUAUUGGUAACUUGUUUGUCAAGGAGAAUAAAAUUAAAGUCUUUAAUAAAGUGGAAACAAAACCUAGUUCUGUUAACAGGGGAGAAAAAAACCCGAGCAAAGUAAUUGAAAAAUCAAUUAAAGCUUUGAUUGUAAUGAAUUAAGGAAUAAAGAGGACACUCUAGGGGAAAAUCCCCAAAAAUAUAAAUAAAAUUGGCAAGAACCCAAAUGCGAGGAAAAUAUUUUUAAAAAAAUAAUUAAACUAGCCUUUUCAAAGUCUAGGAUUCUAUUUAAAGAAACCUCAUUGCUCCAUAGUUUGCUUCUAUUCUCUAACAUGAGGAAUAAAAUUAGAUACUACAGCUUUCCUCUAAUGUAAGAUUCUUGUCCUAGUUGUCCAAAAGCAAUUUUAAUUCUCCAAUCCUUCAUUAUGCGUUACAAUCAUAUCCAUUUGUAUUUUCUAGCCAUUUGACUUUCCCCAUUAGUUAGGAUCUUUGUUAUGCAUCAAAUUGAGAUUAUUAAUAACUUCUUCUACAGCUAACCAUGAUCCUUUACACCUCAUUGCAGGAGACUUAUAUUCAUAUCCAUAUUUAUAUUUACAUUUAUAUUUACCCACACACACACACAGUGAGAGAGAGAGAGACCUGGAUUAACUGGAAGAAUGUAAGGACAUAGCCACACUUUUGGUAGGAGUGGAUUAUUCCUAGACCAUUCAUAUGCUCCAAGUACGUAUGGCUAGCAGAAGCAAAUCAAAUGUUAACUCAUAGUUGCAAAACAAUUAAUAUUUUAGCUCAAGCCAAAAUUUUUGAGUUCAUACAGAAAACCACAUUUCCCCCCAAGAAGUUAUUGCAGUUGCACCCCCAUGGUCCAAGAUCCAUUUUCGCCCAUUUUCCAUUGCUCUUUCUGCACCAAAAGCUCCUUCACCAAGUAAUUUUAGAGUAGCAUAGCUGAGCACAGUACCAAACAUGGUGCUCGGACCCUCAAUGUGUAGCCCCCUACCUCCAUCUUCGUUUUGCAACAAAAUGUGCUAUCCUUUUAAUUACUUUUGUUUCUUCACUAGCAAUGUCAAAGCUAGCCAAGUAAAUGGUAAAAGGCUUCAUUUGGUUGAAUUUUUUAGCUUCCCAUCAAAAUAAUAGCACUUUACAUGAGUAUGUAGAGAUGUAGCUAGUACAUACAUGCAUUUAAUGUUCCAUAACGAGUGCAUAGUUACAAGUCACUCAAGUUGGAUGGGAUAACACAACAUGAAUAGAGUUUUCUACCACCCUACCAUUUGGGACUAUUAUUAUGUGCAAUGAAUGUGAAGUUAUUAUGUGGUAGGUGCAUCAUAAAUAUUGGUAAUAGGUUACUUGUAGGUAUUAAUGGUCCACUGUGGUACAAUCAAAUCAAAUGCUACAAAAGUUUUCUAAUAUUUUUUCUCUUAAACAAAAAAUGGCCAAAUUCGGGAUGGGUUUUUGUACACAAGGUAUAAAAUAUUGGUAAAUACGAAUAUGUUAGUACUUGGAUUUUAUAGAUAUAUCGAAAAUACCGGUGGAUAAUUUGACAAAAAUAUUGAUGAGAAAAAAAGCUUGAAAAAACUCUAAAAACGAUAAAAUAAGUAAGAAUAUAUAUAUAUAGUAAAGUUAUUUUGUAAGUGUAAUUUAUAUAAGUAUAAUUAAAUAUAAUAUUUAUAAAAUUUUUAUAAAAAAAAUAGCAUAAAUUCAUUUAAUAUAUUUAAGAGAUUUAUUUUAAAAUUAUAAAAAUACUUUUAUUGAAACAAUUUUUAUUACAUUUUAAAUAAACAAUUAAAUUGAUUUAUAUAAAAUAUUUUAUUUGAGAUAUGAUUUCUAAAAAUUUAUUAUAAAUAUGUGGUCACAAUUUUUCUGUUAACAUUAAUUUAUUUAAAUAAUUAAAAUUAUUAAUAAUUUAUCUUGUCAAGUUAAUUUUAAGUUAUUAAAUAUUAGGACUUCAUUAAUUUAUUUUUUUAUAUUAUAGCAAUUUUUUAGUAAAACUAUAUUUUUAAUAUUUAAAAUACAAACAUUUAAAAUUAAAUAAAAGUAAAUGGAUAAAUAAAAGAAAUUAAUAAUGAAGUGAUAGUAAUUUUUUUAAAAUAGCAUUAAUGAGAUAAAUAUAAAAAGUAGUUAAACAUAAAAAGAUAAUAUAGAUUUAAAAUAAAAAAUAAAUUAAAAAUGAAUAAUGAAAAACUUUUAAAAAUGAUAAUUUUUUUUUAAAAAAAUAAAAAUUUCAAAUAAAUCUCUGAUUUUAAAUCAACAAGGAAUCAUUUCCAUCACUUAUUUCAUAUGAACGUCAAGGGCCAACCUUUCAAGCUAUUAGCAUGCCUCCAUUUGCCUUACUGCCCAACCCACACCUCAAAUCUAGUCAUCUUGAAGGCAUGCCUCUAACAGAGAGUCAUCUUUAUAUUUUCCUACUGCACAUAGCUUAACAAAAAUAAGUUUUUCACCCACAUUUAUGCGUCUUCCAUGAAGGUUGUGCUCUUAGGUUGACUAGUGCACAUAGGCUACCAAUAUAAUGGUUUCACCCAUAGGUAUGCCUCUAAAAUCAAGGGUGUGGCCCUAGUUUGCAUACUGCAUAUAGUAUACCAAAAUAAUGUUAUCAUACCAUGGUACAAAUUUUGCUAUUACAAUUACAUUAUCAUGUAACAUAUCCCAUAAUAUUGAAGAACAUACAAUCACAAUAUAUGUACACUAGAAAAUGACUGCAUUUACAAACCCAUUAAACACAAACCCAGAAAAUGACACCACCACAAACCAUCCAUGCCAGGAAUAAAUUCCAUUAUAUGCCCAAUCCUACUAAAAGGCCUCACAAUGUUGAAUUGUAGGCCAUGCUCUACCCCCUUGUCUGUAAAGAAUGAAACAAAAAUAUAGUUCAAGCCUAUAUGAUACACAUACAUGGUAAGAAACAUCCACAUUGAUGGAAAAGUUAAGUCACCAUAAAUCAACCUCUAAAUCAAUUGCUUCGCACAGGCAUAAGACCACUUUUUCUUCUUAAUUGGAAAAAAAAAUGCAGGAGGAGAAAUAUACAAAUUUAAUCCAUUUGAACAAUAACACAAGAAGAAACAAAUAACAAAUAGCAUAUGAUAGCUUCAAAAAAAAUUUUUAUUUCUCAUUCUGCAAAUAGAAAUGAUAAAGCAGUGGAAUGUCCACAAUGAUCAAGACCAAAGAAAAAACAUUUUGUAGUGGAGGUUAAAACUUGUACCAAUUACUCUAAAUCUAUUAACCAAAGAAGAAAAACAUUUAAAUGCAAGAUAAUCAAAAAGAAAAACACUUGAUGAAAAGUCUUCUAAUUUUCCAUACCUAAUUAUCAAAUGACAGUAACUAUCUUCACUAAGGUGAUUGUGAAAAUCCCGGAAGCACCUUUUGAUUGUAAUAGACCAUAGAUGUUUGAGUUUGAACCACUUGUUGAAGAGCCUUAAUCACAAUUGGACCCGCUAUAAAUGCUGCACCUAUUUACUAAUGAAGCUGAGACGACUAAGAUAAUUAUCUUGCAGGGUGCCUAUAUGUAUUAUCCAUUGGUCUACCAGUACAGAAGAUUGAGAGGGUUUUAAAUAUUGUCAAUUUGAUUUUCAUAUGAGUCUUGUGUGGAAGUUUCAAUUACAAAGAAUGAGUACAACACAACUAUACUCCUAAUAAACUAUAAUUUAUGGAAGCAUAAAGAAAUUGUCAAUAAUAUAACUUGAAAAAAAUAAAUAUGUCAUUUACUAUAGUUUUAUAUAUAUAGGGAGGUGAUAUCAACUAACCUGGUAGUAAAAUAAACCAUGCAUGCAUUGGAAGCAGAGGUAUUGAUAACUUAUCCCUUCAAUUGUACCAUAAAGAAGGCAUGACAUAGCCUCAAAUUCUAUUAUUCACUAUAGAUGGCCAAGUAAGAGUUUAAAUUAGAAUGUAUAGUUAAAUAAUUGAAUGAAAUAUAACAAAAUAAAUGAAUUGUAAAGGUUACCCAAUACUAUUAUGCAUCGUUGGUUGACCAAAUAUUAGCCGCAACCAUUUCACCAAAUUCAUUUUCACUAUCAAGAACCAUUUGAAUUGCUCUGCUUACUUAACAUGAAUUAGGAAUUAAUGUCUUUUAUUCCUUAUCCUCCUGGUAUAUAUAAUAUAGAUUAUGAUCGUGUAAAAGAACUUAAUAAUAGGUUGUAUUCUCAACGUAAAGAAUUUAGAGAAACUUGUGAUAAAUUACAUAAUUUAAGAACUACUGUAAAAGAUUUAACCACAGAUAUUAAAAAUUUAACUUCUCUUAAAUAUUUGAAUGAAUACGAAGUAGCUAUACAAGAAGCUUUUGAUGAACUUUUUGCUACAGAAACCAUAAUUAGAAGAGAAAUUAUAAAAUUUUAUAUUGAUAAUUUAUAUGCUAGCUCAUCUAAUUAAAACAUAUUAGAGAUAAUGAACCCUCAUCUACAAACCCAAGAGGUAAAACAGUUAAAAUUUUUAGUAGAGACACAAUUAAAAAUAACAAACGAAGUAUUACAAGAACAAAUUCAGAAAGAAAACCAAAACAAUAUAGAUAUUUUAAAAGAAAUCCAGAAAAGACAAAUAAAAUCUGUAGAAAAACUAAACACGGUCUUAGGAAUUAGAAAAGAAGCUGGAAGACUUUAAGAACCAUAAUUUGCUAAGAAAUAACCUAGAUUAUAUUAAAGAACAAUUAGCUAGAGAAGAAAAAUUUGUUAGAAAAGAAAUAGAACAAAUAAAAUUAGAACAACAAAAUUUAAAAGAAACUUUAGAAAAAAUUAACCAAAAAGUAGAUAAACUUUUAGAACAAAGAAAUAUAGUAAUAUCAGAGGAACAAAAAUUAAAUAACCUUUUAAAACAAUUUGAAAACUUUAAUUUAGGAGAAAAACCAAUAAUUAAAAUAGAAAGAAAAAUAAAUCCUUUUGAACCAAAAAAUCUAGCAAUAAAACCAUGGAAAUAGUAGAAGCAAUAAACCCUCGAGACAAUGUAAAAGAAUUUAUUGAAGAAAAAUUAAAAAAGGCAGUAAAGGAAGUAACACCUUACAAAAAACAAUUAGUUCAAAAUUAUAAAAUAACUAGAUUUUUAAAUCAACAUACUAUAAGUUCAAUAGGAAAUAUUGUAUAUUUAGAUUUAGUAUCUCCAGAAACAAAACAUAAAUUACUAAAAAAUAAAACCGAUAAAUAUAUGCACUUAGGAAUAAUUUUGAUAGGAAUAAUAGGACUUCAUCGUAAAGAAAUUGGAGCACUUAUAAAUAUUAACCUUUUAGAUACUAGAAACAACACAGUAGGACGAGCUCUUUUAGCUAGUGCAGAAGUUAAUAUGAACCAAAAUUACGCAGUUAUUGGUUGUAUACCUCAAUUUUGUAUAGAUCUUAAGGAAUUCACAGAAAAAAUAAAAAUAACUGUAAAUACUAAAGGUUAUGAUAUGGAAGUAGGAAGUAAAAACCUUAGCAUAGCUAUAGGAUUUAUAGGAAAAACUACUAAUGCUUUAAGUUUAAAAUGUAUGAUGGAAUUCGAUGAUAUAGUAAAAACCUUUGGAAGUAAGAUAGUAAAUAUGAUAGAAGCAAAACCUGUAAAUAUAGACUAUUUACUAGGACGAGAGUGGGAAUUACCUCAAAUAAAUAAACCAAUAAUAAGAUAUCCAACAUCCAGUAGCUUAUAUGAAAACCAAGAUGGAAGUGCAAGUAUAACCUUUGGAAAUUAUAAAACUGUAAAUGUAGAGGUAGAGUCAGAUAGUGAGAUAGAAAAUGUAAAUGUUAUACAAGAAGAUAUUUUACUAAACAUUGAGACAGUAGAAAACCUAUACAAAAACUCAGAGUUAGUAAAUAUAAUGUUAGAAGAAUUUAGUAAUCCAAUAUUACUAGACGAACAAAUGGAUCAAGAAAACUUUGCUAAUAUAAUGUGUAACAACUAUACAGAUGACCAAAUAAUAGAACAACUCUAUAAAACCAAUUUAAUCAAAAAACUUAUAGAUAUAGAAAUGAUAAAUCAAUUUACUAUUCAACCAAAAGUUAACGAAAACAUAGAAAUAAUCUCAAACGAAUCAAUAAAUACAAUAAAUGAAGAAAAAGAAACUGUAAAUGUAAAAAGUGAAAUAGUAAAAUAUAAUAAGCCGUAUAGCAAGCCAAAAGGACCUCAAUGGAAAACUAAAACAGAACCUUCUAGUUCUUUGCAACCAAUAUACGAAUAUGGAACAAUAUUAGAUAUAGAUAGUGCACAAGAUCUUAGAAAAACCAUAGAAAAUUGGGAGCAAUCUUUAAAUUCAGCAGGUGUGGUAGUAUCCUUUGAAAACCAACAAGAAAUUUAUGAAUUUUGGAAAAGCACCCUUAGAGGAACUGUACUACAAUUUUUUAGAAACAUGGAACAAGAAAACAGCAGUUAUUUUCAAGAAGUCAGAAAUAAUUUUAGCAUAUCUGUAUUUAUAAAUCUAAUAAAACUUUAUUUUUUAGGAACAACACAAGAAGAUGUAAAGGAACCUGCAAUAUACCUUCAUAAGUUAGAACAAUUGAAAUUAUGUAACCUUUCAUAUAUAAGAGAAUAUGAACAAAAAUUUAGGAAAUAUGCAAUCCUUGCUAGAGUAGACAGAACCCCUGAAUAUUUAAAUAAAUAUAUAUUAAAAAUACAAGGACCCGUAGGACUUAGAUUAUGGAAUGAAUUUACAACCUCCGAGUAUAAAAACUCUCCUUAUAUAGGUGCUAGAAUAGAAUUUGUAAAAAAUUGGUUAGAAAGAGAAUGUGUAAGUAUAGGAGAAAGAAGUCAGAUAAAGAAACAAGACAUAAAUCAACAACUUUGUAGAAAAUUACAUAUAGGAGAAAAUCUAGAUAUAGGAUGCAGAGAAUAUAAGUUUAGAAAACCUAAGAGAUAUAAUAAAUUUUUAAGAAGAAAGUCAAGAACCUUUUAUAAAAAACGACCAUAUCAUACAAGGUAUAAAAAACCUGGAAAGCUUUGGAUAAAAUGAAAAAGAACCUCAGAAAGAAAAAGACAGUGUAAAUGUUAUUUGUGUGGUCAGGAAGGCCAUAUAAGACCUGAAUGUCCUGAACUUAAAAAACCAUUAAAUGAACGAAAUAGAAAAACCCAAGUAAAAAUAAACCUAAUAAAUGAGUAUCAGCUAGAUAGUGAAGAAGAAGAACUUAUCAGUGAAUUAGACUUUGAAAGUGAAAAUUCAAGUGUAUAUAGUGUAGAAGAUAGUGAAAAUGAAAAAGAAGAAAUUUGUAUGAUUAUUGAAAAAGAGGAAAAUCAAGCUAAGAAAACCCCUUUAAAUUUAGAAAACCUUGUACAACCUUUAGAAAGUAAAAUAAAACCUUAUAAUAUAUGGAAAGAUUUACAAAUAAUAAUCAAAGGAAAAUUUUCAAAAGAAGAAGAAGAUAGUAGUUCAAAAACUAAGGACACAGAAGAACACACAGAAGAACCAAAAAGUCCUGUAAAAGAACCAAUGAAUCCUGAAAAAAUAACCAUACAAACAAUAGAACAAGUAAAUAUGGCAAAUAAAGUUAAAUCUAUUAUUUUUCCAACAACAAUUAAAUUAAAAACCAUAGAAUUAAAGGUAGACGCAAUGUUAGAUACUGGAGCCAGUAAAAACCUUUUAUUUGAAACCUUAGUACCUCAAGAAGAUCAGCAAACAUUAGUUCAACCAGUAGAAUUAAUCCAAUACAAUCAACAAAAACUAAUACUAACCAAGUAUAUUUCAAACGUACCAAUCAUAAUUAAUAACAUAACCUUAGUAUUACCCCAAACUUAUCUUGUACAUACUAUAAGUUUAUAUCCUUUUAUUUUAGGUUUAAAUUUUGUACAUUCUUUACAAGGAGGGAUAACAAUACAAAAUAACCAAGUUAGUUUUCAUCCUAAAACCACAACAAUUGUUUAUACAAACAUAGAAAAUGUAUUAAAUAAAAAUCAUAAUGUAACAUCUCAUCAAAUUAGCAAAGUGGAGGCACAAAAGGAUAGCAUAAUUAAUGACUACUCAGAACAAUUAAGAAAUGCAAAUAGAUUAAAAACCCUUAUAUUAGAAGCAGAAAAAAUAGGAAUUAUAGGAGAAGACCCACAAAAACAUUGGAAUAAAAAUAAGACAACAUGUAAAAUACCAAUUAAAAACCCAGAUUUAACAAUAAAAACUGCAGAUAUAGCAUGCAAUCUUAUAGAUACAAAGGAAUUCAAAAUUCAAAUAGAAGAACUGUUACAGAAUAACCUCAUAAAACCAAGUUUCAGUCCCCAUAGAUCCUCAGCCUUUUUAGUUAGGAAUCAUAAUGAAGAAAAACGAGGAAAAGCUAGGAUGGUUAUUAAUUAUAAAAGAUUAAAUGAUAAUACAUAUGAUGAUGCCUAUAAAAUUCCGAACAAAGAUUCUUUAAUUAAUUCUAUUCAAGGAUGUAAAUAUUUUUCUCAGUUAGACUGUAAAAGUGGAUUUUGGCAAAUCAGAUUAGAAGAGGAUAGUAAACCAUGGACAGCGUUUUCAUGUCCUUGUGGAUUAUAUGAAUGGAAUGUAAUGCCAUUUGGACUAAAAAAUGCUCCUCAGAUAUUCCAACGAAUGAUGGAUAAUAUUUUUGGAAAAUAUUCUUUUGUUCUUGUAUAUAUUGAUGAUAUUCUUGUCUUUUCAUAUACUCUUCAAGAACACAUAAAGCAUUUAGAAUUGAUUUUUGAAAAAUUAAUUAGUCAUGGAUUAAUAGUAAGUAAAAAGAAAUUGAAAUUAUUUAAGACUCAAAUAGAAUUUUUAGGAUUAGAACUAGAGGAUGGACAAAUAAAAUUACAAGAACAUAUAGUACAAAAAAUAAAUAAUUUUCCAGACAAACUCGAAGACUUAAAAACCCUUCAAAGUUUUUUAGGAUUAUUAAACUAUGCUAGGCCAUAUAUUAAAAACCUUAGUAGAUUAGCUGGACCCCUUUAUAGUAAAACAAAAAAUACAGGGCAGAGAUAUUUUAACCAAGAAGAUAUUAAACUUAUACAGAAAAUAAAAGAACUUGUGAAACAUCUCCCAACCUUACAUUUACCCUUAGAAAAUGAAUAUAAAAUAGUCCAAACUGAUGCUAGUCAAACAGGAUGGGGAGGUAUACUUUUAGUUGUAACUAAUAUAGGAGAAGAAAAACUUUGUAGAUAUUGUAGUGGAACUUUUAAUGAUUAUCAAAAGAACCUUAGCUCUACAGACUUAGAAAUUGAAGCAAUAAUAUUAUUCUUAGAAAAAUUUCAAUUAUUUUUGAACCAAGAACAAUUUACUUUAAGAACCGAUUGUGAGAAUAUUAAAAAAUUCUUUGAAAACAAAAAUUCUUCAAAACUGUCCACCAAAAGAUGGAUAAAGUUUCAAAACUCUUUAAUUGGUUUCAAACCUAAAUUUGAACAUAUUAAAGGAAAAGAUAAUAUAUUAGCAGACUGGUUAAGUAGACAAAUAAUUAAUAAUGUCGAUAAUACUAAUGAUUGAUUUCAUGAUUACAGGAACAUGGCUCAAAGAAAACCUACGAAAGCUAGAACUUUUCAAUAUGGAACCAUAUGUCUAAACGAAGUGUUGAAUCCAAACCUAAGGUUUAACUCUUUAUUUUCUCAAAACCUUUUUGAAGAACAUAAGGUUAUUGUAGAUAAUUUUUGGUCUUUAAAACCACAAAGUUUUCCGAACCAAAAUUUAGAAUACGCUUAUGGAAAAACAGUGUCAGCUUUAGCCCAACAUUUACAAAACCUUCAAAACCAACUGAUUGCUUUAGAAACCCAAAAAUUCCAAAACCUCAAAAUCCAAGAAAAUCAAGAAAAACUGAUAGAAGAUUUGAAAACCAGUACAGUGUCAACCAAUCAAACCAGCUGUUCAAACAGUCAACCUGAAGUAAUUAGUUUAAUUAAGAAAUCAGCUCUUCUGACUGAACAAUAUGAAAGGCUUGUUGUUAAAAAUAUAAUUGGAGUUGAUAACUACUCUUUCGUCAAAACCUUUUUUCUACAAAACCAAUAUAACAAAGUGUUUAAAAAUCAAGAACUUUUGUAUAAACAUUUUAGAACUAAAAAUGUCGGGAUAAAAACAGGGUAUAUGGCAUAUCACGACCCUGAAUUUUUCUUUGUUAUAUAUUUAGCUUAUGUAAAUAUGUCUGCUGUAAAUGAAGAAAAUUUUGAUUUAGUACCGCAAUUUAUGGAUCAGGGAAUUUUAAAAAAUGUUUUUUAUGAACCAUAUAUCUCAAAUCCCUGAAAAUUUCCCAGAAAAAUUGAAAGAUAUUUUAACUUAUCUUUUUAAAACCGAAAAAUAUAUAGAUAUUUCUUUUGAAACCAUUCCACCUUUCUUUCAACCCGAUGGAUCAGUAGUACCAGCCUAUCAUCAUGUAUACAUAAAACAUAAUAAAGAACCACUCAUCCCUCAACAAGAACCAGAAUGGGAAAUGACCCGUUCAGAUGAAUUUCCAGAAUUUUUUACUCGCUACAGAGCUUUUCAAAUCUAUGAUCUUAGACCAACCCGGAAUAAAUUAUUUCAUCUCAUUGGCGAAACAAAAACCAUGUCUAUAUAGAGAAUAAAACCUUUAGAACACAUUAUUGUUCCAAACCCUUUUAUUACUUCUGAAGAACAGGAUUUUAUAACCGAACUCAGUGUAGAUAUACCGGAACCAUCUUCCUACCUUAGCGAUGACGCAUUAUUUUGGGACAACCUGGACGAUGAAAGUUAUCAUAAUCUACAAAAUGCAAUGGAAGGAUGAUGUCAGCAAUGACGACAUUGAAGCAGUAAAUGCGUCUUCAACUACAAAAAUUAAACAUGGCAGUACAAGUUCAGAAGCAGUAAAGACAUCCACAAGCCACGUGUUAUGCAUGAAAUAAAAAGAGAAGAAAAGGACAAGAGAAAGAGACAAGAAGGAAGAGAAGAACGGAUGAAUAAACAAAAGUCACAAGUCUCAAAAGUAAAAGUCUCCAAAAGUCUUUGUAUUUAUUUUAUACCAAACCUCUGAACACCGUAAAUAUUUUUCCUACCAUCCAACCACUUGAAAUUAAUUCUCACCUGUAUUCUCACCUGUCAUUUGUAAAUGCUUUGCAUAUAUAUAUGUGGUAGUAAAAGAAAAGAGAGGUGUGCCCGAGAGAGUGUGUCAAAAGGUGUGUGCAAUAGUGUCUGUAAAAGGAAGCUCCAUUUUCAGCCUGGUACAUUCAUCAGCAAUCAAUAAGAAAGUAAGAAUUUUCUGUUAAAUUUUUGCCUUCAUUUAAAUUUAUUAUGUAUUUUUCUUACCCUUAGGGGGUAAAAAGGGGUAAAAAGGUAAAGUUCGGUACUCUGAAAAUCAAUUUGAAUCUACAGUCUCCUUUCCUAAUUAAUAUACUGCAAUACACAGAGAGAAGCUCUGAUACCAACUUUUCUCAUCACAUCACCAGUUUCAACAACAGUUUGUUUUCAACAACAGUUUGUUUGAAAUCUCCGUUAGCAAUGGAAGUUUAAUAGAAUUUAAAGUGAGAACAAAGUGUGAACACAUUUAUUGCUAGCAUUAAAAUAAUACAAACACUUCUCCCAUACUUAAUAUUUUAAUAUAAACUUUACAAAGACUUAUUAAAAUAGUAUAAAAAUUUCAAACACUUAAUAAAAUAAUACAAAAGGUUUCAGUCAUUUUGAAAAACUUAAUAUUUUAAUAUAAAAUUUUUUCAAACACUUAUUAAAAUAAUAUAAAAAGGGUUCUGUGCUUAUAGUUAAAGCUUUUUUAACAUAUAAAAUUAAGUUUUUGAAAUCUUGAACGUAUAAAAAUUAAGUUUUUGAAAUCGGAUAUCUCAAAAAUUCAGGUAGUAAAAUUCAAAAAUUUUAAAACAUCACUUCGUUUCAAGGUAAUACCCCCCUUCUGACCAGACAUAGUCUCCCUAAAACGCCAAUUUUCCGGCAAAAACGGGUUUGAGGUCAAGGGUUAAGACUAAAGACUCUAGUUUUAAAACAUGAUUUUACACCCAAAAUUUUCUAAAUAAACUGAUUUUUUAUUUUUUAUUUAUGUUGAUGAGAACAUUAUAUAAAAAGGAUCCAUGUAUAUUACAUAUAUUAACUAGUAAAGAAAACUUAAAAAUAAUUCAAAUAAUUUUCAUUUCCCUACUUUACCUUUUAUAUAUAUAUAGCACAUAUAUACGCCUUGAUCUGAUACACUGAAUUUAUUUAUAGAUUAAUGAGAGUUGACAUGUUAGAAGAUAAUGGCCUCUCUUUAUGAUGUGGUCAAAGUAUAUCUUGUGUUUUUAUGACACCUCAUUAAUGUUUCUUUUUUGUUAUGUUGCUACAUAAAAUCAGACCUCCAUCUAUCAUGUUCUAAUAUUAUACAAAAUCAUAAUUCUAUCCCAUAAUGCCAUUAAUAUUCUAGCCCAUGGCUGAGGUACCUUCCAUCUUGUUAGCAAUUUGAAUUUCCACGAGUUCUUAAAUAAAAUAAUUAUUUUAGAGUCUCUAAAAUAUAAGUCACAUCAUCAAAUAAGAGAUUAUAAAUUAUAUAUUUCAAAGUCAUAAAAUGAAUAAUUAGUUACUAAUUUAACAUAGCUACUUAUUCAUAAAAUUAAUUUUUGACUAUAAAAAAUAAUUUAGCAAUUAUAGAAAAACAAUAAACUUAAUACUUGAAUAUAAUUAAAAAACUAAAAAUGUUAAAAUUUGUCUUAUCAUUUUCACUUUUUCAUAAUUAAAAAUAAAUAAAUAAAUAAUAUAUCAAUUCAUAUUUUGAUAGGUUAACCAAAACUUUAGAAACACCUUAACCCUAAAAUUUUCAUUCAAACAUUGUUAAUGUCAAUUCAAACACCAAAUUAAGUACAACUUACAUGGGCUGGAACCAUCCAAAUUGCAACCCUAUUUUUCACUUGUUAUUUUCUAAACUACCAACAUUGUUGUAGACUUUACACCUCAAACCAAACAUAGCAUAAAGGAAACCCAAUGGAUAUAUCAAAUUGGUAAUAUCCUUUCCUUAUUAAUGAUUCGACUCAUGGUAGCUUAGCUUUAAAGGCGUAUCAACAAAAUUUAUACCUUAAAUACUAUUACUAAAGUAGCCAAGCUACUAUAGCAUAGUGGUUCUAGGAUCGUUCACUAGGAAGGGUUUUCGCAAACACAAGUGAUAUUCAAAUUAGGAAAAUAGGUGAUUUUCUUAUGGAUGUUAGCUUUAAAAGAAAAUGUAAAUGUUUUAGAAAGAUUUAAACUAAUUUAAGCUAACAUUAAAGACUAAAAUGAAAGGGUGUAAAAACAAGUUUCUCAAAGAUAGGAUAGCUAUGCUCUGGCUCUUAUGCAAAUUGGAAAUCUCAGGAUAGGCUCCUCGCGUUGGGGUUGCAACUAUGGUGAUGCUUGCUUCCCGAACUGGUAUGGAUUUAGCAAAUCAAGUUUUAAUCCUUUAAAAUGGCAAAAUAGAUGGUAGUGAAUUUCAUCAAUGGUUAUUCACCUUAGACUUCCUUUGAAUGGCUCGUAAGAGAUAACUAAUGGUCUAAAGCCAAAAGCUUACCAAAUAUUGGCAACUCAAAGUCAUUCCAGGUGAUAAACUCACCUUUCAAUGGCCAUUGAAAUUGGUUCUAACGGAUUAAUGCAAAACUUGGAAUUGAAAACCUCACCUUCCAAUAGCUCGUAGGAGAUAACUAAUGGAUAGAAAUCCAAAAGCUUAUCAAGUAUUGGCCAUUGGAAGUUGUCAAAAGGAAAUAAAAACCAAACUUUACAUUAAUGAACCAUUAAUGAAAAACGACUACCUUACCUUCCGGGUGCGAGAAAUUUCCAUGGGAUUGCAUCCAAACCAUCACAUAACAUCCAUACUUUGAGAAACUAAAAGUUUUAGCCAAUCAUCCUUUGAGGAAAAACCCUCAGAGGCUGUUUGGCUACUAAGAAAAUAGAAACGGGAGAGCUCUGUAGAUAUUCUAAGUGUCAAACGUAAUAUGUAUUCUAUAUCUAUAUAUUAAUAUAUGUUACAACGGAUGCAAGGGGAUAUAAAUAGAGAAGUUUUUCCAACCUUCCUAGCUAAGAAAUCUUAUGAUUCGUGGAUUACAAGGAGAAGAAUGGAAAUUUAUACAAAAAUAUCCAAAAUAAAAGAUCUCAUGUGGAGUCGGCAAAAACAGAGGAAAAUUCGCACCACGCAUGGGCUGUGCGAAUUUGGAAGGUGUUGUGCGAAAUUUUCGCACAAGCCUGGAGCAGUUGUCUUCCGAAGGCCAUAUCUUCCUCAUUUCAGCUCCAAAUCGUACACGGUUUGAAGCUUUGGAUUCUUGACUUCCUGAGCUUUGAAAUGGUAUAUAGCAUGUAGAAAAUGGACUUCGGGAAGUGCUCCAAAAGUGCCAAAGAAGACUGCACCUGCUGUCCUCUGUUUUCCUCUUUGCUUCUUUUUGCUUCUCUUUGCUUUUCUCCUUUUGUUGGCUUGAUUUGGUGUAGCUAAAAGCUUGCUUUAACUUGUACAAGUAGCUCCUCCAUCAUUUGGCAUGCUUGAAUUGAUUCAUAAGCUGAUAAAAACAUGUAAACUUGCCACAAAAUGGUUAAAACCAAUUACUAAGGACCUUAAUGAAUUAAUUGGGUUAAAUGAAUAUGAUUACUACUCAAAUGUGCUUAAAACCAUUAUAAUUAGGUCUACAAAAUAGCACUUUUUGGUAGUAAUCAAUUAAUGUUAACUCCAAAUCAGAAUUGUUUUAAUAAUUUCUUUUUGAUAUACACUAAGUAUUUAGUUUAAUAAAAUAAGGUGAAAAACAAUACAUAAAGAAGCACUUUUUUAAGCAUGACAAUUUUAAAGUUUUUUCCUAAUAGUCAUUAAGUAAUAGAAGGGUCCACACCCAUGAUGACUAAAUGCAUUCCAGCACCACACAUAAGAGAUAAAUAAAUAUUGCUUCAGAUGCUUAUGCAAUAAGAAAAUGAAAAUUACUUAUUUUUUGGGAAAAAAGGGUUCUCCCCUAUACCCCACGAUUUUAUUUAAUAGGGGGUUGUUUGGAUGAGUCAGGGAAAAUAAAUCACGUAUUUGUCUCUCAUUUUUCCGUCUAGUUUCCUUUACUUUCUGGAAUAAGAGUAAUGUGCCAAACAACAUAUGGUAACUAGGGCUGCAACCCAAAUGGGUUGGGUUGAAUUAGUGAUUCAUACAACUUAUAAAUUAACAUAUUUGAUACUGCAAAUAAUUUUUCAUGGUGGAGACUUCACUUGGCAAAUUGACAUUGUUGGGUUACCUCAAAUGGUUCUUAGGAAAGGACCGGAGAAAAAGUUCCGUAGUGGGCCAUGGAAUGGAUUAAGUUUUAAUGGUCUUCCAUUGAUUACGAAGACAUUUUUUAAAUCUUCUUUGGUGGACAAUGUAGAUGAGUUCUACUAUUCGUACGAGCUUGAUGACAAAUCGAUUAUAACAAGACUUACUCUGGAUGAACUGCGAAUCUACGUGCCUGCUGUUGAGCAAAACAACCAAGAAGUUGGAUAUUGUGUAUCCACUGCUGGAUGAUUUGUGUGAUGACUAUGGUUGUUAUGGUGCUAACAACUUUUGCAAAAUUAACGAUAGGUCUAUUUGUGAGUACUUGGAAGGGUUUGUUCCAAAAUCACAAGAGGAAGGAAAAUUUCAAAAUUGGACCAGUGGCUGCAUUAGGAGAACACAAUUGGACUGCCAAAAGGGAGAAAAAUUUAUGGAACUUGAAGGGGUCAAACUGCCUGACUUGUUGGAAUUCUAGGUCAGCAAUAACCCUUAAGAAAUGUGAGGAGGAGUGCUUGAGGAACUGUUCUUGUACAACUUACACUAAUUCAAAUAUUAGUGAGGGAAACAAUGGAUGCUUGAUCUGGUUUAGGGAUCCGAUCGAUAUUCGAGAGUUCCAUGAAGAUAAUAAGCAGAAUAUCUAUAUCGGAAUGCCAACUUCAGAACUAGGUAAUUGUAGUUUAUGCAUUAUCAUACCAUAUUUUUUUCUAGAUAAAGCAUAAAAAUUUUUUUUAACAUGUUUUACUUUCUUCAUUCUUCAUGUCAUAGAGUUAAUGAAUAUUCCAGUGAAAGUAAGAAACGCUUGGUAUUUGUGGUGGUCUCAUCUACUGCCUCUAGAGUUUUUAUCUAAGGUUGGUACUUUGGUUUAUAUUUUGGAAGAGAAAGAAAAGAAGUAAGCAAUCUUUUCCAGUCUUAUGUAUUUUGUGCUCAAAGUAAUUAUGCCCAUGUGAGUGGACCUUCUAGCUAAUCCUUCUAGCUCAAAGUGUAUGAUAUUUUUAGUUCAUUUUCCAUUGAAGGAAAUGCUCCAAAGGUUAAAACCAUCUAAUUAAAUGGAUGAUGUAUCUUGCACUCUUCCAAAUUACAAGUUCAGAAAUAGAAAAGCAAGACCUGGAGUAGUAGUUGUUUGAUCUGGCUACUAUUUCAAGUGUUACUAAUAACUUCUCUGAUUCAAAUUUGAUAGGGAAUAGUGGUUUUGGACCAGUUUGCAAGGUAAUAUAGUCUAUAUUAUGUGAUAAUUAAGCAAAAAUGAAUGUUGUUACGCAACAUUCCAUUUCAAAAUUGUAGCGUACCCUGGCGACAGGACAAGAAAUUGCAGUAAAAAGGCUUUCAAACAAUUCAGGACAAGGCUUUCAAGAGUUCAAGAAUGAAGUUAUUUUGAUUUCCAAACUUCAACAUCGCAAUCUUGUGAGGCUUUUGGGUUGUUUCGUUGAAGAAGAAAUAAUGCUCGUCUAUUAGUAUAUGCCCAACAAAGCUUGGACUGUUUUAUUUUUGGUUUGAAACUCUUAGUCCUUUGUCUAUUUUGGCUACUUUUCAUUAAGUGAAGUUGUCUCCACUUCUACUUAAUGGAAUUUUUGAAUCUGGAAUAGUAUUUAUAUGGAUGAAACUGUUCUGUAGAUCAGGAAAGAAGUAUGUUACUGAAUUGGCCAAAACAAUUUGACAUUGUCAUGGGGGUUGCUCAUGGACUCCUUUAUCUCCACCAAGACUGUAGAUUGAGAAUCAUCCAUAGAGAUCUCAAAACCGAUAAUAUAUUACUUGGCAUAGCAAGAGUUUUUUGAGGACAACAAAUUGAAGCAAAAACAAAGCUAGUAAUUGGAACAUAGUAAGUUCUAUAUGUAUUCAUAUGCUAGAACAUAUCUUUAUCAUUUCCAACUACUCAAAUUUGAUAUUUCUAUGUAGUGGUUAUAUGUCUCCAAAGUACGUAAUUGAUGGCAAAUUCUCAUUAAAAUCUGACGUCUUCAGUUUUGGUGUGCUUUUGUUGGAGAUAGUGAGUAGGAAAAAAACAGGGGGUUUUGUCAUCCAAAUCACCUCCACUGGGACAUGUAGGUGAAAAAUAGUGAAAUAUUGCUAUCCCUUUCUAUACCCUUUAACAAGAAUGAUUAACAAUAUUCAUUGCAGUUAUGUGCAGGCAUGGCUACUUUGGAAUGAAGGCAAGACCAUGGAACUGAUGGAUACAUGCCUGAAGGAUUCAUGCAUUGAGUCUCAAGUAUUAAGGUGCAUUCAAGUGGGCUUAUUAUGCGUUCAGAAACUCCCAGUACACGGGCCAACAAUGUCAUCUAUAAUUUUCAUGUUGGGUAAUAAGGAAACAACGUUUCCUCAACUUAAACAACCCGAUUUGUUCAUUGAAAGAAGCUUUGAAGGAGAUGACAAAGGAUGCUACAUAGAAUAUAAAGUUACUCUGACAAUUCUUGAAGCUAGAUAGACAAUUUGUGCAGCAAUUCAUGGUUGAAAUACAUACUAAAAACAUAGAUGUUAGAUGAAGAGGAGCUGACAGUUACAGAAAUGAGGGAGGCUAGAUUCGAUCUCAACAAGCAACGAUAAGAACCCAAAUGAACUCAUAAAUCGAUUACAUUCGUACCUGGGAAAGCUCCUCUCAACUCGGGCCACCUCUCUCUAUUUUCACUGCUAGUUCCCCUUGCGAAUUGUGGCUGUAAAAAAAUGUGAAAGAAUAUGGGUUUUUGGAGUUAGGGUUUGGUUCAAGAGAGAAUAAGGGAUUUGGGGGUAAAUCUCACUAUUCAUUUUGUUAUAUUUUAGCAAAUAUUUUUAAAAAAAUCAAUCCACGUGGAGUGUUUACUUGGACGGUGACAUGUAAAUGAGUCAUGUCAUUGGCUUAAGUGGACAACUGAUUUGGACCUUGUUUAUGUGGCUUUUCCAAGGAACUAAUCCAACUAAGAGAGCUGUCAAAGUGUAGGAGGGUAUUUUUGGAAGGGUCUCAACAUUACUAUUACAGUGUAUGAAAGGUCACUUAUUUUCCCCAAAAUCCACUGAAUUUGAAAAGUAAAAAACAAAGUUUCUGGAAGGCAAAAUUUUGCCCCUUGCUAUAUGAUUACAUAAAUUUCCCUAAUAAUAAUAUCAGUAAAAUAAUAAUAAUCUUAAUAAUAAUAAUGAUAAUAGAAACAAUGGUAACAAAAACAAUUCUAAUGAUGAUAAUUAAAAAUAAAUAAAAAUAAAAUAACAACAACAAUAAUAAAAAUAUACAAUGACUAUAUAUACAUAUAUAUAUAUAUAUAUAAGUAGAUAUGAAAAUGAGCAAAUAAAUAAAUAAAUAACAAGAUAUGAGUACACAACACGUAUUUAUAAAGAAAACAUGCAAGCUACGUAGGCUAUGUAGGCCAUGUAGGCCAUGCAAGCCACGUUAACCAUGCAAAUGACUUACGGGUGUUGGGAUAAGCCUAAGCGGGCUGGGUGCCUAAUGGGCCUAAAUAUAUCUCAGCAAGCUGUCGUAAAAGUGUACCUAAUAUCGAGAAUGACUCAAAUAAGUAAGUUAUAUGAGUAGUAAUGGGCCACCAAAAAACUAUUGUGGAGUAAUAAAAGGACACUUAAUCAGGGCAUGACAAGAGGACAAAAUGGAGGGUCUACACGCUCAAAAGACAAGAUAAAAAGUCACAUACAUUCAAUCAAUAAAAAAUUAAUCAUGUACUAAAAUAUUAAAAAUCAAUCAUGCAAUCACAAAUAAAAAAUAAAUUAUGAACUCAAAAUUAAAGUCACAUAUAAUCACAAUCAUAAACCCUAAACCCUAAACCUAAAAUAUCCCUAUAAAUAUUCUAGGUCAUGAGGGGAAAAAGUUAUGAGAUGGAGAUGGGCCUGUAAAGACUAUUCAAAGUGGAUAGAGAUGUGAGGAAGAAUAGGAGGUACCUAGUGGAGUGAGAAGGUUUGUGGUAAGGUAGGGAUACAAAGAGUGGGGAAACAUGGGAUGUUUUGGGAACCCAAUAAUUGUAUCUGGUUAGGUCCUCUAUAAUGUUUUGGUUAUGUCCUCUAUAAUAUUGCAGUUCUUUCCUCUGUAAUGUUUUCUAUUGUAUAGUGAAAUAAUUCUCUCUCAUCCGUGGACGUAAGCAUGGUUGGCCGAACCACGUUAAAACCUUGUGUACCAUUUGUAUUGAUUAUUUUAUCUUUGUGUUCUUGAUUAGCGAUGAUUGCAUCAAAGCUUCCAUUGUCACAACAAACUGGUAUCAGAGCUUUGAGUUGAAGAUUUCUAGAAGAUUAAAAGAUCAUAGAGCACACAAGAUGAAAACAAAAGGAAUUUUCAGUUAAAGGUGGAGUCCAUUGCUCUCUCAUGGUAAUAUGAUACAAAAGCUUGUGUCAUGGAGAGUUUGAAGAUUGACUUCAUGGAAUUUGAUCAAAGGUGGAAAUUAUUAGGAAGUGUCCCAAAUUCCUAAUUAGUAUAGAUUUUAUUUUAUUUUUGUAAAGAAUAUUAUAUAGAAUAUUUCUAGGUUGAUAUAUUAUUGUAAUAUUAGAAUUUCUUAUAGAAUAAGGAAGGUUGUUUGAAAUAUCUCUAUAAAUAUUCUAGGUCAUGAGGAGAAAAAGUUAUGAGAUGAAGAUGGGCUUGUAAAGACUAUACAAGGUGGACAAAGAUGUAAAGAAGAACGGAAGGUACCCGAUGGAGUUAAAAGGCUUAUGGUAGGGUAGGGAUAUGAAGAAUGGGGAAACAUGGGAUGUUUUGGGAACCCAAUAAUUGUAUUUGGUUAUGUCCUCUAUAAAGUUUUGGUUCUGUCCUCUAUAAUGUUCUCUAUUGUAGAGUGAAAUAAUUCUUUCUCAUCCGUGGACAUUGGCAUGGUUGGCCGAACCACAUUAAAAUCUCGUGUACCGUUUGUGUUGAUUAUUUUAUCUUUAUGUUCUUGAUUAAUGAUGGUUGUAUCAAAACUUCCACUGUCGCAACAUGAAGUGAACUAUACCAAAGAAUAAAAAAGAGCCUGAAAUUUUGUCCUGACACAUGACAUGAUAAACUCAAGGAUUGACCACACAAGGAGAAAAAGGUACUUUAGAUAAGGGAAAUAAAAGAAAGCUUAUGCGAUGAAAUGAUGGAAAUAAUGAAUAUGAUAAACUAAUGAGAACAAAGAGUGUAAAACUGCCAUCUUUGAACACUAAGAACCUACAACCUUGAUUGCCAAAGAGAGAAAAAAAAAGGCUUUAAAUGUCAAAUAAAAAAUAAUGGCUUUGAACACUAAAACUAAGAAGAAUGAAUCUAAAUGCCAACACUAGGAAAAUAAAUGGCUUUGAAUGCCAAUACUAAAAACAAUGGCUCUGAAUGCCAAACCGAAAAUACUAACUCUAAAUGCUAAAUCAAAAAAAUAAUAGCUCUAAAAGCUAAACCAAAGAAGUGGUUUGUACCUUUCCUAAGAAAAGUAUACUAGAGACCUUUUUUACAAAGCACAUAGGCUAGAUUGUUCUACCAUAGCCAUGCUUACAUCUAUUAAAGAUUCACUAAUUAUAGAUUAUUUACAACCUUUCAAUCUGAGUAUGACACCUUGAUUGGUACCCUCGAAACCAAAUAUCACUCACACAGUUAACAAAGUGUGCCAAGAUCUCCAACAACCAAGGCAAAUCUUAAGGAUGUGAAAUGAAUCCUAUGUUGUUUAAAAGGUACCCUAGAUUACAACAUUUGCUUAUUGGCUUAAAGCUCACUAUCAUUAUAUGUUUUUGUUGAUUCUAAUUGUGUAGGUUAUCCAAUAACAAUGAUUAGCACCAUUGAUUUUGUGUUUAUCUUGGCAGCAAUUGUAUUUCCUGGUCUUCUAAGAAAAAAAAGUCAAUAGCAUGCCCUACAAUAGGGGUAAAGCACCACUCCAGGAUUGCAACUAUUGCAAAAUUAACUUGGCUUAUAUUUCUCUUAUGUGACAUUAGCUUACCACUUCCCCAAUUUCCAUUUCUCUUUUAUGAUAACAUUAGUGCAUUACACAUGGCCAAAAAUCUGGUGUUUCAUGCACAAAAAAAGCACAUUGAAUUAGAUUACCAUUUUGUCUUUGAAAAGUUGUUAUGGGACACCUUUAUGCUAAAUAUGUUCAUAGUUAUCUUCAAAUAGCUAACAUUCUUGCCAAGACUCUAGCUAGAAAGGCUUUUAGUAUGUUUAGCUUCAAUUUAGGAGCUCAAUGCAUGACAGCACUAGUUUGAGGGGGUUAAACCUCCUCUACAUUUAUCUCCACAACAAAACAAAUCAACAUGUCACCUUUUGAGACAAAUAUGACAAUAUGCAAGUGUAGACCCUCCAUCUAGUCCUAGUAGCAUAUGUUAUUCAAUGUAUUUUCCUUCACUUCUCGUUGCCUUAUAGUCAUCCCAUGGUGGUUUAUUUUUCGCUCAUUUGGUACUAUUUUUGAAGCCACCUUCAAAGAUUCAUUGUCGAUGGAUUUUUUUUAUUUUUAUGGAUCCCAAUUGUGACCUUAGUUGCAUGCUUAGUCUAACUCACUUAGUUUACUUAGUUUCAUUUUAGGUUUAGUUCACUUAGUCGCAUGCUUAGUCUAGCUCACUUAGUUCACUUAGUUGCAUUUUAGGUUUAGUUCACUUAGUCGCUUGCUUAGUCUAGCUCAGUUAGUUCACUUAGUUGCAUUCUAGGUUUUGCUUAGAUGCAUUCUAGGUUUAGCUCACUUAGAUGCACUUUGGUUUAGUUCCCUUAGAUGCACUUUAGUCUAGCUCCCUUGGGUUCACGCAUGAUAGGAUUUUUAGGAAGGAAGAGAUUUUUUUUAGGAAGACACGAUUGCAUAUUGCAUGAGAAGAAGAGAUUCACGCGUAGGAAAACUUUUAUUUGGAAUAUAUGGGCUAUCAUUGAGAGGUACACUACUAUUAGAGACUAAUUUUGAAAAAAGGAGUUAGGGCUGACACUAAUUGAUCUUGAAGAAAAAAUGAAGCAUCUUGAGAAGAAAAGUUGAAGUUUUGAAGAUCAAGAAGGCAAGACUCAAUGUAGGAAAACAAGAAAGAAGUAAACUUGCAAUCUUUUGGAGGAAAGGUAUGGUUUUUUUUAAAAAAAAAAAAAAAAUUUCUUACAUAUCUCAAUUAUGAUUAUCUCUUUAUUUAUUUGUUCUUUUUCUUUUUUUUCCAUCAUUUUUAAGUAUAGGAAUUCUCUUUGUUUGGGGUAGAUAAUGAAGGCCACUUUGAUUGUUGUUAAUCAGAUUGUUGAUGACAUAUUAAUGAGAAGUUGAUGAAUGGUUAAUUGAUCUCAUGUUGAUUAAUGCCUAUUAGAAUUGAGAUUAGAGUUAUUUUCUUUGGAAUUAUUUUCACUUGAUUGAGGCCUUUUGAUAACAUAUGAUAGGUGGCUAAGAGAUCCUUUAUUUGAUUUUUUAUGCCUUUGGUUUUAUUUUUGGUUAUUCGUUUUUUAUUGUGAUGUUUGGAGUGUUCACCUUGCUGUUGUUUUGUUAGAAUUAUUGAACCUCUAUAAUUAAAAAAUUGAAUCAGGUUAUUUAACAUCUCUCUAAAAUUUUUCUUAUGAUUGCUUGAUGUUGUAGACUUCCCAAAUAUGUUGAUAAAUGUUUGUUUGAGUCUUAAAUCAUUUUCCAAUUAAGAGAUAUAAACCAUUUUUUCACUCUAUUUUGAACACCCAAUUUUUUUUUAAAUUAAAUUAUUUCUUGAUCUCUUUAAUUUGUUUUGAUAUUUUUCCAUUAAUAUAAAUUCUUAAGUUUAAUUUUAGGACCCUGAUUUGUUGAAAAUUGAUUCUCUAAGUAGAAUAAAAAACCUCUUUUGCCUACACCUGUUGCACUAACCCCUUUUUGUAGUCAAGGGAAGUUUGGCUUAAUUUAAAAAUUCACAUUCUAUGAUUAAGUCAUGUUGUUAUUUUUUCUGUAAGUUAGAUAUAUUGAAGGUAUUGUACAAGCUUUUUUCAUGCUUAAAAAUAGAUUAAUUAAAUUAGUAUUUUCAUGCUAUAGGAUUUUGCUCUAUUUCUAAUCAAUAUAUUUGUGAAUUAAAUCAAGUAUUAAACGAGAUAUGAUUUGAUGAUUUAGCCUUUUGGGUUGUAAUCUAGACAUAGGAGAUGUUGUCCAAGCAUUUUCAUGGUGAAAUUUCAUCUCUAGAUAUUUGUUUAGGAUAUAUGUUGCAAGUGUCUUUGUUUUAGAUGCAUGUUGAUUGUUUAGUAAAGUGUUCUUAAAGUGAAUUAAUUUGGUAUUGAUUGACAUGUAAUUAAAUAUUUUGGGAUUUUGCAUUGUAAUAUAGACACAUUGAAGAUGUUAUCAAUUUUUUUUUUCAAUAUGCAAUAACACCUCUAGGUAUUUAUUUAUGAUUUAUUUUAAGAACGUCUAUGUUAUGACCCAAUGCUGAGUAUUUUGGAUGAUUUGUUAUUUUCACCACUUUUUGCAUAUUUUUAAAUCUUUUAGACCAUUGUUAUAUAUUGUAGGCAUAUUGAAUAUGAUAAGUGAAUUUUGUUUUGCACCAUAAUCCCUUAUUGAAUAUUUUAAUUAAACUCAUUUUAAAAUUGUAUGCAUAUUAAAAGUGUAUUGAAUUUACAUGACAAUUGUUACUUGGUUUUUUUUUUUAUUCCUUUAUUGGAGUAGUGGAUGCAUUAUGUAUGAUGAUAGAUUUUUAUUAUGAUUUUUCAUGUCUAUUUUUUAUUGCUUGUGAACUAACCCUCAUUGAUUUUAUGAAAGCACUAUACAUGUUAUUAAGGUAUGUUCCUCUCCUUCCUUUGUUUGAUUUUUUAAUGCAUGGUUCAUUUGAGUGAUGCAAGUUAUGAUUUCACCGUUGUCUUGAUUGUGUAUUACUUAUUUCUUUGGUAUCCACUAAUUUACAAAUCAAUUAUCAUAGUUGUCUCAACCCAUUAGUCUUCAAAUUGAUGAAUGAGGUUUUUUUAUUUUUUCUCAUUCUUCCUUUUAUUAAUUCAUGUACAAAGUAUAUAUAGAGAGUAAUCACCAUUCUAAGAAUGGGAAAGAAUGAUACAAGGAAGGAAUGAUAUAAGGAUAUAAUGAUAUAAGGAAAACAUUCUUAAUAUCUCAACACUCCCCCUCAAGGAAAGAAUGAUACAAGGAAAGUAUUCCUAAUAUCUCAACACUCCCCCUCAAGUUGGUGCAUAGAUGUCACACAUGCCCAACUUGUCUAAAAAUUUUGAGAACACUUGUCUUGAGACAGCUUUGGUGAGGAUAUCAACCAAUUGAUCUUCUAAUCAAAUUUUAAGCAAUUCCACAAUCUUAUCAUCCAACUUCUCCUUAAUGAAGAAUCUGUCCACCUCGACAUGCUUUGUACGAUCAUGUUGUAUUGGAUUAUGUGUAAUGUCACAUGCGGCUUUAUUGUCACAAAACAAUUGGAUUGGUUGCCUAGAUAAGUAACUUAAAUCUUGUAAGAGGAGUCUUAGCCAUAAUGCCUCACAAAGUCCUAAAGCCAUACCCUUAAAUUCCUCUUCUGCACUUGAACAAGUGACGACAUUCUGCUUCUUACUUUUCCAUGUCACAAGAUUACCACCUACAAAGGUAAAGUAACCAGAUGUAGACCGCCUAUCAUCCACUGCACCAGCCUAAUCAGCAUCAGUAUAUACUUCUAUACUCUGAUGAUCAACAUUUUUAGCGAACAAAAUUCCCUUCCCAGGAGCAUUCUUCAAAUACCUCAAAAUACGCAUGACUGCAUUCAUAUGUUGUUCUCCAGGAUUAUGCAUGUAUUGACUCACUACACUUAGUGCAUAAGCAAGAUCUGGUCUUGUAUGAGCUAAGUACAUUAAUCUCCCUACAAGUCUUUGGUAUCUUCCUUUAUCGGUUGAUACUUGAUUAGGCAAAACACACAAUUUCAAACCUUCUUCUAUUGGUGUAUGAACAGGUUGACAUCCCAACAUUCCAGUAUCCUGUAAAAGAUCUAAGGCAUACUUUCUUUGAGACAGAAAAAUUCCUUCACUCGAUCGAGAAACUUCAAUCCCAAGAAAGUAUUUCAAAGGACCUAGAUCUUUCAUUUCGAAUUCUCUAGAUAGAUAAUUCUGUAGAGCUUUUCUUUCUUCAGGAUCAUUUCCUGUAACUAUCAUGUCAUCCACAUAUACGAUGAGUGUCGUAAUCUUACCAUGUUGCUUUUUCAGGAACAAAGUGUGAUCUGAAUUACUCUGACGAUAGCCAAAAGCUCUCAUUGACUUGUGAACCUUCCAAACCAUGCUCUUGGGGAUUGCUUCAACCCAUACAAUGACUUCUUCAAUUUCCAUACCUUCUGACAUUGCUUUUUUGACCCCAUGCAUCUUGGUGGAAGAUCCAUAUAUACUUCUUCAGAUAACUCACCAUGUAGAAAGGCAUUUUUUACAUCAAACUGUUGUAAUGGCCAAUCCAGGUUUGCAGCUAAAGACAGUAAUACUCGAACUGUGUUGAUCUUAGCUACAGGUGUAAAUGUCUUUGUGUAGUCAAUUCCAUAAGUUUAAGUGUACCCUUUUGCUACCAAUCUUGCUUUAAAACGUUCAAUACUACCAUCUGCCUUGUACUUCACAGUAUAGAUCCAACGACACCCAACUGGCUUCUUUCCUAGUGGACAAUCUAUGAGUUCCCAUGUUUCAUUCUUCUGUAAUGAUUUCAUCUCUUCAUUCAUGGCUGCUUUCCACCUUGGAUUAGCUAAGGCUUCCUGCACACUGUUAGGAAUAGCUACAGUAGAUAAUUGAUUUACAAAUGACUUAUUUGAUUCAGACAAACGAUGGUUAGACACAUAGUUGCUCAUGGGAUAUUUGACAUUAGUAGACAAUUCAGGUUCAUAUGUGGGUUUAGGAAUACCUCUAUUAUGACGGUGUGGAAACCGUUUCAUGAAUGGAUCAGGUUCCAAAUUAAGAACACCUUCAACAGACGACGAUUGGUUUGGUAUUUUAAUGAAGGCAUCUUCGGACCCAAAUUGUUCAGAUGGUUCAAUUGUACCGUCUCUCCUCUCUUUUAUCACUUCUUCAACUUCUGGGUGGUCAUUACUACUUGGUUCACNNNNNNNNNNNNNNNNNNNNNNNNNNNNNNNNNNNNNNNNNNNNNNNNNNNNNNNNNNNNNNNNNNNNNNNNNNNNNNNNNNNNNNNNNNNNNNNNNNNNAUGAAACACCACAUCCAUUGUAAUAAACAUUUGUCGAGUUGGAGGAUGGUAACAUCGAUAUCCUUUUUUGUGCAAUGCAUAUCCAACAAACACACAUUGCAAUGCACGAAAAGUUAACUUGGUGCAUUGGUGUUUGUGUAGAUGCACAAAUGCCAUGCAACAAAAAACACGAGGAGGUAGAUUUGGGACGGUUGGGGCAACUACAACAUUAGUAAGAGAUUGGAGAGGUGUUUGGAAGUCAAUUGAACUAGAAGGUACCCGAUUGAUCAAGUAUGCAGCAGAUGUGAUUGCUUCUCCCCAAUAAGAUAUCGGCAUUUUUGCUGCUAUCAAGGAAGCACGAACAACCUCUAACAAGUGCCGAUUUUUCCGUUCAGCAACUCCAUUUUGCUGGGGUGUAUUGGAACAAGUAGUUUGAUGAAUAAUGCCAUGUCCUUCCAAAUACUUUUGAAGAUCAGAAUUAUGAUAUUCUUCACCAUUAUCACUACACAGAACCCGAACCUUUGCAUUGUACUGAGUUUCAAUCAUUUUAUGAAAUUUUUGAAACAACAAGUUCACUUCAUCUUUGGUCUUCAUCAAGCAUAACCAGGUCAUUCUGGUACAAUCAUCAAUAAAAGUAACAAACCAACGCGAGCCACUCAAAGUUGGUACUUUGGAUGGGCCCCAAACAUCAGAAUGUAUAACCAUAAAAGGAAGCGGACUUUUAUUCAAAAUUAACGGAAACGAAGUACGAUGACUUUUAGCCAAUUCACAAAUAUCAUAACAGAAACCAGAAAUAUCACUCCUUACAAACAAACUAGGAAACAAUUUUUUUAAAUAACCAAAGGAAGCAUGUCCCAAACGUCGAUGCCACAACCAAAUUUUAGACUUUUUCUCCUCCCCCUCAGAUCCAUCUACCAUCAAGGCUUGUCGCAACUUAUUGGAAUCCUUUGACUGCAAGUCAAAGUAAUAGAGUUUUCCCCGCUUAAUACCACAACCAAUCGUCUGUCUUGUUUGGAUGUCCUUAAAAACACAAAAUUCAGGCCAAAAAAUGACAAUACAAAAUAAGGCUGCAGUCAUUUGAGAAACUGACAAAAGAUUGUAAUCUAAAGAUGGAACAACUAAAACAGAAUCCAAAUUCAAAGUAUCAGUAAGAGUUAAGGAUCCUUCCCCAAUGACUGGGGUUGUGUUACCAUUGGCUGUGGAAACAAUUUUUUGUGAGGAAGGUCUAAGGGGUGAGACUUGUCUAGAAUCAAAAGUCAUAUGAUCUGUAGCACCAGAAUCAAUUAUCCAUGCACUAUUAAUAACAGGUGUAGAAGUAUUCAAAAACUUACCAUCAUAAUUUGUAGUGGCUACCAAUGCAGAGGCAUUCUCAGUAACAUUAGCCUCUGUUUUUAUUUCGACAAUAGCUGCAGUCGAGGUUUUCUUGGAAUCCUUCUUCCGUUGAUCACGAUUAUGAUCAUUAAUAACAAAGUGGUGAUAACCUAAACAUGAUCUAAAGGUCCAUGGUUCAAACCCUCGAUUCCUCAUUGUUUUCCUGGUCAUACCAAGAGUCAUUGCUUUGAAAUUGUGGGAUAUCCAGAUUGGUGGGAUUAGUCUUAUUGCAGUGAGUGCAUUUGAAGGUUGACUUAUCAAUAUUAGGGCUUCUCUUAAGAUGGUUGAUUGCUGUCGAACUACCAUAGCGACAAAAUAUCCAGGAUUUCAAUUCCAUGGCUCUGAUACCAUCUUCAAAUUGAUGAAUGAGGUUUUUUUUUUAUUUUUUUCUCAUUCUUCCUUUUAUUCAUUCAUGUACAAAGUACAUAUAGAGGGUAAUCACCAUUCUAAGAAUGGGAAAGAAUGAUACAUGGAAUGAAUGAUAUAAGGAAAUAAUGAUACAAGGAAAACAUUCCUAAUAUCUUAACAAUUAGUAGAGACCUUUAUUUAGGCCUUAGAGGGGUGCUAUCUUAUGAUACAUUCCCAAUAGGUAACCUGACUCUUGGACUUAAACUGGGGUUUUCAAAUGCACGAUUUUUCAAAUUAAGAGUCACUCUUAAGGUUUCAUUUCUUAUUUUGUUUUCCAUUUUUUUAAAAAUAAAAUAAAUGGCGACUCCAACUUUUUAAAAAAUUAGUUAAUUUUCACUAAAAAACAAAUCAUCAUCAAGUAAGGACGCAUGUGAAAAAAAUAGGUCCACAACAAGGCUAUUCCAAUGGGUUUUCCCUCUACCAGAAUAUUCAUUCAAGGAUCCAAUCACUAGAUUAUUUUCGCAUAAUCAUUUAGCUGUUGUUUAACUUAUAAAAUAGGAGAAGAUUUAUUCUUUCCAUUUGUAUCAGCACGACUCAAUUGAUUAGCUAAACUUAAGCAGAAGUAGUUGACUUGUCUUUCAUUUUCUACCCAUUUUUGUAUAUAUAUUCUGCAUAACGAUGUUAAUUUAAUAAGGGUCUGCUAUUGUUUUAUUCUCUUGCACAAACUAUUCUUCAAAGUACUCAACUGUGGCAUAGAUAAACCUUUCAUCUACUUGACAUUACUCAAAAGGCCUCGACGGUACUCAACAUUAUCUGAGGUUUUCUCCUACAGAUGCUUUGACAGCAUGGCAAUGCAACAGGCCUUAAGGCAAUGGCACCCACUUACAUACUGUGCAAGGGCCCACAAUGGAAAAGUAUUCCUAUAAGUUGCAUAGUGUAACAUGCAGUUCUUCAUGAAGGCUCCAGUGAUUUCCUGCCAUAGAUAAUUGUUGAUUAAAUGGUUAGACUACCACCCAGUAUACAUAGUUAGCUACAAAAGAACAUCAUUUUCCAUUUCCGAAAACCAUGUUAAAAUAUUGCUCCUUUCAUUUUUUAUUCAUGUUCAAGUGAGAUACCUGUUGGGGAAAAUCACCAUAUUCCAUUUAGGAAUUAAUCAACAGCUUUGCAGCCCUGUGAAGAGGUGUUGGGUCUCUCUCCACUUGUUAGAAAGGAAAGGUUAGACUCAGAUGUUUGGGGAGAAGCCAGAUUGUAAAAGUAAUGUAGAAGACCAAGGUAAGCUUAUUGAUGAUGGAACUAUAAAAACUAACCUGCCCAGAAGAAAGCAGCCCCAUCAGAGCCCACCCGGUUUGUACCAAAUUUGAAUUAUUUCCUUCAAGAGGUGUGUAUUUCUAUAUCACCAAGCACAAGGAUUACUUUUUUUUGUCCAUGUUUCUACCAGAAAACAGAGCAGUGGGAGGCAUGUAAAAAUUAGCUUGUCCGGGCAAGAAGUACAGUUCUCUCCCCAAGCACCAUCAUCUCUUUGUGAUUUGAGUAGAAACUUAACAGCUUUACGAAUAACAAGACAGUUGUGGUAAGUCUUGCCAGCAGCUGCUAGGCCCCCAAGUGCAAACCAUGAGCCAUAGGUGAAACAUACUCCCCAAUUGCCAUACAUGGUGAAAUGUUUCUUUGUUUAAAUGGAUCUGCACUGCAUAUAUAAAAAAAGAUUUCCCUAGUGAAAUAAUAAUAGUGGAGUUGAGAAACAUGCCAUCAGCCAUUAGGCAUUUGCAUGUCUUCAAUGUACUCAGCCGCAUUUGUGAUGAAAUUGUCUAUCUCCUUCUUCUUGUGUCCCAGGUAUAACUUCUUAAACAAAACUAGAGCCUGAAUUGCUGAUGCAGUGCACUCAACAUACCUGCAUCAUUGUUUUGUUAGUCUCCAAGGAUGUUAAAGCUAGCAAAGUUAGAAAAGAAAGUUGGUUUAUUAUCAAGAAUCUUACUCAUGCUCGAUAACAAUGUCUGUAAAAAAUUCAGUGGGGUUAAGUAGCUGAAAAGAGAAGAGAUUGGCAUUGAUUUAGAUUCAAAGAAUACAAAGAGUUAGAAAGAGAGUGAGAUAAUGCAGAAAUAUUGAAGUUACUUAAACAUGUUGAAGUAAUUUACCUCCAACCAUUCUGAAGCUCCUACAGGCUCCCAGGCAGCUAAACCACCAUUUUUACUCUAUAGUGGUUUCAAAAAUGGGGAUUAUUGCUCAUAAGAAGUUAUGACCUAUUUUACAAUGGGGACACAACCAUGGAAAUGGCGUAAGGAAGAUGAUUCUCACCUGUAGGGAAAGCAGGAUGUUGACAACAUCAAAUAGUCGUUCAGGUUCCAUCUUCAUACCAACAAUUUUUGGUGCCAUCCUUGAAAAUAGGAGACAACACUGUGACAGAGAGGGGACUUUAGUAAGAAACCAAGUAACGUUAGUUAAUCUGCAAGCCUUGACUCAAUUGAAGUGUUUGAGCAAAAAGAGUUACCUUCAAACCUUCUGUAGUGCAAUCAGAAACUUGGCAACCAUGAUCCUGAUCUGAGAAUGUCCACGAUCCCUUGGAAAUGUGGCGGUACAUGCUUUUAAAGUCACCAGAAGGAUUGUUCUUGACCUUCAAGAUUUCAAGCAGUAUGAAGUAAAUAGACCAUGAGAAACCCAAGUAGAUUCUGGUUGAAGUAAAGAAAUAAAAGAUGGAAUUCAAGAUCAAACCUGAGAUUCCUUUAUGAAUUCAUGUCCUUUCUAGAGUGUAGGUCCAAGUUCAUCAGUCAUAUUGCAAGCUAGAAGUGCUUGAAGGGCAAAACCAGUGUCCCACUCUUGACUACCAAAGCUCUGCAAUAAUCGACAAUUUCAAAACCAAUUAGGCAGGAAAGGGAUAAAAGCAACUUCAAACCAGUUGCAUACUUGAAAAAUUUUAAGAAAAAGAUUAACAGAUAUUGUCUAAUUUUCCUAAAAUUAUUUGGGAGAUUAGUGAUUGAACUUGUCUUCUGACCUGCAUCUUUAUUCCAUCUUCUGUAACCCAUAUAUAAUAUGGGAUCCUAGCAAGAUGCUUCUUGAAAUAAUCCCCAUUUGGAUCUUUAACCCAACAUGCAAGCAUACACAAUACCUGUUCAAUUUAAGCGAUCUCAGUACCCCACAGAAGUGACAUAUUGUCUGAAUAGUCAUUAUCCAUUACUGAAAAUUUACCUUCUUCAUAUAUCCAAUGGUAAUGUAUCGACUGUUUUCAUCUUCAUAAUGGAUGUGUUUCAUUGUUACUUCAAGAGCCUUCUUUCUCAACUUGUUGAAGGGCCAACGAGUAAGAAAAGGCUCGGUACAUAUGUUCAAACUAUCCCACAUUAGAUCUUGUAUUAGGGGAUGGGGGUAGUAGAGAUCCUCCUGAAAUAAACAAUUUUGAAUGUGUUUCAUGCACGCGUAGCAUAUUCAUACGAAAAAGAAAUUGUUUCCAUAAAAAAUCAAAACUUACCUUGGCACAAAGAUGUCGUACUUUCUUCCAGUUGAUUUCAUUAUAAGUGAUUACUACUCAAAAAGUGCUAUUUGAUAGCCUAUAAUAAAUCCUUUUAAACACUUUUGAGUAGUAGUUUAGGCCUUUUAACUCAAUUGGCAUGUUAAGGACCCUUGAAAGGGAUUUUAAUCACUUUAUGCAAGUUUUGGUGUUUUUGUUAGUAAUUUGAUCACCAAAGCAAGUCAAGACUGAGGAGAGUUUUGAGGAAUCUUGGGCAAAGCUUAGAAGUCAUUUGCCAAGAGUAAAUCCGGAUUGCAAGGAGAAAAAGUAAAGAGAAUCUGCCAUGAAGCAUAUUCUUGAUGACAGUCGUAGCAGCCCCUUUUGGAGGAUAUUAUGAAGUCCAAAUUAUGCAUUCUAUAUACCAUUUCAAAUCUCAGGAAGUCAACAAUCCAAUGCUUCAAACGGUGUGCAAUUCGGAGUUGAAACGAAGAAGUUGCAGCCAUUACAACCCAAUCACUCCGAGUUGAAGGAAGCAUUUUGCAAAGUGCUGCGAAAUCACCCUUUUGUUGCGAAGUGAUUCCGCAGCCUUUUUGUACAGUGUGAUGUAUCUCCUUCUGAAGUUGCCCAACAUAUACCACGAGAAGGAAGCUUGGAACCUCAAGGUGGAAGCCAACUUUGCAGCCCUCUUGAGUGUCUGCGAAAUCUCGCAGACACCAUUUUUCUCAUGCGAAAUGGUUCCUGAAGCCUCCCGAUAUUUGCUACUGACAUUGGGAGAUAUUUUACAUCAGAUUUUUGUUGUCUAAAUCCCAAAAUACUCCUUGUAAGCCACCAAUUACAUGAUUCCUUAGUUUUUAAGUUAGUAAAAAGAGUAAAUAUCUAUGUAAUAAUUAGUUUUAAAUUAUGUUAAUAUAUAUACCUCUCGGGAGCCUGUUCUCAGAGAGGAGUUCCUUCUGUAAAAGUUUGGGUAAGCAAGUAAAGUUCAGUUCUUUCUACUGCCUUACCUUCUCGCUUUGUAUUUUUAUUUUAUUUCUAAGUUAUGAAUUCUCUGAGGAGUUUUCCCCAGAGAAUGAGUAACUAAACCUCUAAUUCCUUGGAGCUAAGGUUGCCGGGGAAGGUUCCAAGUGCAAGAAUGCAAAGCUUUGUGGUUUUAGCUAUUAAUGAAGAGGAAGUGAAAUCCUUUAGUGAUUUCUAUGUUUUUAGUUAACUUAAAACACCUUAGAGUCACCUGGGCCAACACUUGGUAAGGCAAGUGAUUUCCAACCAUGGAAAUGCACUAGUUUACCCCUUGCGAGCCUUUGGGAGGUGACUUCAAGGUAGGAUUUUCUAGAAUAGCCAACACUUGGUAAGCUUUUGGACUCCAAGGAGACAUCCAUUAGUUAUCUCUUGCGAGCUUUUGACGGGUAAUCCAAGGUUAAAGAUCACCUUGAAUGGUUAAGGCUUAGUGAGAGGCUUAAACCAUUGCAAGUUGCAUCAGUGAGAGAAUUAAAGUGAAAUCUAAUUGAAGGAGUCUCUGUAUAACACCGGUUAGAGAAUUGAUAUGUUGAAUCUCUAACGCUAGGAAAUGAACCAUCUGACCAGAGCCGUGUCUUUUGCAUGAGGAACCACCCCAGUGAACCUAACUCUCCAGGGAAUGCUUUUCUUCCUAAAUUAUUCCAAACUUCUGUUGUGUUAGUUAGUUUAAGUCUAAACCUUUACCAAUCAAAGUUUGUGUUUUACUUCUUAAGCUAACCAUGAAAUGAAACAAAACCAAUUCACUUGGAAUUGGUAUCAUUGAGAGCUUGUUAAUCUUUCCCAGUGGACGAUCCUAGAGCCACUAUACUAUAGUAGCUUUUUCUUUGCUACCCUAGUAUAUUGUGUUAUAGGUUAUAAAUUUUGUUGAUUACUCCCUCAAUCAAGGAGCACCAGCUGGACACAAAUCAGCUGAGACACCAAUUGGGCACGAAUCAAUAAGGUUGAAGGAAGAGCUCUUUUCUGAGUUCUAGAACAAGAGGUGUGAUUGGGCCAAUGAAUUGUUUACCAUAUAAGUAUGACUUGGGCAUGUAAACCAUCCGACCGUAGCAAAACAUUCUUGUUGCAUUUAAGGACUCAAAUGAAAAGAAGGUAGACCAAGACAAAGCAAUACCAAAGAGAGAAAAAUAAAAUUUUUUUAGUAUAAGAUGUUUUAGUAGACAUCCCAAUGGAAACCCUUAAGACCAACAAACCAGUCCUAGGUUGGAUUUGUACGUAUUCAAAUGCCAUCUUAUCACUGUAUAAAGCUCAAGUUGCUCAGCUUUUCCCUUAUCAUUUUUAUCCCAACUCUGUUUUGAGUCAAUGUGACAAAUUCCAAAUUCCAUGCAAGAAGAUCUUAAUAUGUAAAAUACAUUAAGUGUAAAGUAGAUGUUAAAUUCAAGAACUUAACCUGGAUGCAUAGGAAGAAAAGAAGGGAAGAGCCAAAACUCUGGGGGCAUUGGGUUGCUUCCUGACUAGUCAAAUAAGCCAAAUAGCUGCAUGGAAGAAGCAAUUUCAUAUAAGAUUCAGUCCAACACACAAGAAUAAAUUGCAUAGGAUGAAUAUGAACUUGUGUUUAAAAUGUCCAUACUGAAAGCCAAGUCUUUCCCCAAGAGGGAAUGAAUGUCACUCCACCUCAGUCAUGGAUCCAUUUUCGCCCUCUUGCAUAAGCAUUGUCUCUUCCACCAUCUCGCCCUUCUCCAAGGAUGCACAUACAAAUGUAGUUGAGGGUUGUACAAAACAUGGUGCUGUGUCCCUCAAUAUGAAAUCCCCACCCACCAUCUUCAUUCUGCAAUGUACAUAAGCCAUUUUCAUACUUUAAAGCUCCAAGCCCAUUUAUGAGGUUAGGAUGAUGACUAGGUUCAAAAUAUAUGUACCUGAUGGCAGUAUUGGUAGCGAAGAAUUUCUUUAAGAAAUUCCUCGGGGAAUACAAUGUCAAGAUGCCCUGUAAUGUAUAGACGCAUGUCCUGCAUUUUCCAUAAAAUUAUGCCAUUGAGAAUGGUUGUUAAAAUGGUCUAUAUUCAUGAUUUUUAAGGAGGGUGAGAAAAUGUUGAGUAGACUCACCAGGGGAGGAAAGAAAUACAAUGGGCCAGAAUUUUCUACAGGCCAAUAGCUAUCACUAACCUGUAAGGCUGAAAAGAAAUGUGCACCUCUUCUCAGUGCUAUUGUGGUUGUCUCAUAUGUAAUUGCUUCACCAUCCCUAACUUUCAUUUGUGGUAUUGUUUGUUUGAAAUUCUUCUCUCUAAAAAAUUGUAGGUUUUUUUUUUUUUUUUUUUGGCCAAAUGAAAUGGGAGUUAGUGAAGAACAAAUUUAAAAGAAAAGAAAAGGUAAAUUAACCUCAAUAGUAAACAUCUAUUCAUACAAUUGUUCCAAGCUAAGUGGGACUAUUAGAGUCAAGAUAGGUGUAACAAUUGUUAAAGUGCAUAAUAUCUAUUAUGAGUCCAAAUCCUAUAAACUUAAUUUUUUAGGAAAUUGGUCCUUCAACAUGAUAUCAAAACUUAAUUUACCUAGGGCAAGGCCCAAAAUCACCUACUUGUAGUCAUGGUUUGAAAUGUUGCGAGCUUAUGGGAAUUGAACCCAAGCCGAAAUGUUUGGAUUGAAACUUGGCUACCAUUGGGCCAAGCUCACUUUUGUCAAUAUAUAUUCAAUUUAAAUAUGUUAAAUUUUAUUAUUAAAAAAAAUCUAAUUAUUUUAUUUUAAAUUUUAUUUAAUUGAUUAUAAAAGUAUAAAAACCAACAUUAUAAUUUUCUUAACAAGACUUUUUAUAUCAUUUAUAUGAUAAUUAAAUAUAUAAAAAAAUCAUAUAUGUGUCAUCAUUUAUUUUACAUUAUUAAAUGCAUUUGAAUUAAAUAAAUUAUAAUUUUAAUAUUAAAUGUAUUAUCAUUUAUAUCAUUAGUCCUAUUUUAAAAAAUUACUAUCACUUCACUUUUAAAUUUUUUAUAUUUAUCCUUUUAAUUUUGAAUCUUUUUAUUUUAAAAUAUUAAAGAUAUAAAUUUAUUAAAAAAAUACUAAAAUAUAAAAAAAUUGAUGAAGUCCUAAUAUUUUAUAAAUUAAAAUUAAUUUGAUAAGAUAAAUAAUAAAUUAUAUAUUAAGACUCGUAUAUCGUUGUUUACCAAUCUUUUUCUUCUUAACCAUACCUAUAUCAAUUACACUUACAUAAUAACUUUAACAUGUAUAUUUUUAGUUAUUUUAUCAUUGUUUGGAAUUUUUCCAAAUAUUUUCAUGAAUUUUGAAUAAUUUUCAUCUCAUCGAUAUUUUUGUCAAACUAUCCACCACUAUUUCUCCUAUAUUUCUGAUAUAUCCAUAAAAUUCAAGUACUGAUAUAUUCGUAUUUACCAAUAUUUUAAAUCAUGCUUAUAGUAUCCCUAAUAUAUGCUAGGUGGUGAACCUCAUAUGGUCUUCUUGUGUGGUCACCUCAUUUGAUGGGAGGCCAAGUGUUCACCAACAUGUUCUUUUCCCGAUUUAUUAAAAAGUCUACGUGUAAGCCAAAAAUAGGAGGCUACACAUGCAUGAGGAGCAGUAGAGCUAGGAAAUGAAGUGAAUGGGGCAUAUAUAUAUAUAUAUUAGGGAGCAAAAAUGAAUAAAGUUAACAUAUAGCAAAGUGGUAGAGUCUUCUAUUUUUCCCCUUAGAGUCAUUUUUUUUGGCUUUGCCCCUAUGCAUGAGGGUGUUAGAAAGCAUGAGAGAAAGUGCUACAUAUAUAUGAGCUCGCAUAUAUUGUGACUCCAAAUCCUAUAAAUUUAAACUUUUAGGAAAAUUCAUUGUGCAAGAACAAUGACCAAUUGAUUUGUUUGGAGGUGAAAACAAGAUUAUAAAGAGGAACCCAUAUCUUGCUCUUUCUUGGGUUCAUUUUUUCAUGCAAAUCAUCACCUAUAAUCAAACAAAAAGAAACAAAAUAUGAAAAGCUAUGUAGCUAGACUACAUAAAACAAGAAGUAUGUAUGCAUGGAAGACAUGUAUAUUCAGUGAAAAACUGCAAUCUAGGACGCAGAUGACAGAUCAAUAUCUGUUGUGAUAUUAGGACUUGAGAUAGAUGGGAUCAAAUCACCUGCAUCCGCCAAAGGAGGUUGCUGCUGGGCUUAACUUGAUAUCGGUUUUUCCAGAAGUUCUCACGAGCUGCUUCGACCUCAUCUCGCUCUUCUAAGGUUCCAUAAUUAGGAUCAAACUCCCAUAUCUAUCUUCCCACGAAGUUGUUGGUGUUGUAGAUGUAAGGAUCAUUGCCCCCAUCUGCAACCUUGAGCCUCCACAUUUUCUAACUCACCAAACUGAAGAGAUAUAUCUCUAUAUAUAUCUAAGUUAACAAAUAUGUGUGUCUUGCUUUCGAAAACACCUGCUGAUCAUCCAAUCACCAUAAAGGUAAGACAAGCUUUUCUUUGCAAUAAAAUUAAGUUAAAAUGAUACAGACCAAGAACAGAGAGAUAGGUGUCGGGUGGGCAGAGAAGAGAGAAACUUAAAAAACUUGGAAGGGAAAGUUAGGUUUUGGGCUAUUGAUUUGGAAAAUAUAUGGUUUUAAAAAUCCAAAUACAUAAAAUAUGACAUCUAACUAUUAAUAAGUAAAAUAAUAUCCAAAACAUGCACUAUGUCCUGUUUACUUUUCCUCUUCCCAGAUUGCCCCUAAAUUUCUCCAUGUCAUCAACAAAUCCUCCCCAUGUCAGCAGAAAAUUUGAAACUUGGAACUCUUUCUCAAAGCUGAAACAUAAAGAAACUCGACCCGAGAACCAAAAGUAAGAAAUCUCUCUCUCACUUCUAGUCAUUUUGACCUAAACCCAUCUCAUGAAAUUCCCUUUUUUAAUAUGGGGAUUGAUACAACAACUGCCUACAAUGGCAACGAUGUGUCUAAGUUGCCAUCAAGUGACUUAUUUGCGUGGGCCGGAAAUGGGAUAUGGGACAAUGGGGCAGCGUGUGGGAGGCAGUACUUUGUCAGGUGUUUGAGCGCACAAACUCCAGGGACGUGCAAAACUAGUCAGAUCAUUAAAGUGAAGAUAGUUGCUAGAGCCUCUAAGAAUGGAGCGAUCCUUGUUCUUUCUAAUAUUGCAUUUGGGGUUAUUGCUAAUCCUUCUGCCGCUUUGGUUAACAUAGAGUUUGCCGGGUAAGUGUCAUCCCUUUUAAUAUUAAUUACAUUGAAUUAUCUUUCAGGUAAUUAAUUUUUUAAAAAAUUAUUUCUGCUGGAAUUUUUAAUGUUCUUUUAUGGUGCUUGAUGUGUGCGCAGGGCUUGAGGGUAUCAAUGCAAAUAUAUGUCUGAGGGAGCUGCCUUUUUGCUAAUGAGGUUUCCAUUUGUCCAUUGUUUGAGCAUUUAUUAUUAUUAUUAUUAUUAUUAUCAUCUAUUUUUGCGAUUUUUAAUGAAAUUCAAUUUCGAUUUUUGUGAUUACAUGGCUGUGUUUUUUGUAAAUCAAUGUAUUUGACACGAUUACAAGUCACUAUUUUUCUACAUAAACAAAGGAAUUGUUUAUUCCUUAGUUCCUAAAAAGUGUAUUCAAUCUAGAAAAUGUUUUUUGGUACUUAGUUGUUUCAUCUCUUUGAAAGAGAACUUCUGAAUUUUAGGAGUUCAUUUAUUUCAAUGAUGAUUGAUAUGCAAUGAUGUAAGUAGUUCCCAUGACAGAAACUGGUCCAAGAAGCUAGCAAAUAUGUUAAUAAGAUUGAUUCCACUGGGGGAAAAAAUAUUUUUCUUGCCUGAUUCGUGCCCAAUUGGUGUCUCAACUGAUUUGUGUUCAGCUGGUGCUCCUUAAUUGAGGAAGUGAUCAACAAAAUUUAUACCUAUAACACCAUACACUAGGGUAGCAAAUAAAAAGCUACUAUAGUAUAGUGGCUCUAGGAUCGUUCACUGGGAAUGAUUAACAAGCAAUCAAGGAUACUAAUUCCAAGUGAAUUGGUCUUGAUUCAUUUCACGGUUAGCUUAAGAAAUAAAACACAAACUUUGAUUGGUAAAGGUUGAGACUUAAACUAACUAACUUAACAGAAGUUUGGAAUAAUUUAGGAAGAAAAACAUUCCUUGGAGAUUUAGGUUCACUGGGGUGGUUCCUCAUGCAAAAGACACAGCUCUGGUCAGUUGGUUCAUUUCCUCGCAUUAGAGAUUCAACUUAUAGUCAAUUCUCUAACCGGUGAUGUACAGAGACUCCUUCAAUUAGAUUUCACUUUAAUUCUCUCACUGAUGCAACUUGCAAUGGUUCAUGCCUCUCACAAGCACUUACCAUUCAAGGUGAUCUUUAACCUUGGACUUCCCUUCACAAACUCGCAAGAGAUAACUAAUGGAUGUCUCCUAGGAGUCCAAAAGCUUACCAAGUGUUGGUAAUUCCAGAAAAUCCUACCUUGAAGUCACCUCCCAGAGGCUCGCAAGAGGUAAACUAGUGCAUUUCCAUGGUUGGAAAUCACUUGCCUUACCAAGUGUUGGCCCAGGUAACUCCAAAGUGUUUUAAGUUAACUAAAAACAUAGAAAUCACUAAAGGAUUUCACUUCCUCUUCAUUACUAGCUAAAACCACAGAGCUUUGCAUUCUUGCAUUUGGAACCUUCCCCGGCAACCUUAGCUCCAAGGAAUUGGAGGUUUAGUUACUCAUUCUCUGGGGAAAACUCCUCAGAGAAUUCAUAACUUAGAAAUAAAAUGAAAAUACAAAGUGAGAAGGUAAGGCAGUAGAAAGGAAAUAGACUUUACUUGCUUACCAAACUUUUACAGAAAAGAACUCCUCUCUGAGAACAGGCUCCCGAGAGGUAUAUAUAUCAAACCAAUAUAAAACUAAUUGUUACCAAGAUAUUUAGUCUUUUUACUAACUUAAAAACUAAGGAAUCAUGUAAUUGGUGGCUUACAAGGAGUAUUUUGGGAUUUAGACAACAAAAAUCUAAUGGAAAAUAUCUCCCAAUGUCGGUAGCAAACUUCGGGAGGCUUCAGGAAUCAUUUUGCAGGAGAAAAAUGGUGUCUGCGAGAUUUCGCAGACACCCAAGAGGGCUGCGAAAUAUUUUCGCAACACCAAGCUAUCUUCACCAGGCUGCAAAGUUGGCUUCCAUCUUGAGGUUCCUAGCUUCCCUCUCGCGGCAUAAAUCAGGCAUCGUCAGAAGGAGAAACACUCUACUGUACAAAAAUGCUGCGAAAUCACUUCGCAACAAAAGGGUGAUUUCGCAACACUUUGCAAAAUGCUUCCUUCAGCUCGGAGCGAUUGGCUUGUAAUGGCUGCAACUUCUUCGUUUCAACUCUGAAUUGCACACUGUUUGAAGCAUUGGAUUGUUGACUUCCUGAGCUUUGAAAUGGUAUAUAGAAUGCAUCAUUUGAACUUCAGAAAGUGCCCCAAAAGUGGCUGCUACGACUGUCAUCAAGAAUAUGCUCCAUGACUGAUCCUCUUUGCUUUUUCUCCUUGCAAUCCGGAUUCACUCUUGGCAAAUGACUUCUAAGCUUUGCCCAAGAUUCCUCAUAGCUGUCCUCAGAUUUGACUUGCUUUGGUGAUCAAAAUACUAACAAAAACACCAAAACUUGCACAAAGUGAUUAAAAUUGCUUUAAAGGAUCCUUAACAUGCCAAUUGGGUUAAAAGGCCUAAACUACUACUCAAAAGUGUUUAAAAGGAUUAAUUAUAGGCUAUCAAAUAGCACUUUUUGAGUAGUAAUCAUUGCCUACGUGUAGAAUGUAGUAUUAAAACAUUGGUGUUGGACCUGUUAAUAGUGUUGGAAUGAUAUACGGUGCUGGUACUUACAAGAUGUUGUUGUAAAAAAUGGUUUCUAGAUUUAUGGACCAGUGGUAAAGUAAAAUAUUAUAAGUUGUGAUUGAUUCAUCCUCAUUGCAGUCAUGCCAUUUGAUUCUGGCCCAGAUAGGUGUUAUCAACAAAAUUUAUAAAACCUAAAUCACCUUAAACCAGGGUAGCAUAGCUAACAUAGUAUAGUGGUUCUAGGAUUGUCCACAGGGAUGGGUUUUUAUCAUACAAUUGACUUUAGUGAAGGAAAUAAAAUGGUGUUUUUCCUUAUGGAAAUUAGCUUUUAAAGAAAAUGAAAUUGUGGUUGCAAAGAUUGAUUUUAAGUUAAGCAAAAAUAAUAAGUGAAGUUAACUACAAAGAAAAGGUCUCUUGGAGCUUUAGGUCACUAGGAUCAGGUUCCUUAGGCAAAGAAGGAGAUUCUAGAUCUUUUCCUCGCGUUGGGGACAAUAACAUAAAUGAUGGUUAUCUCCCGAACCGGUUUUGUAUUUAGCAAUUAAGAUUUGAUCCAAUGGGUUCAUGAAAAAUGGUAGUUGCUUCCCAUUAAUGACUUCAAACACUAAAGACCCUCACCUUGAACCACCUUCCAAUGGCUCAUACUUGAUAACUAAUGAACAUCCAUGGAUCUAGCAAUAAACAUCCAUAUAAUCUGGAAAGCUUAUCAAGUAUUGGUCAUUCAAGGUGAUUCUCACCUUGAACCACCUUCAAUGGCUCGUACUUGAUAACUAAUGGAUAUUCAUGGAUCUAGCAAUAAGCAUCCAUAGAAUCCGGAAAGCUUACCAAGUAUUGGCCAUUGAAGGUGAUUCUAAGGGAUUUAAAGCUAAAUUUUGAAAUAAAAACCAUUAAUGGUUAACAACUACCUUCAUUUAAAGCAAGGAAAACUCCCACCUUUGCAUUCGGGUCUUCACCUAGUUUCCAUCACUCUAAGAAACGUAAAACUUAGCCACUCAUCCCCUGAGAAAUCAUUCUCAGAGGUUGUUUGGCUAGAAAGAAAAGUGAAAACAAAAUGAGAAGGAAAGAUAGAGCAAAAGCUCUGUAUAUUUCUUACUAUGGAUCUCCCAAGCCUCGGGCCUUCCUCUGUAACCCUUAGACCAUGCCAUUAUGUGGUUCUCUUGAGUGUUUAAGUGGUCCACCAAAGGUUUUUUGGGACUGUACCUUAGGUACUACCUUAAUGGCCUUUAGGUACUACCUUAAGGGACCCUAGGUACUACCUUAGCUAAAUAUGAACUCUAUCUUUCCCUAGCCUCAGGAUUUCCUUUGUGACCCUUAGACCAUGCCAUUAUGUGGUUCUCUUAUGUGCUCAACUCCAAGAUUCAGCGCAAAGGUUUGUAACAAAACAUACAAAAUGGAACCAUUUGGAAGUUUUCUAUGUCUAAUUGGUAAUACUGCAUUAAAUGUCUGGAGAACUUGAGACAACUACACUACCUAUUUGUGUUGAUUCCACCUAUGCCCUUAACCAUUAACUUUUUACUCAUAUGUGGAUUGAUGAGUCCACCACCAAAAUUUUGCUCACAUAUUAUCUGUAAUAUUUUCUUCAUUUUCUAAUUUAAGUUUUAUUGUCCACAAUUGUCCUUCUUUAGCAUGUUUCUUGAUUAAUCAGGUAUUGAAUCAAGAUUCAAUAUCUCUUAAUACUUAAAAGUUCCUAGAUUCAACUGUUUUUUUAUUUACAUUUUCUACCACUUGGCACUUUGGUAGAGUUCCACAUGGAAGAAACUGGAUAUGUGAUGCGGACAAAAUUCCAGCAUGCCCCCAUUGAUUAUAUUAUGUUCUUUUAUUCCAUUUUUUUAACUCUUCUGUCACUAAUGGUAGGCUUAAAGAGAAGCUUUCUAAUUUAGAAUCAGAUAAUCAAGUACUUUGUCAACAGGCACUGACCAUAUCAGCAACUGCUAAAGCUUUAUAUGCACGACCAAAAACACCAAUUCUUCAGGUAUCAACAACAUGCAAUUUAUCUGUUGUUGCACCUCAAAUGUCCUCAUGGAAAUAAAUGUUGAGCUUUUUUUUUUUAUUUUUUAUUGUAUUGCAGAGAACUCCUGAGAAUGGAAAUGUUCUAAAUGGAGAAGCAAAGAAACAAUUGGUAAGAAAUCUCGAGUAAUUUUAUCACUUAUGUUACACCCAACACUCCUGAUUGAGAGAUGAAAAAUAAACCAUGUAUUUUGUGUCCCACCAUCUUUAAAAUGUCUUAUGAUUCAAGUCUUGCCCUUUCUUCUCCACGGGAACCUGAAUCUAAGGAAAAGCCCUAGAAAUCUCUCAAUGAAAAGCACCAGGUGGAUAUCCUCUUUCGGUCUUUCAUUUUUUGUUUUUCUUCCUUUUCCAAGGCAGUAGUUUGGUGGUCAUUUAAAAAUUAUGAAUUUUUACCUGAGGCAUGCUCCACAUGUACUCAAUAUUCAUAUUACUGCUUGUACUCCCCGGAUAUUUUCUUCAUGGUAAUAAUUUUUUCUGGUGCAGGAAAACCAAGACCUGCUAAUCAAGUGUAUUUCACAAGAUUUAAGAUUCUGUGGGGGCAGGUCUAUUGCUGCUUGCCUGAUUUACAAAUCCCUUUUCCAAUGGAGGUCGUUUGAGGUUGAACGAACUAGUGUAUUUGAUCGUAUCAUUCAGACAAUAGGUGCAGCAAUAGAGGUAUAAUCGACCUCUAUUUUACUUGGUUUCUAUAUCCUGAUGUUUGAAAAUAGUAACUACUGUCAAUCCCCUUGUUGGACCUAGUAAACUGAAUUCAUUUUGCUUAAUGGCACCAAGACAUUUCACUGGAAGAAUGAGUGAAAAUUAACUGGAGAUCAAUUCAUGCUUGAAUUCUGAUGUUAUAAGCUAGAUGAUAACAUUUUGUAAAAUUCAGUAUCUGAAGGUCCAGGAUAACAAUGAUGUCUUGUCCUUUUGGUUAUGUAAUUCGUCUACACUGUUGUUGCUUCUUCAAUGCACACUUAAAGCAAGUGGAACAGCUAGCUUAACUCCACAAAGGCGGAGAUCAACAUCAACUUCUUUCUUUGGGAGGAUGUCUCAAGUAGGAAAUGGGAUUUGUUUUAUCUUUGCAACCAACCAGGACAUUUGAUAUAGCUUCAUUUUUUGUUUAUGUUUCUAUUUUCUUAAUUGAUGCCUUACAUUUUUAGGUGCUUCGUGCAUCUCCACAAAGUAUUGGGUUCACAUUUCUUAAUGGUCAGGUUCUUGGUGGAUUGGAUGACUUGAGACAAGUUGAAGCCAAAUAUCUAGCUUUGGUUUUUAAACAACAACUCACAGCCUUCCUUGAGAAGAUAUAUGGAAUGAUAAGAGACAAUUUAAAGAAAGAUUUCCCCAUUGCUUGGAUUGUGUAUUCAGGUAAUUCUUCUUAGCAAUUGUUAAUUCGAAACAAAAUAUGAAUGGUAUGAAUAGUUCCAUUUAAUAUCAAAAGCAACUCAUUUUUUGAAGAACCCUUUUUUAUGUAAGUCCUUCCUUAACUACCCAACACAUCAGUAUUCAAUCUAUUGAUAUUCUUAUGAGUCAGCCUACAAUUCACUUAUUAAGGUCAAGAAAUGAAAAACUUUUAUUUGUAAUUAUUUAAAACCAAACACUCAAUUUGUUGCUUUACUUUCAUGAAAGAUUAAAGAGCAUGUUUGUUUAUUUUGUUUGGUUGCAAUUCAAUUCUUUUAAAUACAAACAAAUCCAUUGACUAUCUUUUCACAAUGGGUUUAUAAGACUUUUUUUUUGUACUUUUUAUUCAACAAUAUGGUCUGAUUUUUUACUUAUAAGGGGAGAAAAGGGAAAUGUAUAACAGAUUAUGUCAAGGCAUAUAGAUGGUAAGUAAAUAUUUCCUAUAUUUUUUACAUCGUGCUGUUGCCUAUAGCUUAACCUAUUAAUUCACAUUUUCUAUUGUUCACCCAAAACCUAGUAUGCCUCCCCUUGAAUUUAUUUAUUUAUUUACAUGUAAAUAAACUUCCUUGAAUAAGUACCUAUUGUUAGAAUUUGGGGAUCAAUCAAUUCCUUUGCACCUAAAGAGAUUGUUUCUAUUGGGAAAAUUGACCAAUUGGCACACACCAUCUCAGUAACUCAUUUACUACUUCUAUCUAAAGUGGCUCAUUCUCUUUUUCAAUGUAACUUUUAAGUUGGCCAAUAUAUUCUUGAUCUUCAUUCAAGUAUCUUUUCAUUAUACAGGCACCUAGAACAUCUCGUGCAAGUUUAGUGAAGGGGCGUUCUCAAGCUAAUGCUAUUGCACAACAAGCGUUGAUUGCUCAUUGGCAAAGCAUUGUGAAAAGCCUGAAUUAUUACUUGAAGAUAAUGAAAGCAAACCAUGUAAGUGUCACAGUCUGAAAUAUAAUGUCAAAAACUUAUUGUUUUUCUUCUUACAGCAGUACCUCAUUCUGUUGGUUAUUGUGACUGUACAGGUUUCGCCAUUCCUACUCCGCAAGGUCUUAACUCAGAUUCAUUCAUCAAUGUUCAGUUAUUCAAUAGGAAAGUGCACUCAAACAUGGCUUUUUUCUUAUGAUCCCAGUUGCUUUGAUUAUGUAAUGUGAGUAAGUGGCAUUUUUAAAUUCAUUUUUGUAGUCUCCUUUUGAGGCGUAAAUGUUGCUCAUUCAGCAAUGAGGAGUUUGUUAAGACAGGAUUAGCUGAGUUAGAAAACUGGUGCCAUGAAGCAACCGAAGAGGUGACAUUAAUUACUCCUCUGUAACCUUUACACGUUGAUGUCUUUAGCAUGUGGCCUAAUAUCUGCUUCAUAUUCAGUAUGCUGGCUCAACUUGGGAUGAACUAAGGCAUAUCAGAUGAGUAGUUCGAUUCCUGUUUUUAUAUAGGACUCAAACAGGAUUCAACAAGUUAGAGAAAAGAACUGAAAGAACUUCUCUCAAUGGUUCAAAAUCAUCAUCAUGAAUGAAGACAACUAGCACCUCUGAUUUAUUGCUAAAACAAUUGCAAAGAAUAGGAAAGGAUUGAACUUGAUUAUGAAUCUCUCAAGAUGGUUCCACAAGGGUUGAAUCCAAUGCAACAUUUUUUUCCAUAUAUCUAUAAAAGAUCUUUGCCUUUGUCACAUUUAUAUGGCUCUUCAAGCUCUUUCAUAUGGGAUAGUACCAACAAUGCCUUUCUUGAAUACACAUUUUUUAGACAUAUAGGGGUGCCUCUGAGUAUCAAACAAUUAUAAUUUAUCUGUUCUAUAAUUAUAAAAAAUUCUUCAAGCUAUAUGCUAUGAUCAUCUCUCAUCAUAAGCAUCUGGAAUCAGUACUUUUAGGUCCAUUGUUUUCAUAGGAUACUUGAAUGCUCAUUCUGAUGUUUGACAUAUUAAAUAUCAUUUCUCAAUGGAAAGAGGGUCUUAGGUCUUGAAAAUCAGUGUAUAAAACAUAAAUUAAUACAAUGCCAUAAACUGAUACAUGCUGAGCUUUACAUGAAUGUCCAUGUCUUUCCUUAAUCAUCCAUGAGAAACUAGAAGUACACUGUUACCAAUAUCUCCAUCCAAGCUCAUUUGUUGGACUUCUUCAGGAUAAAGGAUCUUGAUGUAGCUUACCCAGUUCACAAACUCCCUGAAAUACCCCAAACGAGACAGCAUAAUGUCACAAACUUAGUCUUUUCCUAAGCUCGUGCGGCACUUAGAUGAGUCAAGACACUUGAUCUUGCUAAGUCAGCCUUACUUCCAAUGCUUAGCUUGUUCUGCUAAGACGCUCGUGACUUGGGAGGUUUAGAAGGCGUAGUAGGUGACUCUUAAAGAAUGGAAGCUUUAUUGCUUUCAAAGGAAGCUAUACAAUGCUUGGAAGCUAUACAAUGCUUGGAAGCUCACUUGCUUGGUUAGGAAGUGAUUUGGGUGGUGCCUUGGCCAAAUGAGGCUCUCACCUAUUUAUAGGUACCAAUGGAACUCUUUGGAACCUUGGAGGGUUCCUUACAAAUCAAGAAGAUUUUAGAAUACUCUACACAAUUCUAUGUACAACCCUAUGUACAAAAGAUCUCUAGAAUUCUUUAGAAAGCCUUGGACUCCUCUCAUGCCUUCCACCAUAGUGUAGAGAUGUGUGGACAUCUCUAGGCAUCUCUAAAACCUUCCACACUCUUCCCUCCAAUGGCUUAGUGUAGAUGGCUCCAGGAGUCUCUAGAAGCUUCUCGGGCUCUAUAUAAACCCAUGAGGAGGCUCAUUUGAAGCAUCCUAUGACACUCUCCCCCACCUAUGUCGUCGACGUCCUCGUCGUUGCCUCUUUCUGAAACCUCUCGAUGUGUUUCCAGAACCUUCUCAAGGCAUCCGCAUGUUCCCAGCUUACCUAGCUCCUUGGUAGUCCUUUUCAUCAGACUAGAUACUCCAUCACAGGAGGGACCCCUUGUCUCUUGGUGACCCGUUCAACUAGGAUAUUUUUCACCUCCUUUUCUCGUGAGGCCUCGGAUGGAUGCAAAUCCCUACACUUUCGAUGCUUGGAGUGUUGCUUCCUCUUACCCAUCAAGUUCACCUUUCCCUUGGUGACGUUGUCGAUGUAUGUGCGGGCUACCUCAGCUCGCUCCCCUUUUGCCUCAUUUACUUGCACCCCUGAUAGUAAGGAGGUCUUAGGCGUACUAGGCUUUAGGUUGAAUUGGAGGGCACCUAGUAGCUACAUUGAGUCCAUAUGUGCUCCGUCCUCCUAUUCCCUCUCCUCGAUCAUGGCACUGAGUGCCUUUCUCUUUGGACAAUCCCAUGCCCAAUGUGGACCAUCACAUAAGAAGCAUUUGAUUUUAGACGUAAACUCCUUCCUUUCCGCCUCACCUCUUCCUUCUCAGACGUUAGGCGUCUUGCCUGAUCCCAUUCUAGGAGUAUUGUGGUCCCUUGAAACCUCGUCUCCCCCACCCAUGGCGUGGCUAUCCUCUAAAGACUCAACCUUGGAGGAGUCUCCCCUCUUGUAAUCUGUUAAAGACUCUGCUAGUGCCAUAGCAGUGGCUAAGUCUUAAACACCUCGGCGUCUUAAUUCCUACUCAACCCACCCUUGCAGAUUAUCCAUGAAGUUGGAUAGCAACUCCUCCUCAGUCAUGUUAGGAAUCUCAAGCAUGAGCGAAGAGAAUUCCUUGACAUAGUCGCGUAUUGAGCCUAUAUGCUUGAGAUGCCUCAUGUUUUUCCUAGUCAGGUAAGCCACGUCCUCGUGGUAGAAUUGCCUCUUGAUUUCCCUCUUGAAGUCUUCCCACGUCUCUAUGGUGCAAAUGCCUUUCUCCAUAUCGGCAAACCUCCGACGCCACCAUAGAGUAGCUGUGUCAAUAAGGUAGAGGGUUGCAGUCCUUACCUUAGCCACCUCAUCAAUUAGUGCGAUAGCCUCGAAGUAUCGCUCCAUAUGCCAUAAGAAGUUGUGCAACUCCUUGGCAUUCCCCUUCCCACUAAACCCUUGUGGCUUUGGCACCUCCACCCUAGAUGCCUCUUGGGUGGCCAUGACCCGUGCCGACACAGUAGCCUUUAGAUGGCCAGCUCCUGCCUAACCUCAUGGUCUCGGGACUCUAUUCGAGUGGCUAAGGCCUCUAUCCUUGACUCCAUGCUAGCAAGCAUGCUCAUUGCCUUGUCUUGGAAGGACAUGAACUCCUCGUGUGACACCGGCUAAACUUGUGAGCCUAGCACUCUCUCACGAAGGUCUUGGAUCUGCUCCCUUAGAUCCUCUAAGCCCUUCUCCAUGCCUUGCUAGAUCAAGUCCACCCCUUCGCGGGUGUCCACCAUGGCUAGCUCCACUUUAGCUAACCUUGCCUCCAUGUUGGCAACGACAUCACGAGACUUAUCCUUCCUGCCCCUGCCCCGCAUAGUAGGCUCAAUCUCUCUUCCACGGGUUUGCUCACUAGUCUCCUCCACAUUAGAGCCCGACAUGCUUCCUUUACCAUGCCCGCUUCAUAGCCGCGCUCUGAUACCACUUGUCACGAACUUAGUCUUUUCCUAAGCUCGUACGACACUUAGACGAGUCAAAACACUUGAUCUUGCUAAGUCAGCCUUACUUCCAAUGCUUAGCUUGUUCUGCUAAGACGCUCAUGACUUGGGAGUUUUAGAAGGCGUAGUAGGCAACUCUUAAAGAAUGGAAGUUUUAUUGCUUUCAAAGGAAGCUAUACAAUGCUUGGAAGCUCACUUGCUUGGUUAGGAAGUGAUUUGGGUGGUGCCUUGGCCAAAUGAGGCCCUCACCUAUUUAUAGGCACCAAUGGAACUCUUUGGAACCUUGGAGGGUUCCUUACAAAUCAAGAAGAUUCUAGAAUACCCUACACAAUUCUAUGUACAAGAGAUCUCUAGAAUUCUCUAGAAAACCUUGGACUCCUCUAAUGCCUUCCACCAUAGUGUAGAGAUGUGUGGACAUCUCUAGGGAUCUCUAAAACCUUCCACACUCUUCUCUCCAAUAGCUUAGUGUAGAUGGCUCUAGGAGUCUUCAGAAGCUUCUCGGGCUCUAUAUAAACCCAUGAGACAAGGGUAAUAUAUAUAUAUAUAUAUAUAUAUAUAUAUAUAUAUAUAUAUAUAUAUCAAAGUUUUACACCACAAUGUACAAUAUCACCCAACCUUAAAAAGAUGGAAAACUUUUCGUGCCAAGCUGGUUGAUUUGUCAACAUUUUGGGCAGUACCAGCCUGUCCCUCGCUCCAACAUUUCAAACCAUAUUGUAUUGCCCGUGUUGCAUUAGGUUUAGGUUUUUUGAAAUACAAAAUUACAAGAGCAAGUUCUGCCCGUGUUGCAUCCAGAGUACUCAUCUUUUAACCAAAAUUCACCUGCUAAGUCAAAACAUCAACGUUCAUUUCACGAGAAAAAAAAAAAAAAACAUAAUAUACAUGUAGAGAAAAUUACAUUGACCAAAGCAACAACAGUAAAAAAAUUGAAUAAAAACCACAUGAAAAAUCAUGCUUUCACGCCAAUAAAUAAAAUGAUAUUUAUUGUCCAAAUCAAAUGAAGCUAGCACGAAGUCAACUUGUUGCCAGAAUCAGAUAUACAAUCAAAGCUAUUCUUAAUAAGAGUAAGCAAUAGUUCCAUGCUAUUAAAACUGCAGCAUUAGACAAAGCAGGGUACAGAAAAAAUGCUAAUAGCCUAGUUAUUUAUGGUCCAAAUAACAUAUUCCAAAUCAUGGUUUACUCUCAUACCCACAACAUAACUAACGCUCAAAAGAAUCACUCUCCUUCAGAAUCAUUUUCAGGAGGAAAAUAUAUUAAAAGUAACAUAUCGAAAUAUAAUAGAACAUAUAGUUGCAUUUUAAAUAAAAUGUUUUAUUAAUCCACUUUUUACUAAUGGAAAAAGCAAAAUGAUAUUUUAAUUGAGAUUGUUUAUUCCAUUCUAAAUAAAUACUCUAAAUGAACCCACACCAUCAUGCCACAAUUCAAUGUACUGGUGCAACACACACCACAUUGAUCCAUUUUCUAGAUCAAACUCGGCUAGUUAGGAAAACUUGAAGUAAAUAGAAGUUUGCCAAAGUACAAAUAUACCAUCAUACAUGAUCACAAUGUUAAAGCUAUAUCCAAUUUUACUCUCUCCAACAGUGCCCCCAAAGAUUGACAACAGAUCAACAAAAUCAACUGAAAUCAUGUGUUUUCUCCCCAUGUUAACCUAUGUUGUUAUUGGGUUUCCUCUACUCUCAUCCCUCCUUCAGUCUAAAAGCACCUAACAUAAGCGGGGGCAGAACCCAAAUAUAUAGGAAGUAUGGCAUGGGUGCCCAAAUUCAAAAUGGAAAAUAAAAAACUAGCACCCUCCCAUUAAUAAGAAGCCAACCAAUCAAUGCAAGCUAACAUAGACACAGAUCAAGCAUCAAGGCACUCUCCAUGACUUCCUGGAGGAGAUUUGGAACAGAGCUGAGGAUCCUGUGAGGACCUUGGUCCACGGAAUUCUACAGUGUGCUGUGAGACACCAAGAAGGGUAAAACUUCCAAUCCUUAAUGCAACUGCAGAAUAUCUCAUGGCCUUUGGUUAUAACUGACUGUCUAAAGCAACCAUUUUGUAUUUUUUUUUGGGGUGGGGUUUCGUUUUACUCCACAUACUUCUGUCUUAUACCAUUCUCUACUUGGGUUUUUAAGUUUUCAUGUGUAGACACAAGUACAACAAAAAUUAUGGCUAUCAAGUAGAUAUAGCCCUUUAACCAAAAUAAUGAGAAAAUCUUACAAGAAACAUAGACCAUUGUAGAUACAAAUAAGAAUACACUCCUGGCCAUUACAACAUAUGAACCUAAAUAGAAAGAAGACUGAUCUGAUCCCUAGAUUUGACAAAUAGUCAUGACAUUUGUUAGAUCAUCCUUGAUCCCAGAUAUGAUCUUGAGCAUUCAUCCAGAGUCGCUCACAUAAAUGAUUUCUCGCACUAAAAUAUUCCAUAUCUCAACAUAGUAUAUUCAUUUAUCCAUUCACAGUUUUCAUGGUUUCCUCCAUAAAUAUGCAUAUAUGUUCAUUUUUCAUUGUACCAGCACAUGUAUACAUAAUCUUAGCUUAUAUUACACACCUUGAAUAGUAAUAUGCAAUUUUUAUAAAAUUUUCCAGAACAAAUAAAAAUUAGUAUAGUAAUAUACAAUUGGUCAGGACAUUUACAGAACAAAGAGAAAUAAGUAUCAUGUCUGUGGAGAACUCAUUUGGGGAAUGAGACUCUUUUAACCCUCAUCCAAGAGGGUUUGAAAAGACAGUCACAAAUGAGGAUGAAUGGUUGAUUCUUCUCACUCCUUAACUAGACGACGCAAGACACUGCUACUCAAUGGCGAGAGGUUUCAGUUAUCCUAGAGAAAUGAAACCACCCAAUGCUGAAAAAUCAAACAUAAUAAGUUCAAAUAUUGAAAAAAUUACACAAGUAUGGAUACAAAAGCAUCAAGAAGCACACAUCCUCCUGCAUCCACCAACCACAAUAGAUUUGGUUUUGAUUUUAGACCAAUCCAAGCUGCUCACCAGUAUGCUACAAAAGGAUCAACAUUUAAUUUGUCCAUGAGACCAAAUAUCCUAUAACAUCACACUGAAGCAACCCAAAUUACUAAAUGGAACUAAAAUUUCUUCUUAAGAUACUUGGCUUGGGAAAUUGGUUAAGUAUGCUUCUUUAGAGAAACAAAAUGAAACUGACACAUCAUCAUAACACAAUUUUAUAGAGUACCAACUAAAUUACAAUUGAGUUAGGAAGAAUAAAUGUAAUGAUAGGUCAUUUUCCUUCCAACAUAUGUAGCAUUUACAGUUAAAGCAAAUAGGAACAUUAAUGGAUUAAGCCCCUAUAUGUCAAGACCGAAAAUGUUAGAAUGUGCUAAGUCCUCUCUUUUCUUGAUGAUACUAUAGCGCCUAAAAUGGAUGCAUCAACUUCAAUAACAAGUUAUGAGAACCAUUAGAUGUUUUAAAUCAUAAUUAGUAUCAAAAUAAUGAGAUUUUGCCUAGUGAUUCACUAACCAGGACCCAGACUAUGAUACUUAAAUCAAUGAGGGAAAUCAAUUACAUGUAGUAUAAUUCUCUUGAAUGAGAGAUCUUUCUAGGACUGGCUCGAAGAUUUCCGAGGAUUGGUGAACUCAGAGGAACUUCUCCAAAAACAUUAGACUAAUUUUUUUGUCCAUCAGAAAGUUGUCUCCCACCAGCACUGUUAUUGUCCUCUCUUUUCUUAUUGAUUGUCCCGGUCUGGUUAGACUUGAUCUCCUGCAUUGCAAACAAAAGAAUAAUGGCGUAUUAUGGAUAUGUGGUAAAAAAGCAAGAAUCAAACUCCAUAUCAUUGAUUGUAAUAUCAGCAGGGAUUGAACCCAAGCCAUGAUUUUGAUUUAAUAAAAAUUAAGAUGGAUAAUUAAUAAUUAAUAAUUAUUUAUAUGGGGCAAAUUGUUUUCAUGAUUUGUUUCCUUUUUUUUUUUAUCAUACUAAAUCUAAAACUCAAAAGGGUCACCCACUUCUCUCACUUGCUCAGGCAUCAAGAAGCCUUUUUUCUGAAGUUGCUCUCCAGACGAGAGAAUCCCUAAAAAGGCCCUAUUUUCCUCUGCCAGGUACUAAUCUAAUCAUGUUUUUUUUUUUGAAACCCCCGUUUGAUUCCCAAGAAAAUCCAUCCCCCAUUUGAUUUUUGCGAAAAUUCAUCCUCAUUUGAUUUCCGACAAAAUCCAUGCAAAACCCCCAAGGAAAACAAAAACAUUUGUUUUUUUUUCCUCCCUAUGUUCUCAGGAUCUGUUCUAGGGGUCUCUUUGCUUUUGUGCCAUUGGAUUUCAAUUUCACAAACCCUAAAUCCACGAUUUUUGAGCCAGGCUGAAAAAUACAACCUUUGCCAGCAAAUCGUGAUCAGAUUACCAAAUAGCAUCUUAGGUUUUUUUUUAAAAAAAAUAAAAGUUUGGACAGAUUUUGCAUCCUGCGUGGGCUGGGCUGGUCGGAAAUAUCGGGAAAAUUUCUCGAAAAUACGGUAAAAAUUACCGAUAAAUACCGAAAUAUUUCUCCAUAUUUCAAACACUGGUGAUUCUCAAAUUUUUUUCCUCAACGAUUCCCCACAAACAGCCGUCUUGUGAACAUAAAAAUUUAAGAUAUAACAAAAAAAAUUCCCCAAAUAUUCUAAAUCACAGGGUUGUGAACAAUGUAAAAAAACUUUCGGCCCAAAUAUUUUCUCAACAGCCAAACAAAUCCUUAAAUGGAAAACUCACCUGCAAUUAAUCCAAAAGGAAGAGGAAGCUCCACUUAAGUUUCUAGAAACCUUCAAAAUAUUCCACCUUUGAUGAAGAAAUAUGAAGAUAUGGCUCAACUUUGGCUUCAUUGAAGGUUUUCGGAAGAUGGCUAUCGGGUUUGGGUGGUCAGCUCGUGAAAAGAGACACUAGGGUUAGGCCAAAAUGAGACGAAAUGAGAGGAAAUAACAGAGUUAUGAAAAUGCAGAGCAAACGAGCCAUGAAAAUGUAGAUCGGGUUAGGGCAAAAUGAGAGGAAGUGACAGAGAGUUUCCCCAAAUUUCAAAGUUCAUCGGGUCGGGUGUUCUAUGGGUUUUGCAAAUUUGAUAACUUUUAAGUUUUAGAUUUUGCGUUUAUUAAAAGCGCAACUUCCGAUGACAUGGAGGUGAUGGUUGCUAACAAGAUGCAUGGAUGGGUAAUUUCAAAAAUGCAAUUAUAAACAGUAUAUAGUGCAUGAAAAGGAAAAAAUUUCUUCAAAUAGUGGAGCUAUCUUGGGUUAUGCAAACUUGGGUUUUGAAAACAAUUGAGAAAAAUGGGUUCCCGAAACACAACUUUCCCAACUUGGAAUGGCGAAUUCCAGGUGGGAAUCACUCAUUCAUAUAGAAGCACAACACCAAGUCACUAACCCCCAUCACUUCUAUCAAUUCAUUUUUCACCAACCCCCAUCAAGUUUGUGGAAUUUUUGGACUCUCAAGUAUUUUUUAUUGAUAUAUUUUAUUUCAAAGAAAAGCUUGUCUCACCUUUAUGGUGCCUCUGAUAUAAGGAUGGUGAUUGCAUGACCAGCAGGUGUCUUUGCAAUAAAAUUUUAUGGAAUUGAUAUAUUUUUUAAUUAAAGAAUCCCAUGCAUUAAUUUUAUUUAAAUAAAGUUUAUUUAUUUAAUAAAAAUAUAUAAUUAUGCGCAGAGGAGAACCCACGAAUAGUCAUUUUAGGUCGCUUUCGGUCUGUGAAAUUUUAGGAUUACUUAAUUUGAUUUUUUAGCUCUAAAACUCGUUAAUAAACCUAACAUAUGAAAUUGUAUUGAAUUUGAAGUCAUUUUACACACGAAGAAAACCCAAUAAAGUCAAUAAACUUGGUGAGGGAGGAUUUGGUUUAUGAAUAAAAAUAUUAAUUUUUAAUUUAUUCUUAUCUAUAUAUAUAUAUAUAUAUAUAUAUAUAUAUAUAUAUAUAUAUAUAUAUUUUUUUUUCCAUCGAUUGAUCAUCCCUUUAUCAAUUUUCUUGCAUAUCCGAUAAUGAAGGCCAAUUUGAUUGUUGUUAAUCGGAUUGUUGAUGACAUAUUAAUGAGAAGUUGAUGAAUGCUUAAUUGAUCUCAUGUUAAUCGAUGCCUAUUAGAAUUGAAAUUAGAGUUAUUUUCUUUGAAAUUAUUUUUACUUGAUUGAGGCCUUUGAUAACAUACAAUAGUGGCUAAGAGAUCCUUUAUUUGAUUUUUUUUGCCUUUGGUUUUAUUUUUCAUUUUUUUUUUAUUGUGAUGUUUGGAUUGUUCACUUUGCUGUUGUUUUGUUAAAAUUAUUGAACCUCUAUAAUUUAAAAAUUGAAUUAGGCUAUUUCAUGUCUCUCUAAAAUUUUUCUUAUGAUUGCAUGAUGUUGUAGACUUCCCAAAUAUAUUGAUAGAAUUUUGUUUGAGUCUAAAAUCAUUUUUCAAUUAAGAGAUAUAAACCAAUAUUUCAAUAGGUCCACUUUUUUCACUCUAUUUUGGACACCAAUUUUAUUAUUAUUAUUUUUUUUGUAAAAUUAAAUUAUCUCAUGAUCUCUUUAAUUUGUUUUGAUAUUUUUCCAUUAAUAUCAAUUCUUAAAUUUAAUUUUAGGCCCUGAAUUUUUGAAAAUUAAUUCUCCAAGUAUAACAAAAAAAAAAAUUUUCCUACACCUAUUGCACUAACCCUUUUUAUAGUCAAGGAAAGUUGGCUUAAUUUAAAAUUUCACAUUGUAUAAGUCAAGUUGUUAUUUUUUACGUAAGUUAGAUAUAUUGAAGGUAUUGUACAAUUUUUUUUUCAUGAUUUUAUUAUGCAUAUAGAUAGGUUAAUUAAAUAAGUCUUUUCAUGCUAUAGAAUUUUGCUCUAUUUUUUAUCAAUAUAAUUGUGAUUAAAUCAAGUAUUAAAUGAGAUACGAUUGAAUGAUUUAGCCUUUGGGUUGCAAUCUAGACACAUAAGAGAUAUUGUCCAAGUUUUUUUAUGGUGAAAUUCCAUAUCUAGAUAUUUUUUUAGGAUAUAUUUUGAAGGUGUCUUUAAUCUAGAUGCAUGUCGAUUAUUCUAUAGAGUGUCCUUGAUGUGAAUUAAUCUAGUAUUGAUUGACACGUAAUUAAAUGUUUUGGGAUUUUGUAUUGUAAUCUAGACACAUUGAAGAUGUUAUCCAAUUUUUUUUUCAUUAUGCAAUAACACCUCUAGGUAUUUAUUUAUGAUUUAUUUUAAAAACGUUAAUGUUCUAACCCAAUGCUGAGUAUUUUGGAUGAUUUGUUAUUUUCACCACUUUUUGCACAUUUUUAAAUCUUUUGGACCAUUGUUAUAUAUUGUAGACCUAUUGUAUAUGAUAAGUGAAUUUUUUUUUGCACCAUAAACCCUUAUUGAAUAUUUUAAUUGAACUCAUUUUAAAAUGGUAUGCAUACUAAAAGUGUAUUGAACUUACAUGACCAUUGUUACUUGUUUUUUUUUUAUUCUUUUAUUGGAGUAGUGGAUGCAUUAUGUAUGAUGAUAGAUUUUUAUUAAGAUUUUUCAUGUCUAUUUUUUAUUGUUUGUGAACUAACCCUCGUUGAUUUUAUGAAAACCCUAUACAUGUUAUUAAGGUGUAUUGCUCUCCUUCCUUUCAUUUUUUUAAUGCAUGGUUCAUUUGAGUGAUGCAAAUUAUGAUUUCACCAUUGUCUUGAUUGUGUAUUACUUAUUUUUUUGGUAUCCACUAAUUUAAAAAUCAAUUGUUAUAGUUGUCUCAACUCAUUAGUAGAGACCUUUAUUUAGGCCUUGGAGGGGUGCUAUCGUAUGAUACAUCCCCAAUAGGUAACCUAACUCUUGGAUUUAGACUCGUGUUUUCAAAGACACGUUUUUUCAAAUUAAGAGUCACUCUUAGGGUUUUAUUUCUUAUUUUGUUUUCUAUUUUUUUUAAAAUAAAAUAAGUGGCAAUUCCGCCUUUUAAAAAAAUAUUUUUUUCAUAAAAAAUGAGUUAUCAUCAAGUAAGGAUGCACAUGAAAAAUGUAAGUCCACUAUAAGGCUAUAUCAAUUGGUCUUCCCUCUACAGAAUAUUCAUUCAAGGAGCUAAUGGCUAGAUUAUUUUCCAAUAAUCAUUCAGUUGUUGUUUCGCUCAUAAAAUAGGAGAAGAUUUAUUCUUUCCAUUUGUAUCAGCAUAACUUAGCUAAACUUAAGCAGAAGUAGUUGACUUGUCUUUCAUUUUCUACCCAUUUUUGUAUAUAUAUUAUGCUCAACAAUGGUAAUUUAAUAAGGGUUUGCUAUUGUUUUAUUCUCUUGCACAAACUAUUCUUCAAAGUACUCAACUAUGGCAUAGAUAAACCUUUCAUCUACUUGACAUUACUCAAAAGGCCUCGACGUUACUCAACAUUAUCUGAGCUUUUCUCCUACAGAUGCUUUGACGGCAUGGCAAUGCAACCAACCUCAAGGCAACGACACCCACUUACAUACUGUGUGAUAAAGGAGAAUCAUUUGAUUCUCCAUAAGAUUUGCUAUAUCCUAAUUUGGUUCCAUAAAAUCUGAAUGUAUAACUAUAAAUAUAUGUAGAUAUGUUUUCAAUAUUUGUAUUUCAAACCUUUCCUGUUUUAUAGGAUCACAUUGUUGUUAUUUAUUAUAUAUAUAUUUGAUGUUAUCUUCUGCACACGGCAAUGAGGAUUUCAAUCAUUAUACAUUGUUUAUUAAACAUCUUUUUGGUAUCAGAGCAAGGUUUUUUUCUUUGAUUCUAACCAUGGUUGAUUCGGCUUCUUCAUUUCCUUCUCUUCCGCUUAACAUAAUGGUGCAUAUGCUGAUUCAUGCCCGAUUGGUGUUCCAAUUGAUUCAACUCAAUUGAUGUGCUUUGAUCUCAAUCCUCAUACGGGAGUAAUCAACAAAAUUUAUAAACCUAUUUCACCAUAUACCGGGGUAGCAUUUAGCUAGCAUAGUAUAGUGGCUCUAGGAUCGUCCACAGAGAUGGGUUUUCACUUUGCAAUUGAUAUUAGUUCAAAAACUAAAUUGGUGCUUUUUCUUUUCUUUUUUAGCUUUAAAAGAAGACAUAAGUUUGAAUGAAAACGGAUGGUAUUAAGCUAACCUAACAUAAAGUAACUAAAAUUAACUAAAAAGAAAUUAGAAAGAAAGGUGUUUCUUGGGAUUUCAGGUUACUAGGAUCAGGUGCCAAUUGCAAAGUGGAAAAUUCCAGAUUUUUCUCCUCGCAUUGAGUAUUUAACCUACAGUUAUUUCCCGAACCGAUAUAGGUUUAACAAUGAAGAUUUAAUCCAUAAAAAGUCAAUAGAGAUGGUAGUCAAGUUCCGUUAAUGGCUUUAGACACUAUGGGUCUUCACCUUAAGCCACUUUCCAAUGGCUCGUACAUGAUAACUAAUGGACUGAUGUGGAUCUAGCAAUAAGCAUCCACAGAGACCUGAAGCUUGCCAUGUAUUGGCCAUUCAAAGUGAUUCUAAGGGAUUUAAAGCAAAACUUUAGAUUUAAAAGCCAUUUAUGAACUCCAACUACCUGUAUUUAACGCACGAGAGUUUUCCACUUUUUCAUCUAGACUUUUCACCUAGCUUCCUUCACUCCAAGAAACCAAAGGUUUAGCCUUUCAUCCACUGGGAAAACAUCCUCAGAGGUUGUUUGACUUCCAAGAAAAAGAAAAAUAAAAGAGAAGGAAAAACAGAGCAAGGCUCUGUAUAUUCUAUAUAUUGAUCUAUUUUACAUACUUCUAUAUCUAUAUGUUUUACAAUGGAUGCAAGGGAAUAUAUAUAGAGAAGUUUUUCCAACCUUCCUAGCUAAGAAAUCUUAUUGUUGGUGGAUUACAAGGAGAAGAAUGGAAAUUUAUACAAAAAUAUCUAAAAGAAAAUAUCUCGUGUGGAAUCGGCAAAACAGAGGAGAUUUCGCACCACGCAUGGGCUGCUGUGCGAAAUUCAAGGUGUUGUGCGAAUUUCAAGGUGUUGUGCGAAUUUCGCAUAAGCCUGGAGCAGUUGUCUUCCGAAGGCCAUAUCUUACUCAUUUCAGAUCUAAAUAGUACACGGUUUAAAACAUUGGAUUCUUGACUUCCUGAGCUUUGAAAUGGUAUAUAGCAUGUAAAAAAUAGACUUCAGAAAGUACUCCAAAAGUGCGAAGGAAGACUGCAGCUGCUGUCUCUGUUUUCUUCAUUCUGUUUGUUUUUCCUCUUUGCUUCUCUCCUUUACUUGGCUUGUCUUAAUGAUCCAAAAAGCUGUCAAAACACUCAAACUAGCCACAAAUAUGAUUAGAAGUCAUUGCUAGGUCCUUAACAUGCCAAUUGGAAUAAGAAUGGAGAACUACUACACAAAAGUGCUUAAAACAUAAUGAAUUAAAGGCACAAAAUAGCACUUUUUGGGUAGUUACCAUUAAACCGAUUUCCUCAAAUUACUUAUUGUGGAAAAAUCAGUUUGCUCCACUGUUAGCCAGUCAAGAUUUGUUUGGAUUUACUCUACUCUUCUCUUACCGAGGAGUCUAUGAGUGAAGUAUUGGGUUUACGUCAUUCUCAUGAGGCUUGGCGCGCUCUUGAAGUCUCAUUCUCGCACCGGUCGAAGACUUGUGAACUGCAACUCAAUGAUGAACUCCAAUUGAUGCAACGCGGCUCUCAUCCCAUUGCUGAGUUUUCCUGUACCUUCAAAGGUCUUUGCGAUCAAUUGGCUGCGAUCGAUCGUCCCAUUGACGACACAGAUAAAGUUCACUGGUAUUUACGAGCAUUGGGGCCCAACUACAAGAUCUUCUCCACCACCAUGAUGUCACAGCUUCCGCUACCCUCCUUUGUCGAGAUUGUUCCGAAAGCUUUGAGUCAUGAGAUUUUUGAAAGGUCAAUUUCGCACUUGUCUUCUAACUCUGCUUAUUAUGUGCAGCAUACUUCUAAAUCUGUAGGGGUUAAGAAAUGGAAGAAUUGGCCUCCCACUUCGUCUAGCUCUUCUACAAAUUCAAAGUCCUCAUCCACUGUUCACUGCCAAUUGUGAGACAAGAAUGGACACCUAGCCAAACAUUGCUGGAGCUUCUUGAAACUCAAGAAGAAGCAGUCGGGUAAUAUUGUUGAAGCUUUUUCAGCCUACUCAAUUCAAGACCCGAAUGACACUGAAUGGUUUCCUGAUUCUGGUGCAACGUCCCAUAUGACAAGUGACACCGAGGUUGUGGAUCAACCAACUCUUUACUUUGGUAAUGAACGUGUCAUGGUUGGAAAUGGUCAGCCUUUAGCAAUUUCUCAUACUGGUUCCAUUUCAUCUCUUAUGCCGUCUAGUUCUCUUCUUUUAUCAAAUGUCUUAGUUGUUCCUGGCAUUAAGAAAAAUCUUAUUUCGAGUAGUCAACUUACAACAGACAAUAAUUGUCUUGUUACCUUCUUUUCCUCUGGUUUUACCAUACAAGAUCAGGUCACAAGAACCAUACUGGGAGUCGGAAAAUGUGAAAAUGGUCUCUAUGUGUUAGAUCGUUGUCAUCAUGCCCUUAUGUCCACCACUUCUCCUUCACUGCGAGCCUCUGUUUGUUUAUGGCAUGCUCACCUUGGUCAUCGCAAUUAUCAUACUGUUGCUUCUCUUUCUAGAUUAGGAUAUAUUUCUUGUAGUAAUAAAUUGGUGAACAUUGAUUUUGAAAUUUGUGUUGGUUGUAGACUUGGCAAAAGCCAUCGUUUACCUUUUUCUCUGAAUGAUGAACAUUGUGCCAUGCCUUUUGAUUGCUUACACUGUGAUUUAUAGGGUCCGUCACUAGUUCUCUCUUUUACUGGAUAUAGAUACUAUGAGGUAUUCAUUGAUGAUUGUACCAGAUUUAGUUGGAUAUUCUUUUUAAAACAAAAAUUUGAUUUUUUUUUAUACUUCAUCCAUUUACAACAUUAUAUUGAGACUCAAUUUUCAUCUAAAAUAAAAUCCUUUCAAUGUGAUGGUGGAAUCGAAUUUACAAAUAAUAAAUUUUGAUCUCACUUCCAAUCUUGUGGCAUUGUUCUCCAUUUGGCAUGCCCCUACACUCCUAGUCAAAACAGCAUUGCCGAACGCAAGCAUCGCCAUGUCAUAGAAACGGGUUUUACCCUUAUGUUCCAUGCACGUGUGCCGCUUUCUUUGUGGGUUAAGGCCUUCUCAACUACUGUCUUUCUCAUUAACCGACUCCCGUCACCGUUACUUGAUGGCAAAACUCCUUAUGAGCUCUUGUUUGGUAAGCAACCAGGUUACUCUAUGCUUCGCACUUUUGGGUGUCUUUGCUUCCCUCAUUUGAAAGAUUACUCACCAAAUAAAUUGUCUCCAAAAUAUGCUUCUUAUAUCUUUUUAGGUUACAGUACACUUCAUAAAGGAUUUCAAUGCCUCGACCGAACGACACAUCGUGUCUAUGUUUCUUGACAUGUGCAAUUUUAUGAAAAUAUUUUUCCUUAUCAUGGUGAUUUUGUACAAAAUUUACAAACCAACAUUAACUAUACCCCUUUUUUCUGAAUGUCAGGACUAUGUGUCUAGUUCUUCUAAUAUUGGUUCUUCUCAUUCAUUUUCGAGUUCACCAUGUUUGUCUUGCAGUGAUUCUCCACACCUGUCCUCAGAUCCUCCCCCUGAUCUACAAGGUCCUAUUUCUAUGGAACCCCUCUCUGAUUCUACAACUUCAGACUCAACUUUUCCACCGUCGGUGUCUUCCGUUCCUCGUGUGACCAUUUCCAGCCACCCAAUGAUUAGCAAAGGAAAAACUGGUAUAUUCAAACCACGAUUAUAUCAUGCUAUGAAUGUUUUAUCUUCUUCUCAAACUUUCCAGGCACUUCUUGCUCUCAAAGAACCUCGGGGUUUUAAGUUUGCUACAAAACACCCUGAAUGGCUCUCGACUACGGAUUAUGAGAUUUAAGCUUUGAAGACAAAUGAUAUGUGGGUUCUUGUACCUCAUCCUAACAAUCACAAUGUAGUGGGUUGUCGCUAGAUUUUCAAAACCAAACUUCGAUCGGAUGGGUCCAUUGAGCGUCACAAGGCACGUCUCGUGGCUCAAGGAUUUUCUUAGAUUCAUGGUCUUGACUUUGGUGACACAUUUAGUCCUGUAGUGCGCCCUGCUACAAUCAGAAUUAUUUUUUCAUUGGUUGUUACUUCUAGAUAUUGUUUACAUCAACUAGAUGUUAAAAACGCCUUUCUACAUGGUUUUCUCAAUGAAGAGGUGUAUAUGGAACAACCACCUGGUUACACAAAUCCACAUGCUCCCACUGAGGACCACUUUCGUGCUCUCAAGCGCAUUUUGCGCUAUGUCAAAGGCACUCCUCAUCAUGGACUUCAACUCUAUCAACAAUCCACUCAUGAUAUUCUUGCUUACUCUAAUGCAGACUGGGCAGGUUGUCCUGAUACACAUCGUUCCACUACUGGCUACGCUAUUUUUUUUUGUACCAAUUUGGUUUCUUGCUCCUUUAAGAAACAAAGCAUUGUCUCUCAAUCAAGUGCCGAAGCAGAAUAUCGCUCUUUAGCUAUUGCCACUGCUGAUAUUGCCUGGAUUGUUCAACUACUUCGGGACCUCCAUGUUACACUCUCAACAACACCUAAAAUUCUUUGUGACAAUCAAAGUGCAAUUUUUAUGGCAAUCAAUCCGGUUACUCGCCCUCACUCAAAACAUAUUGCGAUCGACUACCACUUUGUUCAUGAACUUGUUGCUAAUGGCACUUCGAAAGUUGAUUUUAUCCCUUCACAUCUACAGCUUGCUGAUUCAUUGACCAAAGGUGUCACCAAGCCUCAGUUCUUUCUCUUCCGAUGCAAGCUCAGCGUUAUCCCUUCUCCCAUGCUCACCUUGCAGGGGGAUGAUAAGGGAGAAUCAUUUGAUUCUCCAUAAGAUUUGCUAUAUCCCAAUUCGGUUCCAUAAAAUCCGAAUGUAUAGCUGUAAAUAUAUGUAGAUAUGUUUUCAAUAUUUGUAUUUCAAACCUUUCCUAUUUUAUAGGAUCACAUUGUUGUUAUUUAUUCUAUACAUAUUUGAUGUUAUCUCCUACACACGGCAUAGAGGAUUUCAAUCAUUAUACAUUGUUUCUUAAACAUCUUUACUGUGCAAGAGGCCACAAUGGAAAAGUAUUCCUAUAAGUGGCAUAGUGUAACACACAAUUCUUCAUGAAGGCUCCAGUGAUUUCCUGCCAUAGAUAAUUUGAUGAUUAAAUGGUUAGACUACCACCUAGUAUAUAUAGUUAGGUACAAAAGAACAUCAUUUCCAUUUGCCAAAACCAUGUUAAAAUGUUGCUCCUUUUGUUUUUUAUUCAUGUUCAAGUGAGCUACCUGUUGGGGAAAAUCACCAUCUUCCAUUUGGGAAUUAAUCAACAGCUUUGCAGCCCUAUGAAGAGGUGUUGGGUCUCUCUCAGCCUGUUAAAAAGGAAAGGUUAGACUCAGAUGUUUGGGGAGAAGCCAUGUUGUGAAAGUAAUGUAGAAGACCAAGGUUAGCUUAUGGAUGGGGGAACUGUAAAAAUCUCUACCAGUAAUGUAGAAGACUAAGAUGUUUGUUCCACAUGCAACUUCAAUGAUGAGGGCCUUAAUCAAGCCACGAACAAUUUCUAUGUUUAUCAAAGGUUGGAGACAAGGGACUUCUUAUUUCAUCAGCAAAGUGUUUCAAUGAGCCUUGUGAUUUCUCUACCAGUCUUUGACGUCCACUCCUAUGAGCUAACAGCAAACCCAAGGUAUUGUCAUCAUGCUCAGCUUUGGGGGCCGCCACCUGAGAGCCCAAGUUUUGAACAAUUUUGCAAGAAUGGUUGCGAACCAAGACACUAAGAAAGUAACCUUCUGUAACUACCCAUUUGUCUUCAAAAUCGAAUCACAACUUCCUCUUUUAUUAAUUUCGGUGUCAAUCCAGUCUACCCUUUAUCUGCCCUCGAUUUUGAUCUCGGUGUCAAAUCACUCGGAUACACAGCCUGUACAGAAAAUGUGGCACACUGAAAGGUGGCCAUGCAGUUUUCAGAAACCAGUAACACAAGAAAAAGUGAGAUGACCAUGCAUGCAGAAAUUGAGCUUCAGCGUUUUGAGAGUGUUAUUCACCGACCCUUCGAUACAAUUCGACCCAUAACUUUCAUGAUCACCACAGCAAAGGAGUCCAUCUUCUUUCACAGUUUUGGACUGUCCAAUUGAUUCCGCAUUAAGAUCUUCAGUUCUUGGGCUUAUUGAACGAGGUUGUCACAUUACCUCCAAUUGCCUCCACUUCUAUCGAUCUCUUCCUCCUCCUUUCAGUUGCUCAAACCUUACCACCCAAAUGAACUUCACUGCCUUCCACGAGCACAAAAACCACAAACUCCUAUAAAGCAAAACAGAGCAGUUUGAAGAAUGCACGGUAAAUGAGAAAUGAACCGAGAUGAGAUUUAAGAUACCCGAUGCGGAGAAGUGAAAUGUGCCAAAAAACAAAGUAUGAUCCAAAAGAACAAACAAAAGACCCAUUAAAUAGAAACCCAUUUCAGGUUGAAAUCAAUGGGCUCAGGUCAGUGGCAAAACUGAAACUAUAUCCAAACCUUUCCUCAGAUGAAAAUCAAAAGAAAACGUGAGAAAAGCAGAGUAAUAACACAAGUUCACAACCAAACAAACCAACAGUGUUCAGGAACCUCAUGAGAGGAUGAGAAACAAAGCAAUAAACGUAAACAAGCAAGGAAAUCACAACAAGCGUACCUAAAAAUCCUCCUCUCAAGCAAGAAUACGCUUGGCUUCCUGCUUUUCUUCCUCUCCAGAAACCUGUAAUCCAGCUAGCUCCAACCUCUGCUUCUUCUCCUUACUCUCUUCCAGCUCUUUCUCUGCUCUUACUUCAUUCUUCCUUCCACAGUCUCCCUUCUCUGUUUCACAGCUUUUUCUCAGCUCUCUCUGUCUAAGCUCAGCUCACCAUGGUUUCUUCUCCAGAAUCCCUACCCAGUUCACUCUCUCUCGGUGCCUUCUUUUCUUUUUCAACUCAUCCUCUUUCCUGUCCAAGACAUCUCUCUUCUCUCUCAGAACCCACUCACAGCCUACUCAGCUCAUCCAUGGUUCUUGCCCCACCCGAGAAUCCUUUCUCUCUCAAACCAAACAUCACCCCCUGAAAAUCCACAUCCUCCCUGUUGAAUCCCUCCGUUCUCUCUAGUUCACCCUCUCAAAUGGUUUUCUAAAAACAGGUACCUCACUCUCUCUUUCCCAAUCUCUCUGUUUUUCUCCUCUUCUCAGUUUUUCCUUUCUUCCUCCCAAGCGUAUCUCACUCAGCUCACCACCCUGUGCAACUCCCUACUCUUCUUCUGCUCUUCCUCUGUCUUGGGUCUAGCUCCCUUUGUUUUCUCCCUCUCUCAGAGCUCUCUCUCUGGUUCCUCUCUCAAAAAUGGCUCUCUCACAGGCUCACUUUUUCUCCUCUCAGCGCCGGCCACCCGAAUAUCCUCUGCACUCCCUCCUUCGGUAGAGAUUCCCCCCCCACAAAAUUUUAAAAAAAUCAAUCCUCCAAUAAUUGUGCUGGGACCUAAAAUAAUCUUCUAAUGGUUUUCAAAAUGUAGCUCAAAAAUCAAUAAUGAGCUAAGUAGGCACAAACUACUAAGGGACACGAUGAAAAAUUGACUAAAAAUGGAUCCUAAGCAUGUGCUAAAAAUCAAUAAUGAGCUAAGUAGACACAAACUACUAAGGGACACGAUGAAAAAUUGACUAAAAAUGGAUCCUAAACAUGUGCUAAAAAGGAGUAGAAUAAGAGCAAAAACUAAUAAUAAAAAUGUGUGUGCUAAGGACAAAAUAAAGGAUUUACAUAUAGCCACACCUACAUCUAUUAAAGAUUCAUUAACUAAAGAUGAUUUACAACCUUUCAAUAUGAGCAGCACACCUUGGUUGGUACUCUCCAAUAUUUCACAUUCACUAGACCAGAUAUCACUCAUGCAAUUAACGAAGUGUGCCAAGGUCUCCAACAACCAAACCAAAUUUCAAGGUCGUGAAAUGAAUUCUACGUUGUUGAUCAAUUGUUAGCUAAGAAAUGAAUAAUAGUUUUUAGGAGAGAGACUUUUAGAAAAAAAAAAAAACAGAAUCAAUGUCAAACUUAUUUGGGUUUAAAGAGAAUUUGGUUGAUAAUAAUUCAUGUGUAACUGCACUUCCUUUGUCACUAUCACCAUGUGACUCCAUAUAGUGUUUGGGAGAGUUAGAUCUUGGAACUGGGCGUUUGCAAAAAUAGCAAUUCCCGAAUUUAAUAAAAUGUAGAAGUGUAGAAAAAAGGAAAACGGAACUAUGGACUCAUGCUUCUACAUGAACUAAGCUUAGAUAUAUUGACUAAUCAAACUCUAGUAUUGAUUUUGCAUGAGAGGCGCAUAUUUAUAGACUCUAAAAAACUUUCUAGAUUUGAAAAUCUUAUAACAAGACUCACAAAUAUUGGACUCAAGUAAGUUUGUAGAAAAUUUCUGAACAUGUCCAAUUUAACAACCUUGCUUGAGAUUCCUAAUAACUCAAACUAGAAAUAAAAUAGGAAUUUUUAACAAAAUUAGGAAAUUCCGACUAAACCCAAAUAAGAAAAAACAUGAGCUACUUUUGACUACCAAACUAAACUAUCUUGACAUUUAAUGUCACAAAAUCACUUUUGGUAGACUAAAACUUGAAAGAAUGUAAUAAAUUGAGACACUAAUGACUCACAUCUACCAUAGACACCUCUUGUUGAACUGAAAAUGUAGGUCUUUUUUCUUUUUCUUUUUUAAAUAUCAGUAAACUGUUGAAAAUGUAGGUUAGUUUCUGUUGCUCUUGCUGAUCUGUUGAAUUGAUUGAAUAUCUUCAAUUAUUUUUGUGUUUUAAACCAGCUGAAAAUAGAGAAAGAAGCUCACAGAGUGAUGCAACAGUCAGUAGUAAUCAACCAAGCCUUCCUAAACUCAUACACUACAAGUGGUUGCUUCGAGCGGCUAUCUACAUCCUCUUUUUUCCUGCUGGCCAAUCCAUAGCCACUCUCUUGGGAAGAUUGUACGAUGACAAAGGUGGAAAUAGCAAAGGGAUGGCCAUAUUUGUUCAAUCAGCAGGGGAACUUCCCAAUUCUCCUUUCCCUCUUCUUUUUCUUCUCACCAUCCACCAAAUCCAUGCUUUGUUAGCCUCUCAAAGGCCCUUUUUCAUAUAUAGUUUCAACAAGGUACUUUUCGAAGAUGCAUUAAACCGUUCCUUUAUCUAAGUAGUGAUUUUGGCACUGCAGGGCUCUUCAAUUUCUUUCUUAAUUUUUCAAUUUGCACGAAUGUGGAAACUUUUAAACAUCAAUCAUUUGCUACAAUAAUAAUCAUGUAAAUUUGGUCCACUUUUCCCAUUCUCUAUAAUUGAUUAGCUUAGGAGCUGUAUGGAGAGGAAAAUGACAUGGGUCGGUGUUUGACAAUAAUAUAUAGGAAACCUCUGAUGCAGGCUCUUGGCAUUAAAAUGAGCUAAAGAUGGGUUUGGAAACCACUUUCAAAUGAAAAUUGACAUGCAUAAUUUUUGGUGUAUUUGACAAUAAUAUGAAACCUCUGAUGCAGGCUCUUGGCAUUAAAAUGAGCUAAAGAUGGGUUUGGAAACCACUUUCAAAUGAAAACUGACAUGCAUAAUUUUUGGUGUGUUUGACACAUGCAAUAAAAAUUACUUAAAUAGGAGUGACUUUGUCACAUGGCUUCAGAUGGAAUUACAGCACAGUAUUGGAAUUAGUAUUCAAAUGGCUGCCCACGUGGAGAGUUUUUUAGGCCUCAAUCUUAACAGCAUAGGUUGACCACUCGGAAAUUGGGACCACAACCUAGCCUAGGCUUGAUCUAGGCACUGCUUAGAGACACAUUUCACUUAACUUCUUCGAUCUGUUACUUGUAUUUAUUGUGACACUUAGUUGCUUCUUGUUUAUCAAACAAGCAAGACCUUUCGAUGUUUAUGGAUGAAUUCCUCUUGUCAGCAUUGGUUCUUUAAUAUUCACCAAAAAGUGAACAAGCUUGGAGCCAUAGGUAGAUAUUUUACAAAGCCUUCUAUACUGUUAUCUUAUGCUAAGUACUGAAUAUAAAUGUUGUUGAGGGUACCAACAGUGACAUGUAGUUGCAAUGUUGAUUAUGAGAACGCCAACGGCAUAGUGCAUCAACGGAUAUUUGAGUUUGCUGAGAAGGAGGCCUUUAUAUCAUCGACCAGAUCAGGAUUAUUUGAAUUUAGUAAGGUCCUGCUAUUGUUUUAUUCUCUUGCACAAACUAUUCUUCAAAAUAUGUUACCAUGACAUAGAUAAACUUUUCAUUUGCUUAACAUUGUUCAAAGGGCUUGACAUUGCUCAACAUUAUCUGAGCUUUUCUCCUACAGAUGCUUCUUUGGCAUGGCAAUGCAACCAGACUUAAGGCGAUGGCACUCACUUACAUACUCUGCAAGAGCCCACAAUGGAAAAAUAUUCCUGUGAUCUGCAUAGUGUAACAUGCAGUUUUUCAUGAAGGCUCCAGUGAUUUCCUGCCAUAGAUAAUUGAUGAUCAAAUGGUUAGACUACCACCCAGUAUAUAUAGUCAGCUACAAAAGAACAUCAUUUUCCAUUUCCCAAAUCCAUGUUAAAAUGUUACUUCUUUCGUUUUUUAUUCAUGUUCAAGUGAGCUACCUGUUGGGGAAAAUCACCAUCUUCCAUUUGGGAAUUAAUUAACAGCUUUGCAGCCCUGUAAAGAGGUGUUGGGUCUCUCUCCGCCUGUUAGAAAGGAAAGGUUAGACUCAGAUGUUUGGGGAUAAGCCAUAUUGUGAAAAUAACGUAGAAGACCAAGUUAAGCUUGUUGAUGGUGGAACUGUACAAACUGACCUGACCAGAAGAAAGCAGCCCCAUCAGAGCCCACCCGGUUUGUACCAGAUUUGACUUGUUUCCUUCAAGAGGUGUAUGUUUCUGUAUCACCAAGCACAAGGAUUACUUGUUUUUGUGCAUGUUUCUACCAGAAAACAGAGCAGUGGGUGGCAUGUAAGAAUUACCUUGUCCUGGCAAGAAAUAUAGCUCUCUCCCCAACCACCAUCAUCUCUUUGUGAUUUGAGUAGAAACUCAACAGCUCUACCAAUAGCAAGACAGUUGUGGUAAGUCCUGCCAGCAGCUGUUAGGCCCCCAAGUGCAAACCAUGAGCCAUAGGUGAAACAUACUCCCCAAAUGCCUCUUUGUUUAAAUGGAUUUGCACUGCAUAUAUAAAAAAAGAUUUCCCCAGUGAAAUAGUAAUAGUGGAGUUGAGAAACAUACCAUGAGCCAUCAGGCAUUUGUUGGUCUUCAAUGUACUUGGUAGCAUUUGUGAUGAAAUUGUCUAUCUCCUUCGUCCUGUGUCGGGGGUAUAACUUCUUAAACAAAACCAGAGCCUGAAUUGCUGAUGCAGUGCACUCAACAUACCUGGAUCAUCGUUUUGUUAGUCUCCAAGGAAGUUAAAGCUAGUAGAGUUAGAAAAAAAAGCUGAUCUAUUAUCAAGAAUUUUACUCAUGCUCGAUGACAAUGUCUUCAAACAUUUCAGAGGGGUUGAGCAGCUGAAAAGAGAAGGGAUUGACAUUGAUUUAGAUUCAAAGAAUACAGAGAGAGAGAGAGAGAGAGAGAGAGAGAGAGAGAGAGAGAGAGAUAAAACGGAAACAUUAAAGUUACUUAAACAAGUUGAAGUAAUGUACCUCCAACCAUUCUGAAGCUCCUGCAGGCUCCCAGAUUGCUAAACCACCAUUUUUACUCUGCAGUGGUUUUGAAAACAAGGGUUAUUGAUACUAAGAAGUUAUAACCUGUUUUGUGAUGGGGACAACCAUGGAAUGGCCCAAGGAAGAUGAUUCUCACCUGUAGGGAAAGCAGGAUGUUGACAGAAUCAAAUAGUCGUUCGGGUUCCAUCUUCAUACCAACAAUUUCUGGUGCCAUCAUUGAAAAGAGAAGACAACACUGUAACAGAGGGGACUUCAGUGAGAAACCAAGUGACUUUAGUUAAUCUGCAAGCCCUGACUCAAUUAAGUGUUUGAACAGAAAAAGUUACCUUCAAACCUUCUGCAGUGCAAUCAGAAACUUGCCAACCAUGAUCCUGAUCUGAGAAUGUCCACGAACCUUUGGAAAUGUGGCGAUACAUGCUUUUAAAGUCACCAGAAGGAUUGUCCUUGACCUUCAAGAUUUCAAGCAGUAUGAAGUAAAUAGACCAUGAGAAACCCAAGUAGAUUCUGGUUAAAGUCAAGACACAAACAAUGGAAUUCAAGAUCAAACCUGAGAUUCCUUUAUGAAUUCAUGUCCUUUCUUGAGUGUAGGUCCAAUUUCAUCGGUCAUAUUGCAAGCUAGCGGUGCUUGAAGGGCAAAACCAGUGUCCCACUCUUGACUACCAAAGGUCUACAGCAAUCGACAAUUUCAAAACCAAUUAGGCAGGAGAGGAUAAAAGCAUAGCUUCAAACCAGUUGCACACUUGAAAUAUUUUAAGAAAAAGAUGAAAAGAUCAAAGCUCCAAGCCCAUUUAUGAGGUUAAGAUGAUGACUAGGUUCAAAAUAUAUAUACCUGAUGACAGUAUAGGUAGCGAAGAAUUUCUUUACGAUAUUCUCCAGGGAAUACAGUGUCAAGAUGCCCUGUAAUGUAUAGACACAUGACCUGAAUUUUCCAUGAAAUUAUUCCAUUGAGAAUGGUUGUUAAAAUGGUCCAUAUACAUGAUUUUAAGGAGGGUGAGAGGGUGUUGAGUAGACUCACCAGAGGAGGAAGGAAAUACAAUGGGCCAGCAUUUUCAGCAGGCCAAUGGCCAUCACUAGCCUGCAAAGCUGAAAAGAAAUGUGCACCCCUUCUCACUGCUGCUGUGAUUGUCUCAUAUGUAAUUUCUUCACCAUCCCCAACCUUAACUUGUGGUAUUGUUUGUUUGAAAUUUUUCUCUCUCAAAAACUGCAGUUUUUUUUGGCCAAAUGAAAUGGGAGUUAAUGAAGUGAAAGUUUAAAAGAAAAGGUAAAUUAACCUCAAUAGUAAGCAUCUAUUUAUACAAUUGUUCCAAGUUAAGAGAAUUAUUACAAUUUUUAAAGUGCAUAAUAUAUAUUUUGGGUUCAAAUCCUACAAACUUAAUCUUUUAGGAAAUUACUUGUUUAACAUGGUAUCAAAGCUCGGUUUUGGAAUCGGUCUUACCUCUCAUUAUCCGACAAUUUGCUUGAUGGUGUCUCAACCAGUUUAAAAGAAAAGAAAAGAAAAGGUAAAUUAACCUCAAUUGUAAGUAUCUACUUAUACAAUUGUUCCAAGCUAAGAGAAUCAAGAUAGAGUUAGCAAUUGUUAAACUGCAUAAUAUAUAUUUUGGGUUCAAAUCCUACAAACUUAACUUUUUAAGAAAUUAGUUGUUCAACAUGGUAUCAAUGCUCAGUUUCGGAAUUGGUCUCACCUCUCAUUAUCCGACAAUCUGGUGGUAUCUUAACCUAAGGCCUGGUGUAUGAGGGGAAUAUUGUUAGGUUUUCCCAUAUCUCUUAUAGAAGGAAUUGGGUGACUCUUUAUCAGUGUGCAUGAAAAUCUCAGCCUUCAAGCUAAUUUUUGGGGUGAUAAGGCCCAAAAUCACCCAAUAUAUUUUUUCUUUUUUACUUUAUGAUAUCAUAACCUCAUUUGGGAGUUUUGGGUCAAAAUGGCUCAUUUUUUAAACUUAAUGUUAAAAAUGGGCACAUUUUCAAACUAUUGUUCAAAAUGGCCUCUUUGAUGCCACGUAGGCGUCACAUCAUUAAAAAAUAUUUUUUUUUCGUCAUUAUAGUGAAAGCCGCAGUUGGGAAACGCAGCUUCAUUUUUGUACUAAAGCCGCAGUUGGGAAACGCGGCUUCAUUUUUGCACUAAAGUCGCAAUUGGGAAACGCGAUUUCAUUUUUGUACUAAAGCCGCAGUUGGCAAAUGCGGCUUCAUUUUUACACUAAAGCCGCAGUUGAGAAACGCGGCUUCAUUUUUUAACUAAAGCCGCGGUUGGCAACUGCGGCUUUAGUUAAUUUUUAUUUAAAUUUAAAAUUUAAUUAAAAAAUUAUUAAAUUACAAUUUAUGAAUGAAAUUUAAAAAUAUACUUAAAUAAUAAAUUAUUUAUAUUUAAAUUUAAAAUUCUAGUAUUACUUCAACAAACAUAAAUUGGUAAAUAGAAGAUAUUAUAAAUGAAUGUUUUAUUUAUUAAUAAAUUAAUAAUCUUAAAAUAAUAAAUUUAUAUAACAUAUAAAUAAUAUAUAAAAUUGUAUAAUUUAUUAAUUUAAGAUAUUUAAUUUGUUAAAUUUUAAGAUAUUAAUUUAUUUAUAUUAUGAUAAAUUUAUCUUUAUCGAAAUAAUAAUAUAGUAGUUAAUAACUGAGAUUUCAAUUAUAAUAUUUUUUUUUACUUUCCAAUUUAAUUAAAAACUAUUAAAUCACAAUUUAUGAUUGAAAUUUAAAAAAUAUACUUAAAUAAAAAAUUAUUUAUAUUUAAACUUAAAAAUCUAGUAUUACUUCAACAAACAUAAAUUAAUAAAUAAAAGAUAUUAUAAAUGAAUGUUUUAUUUAUUAAUAAAUUAAUAAUCUUAAAAUAAUAAAUUUAUAUAACAUAUAAAUAAUAUAUAAAAUUGUAUAAUUUAUUAAUUUAAGAUAUUUAAUUUGUUAAUUUUUAAGAUAUUAAUUUAUUUUUAUUAUGACAAAUUUAUCUUUAACAAAAUAAUAACAUACUCUUAAGCCGUAGUUGUCAUAUAUAGAUUUUUUUACAAAAUUAGUUAAUGAAAUUAAUUACAAAAAGUCUACUACAAAAUGUAAUUUUUAAUAGUUUAAUUAAAGUCACAAAAAAUAUCUACUAAACAUUAAUAUAGUGGAAAAUAAAAAACAUAUAUAAUCUCACAUGCCUCCACAAGAAGAGAACCUAUGUGUAACUGGUACUCUCUUCCUUUGGACAAGAACGCCGAUUGUGACCCUAUUGCUUGCAAAGUCCACAUGUUUGUGGAGUCCUAGUUUCCCUUGCAUCCAUCUCAUUAUGCAAACGACUUGAUUUUGGUCGACCAGAAGUUAGCCAUUUCAUUGAGUCUGAAGGCACAAUUAUCGGUCCAUUAUAUUGAGGCCACUCCAACUCAUCAAAUAUGGGAUAAAACAAGGGAGCCCAUGUUGAUAGGUAAGCACGUGUGGUGUAAUAACCUUGUACAAAUUGUCGAAAAUCAAUUGCUCGACAAUGACAAGCAGCAAGAAUGUGCGAACAUGGGAAUCAUAACAAAAGUGUUUUGUUACAUGUGCAAGACCCCAUUUGAAGGGUAACAUGAUAUAUGCGAGGUUUCCUAUUACUGCUUCCAACAGAGUGUCUAGUUUUAACAUGAAAACGUCCCGCCACAUGAUCAUACAAAAAAACCUCAUGUGCACCCACCUUAACAACUUUAGCCUUUAUCUUGGCGUCAAUAUGUGGAGUGAAUUCUUCACCUGAAGCGAGCCGACUAGCACCAUGCUCCCGCCUGACUGUGAAGUAACUGUUAACCCGAUAGAAAGUUAACUGGACUAAAGCUAUUAUUGGUAAGUUACGAGCACCCUUAAGGACACCAUUAAAAACUUCAGACAUAUUAGUUGUCAUAAUCCCAUAUUUUCGCCCACCAUCAUAUGAGAGUGCCCAUUUUUCAAGAGGAAUUUGCUCCAACCAAUUUCUAGCCUCGGCAUUUAUCCGGCCAAUUGUAUCCAUGUGAGAAAUAAAUUUUAUCAUGUGUGAUUAUAUAUAGGUUCUUGUCCAAACAGGAAGAGAGUACCAGUUACACAUAGGUUCUCUCCUUGUGGAGGCAUGUGAGAUUAUAUAUGUUUUUUAUUUUCCACUAUAUUAAUGUUUAGUAGAUAUUUUUUGUGACUUUAAUUAAACUAUUAAAAAUUACAUUUUGUAGUAGACUUUUUGUAAUUAAUUUCAUUAACUAAUUUUGUAAAAAAAAAUCUAUAUAUGACAACUACGGCUUAAGAGUAUGUUAUUAUUUUGUUAAAGAUAAAUUUGUCAUAAUACAAAUAAAUUAAUAUCUUAAAAAUUAACAAAUUAAAUAUCUUAAAUUAAUAAAUUAUACAAUUUUAUAUAUUAUUUAUAUGUUAUAUAAAUUUAUUAUUUUAAGAUUAUUAAUUUAUUAAUAAAUAAAACAUUCAUUUAUAAUAUCUUCUAUUUAUUAAUUUAUGUUUGUUGAAAUAAUACUAGAUUUUUAAGUUUAAAUAUAAAUAAUUUUUUAUUUAAGUAUAUUUUUUAAAUUUCAAUCAUAAAUUGUGAUUUAAUAGUUUUUAAUUAAAUUGGAAAGUAAAAAAAAAAUAUUAUAAUUGAAAUCUCAAUUAUUAACUACUAUACUAUUAUUUCGAUAAAGAUAAAUUUAUCAUAAUAUAAAUAAAUUAAUAUCUUAAAAAUUAACAAAUUAAAUAUCUUAAAUUAAUAAAUUAUACAAUUUUAUAUAUUAUUUAUAUGUUAUAUAAGUUUAUUAUUUUAAGAUUAUUAAUUUAUUAAUAAAUCAAAUAUUCAUUUAUAAUAUCUUCUAUUUAUCAAUUUAUGUUUGUUGAAAUAAUACUAGAUUUUUAAGUUUAAAUAUAAAUAAUUUUUUAUUUAAGUAUAUUUUUAAAAUUUAAUCAUAAAUUGUAAUUUAAUAGUUUUUAAUUAAAUUUGAAAGUAAAAAAAAUAUUAUAAUUGAAAUCUCAGUUAUUAACUACUAUACUAUUAUUUCGAUAAAGAUAAAUUUAUCAUAAUAUAAAUAAAUUAAUAUCUUAAAAAUUAACAAAUUAAAUAUCUUAAAUUAAUAAAUUAUACAAUUUUAUAUAUUAUUUAUAUGUUAUAUAAAUUUAUUAUUUUAAGAUUAUUAAUUUAUUAAUAAAUAAAACAUUCAUUUAUAAUAUCUUCUAUUUAUCAAUUUAUGUUUGUUGAAGUAAUACUAGAAUUUUAAAUUUAAAUAUAAAUAAUUUAUUAUUUAAGUAUAUUUUUAAAUAUCAUUCAUAAAUUGUAAUUUAAUAAUUUUUUAAUUAAAUUUUAAAUUUAAAUAAAAAUUAACUAAAGCCGCAGUUGCCAACCGCGGCUUUAGUUAAAAAAUGAAGCCGCGUUUGGCAACUGCGGCUUUAGUACAAAAAUGAAGCCGCAUUUGCCAACUGCGGCUUUAGUGCAAAAAUGAAGCCGCAUUUGCCAACUGCGGCUUUAGUAUAAAAAUGAAGCCGCGUUUUCCAACUGCGGCUUUAGUGCAAAAAUGAAGCCGCGUUUCCCAACUGCGGUUUUAGUACAAAAAUAAAGUCACGUUUCCCAAUUGCGGCUUUCACUAUAAUGACGAAAAAAUAUAUUUUUUAAUGAUGUGGCGCCUACGUGGCAUCAAAGAGGCCAUUUUGAACAUUAGUUUGAAAAUGUGCCCAUUUUCAACAUUAAGUUUCAAAAAUGGGCCAUUUUGACCCAAAACUCCUCAUUUGGUGGGAGGUGAAGGUCAUAUGGUGGCCCACUAUGGUCACUUUGUUUGAAGUCAAGUGGUUUCAAUACAUGUUUCUUUUCCCAAUUUAUCAAGUUCGCAUGCAAGCCUGAAAAUAGAAGCUGCACAUGUAAGAGGGAGAGAGAGUGAGAGAUUAUGGUUGUUUGGUGGUGAAAACAUGAUUCUAAAGAGGACCCCAUAUCUUGCGAUUUUUUGGGUUCCUUUUUUCAUAGAAAUCAUCACCCAUAAUCAAAUAAAUGGAAACAAAACAAGAAAAGCUAUGUAGCUAGACUACGUAAAACAACAAGUAUGUAUGCAUGGAAGACACAUAUAGUCAGUGAAAAACUGCAAUCUAGGACGCAGAUGACAGAUCAAUAUCUGUUGUGAUAUCAAGACUUGAGAUAGAUGGGAUCAAAUCACCUGCAUCCGCCAAAGGAGGUCGCUGCUGGGCUUAACCUGAAACCGGUUUUUCCAGAAAUUUUCACGAGCUGCUUCGACCUCAGCUCGCUCUUCUGGGGUCCCACAGUCAGAAUCAAACUCCCAUAUCUGUCUUCCCACGAAGUUGUUGGUGCUGUAGAUGUAGGGAUCAUUGCCUCCAUCUGCAACCUUGAGCCUCCACAUUUUCUAACUCACCAAACAGACGAGAUAUAUCUCUAUAUAUAUCUAAGUUUACAAAUAAGUGUCUCCCUUCCGAAAACACCUGCUGAUCAUGAAAUCACCAGAAAGGUAAGACAAGCUUUUCUUUGCAGUAAAAUUAAGUUAAAAUGAUACAGACCAAGGAUAGAGAGAUAGAUGCUGGGUGGGCAGAGAAGAGAGAGACUUCAGAAACUUGGAAUGGCGAGUUCCAGGUGGGAAUCACUCAUUCAUAUAGAAGCAGAACACCAAGUCAGUCACCAACCCCCAUCACUUCUAUUAAUUCUUUUUUCACCCACUUCAAGUAUUUAAUGCAAAUUUUCACCAACCCCCACCAAGUUUGUGGAAUUUUUUGACUUUCAAGUAUUUUUUAAUUGAUGUGUUUUUUAAAAGGGUUAAACCAUUAAAGAACUCAAUGCAUGGAGUCCAGGGACAGUCCCUGAUAGAUAUCAGUCAUUCAAUCCUAAAAUUAAUAUACUUUAAAACAUACAUGAAGAAAUGACACAUCAAUUAGGUAUAUAGCAUUCAAAUUGUAUCAACUAAUAUGUCCAAUUAAAGUCUCAAUCAAAUUGUUGCCAUCAGUUAUAAUUAUGGUUCUUGUGGUUGUUAUUAGGAGAAAUGGCCACCAGUAUUUGAACAUAGAGUAGAUGUGAAUCAUGUGAUAGCCUACUUACAUAACUCCACACCCAACCAAAUCAACAACUCACUAUUUAAGACAAAUAUAACAAUGUGUAAGGCUAUUCCAAUGGUUCUUCCCUCUACUAGAUUAUUCAUCCAAGAACGUAAUGGCUAGUUUAUUUUCAUAGAAUCAUUCAUAAAGUAGGAAAAAUUUUAUUCUUUCCAUUUGUAUCAGCAUAAUCGAUUGAUUAGCUAAACUAAGGCCAAAUUAGUUGACUUGCUUUUCCCUUUCUACCCAUAGUUUUAUAUAUUUUCUAAAAAUCAAUGCUAAUCUAAUGAGGGCCUACUAUAGUUUCAUUUUCUUGUAUAAAAUAUUCUUCAAACUUCUUAUGUUAUUAGAAUUCUACCUCACAAUUCAAUCUUUUCACCAAUGUGCAAACUUGGUAUUUGUGAAAUUUCAAAUUUUCAAUCUUUUCACAAUUUCAAAUUUCUACCAAGUAUCUUCUUUGGAGAUCUUAAUAUUUGCCUUUAAUCAAGAGUCUUUAUCCUGAAAAUCACCUUACAAAUGUUGGUAAGAAGGAAGUGAAUCCAAGCUACACAAUCUGGGUGAACAAUGAUGGCCUCCCGUCUUAACUUAUAGGGUUGAUAAAAAAAAGAUGAAGUAUUACCAUUGGAGGACAAUCUAGUUGAUAGAUCUGGAUUUUUUAUUGAAGAACAACAAACACAUCAAUACCAAUUCCUCCUCCUAUCAUUCUUGACACAUAGCCUACAGUUACUAUCACUACACUUCCAAUCAUAGAAUCACCUUUUCCUUUCCACGAAAUCCAUUCCAACCACCUUUACACCUGAUCCUUCCUCUCCACCAUACACUCCACACUAGAUUUAACGAACCAAUUACUUACCAAUCUUCCAACUGCCCCAACUUCUCUAUGAACACAACCUAUGCCUGACAAUCCCUCUCCUUCACCAGAACAACCCACACAACUUCCCACUAGCAUUAACACUCAUGGCUUGUCACCUAUGCAAAAUUGAGACAAAAACGUUAUUUGGCUCUCCAUGCUAGUCAUUCUACUCGUAUUGAACCUAGAACUCUUAAAUCAAAACUUAAACAACCUCAUUAGGUGGUUCAUAUGGAGGAAGAAAUAAACAACUAGAGGUUGAAAAUGUCUUCUUAAUUGACUAUCUUAAGGAAAUGAUUUACAAGGAGUAACCUCCAGGGUUUGUUAACCCUAAUUUUCCUUCACACGUUUGUCUUCUUAAAUGUUCCCUAAAUGGCAUGAAGCAAGCCUCUUAAGUUUGGUUUAAGUGUUUAUCACAAGCUCUUAUUCAACUUGGUUUCUUUGAUACCAAGAAUGACUCAUCAUUAUUUAUUUUGCAUACAAGUUCUCUAAUUGUUUUAAUCUUAUUUUAUGCAAAUGAUGUUAUUGUAAGAAGUAGCAACCCUUGCUAUAAUUCAAUAUAUUAUUACUACUUUCAACUCUAGAUUUGCUUUAAAGACCUUGGCUACCUAAAAUAUUUCUUGGAAAUUGAAGUUAAAUAUUUUCAAGGUGGUUUUUUAUGGACCUACAUUUUUCACAUACGUUCCUACUCGAUAGCGAGACUCGUUUUUUAAUGAAAAAUUGAUUUUGAAAAAGUUAGAGUCACCAUUUAUUUUUGUUUAUUUUUUAAAGGGAAAAAAAUAAAAAAUAAAAUCUAAAAAUGACUUUUUAUUUGGAAAAGUAUGUCUUUCAAAACUAGGUCCAAAUCCAGGAUUCAUGUUAUCUAUCGAGAAGGUACCAUAAGGUAGCACUCUUCUAAGCCCUAAAUAAAGGUCUCUACUAAUUAAAUUGAGGUAACUAUGACAAUUGAUUUGUAAAUCAAUGGAUGCUAAGAAUCAUGAGAUAUAUAUCAUAGUAAUAAUGAAAACAUAAUUAAAAAUCACUCAAACAAGCCAUGCACACUCAAAGAGUCACAUCAACAAGGAAAGGAAGGAGCGUACCUUAUAGCAUGCUAAGCAUUCUUAUAAAAUAACAUAAUGUUAACAAAUAAACCAUAUCAAGGAAGCAUUCAAAACAAUACAUGCAUACUCAAAGAAUCAAACAACAGAAAAAGAGAGGAGAUAUACCUUGAUAGCUAGCAAAGCACUUUCAUAAAAUCAUUUAGGGGUAGUUCAUAAGUAAUAAUAAUAGCAGAUAUAAAAUCAUAGGUAAGACCUCACAAUAGAUACAACAUAUGCAUAUCUCAAAUCAUGAAAUAAAGAGAUGAUAAGGUAUGAACAAGAUGAAACAAAAUACAAUACACAUGCUUAAAAUUUCAGAAUUAGCUAACAAGUAUUCACUCACAAAAAUUAGUCUAAAUAAAAUAUCAAAUAAAGAAUCCCAAUCCAAAGAAAGGUUCAACUAAUGUGUAUAAUAUGUCUACAAUGUAAAUCAAUAAUCAAAAGCAUGCAUAAAGGGGAUCGAAUUAUAAAAAACCUACAGACUAUCAUCAAUAGGGCAGAACAAGGGUAUUUACAAAAUAAAUCUUAAAUAAAUACCUAAAAUUCUUAUUUUAUCAAAAUAAAAAAUGGAGAACAUCUUCAAUAUGUCUAAAUCAAAAUAAAAAAAAUUCCAAAUUAUUUAAUUAUAUGCUAUUCAAUACCAAAUUAAAUCAAACUAAGGACACUACACAGAACAUUCAACAUAUGAUUAAAACAAAGAUGUUCAUGAAAUGGAUUCUAAAAAAAUAUCUAGAAAUAGAAUUUCAUCACAAAAAAGGGACAAUAUCUCCUAUGUCUAUAUAAUAACCCAAAAGAUCACAUUAUUUAAUUAUGUUCCAUUCAAUACCAUAUUUCAUCACAAUUCAUAUUGGUAAAAAACAAGACAAAUUACAAAGCAUACAAGAAUUAAUUUAUUUGGUGAAUUUAGAAGUAUGUUAAAAUCACAUAAAAAGUUAUACAAUUUCUUCUAUAUGAUUUCAUUACAUGAAAAAUAAUAGCGAGAUUAAAUCAUACAAGAACUUAUUGAAAUUCAACCAAAAAAAACCUUAACUAUAGAAUAGAGCCGAUGUAGUGGGUGUAGAAAUGAAAAUUUAUUUCUCCUACUUGGGAGGUAAUUUUUGAGUGUCAUAGGGGUCUAAAUUAUAAUUUAUGAAGUUUAGAUUAAGGAAAAAACAUCAAAAUAAAUUAAUUUUAAAAAACUAUUUUGGGUAUCUAGAAUAGUGCUGAAAUUAGACCUAAUGAAAGACUAAUUUAAAUGCCUUACUUAGAGAAGCGUUUCAAGCUCAAAAAUAAAAUAAAAUAAUUUCACAUAGUUAAGAAUUCUAAAACAAUAACCAAGCAUUGAAAAAAAUUUAAAAGGUCUCUAAGUGGUCGGAUUCUAAUUUACAACUUCAAAGGUGCAGUGGACUAACAACAAUGGCAAUAUAGAACUGAUUUUUGGAAAACUUUGAAUUAAGGGAUUCACUAGGUCCCUUUUAAAUUUUUAUGAAUUUAUCUAUGCUUCAUUAACCUCAUGUGAGCAUGAACAAGCUCACUAAGGCUAGGAAUGACUCCAUUGAUUGGAGCUAUAAAUUUAAUUCAUGUAUGAGAAAAAUCGAAAAUAAAUGAAACCUUUUCAAAUAUGCAUAUCAAAUUAAAUGAACAAGGUAGCAAUUUUUAUUUUUUUAUUAUUUUUAAAUAGUCUUCUUUUCACCUAAUUGAUCUAAUAUGGAUUUGAAUAGUGAACUUUCAUGAUUCACUUUGUUUUAGAAACAAUUAAAAAUACUUUCAAAAUCAUUAAAACACAUAAAAUCAUAAAUCACUAAAAAGGCACCUAAAGAUCAUUGUGUGUGUAUAAAAAAUUGAGUGUUCAAAGUGAAGUGAAUUGCGUAUUUUGUGCAUCUUAAAAAUGACUAAAAAAAUGACCUGAAAGUGUGCCAAAACUAAGCCUCUAAAGUGACAUAAAAAAGCAUAUAAAAUUGACUUAAAAGUGAAAUGAACAAGUGAUACGGAAAAUAGAGAUACAUGGUGAACUCAACUAAUGACCUAUAUGUGUGAUUAGUGAUGAAAGAUUAUAAGGAUCAACUAACCUAAAAAUAAAAAUUAAGAGACAUGAAUCAAUACAAAAACACUAACAUUCAAAACCUAUUUUCAUGAUUUUUCAAUCGCUUAUUUUUGGAAAAACAAAUUUAAAAGAAAAGAAACCUAAUCUUAAUUCUAAAAUUAACUAACAAACAUUUCACAUUCAAGCAACAUAUCAUCAAUUAAUCCAACACUCAUGUGUGUCCUAUUCCUCCACACCCAACCUAAUCUAAUAUAUCCAAAAUCAUGAAAAUGAGAAGAAAUAGGAAAAAAAAAAAAAAGAAAUCAAAACUAAAAUCAAAAUUCAGCAACUUACCUCAAAUUAACUUUCUCUUCAAAAUUCGGUGGGGUCCUUUUUACUUUUCACAAAUCUAAUCUAUGCAUCUGUGUGUUCUCAAUGGCCGAUGCAUGCCUUCUUCUCCAAUAUUCCUCUACUGCAUCUCUUAAGGAUCAAAUUCUUCUCCAAUAUUCCUCUACUGCAUCUCCUAAGGAUCAACGUUGCUGCAUGUUUUCUCUCUCCUUUACCAAAUGCUGCUACAUUUCAUGCUUGCAUCUUCACUUUAAAAAUUAUGUUGUAACUUUCAAUUAAAGGCAUGCACUAAUAGCUCCACAAUCAACCCACUCUAAUCAUCAAUUGUGUACAACCAACUCAAGAAAAACAUGAAUAGUGUUUUUUUCUCACAAAUUUCAUUUAAAAAAAUUAUUCCUUAUCUAGAAACUUCCCUCAAAUUAUGCCAUGCCAAUUUGUGGACCUGCAUUUUUCACGUGUGUCCCUACUGGACGGCGAGACUCACUUUUGAUUUGUGAAAAACUACAUUUUCAUUAAAAUUUGGACUCACCGCUUACUUUUAUUUAUUUUUUAAAGGGGAAAUCAAGUAAGAACAAAAUGUCUGAAAUGACUCCUAAAUUUUGGAAAAGCUAUCUACGAAAAACUUGAGUCUAGGUUCAGGGAUCAAGUAAUCCAUUGGGAAGGUACCUCCAAAGAGAUAACACCCCUCUAAGCCCUAAAGAGGCCUCUACUAGUUAAGUUGAGGGAAGCAUGUCAAUUAGUCAGUUGAUUGAAGAUGCCUAAGUAGGUUAAGGUAAUUUCAAAACUUUGAUAAUUCUAAAGUGUCAAACAAGGAUUCAAAUCAUAAUCAUAAAAAGAGGAUAAUAUGUGUAUUUGGAUCAGUAACUUAAAUGCCAUCACAAAACACCAAAGUAAGUUAAGGUAUUAUAUCACUCAACAUGCAUUUUAUCAAAGGAAAUCAAAUGAAUAUCAAGGCACCCGAAGUCAAUUUCAAACAUGGAUAUAGUUUCCAAUGACAUACAUAUUCAUGGAACUUUGAAAUGGGAAGAUAAAGAGCAUACCUAAGUGCCAAGCAUUUGUGCUUUUAUAAAAAUGGGGUUAACUCAAAAAUAAUAAUAAUGAGAUUAAAGAAUAAUAAAAAUAAAUAAAUCUAUAUAGAUAUAUAUAUAUAUACUUAGCAUGUCUCAAAUCAAGGAAAAUUCAUAAGCAUAUUCAAAAGUGACCAAAUUAUCAAAAGGAAAGGAAAUAUCAUUAAAAGGGUAAAAUAUUGGUUCACAAAAUAAACUCCAAAUAAAUAUCAAGAAAGGUUAUCUCACCAAAAUAAAAAUUAGGCAACAUCUUUAACAUGUCCAAAUUAACAUCUGAUAGGCCAAAUUAAUCAAUUAUAUUUCAAUUAAUAACAAAUUGAUUCAUAAAUGGGUUACUUCACAGAAAAAAGUCAUCAAAUGAUCAAAAUAGAAGACUGUACAAAAUAAAUCUAAAACAAAUAUCUAGAAUCUAAGUUUUAUCAUGAAAAUUUUCAAAGAACAUUUCUUAUAUGUCUAGUUUAUCAUCUAAGUGACCAAAUUGAUUGACCAUCCCUCAUUUAGUACCAGAUUUCAUAAUGAUGAUAAUAGGUCCAAAACGUGGCAUCUUUUUAAGGUAUUCAACAAUUGAUUUUUCCGAUUAACUUAUAGAUGUCCUAAACUCAUAAAAAUAAAAUAAAAAAUUCACACAACUAUCUAAAUUUUCUAUUUUAUAGGAAAAAUAAUCAUAAGGCAAUAACACAUUCAUAUUUUAAAGUAAAUAAACAUCUCUCUACUUUAGAAGAGCCCUCAUGCAGUGUGUGCAACAAGAAAAAAUUAUAUCUCUUAUUUUAGAAAUCAUUUGUUAAUAGUUUAUGUAUCAAAAAUUAAAUUCAAAAAGUUUAGAUUAAGAGAAAAAUGUUCAAAGAAAUUAAAGAGAUCGUUUAGUAAUUUAAUUUUGUAAAACAAAACUGAGUGUCAAAAACAGAGUGAAAAGUGAACCUUUUGAAAAAUUGAUUUAUAUCUCCUAAUUGGAAAACCAUAUUUGACCCAAGAAAGAUUCUAAAAUCAAGUUCAAGGAGUCUAGAAUGUUAUAGAAUAGUUAGAAAAAUUUUAAAGGGUUUCUAAGUUGUUAGAUUCCAAUUUACAGAUGCAGAAGUACAAUGUACUGUAAUGAAAAAUUCUAAACUAGCUAAAAUGAAUUAAGAUAAAUCAAGACAAAUUUCAAAAUAAAAACUGCAUCACCUAGAAUAGAAGCCAAUUUACCAAAAAUAUAAGAAAUACUCAAACUAAAAGAAUGGGAUCAAACCAAAUCAAAGCAUUAACUGUAACACCAAGGAUUGAUUAAAUUAAUGAUGAAAAAUCAUAAAUGGGCCUAAACUAAUAGAACAAAUUAAACUAAACUAAAACAAGAAUUUAAAAACAGAACUUACGUUCAACCGUGUAAGAGGGGCUGCUAUUAGAACGCUCUUAAUCCUUCCAAUCUGAUGCUUUAUAUGCUACAUUUUCUAAAAGAAAAUCCCGAGACAUCCUCAAAGUUGCAGCUUGUUGUCAUCUUCUUUGCAUGGUAUGGUUGCCCUCCAAAUUUCAUCAAAAUGUGUGGAUGGCUUUCACAAAAUCUGGUGGUGCCAUAUUCUUAAAGUGGCAACCUUUUUUUUUUUUUUUUUUUCCAAAAAAUAAGCUGAUGUGUAGUGGAGGUUCAAAGUGGUAGCCUUAUUCUCAUCCUAGUAGUGCGUGGUGGAUACCUCUCACAAAAUCUGGUGGUGCAAAAAUCUGUGCGUGUAGGGGCUUUUUGAGUGGCAGCUUGUUGUGUAAAAUCCACAGAUGCAGCCUUGAUGGAGAUCUCUUGGUGCGUCAGUUAAAGCUCCAAUCCAUAAUCAGUCCGGUGCGUCUUUAGGAAGAUUUGGACAUUCAAUGCAUGCAGUUCCCUAUUCUCUCUGAGUAACAAGGACUGUUCAAGCUUUAACUCAGCAAAAGUAUAGCCUGAAAAUCAUAUAUCAAUGAUUAUGGUGCAUUCUGUUGCUUCAAUUGAUAGAAGCAUUGCUGCCCGACCAUAUGUCAUGCCACUGUUUUGGUUCCGACAAUUUCCAUCUUCUCAUUCCAUUUUCCAGUAGAAUUUAUGUGGAGAUAUAUAGUCUUUGUGGGGUUGUCGAAAUCCAACCACGUGAAUUGAGAGUAAGAAGCUCAGCUAUUAUAGGUAUGACGGGCAUGCCUAAACAAUAAUUUCAAGUUUCUAAGAGCAGUAGAUCCCUUCACAUCUUCAGAUUUUAGAAACAUAGGCCAAAAAAAUACUCAAGAUUUCUCCACCCCGCAACCAUUCCAUCGCAAUUGUAAAUAUGCAGUAAGUAUAACCAGUCCAGUCUUGUGCCAUUGUAUUGGCUUUCAUUUUGGGAGCAAAUCAUCACCAGUAGGUCUCGAAAUGGAAAAGUUAGUGGCUCUCUCAUCUUCUGUAACUUUGUACAUAUCUGUCCAAUUAACUCUAGGCUUCAUUAUAGAUAUUACAGUGUUGCGAGCCACAAAAAUGAUAUAUAGCUCCCAUGUCAAACAAUGCCGCAUCUCCAUCCUCAGAGGUUUUACCAUUUAGAGCUGUUGUGUGCCCGUAAUGGAGAAUAGCACCACUUUUCCCGCAACUUGUUCACUUCAAGAAUGCUAAAGUUACUCUAGUGACAUCCUCAGCAAUCAUAAACAGAGGAGCUCUCAAUGGUCUUUUCUAACAAAAGAAUUAUGCUCUUUAUCAUUGAAAUCUUUUGCUUUGUGUCCAACACUCUUACAUUCUCAAGUUCAACAAUCAAUUUCUCAAGGUAUGUAACAAACCAUGGGGAGAUAUAUCUUCUGUCAAUCUUUGUUCCUUCUUCAACAUCAACAAUUAUUUCAAGAAAGAAUGAUGACUCAACAAAUAAGAGACCGUUUGGCUCAACCCAAUCAAUUGCAUCAACAAUCUUGAACUCAAUGAACUGUUUAUUUCCCACAGACACAGAAGCAAUAUCUUUGGUAUCAAUAUUGACUUCAACAAGUUGAGCUUACAUCUCCAACUCCUUCACUAACUCACGUAUAGUUUUGUAGUUCCCUUUUUCUAUGAAAACUAGAUUUGGACUAGAUUUAACACUUGGCAGGCCCAAGGGCAUGAACCAGAAGUAGAGGAAAGCAACAAAACCAUGGCACGAAUGGGUAAAACAAAAUGGACUAACAAAAGCCACAUUUCAUGUAUGCCUAAACAACAGAUCAAGAACAAGUAAUACAAACUGAGAGCAGCAAUAUGAUUAUCAAAUGCCAAACCUAAAGAUAAAUCCAACUAUUUACAAGGGGAAAUAAAAGAAUCCAAAAUGUGACCAGAACAUAGCAUGUAUGCAGACAAAUGGAUACAGUCAAAGUAACCAAAUAACUCCUGAUGUCCACACCAAAUCAACAAGAUAACGUUCAUAAAUAUGAAGAAAAUGAAAUAAAACAGUAUUGAAAACAAGGAAGAAAUGAAACUCAUAGAGUGAUCUUACUUGGAAGGCUACACCCCGAGCAAGGUGUGUUCGCCUUCCACUCAUCAGGAAAUGACCACUCUUUAAUAGUGGUGAUGUUGCUGAUCUCUCAACAUGCCACCAUUUUUCUAAAUUUCUAAUUCCCCAAAUCACGUGCCUUCUCAAAAGAACCUGGAGAUCCUCCUCCAAAGCAGUGUUAGCUUGACUUCAAGUGAGACCCACCUCCAAAAAUUGGCAAAGCCAGUCAAGCUUCGUCUCUUCUCCUCCUCUACCUCUAGUUUUUAUCUCCAUUUCAAACUAGAGAAUCCAUUUUUCUUCGUUCAAACAUCUUCUUCCUCUCUGUCCAAGAAAAAAUAUUGUGUCUUUCUUCCUCUCCAAACCUCUCCUCAAUGUUCCAUCCUGUUAUUUUACAGCUCCUCUUAUAUCCCUCCUGUCUCUACUCUGCUCCACUCCAAAACAAACUUUUGAAUAUCCUCUCGUAAUCCGCCAACUUCUCAUUCUGGAUGGCUCUUUUCCACUUUCCCACCAAAACUCUUUAAUUCUCCCAAAAAUUCAACCUAUGUCUUCUUCCUCCACGGUCUCUUUUUCACUUUCCCACCAAAAAUUCUUUUUUUUUUAAACCUAAAUAAAUUAGUAAAUAAAAUAAAAAUAACUAAAAGGGAUUUUGGAAAUAGAAAUGAAAAAAAAAAAUAUAAUAUAGUAUAAUAUAAUAAUAAUAAUAAUAAUAAUAAUAUCAAUAAAAUAAUAAUAAUCUUAAUAAUAAUAAUAAUGAUAAUAGAAACAAUGGUAACAAAAACAAUUCUAAUGAUGAUAAUUAAAAAAAUAAAAUAAAAUGACAAUAAUAAUAAUGAAAAUAUACAAUGAUUAUAUAUAUAUAAGUAGAUAUGAAAAUGAACAAAUAAAUAAAUAAAUAACUAGAUAUAAGUACGCAACAUGUAUUUAUAAAGAAGACAUGCAAGCUACGUAGGCCAUGCAAGCCAUGUUAACCAUGCAAAUGACUUACGGGUGUUGGGGUAAGCUUAAGUGGGAUAAGUGCCUAAUGGGCCUCAAUAUGUCUCAGCAAACUGUCAUAAAAGUGUACCUAAUAUCCAAAAUGGCUCAAAGAAGCAAGUUAUAUGAGUAGCAAUGGGCCACUAAAAACUACUGUGGAGUAAUGAAAGGACACUUAAUCAGGGCAUGGCAAGGGGACAAAAUGGAAACACUCAAAAGAUAAGAUAAAAAGUCACAUACAUUCAAUCAAUAAAAAAUUAAUCAUGUACUAAAAUAUUAAAAAUCAAUCAUGCAAUCACAACUAAAAAAUCAAUUAUAAACUCAAAAUUAAAGUCACAUAUAAUCACAAUUAAUAAUCAAACAGGAACUCAAAAUUAAAAUCAAAUAUUCAAGAUUCAAAUGUGAACUCAAAAUUAAAAUCACUCAUGCACUAAAAAUUAAUCAUGCAAUAAAAUCAAUCACAUGCACUCAAAAUAUCAAAAAUCAUUCAUGUACUUAAAAUAUCAAAAAUCAAUCACACACUAAAAAUCAAAUAACAAACCAAAGCUCAUCUAACCUAAAAACAUGCAAUCAAAAUCAAAAUCAGACGUAAUGCACUAAAAAAAUAGAAACUAAACAACAGAAAGACUCACUAGAAAAUAGACUCCUAAACUAGAACCAGAGCCACUAAAAAAAACCACAAUAAGGAUCCAUAUAAUCCUCGAAGAUAUAUAUAUCCAAAAAAGGUCCAAAAAUAAUGAUAAGGUGAGUAGCAAUAGACCACCAAUGGAGACACAAUAAAAACUAAAAAAUAAAUUCUAAGUGCACAAUGAAGGAUCAUGAUAUGAAGGAAGACAACUACUAGAUAAAAUGUGCCAAGAUGACAAAAUUGAGGGUCUACAAAUUUGUCCAUCUUUGAUAGAAAUCAAGAGUGUAAUGAAUAGAUCACUGAUACACGAGAGAUGAGUGAAAUGAAGUGUCCCAAAUUCCUAAUUAGUAUAGAUUCUUUUUUUUUUUUGUAAAGAAUAUUAUAUAGAAUAUUUCUAGGUUGAUAUAUUAUUGUAAUAUUAGACUUUCUUAUAGAAUAAGGAAGGUUGUUGGAAAUAUCCCUAUAAAUAUUCUAGGUCAUGAGGAGAAAAAGUUAUGAGAUGAAGAUGGGCAUGUAAAGACUAUACAAGGUGGAUAAAGAUGUAAAGAAGAACGGGAGGUACCCGAUGGAGUUAAAAGGCUCGUGGUAGGGUAGGGAUACGAAGAGUGGGGAAACAUAAGAUGUUUCGAGAACCCAAUAAUUGUAUCUGGUUAUGUCCUUUGUAAUGUUCUGGUUUUGUCCUCUAUAAUGUUCUCUAUUGUAGAGUGAAAUAAUUCUCUCUCAUCCGUGGAUGUUGGCAUGGUUGGCCGAACCACGUUAAAACCUCGUGUACCAUGUUAAAACAUCAAAUAAAAAAUAAAGGCUCUGAACACUAAAACUAAGAAGAAUGGAUCUAAACGCCAACACUAGGAAAACAAAUGGCUUUGAAUGCCAAUACUAAAAACAAUGGCUUUGGACGCCAAACUAAAAAUGAUGAGUCUAAAUGCUAAGUAAAAAAAUAAUAGCUCUAAAAGCUAAACCAAAGCUGUAGUUUGUACAUUUCCUAAGAAAAGUUUACUAUAGACCUUCUUUAGAAAGCGCAUAUGCUAGAUUGUUUUGGCAUAGCCACACUUACAUCUAUUAAAGAUUCACUAAUUAUAGAUUAUUUACAAAUUUCAAUCUGAGUAUGACACCUUGGUUGGUACCCUCGAAACCAAAUAUUACUCACGCAGUUAACAAAGUGUGCCAAGACCUCCAUCAACCAAGGCAAAUCUUAAGGAUGUGAAACAAAUCCUAUGUUGUUUAAAAGGUACCCUAGAUUACAACAUUUGCUUAUUGGCUUAAAGUCAAUAUCAUUAUAUGAUUUUGUUGAUUCUAAUUGUCUCCGUUAUCCGAUUACAAUGAGUAGCACCAUUGAUUUUGUGUUUAUCUUGGCAGCAAUUGUAUUUUCUAGUCUUCUAAGAAACAAGAGUCAAUAACAUGCCCUUGAAUAGGGGCAAAGCACCACUCAAGGAUUGCAACUAUUGCAAAAUUAACUUGGCUUAUAUUUCUCUUGUGUGACAUUAGCUUACCACUUCCCCAAUUUCCAUUUCUCUUUUGUGAUAACAUAAGUGCAUUACACAUGGCCAAAAAUCUAGUGUUUCAUGCACAAACAAAGCACAUUGAAUUGGAUUACCAUUUUGCCCGUAAAAAGUUGUUAUAGGACACCUUUAUGCUAAAUAUGUUCCCAGUUAUCUUCAAAUAGCUAACAUUCUUGCCAAGACUCUAGCUAGAAAGGCUUUUAGUAUGUUUAGCUUCAAGUUGGGAGCUCAAUGCAUGACCGCACUAGCUGGAGGGGGUUAAACGUCCUUUACAUUUAUCUCCACAACCAAACAAAUCAAUAGGUCACCUUUUGAGAGAAAUAUGACAAUAUGCAAGUGUAGACCCUCCAUCUUAUUCUAGUAGCAUAUGUUAUUCAAUAUAUUUUCCUUCACUUCUUAUUGCCUUAUAGUUGUCCCAUGGUGGUUUAUUUGUUGCUCAUUUGGUACUAUUUUUUAAGCCACCUUCAAAGAUUCGUUGUUGAUGGAUUUAUUUAUUUAUAUUUUUUUAUGGAUCCCAAUUGUGACCUUAGUUGCAUGCUUAGUCUAACUCCCUUUGUUUACUUAGUUGCAUUUUAGGUUUAGUUCACUUAGUCACAUGCUUAGUCUAGCUCACUUAGUUCACUUAGUUGCAUUUUAGGUUUAGUUCACUUAGUCGCAUGCUUAGUCUAGCUCAGUUAGUUUACUUAGUUGCAUUCUAGGUUCAGCUUACUUAGAUGCAUUCUAGGUUUAGCUCACUUAGAUGCACUUUGGUUUAGUUCCCUUAGAUGCACUUUAGUCUAGCUCCCUCAGGUUCACACAUGAGGGGAUUUUUAGGAAGGAAGAGAUAUAUAUAUAUUUUUUAGGAAAACACGAUUGCAUAUUGCAUGAGGAGAAGAGAUUCAUGCAUAGGAAAAAUUUUAUUUGGAAUAUAUGGGCUACCAUUGAGAGGUAAACUACUAUUAGAGACUAAUUUUGAAAAAAGGAGUUAGAGCCGACACUAAUUGAUCUUGAAGAAAAAAUGAAGCAUCUUGAGAAGAAAAGUUGAAGUUUUGAAGAUCAAGAAGGCAAGACUCAAUGCAGGGAAACAAGAAAGAAGUAAGCUUGCAAUCUUUUGGAGGAAAUGUAUGAUUUUUUUUUCUUGCAUAUCUCAAUUAUAUAUAUCUUUUUUUUUUCCCAUCAUGUUUAAGUGUAGAAAUUCUAUUUGUUUGGGGUAGAUAAUGAAGGCCACUUUGAUUGUUGUUAAUCAAAUUGUUGAUGACAUAUUAAUGAGAAUUUGAUGAAUGGUUAAUUGAUCUCAUGUUGAUUAAUGCUUAUUAGAAUUGAGAUUAGAGUUAUUUUCUUUGGAAUUAUUUUCAUUUGAUUGAGGCCUUUUGAUAACAUAUGAUAGGUGCCUAAGAGAUCCUUUAUUUGAUUUUUUAUGCCUUUGGUUUUAUUUUUGGUUAUUCAUUUUUUAUUGUGAUGUUUGGAGUGUUCACCUUGUUGUCAUUUUGUUAGAAUUAUUGAACCUCUAUAAUUAAAAAAUGGAAUCAGGUUAAAAAUAGAAGAAAAAAAACUCUUUUUCCUACACCUGUUGCACUAACCCCUUUUUGUAGUCAAGGGAAGUUUGGCUUAAUUUAAAAAUUCACAUUGUAUGAUUAAGUCAUGUUGUUAUUUUUUCUGUAAGUUAGAUAUAUUGAAGGUAUUGUACAAUUUUAUUUUUUUAUCAUAAUUUUAUCAUGCUUAUAGAUAGAUUAAUUACAUUAGUAUUUUCAUGCUAUAGGAUUUUGCUCUAUUUCUAAUCAAUAUAUUUGUGAUUAAAUCAAGUAUUAAAUGAGAUAUGAUUUGAUGAUUUAGCCUUUUGGGUUAUAAUUUAGACACAUAGGGGAUGUUGUCCAAGUAUUUUUUAUUCGUUCCCACUUGGUGUAUCAACUGAUUCAUGUCCAGCUGGUGCUCCUUGAUUGAGGGAGUGAUCAACAAAAUUUAUAACCUAUUACACCAUGAACUAGGGUAGCAAAGACAAAGCUACUAUAGCAUAGUGGCUCUAGGAUCGUUCACUGGAAAGGGUUUUCAACUCUCAACUGAUACCAAUUCAAAGCUGAGUUGGUGAUUUUUCAUUUCAAGGUUAGCUUAAAAGAAAACAUAAAGAUGUUUGGGUGAAAAGGGUUUGGUCUUAAACUAACCAAAAAGAAAGUAAUGGAAAUUACUUAUGAAGAAAAACAUUCCUUGGAGGUUUAGGUUCAUAGGGGAGGUUCCUUAUGUAAAAACAGAGCUCCGGUCAUUUGGUUCAUUUCCUCGCAUUAGAGAAUUAACAUAUAGUUAAUUCUCUAACCGGUGCUAUACAGAUGUAUCCUUUAAAUGGAUUUCAAACUCUAAUUCCCUCUCACUGAUGCAUCUUGCAAUGGCUCAUACCUCUCACCUAGCACUUGCCAUUCAAGGUGAUCUUUAACUUUGGAUUACCCGUCAAAAGCUCGCAAGAGAUAACUAAUGGAUGUCUCCUUAGAGUCCAAAAGCUUACCAAUUGUUGGCAAUUCUAGAAAAUCCUACCUACAAGUCACUUCCCAAAAGCUUGCAAGAGGUAAACUAGUGCAUCUCCAUGGAUAGAAAUCACUUGCCUUACCAAGUGUUGGCUCAAGUGAAUUGAAGGCGUUUUAAGUUAACUAAAAACAUAGAAAUCAUUAAAGGAUCACACUUUCUCUUCAUUAAUGGCUAAAACCACAAAGCUAUUAAUUCUUGCACUUGGACCCUUUCCUAGCAACCUUAACUCCAAGGAACUAAAAGUCUAGCCACUCAUUCUCUGAGGAAACUUCCUCAAAGCUUGUUUGGCUAGAAAGAAAACUAAUGAGAAAACAAAUAUUAAGCAAAAACAGAGCAAGUGCUCUAUACAAUAUAUUUCUUCCUUCCGUCUAUUACAUAGAUUCUUCUUUUUCAAGAAAAUUACAAACUAUAUAUAUGAGGUUAUUCACCCUUUUUACUUACUUAAAGAUUAACGAAUCCUAUGAUAGGUGGGUUACAAGGAGACUUUGGGAAAUUAGACAUAAAAUAUCUAAAGCAAAAUAUCUCAAAAUAUCCCAAAAUAUCGUUGGCAAAUAUCAGGAAGCUUCAGGAGCACACAGCAGCACUGUGCAGCAUGGCUGCUCUCCCAUUCAGGUAGGCGGCUAUCAGAUGAUCCGGAUACGUCCGUCCGGAGAAGUUGAAAUGCCUCCUCUCCCAUCCGGCGUCGGAAUUCCGGAUGUGAACAUCCGGGGGUGGAAAGUACGUGGCAGCCGGGUGCAAAAAUGGCGGCGCGCAUCCGGGUGUACAUGGCGGCAGCUGGGUGCAAAUCCUACCCGAGUGGAAUGUUGUCCGAAUGAAAGGAUAGCAUCUUAUCCGGAUGCCUUCCGAUGGUAUAUCCGGACGCACUGUCCGGGUAUACUCCUUGUAUGGAUUCCAAAGAACUCUCCUCAAUCUCAGAUUUGCUUUGGUGAUCAAAAAGCUAUCAAAACACCAAAACUUAACACAAUUUGAUUAGAAUUGAUUGCAAGGGUCCUUAAUAUGUUAAUUGGGUUAAAAGGUAAUAACUACUACUCAAAAGUGUCGAAAAGAGUUAAUUACAAGCUAUGAAAUAGCACUUUUUGAGUAGUAAUCACUCCCCCCAACCGACAUAUUGCUAGUCCCUUAGCAAUGAAGGAGAGACAAAUAAAAAAAUAAACAAUACUAUAAUUUACAACAUCAUGCUAAUCAAAAAACAAUUUUCAAGUGGCAUGAUGAUCUAACUCUCACAUGGAACAUUAAAGAAAUAAAACUCAAACUUCAUCAAGAGUUAUCAAAUAACUUAUCUAAUCAUAAUUCUUAAAGAGAAGGCAUUAUGCAAAUUUAAGCUUUAAAAGAGUUUCCACUCCCAAAGGGUCAAACCUUACUCUUCCACAAAAAUCUAAGUGUUAUUUAUUAGUUUCCGAAUAUAGUAUGUUGAAUUAAUCUCUCCCCCCAACCUAGUUCUUUUUCAAAGCUUAGCAAACUGGUCAACCUCCAAUAGGCUAAGAACACACCUCUUUUCACAAUUUUUUUCAUUGUAGGAGUACACGGCUUAAAGGUAUUCUUUUCUAAAUUGUCCAUGUAACGGGGGUCCAUCGAUGACUCCCAACCAAUUAAGGUUUAGGGCAUCAAGCUUAAAGGAUUUUUCAACCACUAACUCCUUGGAUUUUACCCCGGACUUUUGAGAAUGAAUUUAAAUACCCCAGCACCUACAGUAUGUUAAACUCCACCUAUUCACCCUUGUAACGAGCAUUGAGGUCGAUGACUCCCAACCAAUGAAGGCUUAGGGCACCAGGUUUUAAAGAUUUUCAUCAUAUACCCCUCAGACCUUGCUCGGGUUUCAAGGCAAGCAAACAUUUUUUCUUUCUUUUUUGAAAGACUCAUUGGCCUUUUACAAGGUGUCCCAACACUAUUAAAUGAGGUCAAAGGUACCAAGUCUAAAAUUUUCCUAAGUCAAGAGGGAAAUAGUUUUUCAUCUUAUAAUCGGAACCUAUUGUGCACAGUGUGUGAAUAGCUUAAAGUGGAAGACAUAAGCUUGAAUUCAAUAGAAAUUUCAACAAUUCAUCAACUUUAAUAAGCAUAAUACAAACUCUAAGUCAAGUGAAAAGACAAAAAUUCAAUUUCUCCCAUUUUAUUUUGAAAAUUUUUCCUUAAUAACCAUGGAGAGUAGAAUAAAAACUUAAAAAAUUUUAAAAUUAAGCAAAAAGCAACUAAAUUACCAAAAUAACUUAGCAUUAAUAACAAAACUUCCUUCCUCAACUCUCCCCCCAACCAAGCUGAACAUUGUCCUCAAUGUGACAAAAGCGAUUGAAAAAUAGGGAGGAAGUGGUACCUCCUGAGUGACGCGGAGUGAUGUCGUGGAAAUAAUGACUCAGAUGUCUCUCCUAUAGGAGGCUCCGGAUGAGGAGGCAAUGGCAUGCUCAGGAGCUAAUGUACUGCCAAUUGAUGCUGAAUCUGCCUCAGGAUGGCAGUGUGCUGGGCCUGAGUGGCAAGAAUAUGUUCUUGAUUUUAAUCAUUCAAAAAGAUUAAGCUAGUUACAAUUUACAAAAUUUCAAGACUAAAAUUACAAUCAAAUAAUUUACAAAACUUAAAAAUUAACAUAUUUAACAAAAUUAUGGACUUUGGUGAAACCAAGUCCAUCUAACCCUUCUCUGUUCAGGAUUUCUGUGGCUCAAGGAGGUUGAUUUCCUCCUUUUCUGGAUUGAACGGUUCAAUGAAUGGCUUGAGGCGAUGACCAUUGACUCUGAAGGUGUCUAUGCCAUUGGAAUUUAAUAAUUCCACCACUCCAUUGAAAUGUACUUGGUGAAUAAUGAAAGGACCUAUCCACCUUGACUUGAGCUUUCCGGGAAAGAUAUGGAGCCUUGAGUCAUAGAGUAAGACUAGUUGUCCUUUCCUCAAUUCUUUGUUGGAGAUUAGUUGAUCAUGCCAUUUCUUCAUCCUCUGUUUUGCAACUUUGGAAUUGAUGUAAGCAUCAUUUCUUAACUCCUCCAUCUCAUUAAGGUCUAAGCACCUCUUUUCCCCAGCUCUGAUCAAGUCCAUGUUCAACCUCUUGAUUGCCCACCAGGCUUUAUAUUCAACUUCCACAGGGAGAUGGCAUGCUUUGCCAUAGACUAGACGAUAGGGAGACAUGCCAAGAAUAGUCUUAUAAGCUGUUCUGUAUGCCCAUAAUGAAUCAUGAAGCUUAAUAGAUCAAUCUUUUCUGCUUGUAAUCACCACUUUCAUCAGUAUGUUUUUGAUUUCCCUGUUUGCUAACUCCACUUGCCCGGAAGUUUGAGGAUGAUAAGGUGUAGCUACCUUAUGCUUCACUCCAUACUUGGUUAAUAAGGCUUCAAAAGGUUUGUUGCAAAAAUGAGUACCUCCAUCACUGAUUAUGGCCUUGGGCACCCCAAAUCUUGAGAAGAUGUUCUCCUUAAGAAAUUUGAGAACCACCCUGUGAUCAUUCUGUUUACAGGGGAUUGCCUCCACCCAUUUGGAAACAUAGUCCACCCCCACCAAUAUAUAGGAGUUACCAAAAGACAUUGGGAAAUGUCCCAUGAAGUCAAUACCCCAAACAUCAAAAAGAUCAACUAUAAGGAUGGGGUUCAUAGGCAUUUAAUUUCUUUUUGUUAGCUUCCCAAGCCUUUGGCAUCUAUCACAGCUCCUACACAUGAUGUGGGCAUCUUUGAAAAGCGAUGGCCAAGUAAACCCUGAUUGCAACACCUUCAUGGCUAUUUUCUGAGAGGCAAAGUGGCCUCCACAUGCAUUUUCAUGGCAAUGACUGAGGAUCCCUUGUUGCUCUUCUUCAGGGACACACUUUCUUAUGAUCUGAUCUGCACAAUACUUGAAAAGGAAAGGCUCCUCCCAAUAAUAAGCAUGAAUUUUUGCAAAGAAGUGCUUCCUGUCUUGUGCAUUCCACUCACUUGGAACUUCACCAAUAACCAAAUAGUUAGCAAUAUAAGCAUACCAAGGAGCUUUCUCUAGCAACAUAAGUGAUUCCUCAGGAAAGUCAUCAUUAAUAGGUAAUACAUGGGAAUUAUGUGCUAUAGCCAACCUUGAAAGGUGGUCAGCUACCACAAUCUCCACCCCUUUCUUGUCUCUGAUUUGGAGAUCGAACUCUUGUAACAAAAGAAUCCAUCUAAUCAACCUUGCUUUUGCAUCUUGCUUUGUCAAUAAAUACUUCAAGGCUGAAUGGUCAGUGAAAACAGUGAUGAAAGACCCUACCAAAUAAGCAUGAAACUUGUCUAAGGCAAACACCACAACUAACAAUUCUUUCUCUGUAGUUGUGUAGUUUCUUUGAGCUUCGUUCAAUGUCUUGCUUGCAUAAUAGAUCACGUAGGGCUUCCCAUCUUCUCUUUGGCCAAGUACAGCUCCUAUAGCAAAGUCACUGGCAUCACACAUUACUUCAAAGGGUAAUUGUCAGUUAGGAGCCCUUACUAUUGGAGCGGUAGUAAAAAAUUGCUUCAAUUGAUCAAAACUCUUUUGACAUCUUUCAUCCCAUAUAAACUUAGCAUCCUUAGCCAAAAACUCACAAAGAGGCCUUGACAGCUUAGAGAAAUCUUGUAUAAACCUCCUGUAGAACCUUGCAUGGCCAAGGAAUUGCCUUACUCCUUUGACAGUGGUUGGGGAUGGCAAUUUGGCAAUACGUUCCACCUUUGCUUUAUCAACUUCAAUGCCUUUCUCGGAGAUGAUAUGGCCAAGGACAAUUCCUUGACGUACCAUAAAAUGACAUUUCUCCUAGUUGAGCACCAAGUCCUUCUCAAUGCAUCUGUUAAGAACUGCUUCCAAAUUGACUAAGCAUUCCUCAAAUGUACCUCCAUAUACGGUGAUGUCAUCCAUGAAAACCUCCAUAAUUCGCUCCACCAUAUCACUGAAGAUACUAAGCAUACAUCUUUGGAAUGUUACAGGUGCAUUGCAUAAACCAAACGACAUUCUUCUGUAAGCAUAUGUUCCAAAUGGACAUGUAAAAGUGGUCUUCUCCUGAUCUUCAACAUCAAUUUCAAUUUGAAAAUAUCCGGAGUACCCGUCCAAGAAACAAUAAAAAGGAUGGCCAGAGACUCUCUCCAGCACCUGGUCAAUAAAUGGGAGUGGAAAAUGAUUUUUCCUUGUCACAGCAUUCAAUUUCCUAUAGUCAAUACACACCCUCCAACCUGAAGUGAGGCGUGUAGCAAUUUCUUCUCCUUUUUCGUUCUGAACCACAGUAAUACCUGACUUCUUUAGUACCACUUGAGUAGGACUCACCCAAGGGCUGUCAGAUAUGGGAUAAAUAAUACCUGCUUGGAGUAGCUUCAGCACUUCAGCUCGCACCACUUCUUGUAAAUGAGGAUUCAAUCUUCUUUGAGGUUGACGAAUUGGUUUAGCUUCUUCCUCCAUAUAUAUGUAAUGUGUACAAACCAAAGGACUGAUUCCUUUCAAGUCAGAUAUUUGCCAUCCUAUUGCUUUCUUGCACCUCUUGAGAACUUCAAGUAAACACUUCUCGCGAUGACUAGUAAGAGAUGAAGAUAUAACAACAGGACAUUGAUUAUUUUCUUCAAGGUAUGUAUAUUUCAGUUCCACGGGCAGAGGCUUCAAAUUGAGCUUUGGGGUCUCUUCUUCAGCAGCUUCUCCUUCCUCUUUAUUGAAUAAAGGUAGGAUCUCUUCUUUCCUCCUCCAACUUUGUAGAGUAGCAAGCAUAUCAGCGGGUUCAGACAACCCUUCUUCAAGAUCCUUAAGACUUUCAUUCAACUCGUCUUGCAUAUUCUGAUCACAAUGCUCCUCCACUAGAGUGUCAAUAAUGCAUACCUCUUCUGGACCUUCUUCUUCUUCCGGAGUAAUCAGCUUCUUUGACAUAUGAAAGAUAUUAAGCUCAAGUGUCAUGUUACCAAAAGUAAGUUGCAUAAGUCAAUUCCUACAAUUUAUGAUUGCAUUUGAAGUAGCAAGGAAUGGCCUUCCAAGGAUGAUAGGAACAUAAUUAGCUUCCUUAACUAAAGGAUCAGUAUCAAGAACAAUAAAAUCUACUGGAUAGUAGAAAUUAUCAACUUGAACUAAUACAUCUUCAAUUAUCCCCCUUAGAAUUUUCACUGACCUAUCAGCUAAAGAUAGGGUGAUUGAUGUUGGCUUCAACUCACCAAGUCCCAAUUGCUUAUAAAUAGAGUAUGGUAGCAAAUUCACACUUGCUCCCAAAUCUAGCAAAGCUUUUUCCACUACCUUUCCUCCAAUCAUGACUGAAAUGGUAGGACAUCCCAGAUCUUUGUACAUCAAAGGAGAUUUUCAUUGUAUGAUGGCACUUACUUGUUCAGUUAAGAAGGCUUUCUUAUUCACAUUCAACCCUCUUUUGAUAGUACAAAGGUUCUUUAGGAAUUUUGCAUAUGAUGGAACUUGCUUAAUCAUGUCCAGCAAUGGAAUGUUGACUUUCACUUGGCUCAAUACUUCAAGGAUUUCUGAUGCAUUUUUUAUCCCCUUUUCCCAUGCAAAGCUUGAGGAAAAUGAGGAGAUGUACGUUUCAUCAUCAAUUCUUCCUUGAUAAGCUAUUUCUCCAGAUUUGCAUUCACUGUUGAAUCACGGUCCUUUUUCCCUUCACUGAUAUCUUUCUUCUUUCCUUUCAUUUCCCCCCUCUUAUUUGUCUCUUCUUCUUCCUUCUCUUCAACAUAUGGCUUGGGUGUUGGUGACUCAACCUUUUUACCACUCCUUAGAGUGAUCAAGGCUUUAACCUCUCUCACCUGUGAAGAUUCUCCCUCAUGAGUUUCCACUUCGUGGAUACCCUUGGGGUUUUGGUGAGGUUGAGAAGGAAAUCUACCCUUCUCCUGCACUGUGUUCAUAUUAGUGAGCCUUGAGAUUGAGUAUUGGAGAUUAUCUAUCUUCUGAGAUAAGUCAUUUUGCAGCCCAUCAAUCCUUUUGUUCAAAGUAUUCUCUACACUGUCAAUUCUUUGACUGAGCUGAGCAUUGAUGGAUUUUUGUUCUCCAACAAAAUCUCCCACAAUCUUGCUGAGAUUUACUAUUGCUUGUUCAAGACUUGAAGCUUGUUGAGAUGGUUGAGCUGGCUGUUGGUACUGAGGUGCUCUCGGCUUCCAUGAAAAAUUUGGAUGAUUCCUCCAACUUGAGUUGUAAGUAUCGCCAUAUGAAGCAUUGCUAUUGGGCUUGAAUUUUCCAAUGACAUUUGCUUGUUCUCCAAACAUUUCUCUAGCAACUGGAAUUGUAGGGCACUCCUCUACCAAGUGUUCAUAAGAUUGACAAAUAGAACAUGGCUUUACUUGCAUUGGUGUUUCAGCAACAGCUUGCACUUCAUUCAUCUUUUUCAGUUCUAGCGCUUCCACUCUUCUUGUCAUAGUUGCAAAUUUUGCUUUCAUUUCAACAUCUUCAUUCAAGGUGUACAUCCCAGCCUUAGCAUGAAGAGCAUUUGGUUGAGACUUCAUCUUUCCCACUUCUCCUCUGUGCGGUUCAUCCCAUCCUCUUGAGACUUCAGCUACAUAACUCAAGAAAUCCAUAGCUUCCUCAUGAUUCUUACUCAUGAAAUCCCCUCCACACAUUGUUUCGAGGAGUUGCUUCAUUGAGGAAGACAUCCCAUCAUAGAAAUAACUCACCAACAGCCAUGUGUCAAAGCCAUGGUGAGGACAAGCAUUAAUGGCUUCCAUGUAUCUUUCCCAACACUCAUAGAAUUUCUCAUUCUCUUUAGCUGAGAAGUUUGAAAUUUUCCUUUUCAAGCUAUUUGUUCUGUGAGUGGGAAAAAAUUUCUUGAGGAAUUCAGCUUGUAAAUCAGUCCAAGAACGGAUACUCCUUGGCCUUAAAGAAUUAAGCCAAAUCUUGGCCUUAUCCUUUAAAGUAAAAGGAAAUAAUUUAAGCCUCAUCAGGUCGAUAGAAGCUCCUCCCUCUCGGAAUGUAUUACAAACAUAUUCAAAUUCCUUGAUAUGGGCAUAGGGAUUCUCACUUUCCAUUCCAUGGAAAGUUGGCAGAAGUGGCACAAUAUGGGGUCUGAUCACUAGCUGCUCUAUAGAGGGCACUAUACAUGAUGGUGCACUCAUACGAGGUGGAUGCAUACGGUCCCUCAUUGAUCUGAAUUCAUUGGGAUUGUCCUGAUGAUCAUGGUGACUAUGCUGAUCCUCAGGUGUAGUUUCCAUGAUGUUCAAGAUUACUUCCAACUCCUUGUUAUGAGGUGUAUUAAGUUUAACAAGCCUUCCUCCAUUGUCUCGUAUCCACUUUGGCAUACACAACUAGUAUCAACUGUAACUAAAAUGAAAUUAAAAGAAAACAAAAGAAAACAGGGCUACCAAAAUUUUUUUUCUAAAAUAGACUAAACUGAAUUUAAAAGAUAUAUUAGAUUAUGAACAAGUAAAGAUACAAAAAAAUAGAAUUAGUAAAAUGAAAGAAAAGUUACCAAACUUGUGAUGAAAAUCACAAGUACUCUGAAAUAAUAUCACUAUGAAGUUGGCACCUUCCCCGGCAACGGCGCCAUUUGAUUCGUUCCCACUUGGUGUAUCAGCUGAUUCAUGUCCAACUGGUGCUCCUUGAUUGAGAGAGUAAUCAACAAAAUUUAUAACCUAUUACACCAUGAACUAGGGUAGCAAAGACAAAGCUACUAUAGCAUAGUGGCUCUAGGAUCGUUCACUGGGAAGGGUUUUCAACUCUCAACUGAUACCAAUUCAAAGCUGAGUUGGUGAUUUUUCAUUUCAAUGUUAGCUUAAAAGAAAACAUAAAGAUGUUUGGGUGAAAAGGGUUUGGUCUUAAACUAACCAAAAAGAAAGUAAUGGAAAUUACUUAUGAAGAAAAACAUUCCUUGGAGGUUUAGGUUCAUAGGGGAGGUUCCUUAUGUAAAAACAGAGCUCCGGUCAUUUGGUUCAUUUCCUCGCAUUAGAGAAUUAACAUAUAGUUAAUUCUCUAACCGGUGCUAUACAGAUGUAUCCUUUAAAUGGAUUUCAAACUCUAAUUCCCUCUCACUGAUGCAUCUUGCAAUGACUCAUACCUCUCACCUAGCACUUGCCAUUCAAGGUGAUCUUUAACUUUGGAUUACCCGUCAAAAGCUCACAAGAGAUAACUAAUGGAUGUCUCCUUAGAGUCCAAAAGCUUACCAAGUGUUGGCAAUUCUAGAAAAUCCUACCUACAAGUCACUUCCCAAAAGCUUGCAAGAGGUAAACUAGUGCAUCUCCAUGGAUAGAAAUCACUUGCCUUACCAAGUGUUGGCUCAAGUGAAUUGAAGGCGUUUUAAGUUAACUAAAAACAUAGAAAUCAUUAAAGGAUCACACUUUCUCUUCAUUAAUGGCUGAAACCACAAAUCUAUUAAUUCUUGCACUUGGACCCUUUCCUAGCAACCUUAACUCCAAGGAACUAAAAGUCUAGCCACUCAUUCUCUGAGGAAACUUCCUCAGAGCUUGUUUGGCUAGAAAGAAAACUAAUGAGAAAACAAAUAUUAAGCAAAAACAGAGCAAGUGCUCUGUACAAUAUAUUUCUUCCUUCCGUUUAUUACAUAGAUUCUUCUUUUUCAAGAAAAUUACAAACUAUAUAUAUGAGGUUAUUCACCCUUUUUACUUACUUAAAUAUUAAGGAAUACUAUGAUAGGUGGGUUACAAGGAGACUUUGGGAAAUUAGACAUAAAAUAUCUAAAGCAAAAUAUCCCAAAAUAUCAUUGGCAAAUAUCAGGAAGCUUCAAGAGCACACAGCAGCACUGUGCAGAAUGGCUGCUCUCCCAUUCAGGUAGGUGGCUAUCAGAUGAUCCGGAUACGUCCGUCCGGAGAAGUUGAAACGCCUCCUCUCCCAUCCGGCGUCAGAAUUCUGGAUGUGAACAUCCGGGGGUGGAAAGUACGCGACAGCCGGGUGCAAAAAUGGCGGCGCGCAUCCGGGUGUACAUGGCGGCAGCUGGGUGCAAAUCCUACCCGAGUGGAAUGUUGUUCGGAUGAAACGAUAGCAUCUUAUCCGGAUAUGUUGUCUGGAUGCCUUCCGAUGGUAUAUCCGGACGCACUGUCCGGGUAUACUCCUUGUAUGGAUUCCAAAGAACUCUCCUCAAUCUCAGAUUUGCUUUGGUGAUCAAAAAGCUAUCAAAACACCAAAACUUAACACAAUUUGAUUAGAAUUGAUUGCAAGGGUCCUUAAUAUGUUAAUUGGGUUAAAAGGUAAUAACUACUACUCAAAAGUGUCAAAAAGAGUUAAUUACAAGCUAUGAAAUAGCACUUUUUGAGUAGUAAUCAAUUUUCAUGGUGAAAUUUCAUCUCUAGAUAUAUGUUUAGGAUAUAUUUUGCAAGUGUCUUUGUUCUAGAUGCAUGCCAAUUGUUCUGUAAAGUGUCCUUAAAGUGAAUUAAUUUGGUAUUGAUUGACACGUAAUUAAAUGUUUUGGGAUUUUGUAUUGCAAUAUAGACACAUUGAAGAUGUUGUCAAUAAAGUAGUGAUUUUGGCACUGCAGGGCUCUUCAAUUUCUUUCUUCAUUUUUCAAUUUGCACGAAUGUGGAAACUUUUACACAUGAAUCAUUUGCUACAAUAAUGAUCAUGCAUGUAAAUUUGGUCUACUUUUCCCAUUCUCUAUAAUUGAUUAGCUUUGGAGCUGUUUGACAAUAAUAUAUAGGAAACCUCUGAUGCAGGCUUCUGACAUUAAAAUGAGCUAAAGAUGGGUUUGGAAACCACUUUCAAAUGAAAAUUGACAUGCAUAAUUUUUGGUGUAUUUGACACAUGCAAUAAAAAUUACUUAAAUAGGAGUGACUUUGUCACAUGGCUUCGGAUGGAAUUACAGCACAGUAUUGGAAUUAGUAUUCAAAUGGCUGCCCUAUGGAGAGUUUUUUAGGUCUCAAUCUUAACAGUAUAGGUUGACCACUCGGAAAUUGGGACCACAACCUAGCCUAGGCUUGAUCCAAGCACUACUUAGAGACACAUUUCACUUAACUUCUUUGAUCUGUUACUUGUAUUUAUUGUGACACUUAGGUGGUGUUUGUUUUUUGGCUGAACAAAAAAAGUAAAAAUAUUUGGUUUUUUCUAUUCAGUUAAAAAUAACAUGUUGACAUCAUCCAACAUAACUAAACUGAACCUAUUGAUAACAAGUUCAUUUUAGCUAUGUUGGAUGAUGUCAACAAGUUACUUUUAGCUUAAUAGAAAAAGCCAAAUAUUUUGGCUUUUUCUAUUCAGCCAAAAAACAAACACCACCUAAGUUGCUUCUUGUUUAUCUGAUCUAGGAAGCUUGUUUUGUCAAAGAAGCAAGACCUUCCGAUGUUUAUGGAUGAACUCCUCUUGUCAGCAUUGGUUCUAACUUUGGUCCAUUUUUCCCAUUCUCUAUAAUUGAUUAGCUUAGGAGCUGUAUGGAGAGGAAAAUGACAUGGGUCGGUGUUUGACAAUAACAGGAAACCUCUGAUGCAACAUUGGUUCAUUAAUAUUCACCAAAAAGUGAACAAGCUUGGAGCCUUCGGUAGAUAUUUUACAAAGCCUUCUGUACUGUUAUCUUAUGCUAAGUACUGAAUAUAAAUGUUGUUGAGGGUACCACCAGUGACAUGCAGAUGCAAUGUUUAUUUUGAGAACGCCAACGGCAUAGUGCAUCAACGGAUAUUUGAGUUUUCCGAGAAGGAGGCCUUUACAUCAUCGACCAGAUCUGGAUUAUUUGAAUUUAGUACGGUCCUGCUAUUGUUUUAUUCUCUUGCACAAACCAUUCUUCAAAAUAUGUUAUCAUGACAUAGAUAAACUUUUCAUUUGCUUAACAUUGUUUAAAGGGCUUGACAUUGCUCAACAUUAUCUGAGCUUUUCUCCUACAGAUACUUCUUUGGCAUGGCAAUGCAACCAGACUUAAGGCGAUGGCACUCACUUACAUACUCUGCAAGAGCCCACAAUGGAAAAAUAUUCCUGUAAUCUGCAUAGUGUAACAAGCAGUUCUUCAUGAAGGCUCCAGUGAUUUCCUGCCAUAGAUAAUUGAUGAUUAAAUGGUUAGACUCCCACCCAGUAUAUAUAGUCAGCUACAAAAGAACAUUUUCCAUUUCCCAAAACCAUGUUAAAAUGUUGCUCCUUUAGUUUUUUAUUCAUGUUCAAGUGAGCUACCUGUUGGGGAAAAUCACCAUCUUCCAUUUGGGAAUUAAUAAACAGCUUUGCAGCCCUGUGAAGAGGUGUUGGGUCUCUCUCCGCCUGUUAGAAAGGAAAGGCUAGACUCAGAUGUUUGGGGAGAAGCCAUAUUGUGAAAGUAAUGUAGAAGACCAAGUUAAGCUUAUUGAUGACGGAACUGUAAAAACUAACCUGCCCUGAAGAAAGCAGCCCCAUCAGAGCCCACCCGGUUUGCACCAAAUUUGACUUGUUUCCUUCAAGAGGCAUAUAUUUCUAUAUCACCAAGCACAAGGAUUACUUGUUUUUGUCCAUGUUUCUACCAGAAAAUAGAGCAGUGGGUGGCAUGUAAAAAUUACCUUGUCCGAGCAAGAAGUACAGUUCUCUCCCCAACCACCAUCAUCUCUUUGUGAUUUGAGUAGAAACUCAACAGCUCUACCAAUAGCAAGACAGUUGUGGUAAGUCUUGCCAGCAGCUGCUAGGCCCCCAAGCGCAAACCAUGAGCCAUAGGUGAAACAUACUCCCCAAUUGCCAUACCUGGUGAAAUGUUUCUUUGUUUAAAUGGAUCUGCACUGCAUAUAUAUAAAAAUAUUUCCCUAGUGAAAUAAUAAUAGUGGAGUUGAGAAACAUACCAUGAGCCAUCAGGCAUUUGCAUGUCUUCAAUGUACUUAGCAGCAUUUGUGAUGAAAUUGUCUAUCUCCUUCUUCCUGUGUCCCGGGUGUAACUUCUUAAAAGAAACUAGAGCCUUAAUUGCUGAUGCAGUGCACUCAACAUACCUGCAUCAUUGUUUCGUUAGUCUCCAAGGACGUUAAAGCUAGCAAAGUUAGAAAAGAAAGCUGGUCAAUUAUCAAGAAUCUUACUCAUGCUCGAUGACAAUGUCUGGAAAAAAUUCAGUGGGGUUAAGUAGCUGAAAAGAGAAGAGAUUGGCAUUGAUUUAGAUUCAAAGAACACAAAGAGUUAGAAAGAGAGAGAGAUAAUGCAGAAAUAUUGAAGUUACUUAAACAUGUUGAAGUAAUUUACCUCCAACCAUUCUGAAGCUCCUGCAGGCUCCCAGGCAGCUAAACCACCAUUUUUACUCUACAGUGGUUUAAAAAAUGGGGGUUAUUGCUACUAAGAAGUUAUGACCUAUUUUGUGAUGGGGACAACCAUGGAAAUGGUGUAAGGAAGAUGAUUCUCACCUGUAGAGAAAGCAAGAUGUUGACAGAAUCAAAUAGUCGUUCAGGUUCCAUCUUCAUACCAACAAUCUCUGGUGUCAUCAUUGAAAAGAGGAGACAACACUGUGACAGAGAGGGGACUUCAGUAAGAAACCAAGUAACUUUAGUUAAUCUACAAGCCCUGACUCAAUUGAAGUGUUUGAGCAAAAAGAGUUACCUUCAAACCUUCUGCAGUGCAAUCAGAAACUUGCCAACCAUGAUCCUGAUCUGAGAAUGUCCACGAUCCCUUGGAAAUGUGGCGGUACAUGCUUUUAAAGUCACCAGAAGGAUUGUCCUUGACCUUCAAGAUUUCAGGCAGUAUGAAGUAAAUAGACCAUGAGAAACCCAAGUAGAUUCUGGUUGAAGUAAAGAAAUAAACGAUGGAAUUCAAGAUCAAACCUGAGAUUCCUUUAUGAAUUCAUGUCCUUUCUUGAGUGCAGGUCCAAGUUCAUCAGUCAUAUUGCAAGCUAGCAGUGCUUGAAGGGCAAAACUAGUGUCCCACUCUUGACUACCAAAGCUCUGCAAUAAUCGACAAUUUCAAAACCAAUUAGGCAGGAAAGGGAUAAAAGCAGCUUCAAACCAGUUGCAUACCUAAAAAAUUUUAAGAAAAAGAUCAACAGAUAUUAUCUAAUUUUCCUACAACUGUUUGGGAGAUUAGUGAUUGAAUUAACUUGUCUUCUUACCUGCAUCUUUAUUCCAUCUUCUGCAACCCAUAUAUAAUCUGGGAUCCUAGCAAGGUGCUUCUUGAAAUAAUCCCCAUUUGGAUCUUCAACCCAACAUGAGAGCAUACACAAUACCUGUUCAAUUUAAGGGAUAUCAGUACCCCAAAAGGAGUGACAUAUUGUCUGAAUAGUCAUUAUCCAUUACUGAAAAAAUACCUUCGCCACACAUCCAAUGGUUAUGUAUCGACUGUUUUCAUCUUCAUAAUGGAUGUGUUUCAUUGUUACUUCAAGAGCCUUCUGUCUCAACUUGUUGAAGGGCCAACGAGUAAGAAGAGGCUCAGUACAUAUGUACAAACUAUCCCACAUCAGAUCUUGUAUUAGGGGAUGGGAGUAGUAGAGAUCCUCCUGCAAUAAACAAUUUUGAAUGUGUUUCAUGCAUGCGAAGCAUAUUCAUAGGAAAAAGAAAAGUUUUCCAUACAAAAUCAAAACUUACCUUCGCACAAAGAUGUCGUACUUUCUUCCAAUUGAUUUCAUUAUAUGGUUGAAGGAAGAGCUCUUUUCUCAGUUCUAGAACAAGAGGCGUGAUUGGGCCAACAAAUCGUUUACCAUAUAACUAUGACAUGGGCAUGUAAACCAACCGACAGUGGCACCACAUUUUUGCUGCAUUUAUGGACUUAAAUUACAAGAAGCUCGACCAACGAUAGGAAAAUGAAAGUUAGACCGAAGUAGACAUGGGAAUGUCAUUUCUUGAGACUAAUAAACCAUCCCCAGGUUGAAUUUUUAAGUAUUCAUGCGUGAUCUUAUAAUUGUAUAAGGCUGAAGUUACACAGCUUUUGGCUUAAACAUUUCGAGUCCGUGUGACCAAUUCCAAGUUUUAUGUAAGAAGACCCUAGGAUGUAAAAUGCAUUAAGUGCAGAAGUAGAUGUGAAAUUCAAGCACUUGAGUAGAUGACUACAGCACAAACCUGGAUGCAUAGGAAGACGAGAAGGGAAGAGCCAAAACUCUGGGGGCAUUGGGUUGCUUCCUGACCAGUCAAACAAGCCAAAAAUCUACACGGAAGAAGCAAUCAUAUAAGAUUCAGUCCAUCACACAAGAAUGCAUUGUAUAGGAUGAAUGUGAACUUGUGUUUCAAAUGGCCAUACUGAAAGCCAAGUCUUUCCCCAAGAGGGAAGGGAUGUCACUCCACCACGAUCGAGGAUCCAUUUACGCCCUCUUGCACAAGCAUUGUCUCUACCACCAUCGCGCCCUUCUCCAAGGAUACGCAUACAAUGGGCCAGCAUUUUCAGCAGGCCAAUGGCCAUCACUAGCCUGCAAAGCUGAAAAGAAAUGUGCACCCCUUCUCACUGCUGUUGUGGCUGUCUCAUAUGUAAUUUCUUCACCAUCCCCAACCUUAACUUGUGGUAUUGUUUGUUUGAAAUUUUUCUCUCUCAAAAACUGCAAUUUUUUUUGGCCAAAUGAAAUGGGAGUUAGUGAAGAGGAAGUUUAAAAGAAAAGGUAAAUUAACCUCAAUAGUAAGCAUCUAUUUAUACAAUUGUUCCAAGCUAAGAGAAUUAUUACAAUUUUUAAAGCGCAUAAUAUAUAUUUUGGGUUAAAAUCCUACAAACUUAAUCUUUUAGGAAAUUAAUUGUUUAACAUGGUAUCAAAGCUCGGCUUUGGAAUCGGUCUUACCUGUCAUUAGCCGACAAUUUGCUUGAUGGUGUCUCAACCAAUUUAAAAGAAAAGAAAAGAAAAGGUAAAUUAACCUCAAUUGUAAGCAUCUAUUUAUACAAUUGUUCCAAGCUAAGAGAAUCAAGAUAGAGUUAGCAAUUGUUAAACUGCAUAAUAUAUAUUUUGGGUUCAAAUCCUACAAACUUAACUUUUUAAGAAAUUAGUUGUUCAACAUGGUAUCAAUGCUCGGUUUUGGAAUUGGUCUCACCUCUCAUUAUCCAACAAUAUGGUGGUAUCUUAACCUAGGGCCUGGUGUAUGAGGGGAAUAUUGUUGGGUUCUCCCAUAUCUCUUAUAGAAGGAAUUGGGUGACUCUUUAUCAGUGUGCAUGAAAAUCUCAGCCUUUUAAGCUAAUUUUUUGGGGUGAUAAGGCCCAAAAUCACCCAAUAGUAGUGUCCCCAAUAUUAUUUUUCUUUUUUACUUUAUGAUAUCAUAACCCCAUUUGGUGGGAGGUGAACGUCAUAUGGUUGCCCACUAUGGUCACUUUGUUUGAAGUCAAGUGGUUUCAAUACAUGCUUCUUUUCCCAAUUUAUCAAGUUCGCAUGCAAGCCUGAAAAUAGAAGCUGCACAUGUAAGAGGGAGAGAGAGUGAGAGAUUAUGGUUGUUUGGUGGUGAAAACAUGAUUCUAAAGAGGACCCCAUAUCUUGCGAUUUUUUGGGUUCCUUUUUUCAUAGAAAUCAUCACCCAUAAUCAAACAAAUGGAAACAAAACAAGAAAAGCUAUGUAGCUAGACUACGUAAAACAACAAGUAUGUAUGCAUGCAAGACACGUAUAGUCAGUGAAAAACUGCAAUCUAGGACGCAGAUGACAGAUCAAUAUCUGUUGUGAUAUCAAGACUUGAGAUAGAUGGGAUCAAAUCACCUGCAUCCGCCAAAGGAGGUCGCUGCUGGGCUUAACCUGAAACCGGUUUUUCCAGAAAUUUUCACGAGCUGCUUCGACCUCAGCUCGCUCUUCUGUGGUUCCAUAGUCAGGAUCAAACUCCCAUAUCUGUCUUCCCACGAAGUUGUUGGUGGUGUAGAUGUAGGAAUCAUUGCCUCCAUCUGCAACCUUGAGCCUCCACAUUUUCAAACUCACCAAACUGACGAGAUAUAUCUCUAUAUAUAUCUAAGUUUACAAAUAUGUGUCUCCCUUCCGAAAACACCUGCUGAUCAUGCAAUCACCAGAAAGGUAAGAAAAGCUUUUCUUUGCAAUAAAAUUAAGUUAAAAUGAUACAGACCAAGGACAGAGAGAUAGGUGCUGGGUGGGCAGAGAAGAGAGAAGCUUCAGAAACUUGGAAUGGCGAGUUCCAGGAGGGAAUCGCUCAUUCAUAUAGAAGCACAGCAGCAAGUCAAUCACCAACCCCCAUGACUUGUAUUUAUGAAUGAGACUAUUAACACUUAAUUUAUGCUUAUCUAUAUAUAUGAAGUGAUGUCAGCCAUAGUAACUUGAUUUCUAAAUUCAUGAAUCUUGUAACAGACCCUGAUAGAUAUCAGUCCUUCAAUCAUAAAAUUAAUAUGGUUUAAGACAUACAGUCCCUGAUACAUCAAUUAGUUAUGUUUAAGUGACGUUUCACCAAUUUUUCCCCAACGUCCAACAAAAGUCUCAAUUAAAGCACAAAAAAUUUAAUUUAGAUGGUGGACAUGUGAAAAAUUCCAGUUUUGCAAAGAAAAAAAAAAAGAAAAAAAAAAGAAAAAAAAAGAAAAAAAAAAAAGAAAAGGAAAUAAUUGACCUUCUGUGUUGUUGCCACCAGUUAUGAUGGGUGUUCAUUUUUAGAGAGAAUUGUGCUUAAGGGAGUCCACUUGUUCAUAAUGGGUCAAACAUCCUUCAAAAUCUUAUAAUUGACAAUUGAUAAGAAGGAUAUAAACUUUAGAGAGACCAGGGUACCCUUCAAAGUUGUUAUGUCCCUUAACACCAAUACUUUCACCGAUUGUUGAAUUAGAAAAGUUAUCAAUUCAUGGUUUAUUCAUCAGACUGACAGGCAAACUAUAGUCGAAAUUAACCUAAACUAAAACAAGAAUUUAAAAAGAGAACUUACGUUCAACCGUGUAAGAGGGGCUGCUAUUAGAACACUCUUAAUCCUUCCAAUCUGAUGCCUUAUAUGCUACAUGUUCUAAAAGAAAAUCCCGAGACGUCCUCAAAGUGGCAGCUUCUGUGAUCUUCUUUGCAUGGUAUGGUUGCCCUCCAAAUUUCAUCAAAACGUGUGGAUGUCUUUCACAAAAUCUGGUGGUGCCAUAUUCUUAAAGUGGAAGCCUUUUUUUUUUUUUUUACACAAAAAAUAAACUGAUAUGUAGUGGAGGUUCAAAGUGGCAACCUUAUUCUCAUCCUAGUAGUGCGUGGUGGAUACCUCUCACAAAAUCUGGUGGUGCAAAAAUCUGUGCGUGGAGGGGCUUUUUUAGUGGCAGCGUGCUGUGUAAAAUCCACAGAUGCAGCCUUGAUGGAGAUCUCUUGCUAAUGCAUAAUCAGUCCGGUACGUCUUAAGGAAGAUUCAGACAUUCAAUGCAUGCAGUUCCCUAUUCUCUUCGAGUAACAAGGAUUGUUCAAGCUUUAACUCAGCAAAAGUAUAGCCUGAAAAUCAUAUAUCAAUGAUUAUGGUGCAUUCUGUUGCUUCAAUUGAUAGAAGCAUUGCUGCCUGACCAUAUGUCGUGCCACUGUUUCAGUUCCGACAAUCUCCAUCUUCUCAUUCCAUUUUCCAGUAGAAUUUAUAUGGAGAUAUAUAGUCUUUGUGGGGUUGUCGAAAUCCAACCACAUGAAUUGAGAGUAAGAAGCUUAGCUAUUACAGGUAUGACGGGCAUGCCUAAACAAUAAUUUCAAGUUUCUAAGAGCAGUAGAUCCCUUCAAAUCCUCAGAUUUUAGAAACAUAGGCCAAAAAAAUACUCAGACUUCUCCACCCCGCAACCAUUCCAUUGCAAUUGUAAAUAUGCAGUAAGUAUAACCAGUCCAGUCUUGAAGGCCACUUCUUGUGCCACUGUAUUGGCUUUCAUUUUGGAAUGGUUAGAUAUGCAGGAAGCUUGUUUUAUCAAAGAAGCAAGACCUUUCGAUGUUUAUGGAUGAAUUCCUCUUGUCAGCAUUGGUUCUUUAAUAUUCACCAAAAAGUGAACAAGCUUGGAGCCUUAGGUAGAUAUUUUACAAAGCCUUCUGUACUGUUAUCUUAUGCUAAGUACUGAAUAUAAAUGUUGUUGAGGGUACCACCAGUGACAUGCAGAUGCAAUGUUUAUUAUGAGAACACCAACGGCAUAGUGCAUCAACGGAUAUUUGAGUUUUCCGAGAAGGAGGCCUUUACAUCAUCGACCAGAUCUGGAUUAUUUGAAUUUAGCAAGGUCCUGCUAUUGUUUUAUUCUCUUGCACAAACUAUUCUUCAAAAUAUGUUACCAUGACAUAGAUAAACUUUUCAUUUGCUUAACAUUGUUCAAAGGGCUUGACAUUGCUCAACAUUAUCUGAGCUUUUCUCCUACAGAUGCUUCUUUGGCAUGGCAAUGCAACCAGACUUAAGGCGAUGGCACUCACUUACAUACUCUGCAAGAGCCCACAAUGGAAAAAUAUUCCUGUAAUCUGCAUAGUGUAACAUGCAGUUCUUCAUGAAGGCUCCAGUGAUUUCCUGCCAUAGAUAAUUGAUGAUCAAAUGGUUAGACUACCACCCAGUAUAUAUAGUCAGCUACAAAAGAACAUCAUUUUCCAUUUCCCAAAACCAUGUUAAAAUGUUACACCUUUGGUUUUUUAUUCAUGUUCAAGUGAGCUACCUGUUGGGGAAAAUCACCAUCUUCCAUUUGGGAAUUAAUCAACAGCUUUGCAGCCCUGUGAAGGGGUGUUGGGUCUCUCUCCGCCUGUUAUAAAGGAAGGUUAGACUCAGAUGUUUGGGGAUAAGCCAUAUUGUGAAAAUAAUGUAGAAGACCAAGUUAAGCUUAUUGAUGGUGGAACUGUAUAAACUGACCUGCCCAGAAGAAAGCAGCCCCAUCAGAGCCCACCCGGUUUGUACCAGAUUUGACUUGUUUCCUUCAAGAUGUGUAAGUUUCUGUAUCACCAAGCACAAGGAUUACUUGUUUUUCUGCAUGUAUCUACCAGAGAACAGAGCAGUGGGUGGCAAGUAAGAAUUACCUUGUCCUGGCAAGAAAUAUAGCUCUCUCCCCAACCACCAUCAUCUCUUUGUGAUUUGAGUAGAAACUCAACAGCUCUACCAAUAGCAAGACAGUUGUGGUAAGUCCUGCCAGCAGCUGCUAGGCCCCCAAGUGCAAACCAUGAGCCAUAGGUGAAACAUACUCCCCAAUUGCCAUACCUGGUGAAAUGAUUCCUUGUUUAAAUGGAUCUGCACUGCAUAUAUAAAAAGAGCUUUCCCCAGUGAAAUGGUAAUAGUGGAGUUGAGAAACAUACCAUGAGCCAUCAGGCAUUUGUUGGUCUUCAAUGUACUUGGUAGCAUUUGUGAUGAAAUUGUCUAUCUCCUUCGUCCUGUGUUGGGGGUAUAACUUCUUAAACAAAACCAGAGCCUGAAUUGCUGAUGCAGUGCACUCGACAUACCUGGAUCAUCAUUUUGUUAGUCUUCAAGGAAGUUAAAAGCUAGUAGAGUUAGAAAAAAAAGCUGGUCUAUUAUCAAGAAUUUUACUCAUGCUCGAUGACAAUGUCUUCAAAAAUUUCAGAGGGGUUGAACAGCUGAAAAGAGAAGGGAUUGACAUUGAUUUAGAUUCAAAGAAUACAGAGAGAGAGAUAAAACGGAAACAUUGAACUUACUUAAACAAGUUGAAGUAAUUUACCUCCAACCAUUCUGAAGCUCCUGCAGGCUCCCAGACUGCUAAACCACCAUUUUUACUCUGCAGUGGCUUUGAAAACAAGGGUUAUUGAUACUAAGAAGUUAUAACCUGUUUUGUGAUGGGGACAACCAUGGAAAUGGCCCAAGGAAGAUGAUUCUCACCUGUAGGGAAAGCAGGAUGUUGACAGAAUCAAAUAGUCGUUCGGGUUCCAUACCAACAAUUUCUGGUGCCAUCAUUGAAAAGAGGAGACAACACUGUAACAGAGGGUACUUCAGUGAGAAACCAAGUGACUUUAGUUAAUCUACAAGCCCUGACUCAAUUAAGUGUUUGAACAAAAAAAAUUACCUUCAAACCUUCUGCAGUGCAAUCAGAAACUUGCCAACCAUGAUCCUGAUCUGAGAAUGUCCACGAUCCUUGGGAAAUUUUGCGAUACAUGCUUUUAAAGUCACCAGAAGGAUUGUCCUUGACCUUCAAGAUUUCAAGCAAUAUGAAGCAAAUAGACCAUGAGAAACCCAAGUAGAUUCUGGUUGAAGUCAAGACACAAACCUGAGAUUCCUUUAUGAAUUCAUGUCCUUUCUUGAGUGUAGGUCCAAUUUCAUUUGUCAUAUUGCAAGCUAGCAGGGCUUGAAGGGCAAAACCAGUGUCCCACUCUUGACUACCAAAGGUCUACAACAAUCGACAAUUUCAAAACCAAUUUAGGCAGGAGAGGAUAAAAGCAUAGCUUCAAACCAGUUGCACACUUGAAAUAUUUUAAGAAAAAGAUGAAUAGAUAUUAUCUAAUUUUCCUACAACUGUUUGGGAGAUUAGUGAUUGAAUUAACUUGUCUUCUGACCUGCAUCUUUAUUCCAUCUUCUGCAACCCAUAUAAAAUCUGGGAUCCUAGCAAGGUGCUUCUUGAAAUAAUCCCCAUUUGGAUCUUCAACCCAACAUGUGAGCAUACACAAUGCCUGUUCAACUUAAGCCAUAUCAGUAUCCUAAAGAACUGACAUAUUGUCUAAAUAGAAGUUAUCCACUGCAGAAAAAAACCUUCUCCACACUUGCAAUAGUGAUGUAUCUACUGUUUUCAUCUUCAUAAUGGAUGUGUUUCAUUGUUACUUCAAGAGCCUUCUGUCUCAACUUGUUGAAGGGCCAACGAGUAAGAAGAGGCUCGGUACAUAUGUACAAACUAUCCCACAUCAGAUCUUGUAUUAGGGGAUGGGGGUAGUAGAGAUCCUCCUACAAUAAACAUAUUUGAAUGUGUGUUUCAUGCAUGCGUAGCAUAUUCAUCGGAAAAGGAAAAGUGUUCCAUACAAAAUCAAAACUUACCUUUGCACAAAGAUGCCGUACUUUUUUCCAGUUGAUUUCAUUAUAUGCUUGAAGGAAGAGCUCUUCUCUUAGUUCUAGAACAAGAGGCGUGAUUGGGCCAACGAAUCGUUUACCAUAUAGGUAUGACAUGGGCAUGUAAACCAACCGACUGUAGCACCACAUUUUUGCUGCAUUUAUGGACUCAAAUUACAAGAAGCUCAACCAACGAUAGGAAAAUGAAAGUUAGACCAAAGUAGACAUGGGAAUGUCAUUUCUUGAGACUAAUAAACCAUCCCCAGGUUGAAUUUUUAAGUAUUCAUGCGUGAUCUUAUAAUUGUAUAAGGCUGAAGUUACACAGCUUUUGGCUUAAACAUUUCGAGUCCGUGUGACCAAUUCCAAGUUUUAUGUAAGAAGACCCUAGGAUGUAAAAUGCAUUAAGUGCAGAAGUAGAUGUGAAAUUCAAGCACUUGAGUAGAUGACUACAGCACAAACCUGGAUGCAUAGGAAGACGAGAAGGGAAAAGCCAAAACUCUGGGGGCAUUGGGUUGCUUCCUGACCAGUCAAACAAGCCAAAAAUCUACACGGAAGAAGGAAUAUCAUAUAAGAUUCAGUCCAUCACACAAGAAUGCAUUGUAUAGGAUGAAUGUGAACUUGUGUUUCAAGUGGCCAUACUGAAAGCCAAGUCUUUCCCCAAGAGGGAAUGGAUGUCACUCCACCACGAUCGAGGAUCCAUUUACGCCCUCUUGCACAAGCAUUGUCUCUACCACCAUCGCGCCCUUCUCCAAGGAUACGCAUACAAAUGUAGCUGAGUGUUGUACAAAACAUUGUGCUGUGUCCCUCAAUAUGCAAUCCCCACCCACCAUCUUCAUUCUGCCAUGUACAUAAGCCAUUUUCAUACUUCAAAGCUCCAAGCCCAUUUAUGAGGUUAGGAUGAUGACUAGGUUCAAAAUAUAUAUACCUGAUGACAGUAUAGGUAGCGAAGAAUUUCUUUACGAUAUUCUCCAGGGAAUACAGUGUCAAGAUGCCCUGUAAUGUAUAGACACAUGACCUGCAUUUUCCAUGAAAUUAUUCCAUUGAGAAUGGCUGUUAAAAUGGUCCAUAUACAUGAUUUUAAGGAGGGUGAGAGGGUGUUGAGUAGACUCACCAGGGGAGGAAGGAAAUACAAUGGGCCAGCAUUUUCAGCAGGCCAAUGGCCAUCACUAGCCUGCAAAGCUGAAAAGAAAUGGGCACCCCUUCUCACUGCUGCUGUGGCUGUCUCAUAUGUAAUUUCUUCACCAUCCCCAACCUUCGCUUGUGGUAUUGUUUGUUUGAAAUUUUUCUCUCUCAAAAACUGCAGUUUAUUUAUUUAUUUUUUUUGGCCAAAUGAAAUGGGAGUUAGUGAAGAACAAGUUUAAAAGAAAAGGUAAAUUAACCUCAAUAGUAAGCAUCUAUUUAUACAAUUGUUCGAAGCUAAGAGAAUCAAGAUAGAGUUGCAAUUGUUAAAGAGCAUAAUAUGUAUUUUGGGUCCAAAUGCUACAAACUUAACCUUUUAGGAAAUUAGUUGUUCAUCAUGGUAUCAAAGCUCGAUUUUGGAAUGGGUCUUACCUUUCAUUGUCUGACAAUCUGAUUGAUGGUGUCUCAACCAGCUCAAAAGAAAAGAAAAGAAAAGGUAAAUUAAGCUCAAUAGUAAGCAUCUAUUUAUACAGUUGUUCCAAGCUCAGAGAAUCAAGAUAGAGCUCACAAUUGUUAAAGCACAUAAUAUAUAUUUUGGGUUCAAAUCCUACAAACUCAACCUUUUAGGAAAUUAGUUGUUCAAUAUGAUAUCAAAACUUGGUUUUGGAAUUGGUCUCACCUCUCAUUAUCUAGCAAUUUGGUCGAUGGUCUCUUAACCUAGGGCCUGGUGUAUGAGGGGAAUAUUGUUGGGUUUUCCCAUAUCUCUUAUAGAAGGAAUUGGGUGACUCCUUAUCAGUGUGAGGGAAAAUAUCUCCCUUUAAGUUAAUUUUUAGGGUGAUAAGGCCCAAAAUCACCCAAUAGUAGUAUCCCUAAUAUAUCCUCUCUUUUUUUUUGGUUUUACUUUAUGAUAUCUUAACCUCAUUAGGUGGGAGGUGAGCCUCAUAUGGUGGCACACUAUGGGCACCUUGUUUGAUGAAGUCAAGUGGUAUCAAUACAUGUUUUUUUUUUCCCAAUUCAUUAAGUUCAAGUGUAAGCCCGAAAAUAGAAGCUAGGCAUGUAUGAGGGAGAGGAAGGGUGUUAUAGAGAGAGAGAGAGAGAGGUGGGAGGUGAGCCUCAUAUGGUGGCCCACUAUGGUCACCUUGAUCGAUGAAGUCAAGUGGUAGAGAGAGAGAGAGAGAGAGAGGUGGGAGGUGAGCCUCAUAUGGUGGCCCACUAUAGUCACCUUGAUCGAUGAAGUCAAGUGGUAGAGAGAGAGAGAGAGAGGUGGGAGGUGACCCUCAUAUGGUGGCCCACUAUAGUCACCUUAGAGAGGUGGGAGGUGAGCCUCAUAUGGUGGCCCACUAUGGUCACCUUGAUCGAUGAAGUCAAGUGGUAUCAAUACAUGUUUCUUUUCCCAAUUUAUUAAGUUCGCAUGUAAGCCCGAAAAUAGAAGCUACACAUGUACGAGGGAGUGGGAGGGUGUUAGAGAGAGAGAGAGAGAGAGAGAGGGUAAUCAAACAUAUGGAAACGAAUUAAAUAAGAAAGCUAGCUAUGUAGCUAGACUACGUAAAAGAAGGAGUAUGUAUGCAUGGAAGACAUGUACGUUCAUUUAAAAACGGGAAUCUAGGAUGCAGAUGACAGAUAAAUAUCUGUUGUGAUAUCAAGACUAGAGAUAGAUGGGAUCAAACCACCUGCAUCCGCCAAAGGAGGUCGCUGCUGGGCUUAACCUGAAACCGGUUUUUCCAGAAAUUCUCACGAGCUGCUUCGACCUCAGCUCGCUCUUCUGUGGUUCCAUAGUCAGGAUCAAACUCCCAUAUCUGUCUUCCCACGAAGUUGUUGGUGCUGUAGAUGUAGGGAUCAUUGCCUCCAUCUGCAACCUUGAGCCUCCACAUUUUCUAACGCACCAAACAGACGAGAUAUAUCUCUAUGUAUAUCUAAGUUUACAAAUAUGUGCGUCUCCCUUCCGAAAACACCUGCUGAUCAUGAAAUCACCAGAAAGGUAAGACAAGCUUUUCUUUGCAGUAAAAUUAAGUUAAAAUGAUACAGACCAAGGACAGAGAGAUAGGUGCUGGGUGGGCAGAGAAGAGAGAGACUUCAGAAACUUGGAAUGGCGAGUUCCAGGUGGGAAUCACUCAUUCAUAUAGAAGCACAACACCAAGUCAGUCACCAACCCCCAUCACUUCUAUUAAUUCUUUUUUCACCCACUUCAAGUAUUUUAUGGAAUUUUUCACCUACCCCCACCAAGUUUGUGGAAUUUUUUGACUUUCAAUUAUUUUUUAUUGAUAUAUUUUAUUUCAAAGAAAAGCUUGUCUUACCUUUAUGGAGCCUCUGAUAUAAGGAUGGUGUCUUUGCAAUAAAAUUUUAUGGAAUUGAUAUAUUUUUUAAUUAAAGAAUCCCAUGCAUUAAUUUUAUUUAAAUAAAGUUUAUUUACUCAAUAAAAAUAUAUAAUUAUGUGCUAAUCAUAAUUAUAUAUUUUCUAAUUAAUUUCAUUUUCUACAAAUCAAUGCUAAUCUAAUGAGGGCCUACUAUAAUUUCAUUUUCUUGUAUAAAAUAUUCUUCAAACUUCUUAUGGUAUUAGAGCAACAUGGCCAAGAAUUCUACCUCACAAUUCAAUCUUUUCACCAAUGCGCAAGCUUGGUAUUUGUGAAGCUAUUUUUUUUUUUUAUCAAUUUUUACCUUUAAUCAAGAGUCUUUAUCUUGAAAAUCACCUUACAAAUGUUGGGGCUCCACUAGAAGAAAUAGAAAAUGAAGAUGGCAAGAAGGAAGUGAAUCCAAGCUACACAAUCAUAUAGGGUUUAUAAAAAAAUAUAAAGUAUUACCAUUAGAGGACAAUCCUCUAAUUGUUGAAAGAAGACAAACAUUUCAAUACCAAUUCCUCCUCCUAUCAUUCUUGACACAUAGUCUACAGUUACUAUCACUACACUUUCCAUCAUGGAAGCACCUUUUUCUUGAGCUUUGACCCAAAAUAGUGCGUUUUUAAAAAAAAUUCCAAAAAAUAAAGUUGUUUUCUAAAUAAUGUUCGAUCUAAUGCGUCUGUACCACAUAAGCUGCCACGUCAUAAAACCGUAGUUGGUGACUACGGUUUUAUUUUUCUAAAGUGGUUAGAAACCGUAGUUACCAACCACGGUUUUAACUUUAAGUUUAAAGCCGUAGUUGGUGACUACGGCUUUGACUUUUUUUUAAAAUGGUCAAAGCCGUAGUCACCAACUGCGGUUUUAACUUUAUAUAUUUAUAUAUAACUUUAAUUUUUUUAAUAAAAAUAUUAUAUUAUUUUGCUUUUAAAUAUACUUAUUUUAUUAUUUUAAUAAUAAUAAUAUAUGAAAUUAAAUAAUUGAUAUUUUUAAUUUGAUAUAAAUAUAUUUUAAAAUUUUAUUAAAAUAAUAUACUCUAUAUUUAAUAUAAAUAUAUUUAGUUAAUUAUAUUUAAAUAUAAAUAAAAUAUAAUAAAUUAUGAAAGCCUAUUAAAAAACAAAUAAUAUAAAUUAUUAUAUUAAUUAAUAAUUUUUUAUAUACUAUAUGUAAGUGGUAUAUAAUGUCACAUGUAUAUAAGUUCAAUUAAGUUUAAAAUUUAUUAUAUUUUAAUUUAAGUUCAUAAUAUUAUAUCGAUAUGAUAAUAAUUUAUUUAUAUAUUUAAAUAAAUAUGCCAUAUAUAUAUAUAUAUAUAUAUAUGUGUGUGUGUGUGUGUGUGAUAUUAUAUACUACUUACAUAUAAUAUAUAAAAAAAUUAUUAAUUAAUAUAAUAAUUUAUAUUAUUUUUUUCUCCAAAUAGGCAUUUAUAAUUUAUUUAUUUUAAAUAAACAUAAUUUAUUAUAUUUUAUUUAUAUUUAAUUUUAAUUAAAUAAUUAUAUUUAUAUUAAAUAUAGUGUCAAUUAUUUUAAUAAAAUUUAUUUAUAUAUUUAAAUAAAAAUGUGAUAAAUUUUAAACUUAAAUUAAACUUUUAUAUAUAUAUAUAUAUAUGUGUGUGUGUGUGUGAGAGAGAGAGGUAUUAUAUACCACUUAUAUAUAAUAUAUAAAAAAUUAUUAAUUAAUAUAAUAAUUUAUAUUAUUUUUUUAUUUUUCUAAAUAGGCAUUUAUAAUUUAUUUAUUUUAAAUAAAUAUAAUUUAUUAUAUUUUAUUUUAAUUAAUUAAUUAUAUUUAUAUUAAAUAUAGUGCGUUUUAAUAAAAUUUAAAAAUAUAUUUUUAUAUCAAAUUAAAAAUAUCAAUUAUUUAAUUUCAUAUAUUAUUAUUUUUAAAAUAAUGAAAUAAGUAUAUUUAAAAUCAAAAUAAUAUAAUAUUUUUAUUAAAAAAAAUUAAAGUUAUAUAUAAAUAUAUAUAAAGUUAAAACCGCAGUUGGUGACUUCGGCUUUGACCAUUUUAAAAAAAAGUCAAAGCCGUAGUCACCAACUACGGCUUUAAACUUAAAGUUAAAACCGUGGUUGGUAACUACGGUUUCUAAUCACUUUAGAAAAAUAAAACCGUAGUCACCAACUACGGUUUUAUGAUGUGGCAGCUUAUGUGGCACAGACGCAUUAGAUUGGACAUUAUUUUGAAAACAACUUUAUUUUUUGGAAUUUUUUUUUAAAACACACUAUUUUGGGUCAAAGCUCCUUUUUCUUUUCACAAAGUCCAUUUCAACCACCUUUACACCUGCUCCUUCCUCUCCACCAUCUCUACACUCCACACUAUAUUUAAUAAACCAAUUAUUUAUCAAUCUUCCAAUUGCCCCAACUUCUCUAUCAACACAACCUAUGCCUAACGAUACAUCCCUCUCCUUCACCAAAACAACCCACACAACUUCCCACUUGCAUUAACACUAUGGCUAGUCACCUAUCCAAAAUUGAGACAAAUACGUUAUUUGGCUCUCCAUGUUAGCCAUUCAACUCAUAUUGAACCUAGAACUCUUAAAUAAAAACUUAAACAACCUCAUUAGGUGGUUGGUAUGGAGGACGAAAUAAACAACUAGAGGUUAAAAAUGUCUUCUUAAUUGACCAUCUCAAGGAAAUGACCCUAAUUUUCCUUCACACGUUUAUCUUCUUAAAUGUUCCCUAAAUGGACUAAAGCAAGCCUCUUAAGUUUUGUUUAAGCGUUUAUCACAAGCUCUUAUUCAACUUGGUUUCUUUAAUACCAACACUGACUCAUCAUUAUUUAUUUUGCAUACAAGUUCUCUAAUUGUUUUAAUCUUAGUUUAUGCUGAUGAUGUUAUUGUAACAAGUAGCAACCCUUGCUAUAUGAUCCAAUAGAUUAUCACUAGUUUCAACUCUAGAUUUGCUUUAAAGACCUUGGCUACCUAAAAUAUUUCUUGGAAAUUGAAGUCAAAUAUUUUCAAGUUGGUUUCUUAUGGACUUGCAUUUUUCACAAGCAUUCCUACUCAAUGGCGAGACUUGUUUUUUUAGUGAAAAACUAAUUUUGAAAAAGUUAGUCACCCUUUAUUUUUGUUUAUUUUUUCAAAGGAAAAUAAAAUAUAAAAUAAAACUCUAAAAAUGACUCUUUAUUUGGAAAAAUAUGUAUUUGAAAACCAAAUCCAAAUCCUGGGGUCAAGUUACAUAUCGAGAAGGUAUCAUACGGUACCACUACCCUAAGCCCUAAAUAAAUGUCUCUACUAAUUAAAUUGAGGUAACUAUAAUUGAUUUGUAAAUCAAUGGAUGCUAAGAAUCACGAAAUAUAUAACAAAGUAAUAAUGAAAGCAUAAUUAAAGAUCACUCAAACAAGCCAUGCACACUCAAAGAAGCACUUAAAGAAGGAAAGAAAGGAACGUACCUCAUAACAUGCUAAGUGUUCUUAUAAAAUAACAUAAUGUUAACAAAUAAAGCAUAUCAAGGAAGCAUUCAAAACAAUACAUGCAUACCCAAAGAAUCAAACAAAGGAAAAAGAGAGGAAGUGUACUUUGAUAGCUAGCAAAGCACUUUCAUAAAAUCACUGAGGUUUAGUUCAUAAGUAAUAAAAAAUAUAGAUAUAAAAUCAUAGGUAAGACUUCACAAUAGAUACAACAUAUUCAUAUCUCAAAUCAUGAAAUAAAGAGAUGAUAAGGUAUGAACAAGAUGAAACAAAAUACAAUAAACAUGCUUAAAAAUUAAGAAUUGGCUAACAAGUAUUCACUCACAAAAAUUAAUCUAAAUAAAAUAUCAAAUAAGGAAUUCCAAUCCAAAGAAAGGUUCAAAUAAUGUGCAUAAUAUGUUAACAAUGUAAAUCAAUAAUCAAAGGAGCUCAAAAGCAUGCAUAAAGGGGAUCGAAUUAUAAAAAAACAUAUAGGCUAUCAUCAACAGGGCAGAACAAGGGUAUUUACAAAAUAAAUCUUAAAUAAAAAACCUAAAAUUGUUAUUUUAUCAAAAUAAAAAAUGGAGAACAUCUUCAAUAUGUAUCUAGAUCAUAAUAAAAAAUUCCAAAUUAUUUAAUUAUAUGUUAUUCAAUACCAAAUUAAAUCAAACUAAGGACACUACAUAGAACAUUCAACAUAUGAUCAAAACAGAGAUUUUUUUGAAAUAUAUCCUAAAAAAAAUCAAGAAAUGGAAUUUCAUCACAAAAAAAAUAAAAUAAAAUGGACAAUAUCUCCUAUUUCUUCUAUAUUAAAACCCAAAAGAUCAAAUUGUUUAAUCAUGUGCCAUUCAAUACCACAUUUCAUCACAAUUCAUUUUAGUAAAAAAACAGGACAAAUAUCAAAGCAUACAAGAAUUAAUUUAUUUGGCGAAUUUAGAAGUGUGGUAAAAUCACACAAAAAGUUAUACAAUUUCUUCAAUAUGAUUACAUUACAUGAAAAAUAACAGCAAGAUUAAAUCAUAUAAGAACUUAGUGAAAUUCAACCAAACAGUCCUUAACUAUAGAACAGAGCUAGUUUAGUGGGUGUAGAAAUGAAAAAUUAUUUCUCCUACUUGGGAGGUCAAUUUUGAGUGUCACAAGGAUCCAAAUUAUAAUUUAUGAAGUCUAGAUUAAGGAAAAAAACAUCAAAACAAAUUAAUGAAAUCACCAAAUAAUUUAAUUUUACAAAACUAUUUUGGGUGUCCUAUUUUGUACUGAAAUUGGACCUACUGGAAGAGUAAUUUAAAUGCCUUGCUUGGAGAAACGUUUCAAGCUCAAAAAAUAAAAAAAUAAAAAGAUAAAUAUUUCACAUAUUUAAGAAGUUUAGAACAAUAACCAAGCAUUGGAAACUUCAAAGGUGUAGUAGACUAACAACAAUGGCAAUAGAGAACCAAUUUUUGGAAAACUUUGAAUGUAGGGAUUCACUAGGUCCCUUUUUAAUUUUUAUGAAUUUAUCUAUGCUUCCUUAACCUCAUGCAAGCAUGAAUAAGCUUACUAAGGCUAGGAAUGACUCCAUUGAUUGGAGCUUUGAUUUUAAUUCAUGUAUGAGAAAAAUAAAAAAUAAAUGAAAACCUUUUCAAAUAUGCAUACCAAAUGAACAAGGUAGCAUUAUUUUUAAAAAUAUACUUCUCUUCACCCAAUUGAUCUAAGAUAACCUUUGAGGAUACACUUUAUUUUAGAAACAAUUUAAAAUACUUUCAAAAUCAUUAAAACACUUAAAAUCAUAAAUCACUAAAAAGGCACCUAAAGACAAUUGUGUGUAUCAAAAAAUGAGUAUUCAAAGUGAAGUGAAUAGGGAACUAUUUGUGCAUCUUAAAAAUGACUUAAAAAAAUGACCUUAAAGUGUGUCAAAAUUAAGCCUCUAAAGUGUCCUAAACAAGCAUAUAAAAUUCACUUAAAAGUGAAAUGAAAAAGUGAUACCAAAAAUAGAGAUACAUAGUGAAAUCAACUAAUGACUUGUGUGAGUGAUUUGUGAUGAAAGAUUAUAAAGGUCAACUAACCUAAAAAUAAAAACUAAGAGACAUGAAUCAAUGCAAAAACAGUAACAUUCAAAAACAGUAACGAAAAUGAGAAGAAAUAGGAAGAGAAAAAGAAGAUAUAGAAGAAAUCAAAACUAAAAUUAAAAUUCAGUAACUUACCUCAAACUUUCCCUUCAAAAUUCGGUGGUGUCCUCUUCACUUUUCACAAAUUUGAUCUAUGCAGCUGCAUGUGUUCUCAAUGGCUGAUGUGUGCCUUCUUCUCCAACAUUCUGCUACUAUAUCUCUUAAGGAUCAACGUUGUUGCAUGUUUUCUUGCUCCUUCACCGGAUGCUGCUACAUGUCAUGCUUUCAUCUUCCCUUAAAAAAUUCUACCGUAACUUUCACUUAAAGACAUGCAGUAAUAGCUCCAUAAUCAACCCACUCUAAUCAUCAACUGUGUACAGCCAGCUCAAGUAAAACAUGAAUAGCGUUUUUCCCUCUCUAUUUUCAUUUUAAAAAAUUAUUCCUUCUCUAGAAACUUCCCUCAAAUUAUGGCAUGCACUCAAAAAAACAAGAUAAAAAAUCACAUGCAAUCAAUCGAAAAAAAUUAAUCAUGUACUAAAAUAUUAAAAAUCAAUCAUGCAAUCACAAAUCAAAAAUCAAUUAUGGGCUUAAAAUUAAAGUCACAUGCAAUCACAAUCAAUAAUCAAAGAUGAACUUAAAAUUAAAAUCAAGCAUACAUUCCAAAUCAAGAUUCAAAUGUGAACUCAAAAUUAAAAUCACUCAUACACUAAAAAUUAAUCAUGCAAUAAAAUCAAUCACAUGCACUCAAAAUAUAAAAAAUCAUUCAUGCACUUAUAAUAUCACAAAUCAAUCAUGCACUCAAAAUAUCAAAAAUCAAUCACACACUAAAAAUCAAAUAACAAAUCAAAGUUCAUCUAACUUAAAAACUUGCAAUAAAAGUCAAAAUCAAACCUAAUGCACUAAAAAAACUUAAACUAAACAAUAGAAGGAUGCAUUAGAAAACAAACUCCUAAUCUAGAAUUAGAGCAACUAAAAAAAUCACACUUCGUAUCCAUAUAAUACUCCAAGAUAUAUCUCCAAAAGAGGUCCAAAAAUGGUCAUUAGGUGGGUAACAGUGACCACCAAUUGAUUACUACUCAAAAAGUACUCUUUUAUAGCUUGAAACUAACUGUUUUAAACACUUUUGAGUAGUAGUUAAUACAUUUUAACUCAAUUGGCACAUUAAGGAACCUAGCAAGGGUUACUAAUCAGUUUUUGGCUAGUUUUCGUGUUUUUGGUAGCUAUUUGAUUAUUGAAACAAGCCAAGAAUGAGGGAGAAUUUUGUGAAAUCCAUGGCAAUGCAAGUUGAAGCUCAAAUACAUGAAGAAUCCGAGCUUUGGAGCACUUCAUAGCUCUUUUCCAAACUUGGCAAUAGGUUGCCAAGCCAAUCAGAGAUGCAAAGAAGAAAACCAGAGGAAAAAAUCCAACCACCAGCAUUUUUCGCAUGGCUAUGCAAAAAUUUCGCAUAACAUGCGAAAUCAAGAAGAGGAGUAGCUGCAGGACUAAGAGCAGACUGAGUGAAAGACAAUUUCGCACACUGUGUGAAAUUUCGCACACCAUGCGAAACCACAGAAGCAGCCAAAGAUUUCGCACACCAUGCGAAAUUUCAUGUGCACCUACUCAAUAGAUUUUAUCACUUANNNNNNNNNNNNNNNNNNNNNNNNNNNNNNNNNNNNNNNNNNNNNNNNNNNNNNNNNNNNNNNNNNNNNNNNNNNNNNNNNNNNNNNNNNNNNNNNNNNNUCAAUAUUUAGUUUUAGUUUUUUUAGGAGUUUGGGUUAAUUAAUUUAGUCAAUCACAUGUUAUUAUUUUUAUAUUUGGAGUAUGACAUAUUUUGGUAUUGAUAUAUUAAUAUUUAGUUUGAGUUUUCAGGAAUUUUAGAUAAUCAAUCUAGUUAAUUGCAUGUUAUUGUUUCAUAUUUUUUAAGAUUGCUAAACUUUGGUUUUUGAUUUAUCAUAUUUUGUUAGAAUGUUAAUUUACUUUAAUUAAUCCCACAUUAUUAUCUCCAUAUGCUAAGUUUGUUGACUUUAAUCUUUGAUUGGUUUUUUAUUUUAGUUAAUGCGUUUCCUGAAAUCUAGAUGUUGGUCUUGGAUGAUAUUUUGUUAGUUUGUUUAAUUUGGAAGUCAUUAGUUUGAUGCCUUAGUGAUUGUUGGUCAAAUCCAUUUUUUUUUUUAAAAAAAAAAAGCCAUUGGAAAUCCAUGAAGGUUGGCCCUACUCUCACCAGUUUAAUUAGCAUGAUUGUCUAAAUCUUUAUUUUGUGAUUUUCGUUUUCUUUUGUUUUGGUUGAUAUUUUGUUUUCUAUGUUUUUUUAUUUUAAAAAUUAAUUUCUUUUAUUUCAAAACAAAACAAUUUUUCUCAAAAGAUCCCUUUAAAAAUUAAAUUCAUUUAGUGUCUUUAGAAUCAUUUUAAAAAAAUAAAAUAAAAUAAUAUGCAACCAUAUCUUGAUCGAUUCGCAUCCUUCUUAGUUUUCAAUAAAAAUUUUGGUUUUGAACAAAACACGAAACAAAGCUUGUGGUCCUAAAUAAAUGAGGUAAUUCUAGGCUAAAUUUGUGUAUAUCGAUUGGGGAAUUAGUGAAACCCCUACAUAAGAAAAUCUUUUUAAAACUUAUUUUUACUACCAUCUUUGCUACUUAUUGAAAUCAUGUUUAUCUAUUUUUUGAGAAUUGUAUACAAGAUGUGUGUGAUAAUUGGUGAUUUAGUAUACUUCGAUCUUUUUUUGUUAUGUUAAUUAGAUAACAAGCAUGUUAGGGUUUCUUCUUUUAUUAUUUAUUAUCUAACCCCUCAUGUCCUGAGGAAGCGUAUAAUGAGUUAUCUAUGCUAUUUAGGUAUGCUCUCUAUCACCCACUUUCUGAAUUCUGUAAAUAUGACUGUCAGUAUGAACUAUGCCUAUGUUUGAUAGUGCUUGGGUGUUUGGAUAUUUGUUACAUUGUUCGAUCAUUUAUGAUGAAACGCAUGCUUGGUGAUAUGAUAUUUAAACUAACCAGUGAUGUUAUAUAAUAGUGCUUAAGAAGUGGUCCAAGUACGCACCCUAAAUAUUCUAAAUGAUUGUGAUUGGUUUUCUUGUUCGGCAUGCCAUUCUUUUGAAAUCACCUAGCCUACUUAGGUAUCUAUAAUUAACCAAUUAAUUGCCACAUUUCCCUUAACUUAGCCAGUAGAGACCUUUAUAGGGGUUAGAGGGGUGCUACCUCCUAGAGGUACCUUCCCAAUAAGUAACGUGAUCCUUGGACCUAGACUCGGGUUUUUCAAAGACAUGUUUUUCCAAAACUAUGGAGUCACUUUUUUUAGGGUUUUCUUUCUUAUUUUAUUUUCCCUUUAAAAUAAGAAUAAAAUAAGUGGCGACUCCGACUAUUCCAAAAUAAAUAAAUUUUUUCAUAAAUAAAAAGCGAGUCUCGCCAAUCGAGUGGGGACGGGCAUGAAAAAUGCGGGUCCACAGGUGCGACACAACGUUGGUUCGCUUCAUUGGAUGUAUCACGCUGUAGGACUUGGGAUGAUCUGACCCAAAAUUUUUUGAGACAGUUUGCAUUUAACACUAUCAUUGAUGUUUCUAGGAGAGAGUUAGAGGCUUUGAGACAGAGGCUAGAGGAUUCAGUCACUUCAUUUAUCUCCCGUUGGAGGGAGAAGAUUUCAUAGAUUAUUGAUCAUCCUUCAGAGAAGGAUAGAUUAGUAUGAUUUUGAGGAGCUUACAACCUAGAUUUGUUAGACACUUGAUGGGAUUUCCCCAUAUAGAUUUCAGAUCUUUGGUACAGGCUUUGUAUGGUAUAGAGGAGGGCAUUGCUAAAGGAUUGUGGCCCGAGUCUUCCCCUACUGACUCUAAGGAGAAGAAGCCUUUAUCAAUUUUCUUGCAUAUUCGAUAAUGAAGGCCACUUUGAUUGUUGUUAAUUGGAUUUUUGAUGAUAUAUUAAUGACAAGUUGAUGAAUGGUUAAUUGAUCUCAUGUUAAUUGAUGUCUAUUAGAAUUGAGAUUAGAGUUAUUUUCUUUGAAAUUAUUUUUACUUGAUUGAGGCAUUUUGAUAACAUAUAAUAGUGGCUAAGAGAUCCUUUAUUUGAUUUUUAUUGCCUUUGGUUUUAUUUUUCGUUAUUCGUUUUAUUUUUUAUUUUUUUUUUGUGAUGUUUGGAUUGUUCACCUUGCUGUCAUUUUGUUAGAAUUAUUGAACCUCUAUAAUUAAAAAAUUGGAUCAGGUUGUUUCAUGUCUCUCUAAAAUUUUUCUUAUGAUUGCAUGAUGUUGUAGACUUCCUAGAUAUAUUGAUAGAAUUUUGUUUGAGUGUAAAAUCAUUUUUUAAUUAAGAGAUAUAAACCAAUAUUUCAAUAGGUCCGUUUUUUCACUCUAUUUUGAACACUAGAAAUUGUUUUGUAAAAUUAAAUUAUUUCAUGAUCUCUUUAAUUUGUUUUGAUAUUUUUCCAUUAAUAUAAAUUUUGAAAUUUAAUUUUAGGGCCUUGAUUUGUUGAAAAUUAAUUCUCCAAGUAUAACAAAAACAUUCUUUUUCCUACACCUACUGCACUAACCCAUUUUGUAGUCAAGGAAAGUUUGGCAUAAUUUAAAAAUUAACAUUUUAUGAUUAAGUCAUGUUGUUAUUUUUUAUGUAAGUUAGAUAUAUUGAAGGUAUUGUACAAUUUUUUUUCAUGAUUUUAUUAUGCAUAUAGAUAGGUUAAUUAAAUUAGUCUUUUCAUGCUAUAGGAUUGUUGCUCCGUUUUUUAUCAAUAUAUUUGUGAUUAAAUCAAGUAUUAAACGAGAAACGAUUGGAUGAUUUAGCCUUUUGGGUUGUAAUCUAGACAUAUAAGAGAUAUUGUCCAAGUUCUUUUAUGGUGAACUUCCAUAUCUAGAUUUUUUUUAGGAUAUAUUUUGAAAGUGUCUUUAAUCUAAAUGCAUGUCGAUUAUUCUGUAGAGUGUCCUUGGUGUGAAUUAAUCUGGUAUUGAUCGACACGUGAUUAAAUGUUUUGGGAUUUUGUAUUGUAAUCUAGACACAUUCAAGAUGUUAUCCAUUUUUUUUUUCAUUAUGCAAUAACACCUCUGGGUAUUUACUUAUGAUUUAUUUUGAGAAUGUCUAUUUUCUAACCCAAUGUUGAGUAUUUUUCAUGAUUUGUUAUUUUCACCACUUUUUGCACAUUUUUAAAUCUUUUGGACCAUUGUUAUAUAUUUUAGACAUAUUGUAUAUGAUAAGUGAAUUUUGUUUUGCACCAUAAACCCUUAUUGAACAUUUUAACUAAACUCAUUUUAAAAUUGUAUGCAUACUAAAAGUGUAUUGAAUUUACAUGACAAUUGUUACUUGGUUUUUUUUUUUUUUUUUUAUUCCUUUAUUAGAGUAGUGGAUGCAUUAUGUAUGAUGAUAGAUUUUUAUUAAGAUUUUUCAUGUCUAUUUUUUAUUGCUUGUGAACUAACCCUCGUUGAUUUUAUGAAAGCACUAUACAUGUUAUUAAGGUAUGUUCCUCUCCUUCCUUUGUUUGAUUUUUUUAAUACAUGGUUCAUUUGAGUGAUGCAAAUUAUGAUUUCACCAUUGUCUUGAUUGUAUAUUACUUAUUUAUUUGGUAUACGCUAAUUUACAAAUCAAUUGUCAUAGUUGUCUCAACUCAUUAGCAAAGACCUUUAUUUAGGCCUUAGAAGGGUGCUAUUGUAUAAUACAUUCCCAAUAGGUAACUUGACUCUUGAACAUAGACUCGGGUAUUCAAAGACACGUUUUUUCAAAUAAAGAGUCAAUCUUAGGGUUUUAUUUCUUUUUUUGUUUUUCAUUUUUUUAAAAAUAAAAUAAGUGAUGACUCCACUUUUUUAAAAUAUCAGUUUUUCACUAAAAAAACGAGUCAUCAUCGAGUGAGGAUGCACGUAAAAAAUGUAAGUCAGCAACAAGGCUAUUCCAAUGGAUCUUUCCUUUACCAGAAUAUUCAUUCAAGGAGCUAAUGGCUAGAUUAUUUUCACAUAAUCAUUCAGUUGUUGUUUCCCUUAUAAAAUAGGAGAAGAUUUAUUCUUUCCAUUUGUAUCAACGUGACUCAAUUGAUUAGCUAAACUUAAGCAGAAGUAGUUGGCUUGUCUUUCAUUUUCUACCCAUUUUUGUAUAUAUAUUCUGCACAAAGAUGUUAAUUUAAUAAGGGUAUGCUAUUGUUUUAUUCUCUUGCACAAACUAUUCUUCAAAGUACUUAACUGUAUUAUAGAUAACCUUUCAUUUACUUGACAUUACUCAAAGGCCUUGAUGUUACUCAACAUUAUCUAAGCUUUUCUCCUAUAGAUUAGCGUUCAAAAAAUUGGCCGAGUCGUAUUUGCCUCGACGUCAACUGCGAUGAGUCUGAUACCAUAUGCAGAUUUAUACCUAGACUCGUCCUUGAAUCGGUUGGACUUGGAUGACUCAGCUGAUAUUCUGAGUUAACUUGGCCGACUUGACAAAAAAAACCCAAUUAAGAGAUUUCCUCUCCUUUCCCAUGACAACAAGAAUUAAAUUUUUUAGAGAAAUAAGAGAUUCCUCUACAAAAGAAAACACUCGUGAAUCUAUGAUUCACGAACCCAAUUUUUCAACCACGACAUCAAAUGAGAAGAAGAAAAAAAACAAGUUUGAAACAAGCCCGUGACCCUUUCAAAAGCCUUUAAAAAGAGAAAUCUUUGAUUUGGUAAGUCGUCGGUGCUGCAACGAUGAUUAGCGUUAUAGGUCAUGGUGUUCAUGGUGUUACUCAACAUUAUCUAAGCUUUUCUCCUAUAGAUUAGCGUUCAAAAAAUUGGCUGAGUCGUAUUUGCCUCGACGUCAACUGCGAUGAGUCUGAUACCAUAUGCAGAUUUAUACCUAGACUCGUCCUUGAAUCGGUUGGACUUGGAUGACUCAGCUGAUAUUCUGAGUUAACUCGGCCGACUUGACAAAAAAAACCCAAUUAAGAGAUUUCCUCUCCUUUCCCAUGACAACAAGAAUUAAAUUUUUUAGAGAAAUAAGAGAUUCCUCUACAAAAGAAAACACUCGUGAAUCUAUGAUUCACGAACCCAAUUUUUCAACCACGACAUCAAAUGAGAAGAAGAAAAAAAACAAGUUUGAAACAAGCCCGUGACCCUUUCAAAAGCCUUUAAAAAGAGAAAUCUUUGAUUUGGUAAGCCGUCGGUGCUGCAACGAUGACUGGACCCCAGCAAGGCAACCCUUGUCUCUCCAAUUGUGAUUGUGUGGUACUAGUCAGUGUGUUGGACAAGGUCCGACAAUCUGCAAAACGUGGUGUAUUGGGUCCUUGGGGAAGACAAGCCAACAAAUAAAGGUAAAAUUUGAUUUACCUUAUUUAAAUCAACACACCCACAUUGCCAUAGUCACACCAUAUUGAGAUUAUAUUUUUAAUUUAUUGAAUCAAAUCAUAUAAAUUGGUAAAUUAUAUUUUACUAGUUAAUUUGAUUCAUAAUUUGAGAUUAAAAUAAAAAAAUUACAUAAUUUGAAUCAAUUAAAAAUAUAUUUAAAAUUUGGUUUACCUUAUUAUGUUGAGAUUAUAUUUUUAAUUUAUUAAAUUAUGUAAUUUUUUAUUUUAUAAUAUUAAAUUGAUUUACAUGUAUUUAAAUUGGUAAAAUUAGGAAAUUCAUGUAUACAGUGUAAAGUAAUAUUUAGAUGUAAUGUUAUGAAAUUGAAGAAUUGGAAAGUAAUGUUUAUAUGAAAUUGGAGAAUUCAUAAUGAUAAUAUUAUGAUGAUAUUAAAUAUAUUAAUAUGUAAUGUUUUUAUUUUAUAUAGAGAUUAUAUUUUUUUUUUAUUAAAUUAUGUGAUUUUUUUUAUCUUAUAAUAUUAAAUUGGUUCACUAAAUUAUUUUUGUAUGGUAUAGAAAUUAUAUUUCUUAAUAUAAAAUAAUUUAUAUGGUAAACUUUAUAUGGUAUAGUUAUUGUAUUUUUCAUUUAUGUUUUUAUCUUAUAAUAUUGCAAAAUUAAAUUAUAUUAGAAAAUUAAUAAUUAUUUAAAACAAUUUUUUUUUCAAAUAAUCAUAACUAUAAAAGUAAUGAUUUAAUAAUACGGAUUGAAGGGCAUGCAUUUACAUCGUAUAGAGAAAUUAAAUUUAUAUUUGAAUCAAUUUUACUUCAUUAUAUCAUGUAGAUUUUUUAUUUUAUAAUAUUCUACAAUUAAAUUACAAUAGGAAAUCAAUAAUUAUCAAAACAAUAAAUUGGUUCACUAAAUUAUUUUUCUAUGGUAUAGAAAUUAUAUUUCUAAAUAUAAAAUACAUUAAUAUGCUAAGCUUUAUAUGGUAUAGAUAUUGUAUUUUUAAUUUUUGUUUUUAUCUUAUAAUAUUACAAAAUUAAAUUACAUUAGAAAAUUAAUAAUUAUUUAAAACAAUUUUUUUUUCUUUCAAAUAAUCAUAACUAUAAAAGUAAUGAUUUAAUAAUAUGAAUUGAAGGGCAUGCAUUUACAUGGUAUAGAGAAAUUACAUUUAUAUUUGAAUCAAGUUUACUUCAUUAUAUCAUGUAGAUUUUUUUAUUUUAUAAUAUUCUACAAUUAAAUUACAAUAGGAAAUCAAUAAUUAUCAAAACAAUAAAUUGGUUCACUAAAUUAUUUUUGUAUGGUAUAGAAAUUAUAUUUCUUAAUAUAAAAUACAUUUAUAUGGUAAACUUUAUAUGGUAUAGAUAUUUUAUUUUUAAAUUAUAUUUUUAUCUUAUAAUAUUGAAAAAUUAAAUUACAUUAGAAAAUUAAUAAUUAUUUAAAGCAUUUUUUUUCAAAUAAUCAUAACUAUUAAAAUAAUGAUUUAAUAACACAAAUUGAAGGGUAUGCAUUUACAUAGUAUAGAGAAAUUAUAUUUAUAUUUGAAUUUACUUCAUUAUAUCAUGUAGAUUUUUUAUUUUAUAAUAUUCUACAAUUAAAUUACAAUAGGAAAUCAAUAAUUUUCAAAACAAAUAUUUUAAAAGAAUUUUUUUUUAUAAAAAUAUUCAUUUAUUUAACUAUUAUUUAUUUUAAUUAAAAAAACAUACAAAUAAGUGGAAAAUAAAAUAUGGUGAACUUAGGUGAGAUUGUGUUUAUUACUUUUUUAGUAGAAUUUAUUGUUAUAUGGUAACAAUAUGAAACAUAUAAAUGAGUGGAAAAUUGAAUAUUAAAAUUCUUAUAUAUAUGUGUUUAUAUAUAUUUAAUUUGAAAAGUAAGUUGUUUUCCUUUUAUACAUGGUUAGGUUAAAAUUUCAAAAUGACUUCAAAAACAUGAUAUUGGUUGGGAGCAUGCAGAACCUAUUGGUGGUAGUAGAACUACGAAGUGUAAAUAUUGUGGGAAAGUUAUACAUGGUGGUAUAACAAGAUUAAAACAACACAUCACACAUAUAUCCGGACAAGUGGAAGAAUGUCCACGUGUACCGGUAGAAGUGUCACAGUGCUAGACAAAUAUGUAUGAUACUUCAAAAGAAAAAACAAAGUUAGAGAAAAAAAAAAGAAUGAAUUUUGAGUUCCUUAAAUAAAGAAAAUUUCUAUGAAAUUGAUUAGAGUGAUUUUGAUGAUGAAAUUGAGGAAGUUGCUAUGGCUGAUUUUGAAAGAAGACAAAUGAAACAAGCGAUGAAAGAAAGUUGUCGAAUUUUUUAAGAAGGUAGACAAGAACAACAGAAGGGUGCUAGUUCCUCACAACCUUUUGGUGCUAGGAUUAAGCACGGACUGACACACAGCUUCAGUGUAAGAGAAUGAGCUAGCAUACCUCCAAAAGGAAUUUAUCCCUACAUGUUCCCAUCAAAGCAGAAAUCAAUAAAAAAACUUGUUUUCUACCGAAGACAUGAGGAAAGUGGGUAAAGCUAUUUCUAAAUUCUUUCUUUUUAAUGCAAUUGACAAUGGGCCUUACUAUCAAUCAAUGAUUGAUACCAUAGUAGAAGCAAGUCCAAGCAUCAAGGGUCCCACGGGAUACCAAAUUGGAAAUACUUAUUUGGAAGAGGAGGUGCAAGAGCUUGAGGUAUAUAUAACAACAUUGAAGGCUAAAUGGCCUAUAUAUGGGUGCACAAUCCUCUGUGAUGGUUGUAGUUCUAAGACUAGAAAGCCUAUCAUCAAUUUCAUGAUUUGUUAUGAUAGAAGUAUGAUAUACCAUUCUUCAGUUGACACUACCAACAUACCUAAGACAACAAACUGCAUCUUUUCCCUUAUGGAUAAAGUUGUAAAGGAGCUUGGGGAGGAAAAUGUUGUUCAAGUAGUCACUGAUAAUGAGGCAAGUUUUAAAGCAGUCGGUAUGUUGUUGAUGGAGAAGCAGAAACAUUUGUUUUGGUCUCCUUGUGCAGCCCACUAUAUUGAUUUAAUGCUUGAAGAUAUUGCAAGCAUGAAGCAGACUAAGGAGACAUUAGAUCAAGCAAAGAUGAUCAUAGAAUUUAUUUAUAAUAACUUGAAAGUAGUGAAUUUGAUGAAAGUGUUCACCAAGGAUACAAAUCUGUUAAGGCCAGGAAUAACCCAUUUUGCCACUAAAUUCAUUUCACUUGAGAGUCUUAUACGUUAUGAGGCUGAUUUGAAGAGAAUGUCCACAAUAAAUGAGUGACGUGAAUUCAAUAAAGAUAGGAGCAGAAAAAGUCUAAGAGAUAAGGUAUCCAACCUAAUCUUAACUGAUCGAUUUUGAAAUAAGGCAAAGGAAGUUCAAACCAUCAUGGAACCUCUCGUCAAAGUAUUGAAAUUGGUUGAUCAAGAUAAAAAGCCCACACUAUCAAUCAUUUAUGAAGCAAUGGAUAAAGCUAAAUUGGCUAUCAAGGCAUUGGUCAAGCAAUGGGAAAAUUUUUGGGAAGUUAUUGAUAGAAGGUGAGAAGGUCAAUUGCACAGACAUUUGCAUGUUGCAGGUAAUAAAAAAAUUCUUUAUAUAUUUUUUAUUAUUUUUUUCAAGUACAAAUUAUUAUAAAUUGAUCAUUAUUUAACUUAUGGUAGCAUAUUUUUUAAAUCCAAUGUUCCAAUAUUCAAAGUAUUUCUCCAACCAUCUAGAAAUUAAAAUUGGAUUAAAGGAGGUUAUUAAGAGAUUAGAGCCAAAUUUGGAUAGACAAGCAAAAGCUAUUAACGAAGUAUAAUAAUAGUUUGUGACCUUUAUAUAAUACAUUUUGUAUAUGUAAUGUGCAUUAAUAAAAAAAAUAUGUUAAUGAUGUAGGUGAAAUUAUUUGUUGACGACCAAGGAGAAUUUGGAAGUGCACUUACAAGGAAAGCAAUAAAUCAAUCUCUUCCAGGUACUUAAUACAUUUAUGUCUAUUACAAAUAAGAAAUUAUCAUCAUUUUUUGUUAAAUAUAUCAUAGAUCAAAUUAUCACCGUAUUGAUGAGCACUUAUAGAAUUUGGGUAUAGGAUCAAGGUCAUAUUUUAGAGGAGCAGAUGAUAGAUCAUAUCACAACUUUAGAGACCGUGAUAGCUCUUCCAGUACUUUUAGUAGAAAUGAUUUUGAUUAAUUUUCAAUGAUGCAUCCAGAGGGAUAUUCAAAUACUGGAACAUGAGCUGGUGAUUCCUAUGGAUAUGAUCAAUCUUCUAGUAGCAGUAGAUUGCUUAUCGAGGUUUUAGAUACUAUCAAUAUGGUGUUGAUCCCGAACAACCUUCGAAACCAUAUUUUCUUGAUUAUGGAUCAUCAAGCCAAUAAUCUAAGCCAACAUAUUUAAGUUAUGAACAACUCUUUCAACCAUAUCCUCACUAUGGGAAUUACCAUCCUAAUUUGUAUACUUGUUGAAGGACUGAUGAUGACGAUUUUGAACCCCCUCAUCAUUCAACAUGGAAUUGAUUAUUGUAUUUUAUGUUUGUUAGUAAAAAUGUUAUUAUAUUUGAAAUAAAAUAAUUUUCUUUUAUUAGCAUUAUCAUAAAUAACUUUGAGCGGAUACUUUUAUAACUAUUUAAAUAAUGUUAAAUGUGAGACAAUUUUAUUUUCUUAAUUUUUUGAGCUUAUUUAAUUGUAUAUAUUUUUCUGAUGAUUUACAUAAUAUUUUAUAAUUUUUUCAAUUUUCGAAUUAGCUUAUCUUAUGUAUUGUCUGAUACCAAGGCGAUACACCGAGACUCACACGCCUCGGGACCCUCCGAGUCAGUGACCGAUACCUCAACUUUGAACCAUGCUACAGGUGCUUUGACGGCAUGGUAAUGCAACCAACCUUAAGGUAGUGGCACCCACUUACAUACUGUGCAAGAGCCCACAAUGGAAAAAUAUUCCUAUAAGCCGCAUAGUGUAACAUGCAGUUCUUCAUGAAGGCUCCAGUGAUUUCCUGCCAUAGAUAAUUGAUGAUUAAAUGGUUAGACUACCACCCAGUAUAUAUAAUCAACUAUGUUGCUCUUUUGUUCCGUCCACUUCAACUCCUUUUUUUUUUACACUCAUUGGACUGCACUCCCCUUUCAGGUUCAUGAAUGGUAGUUGCGGGUUACUCCUCAUGAGGAAGUGAUCCACCAAAACGAUGACCAACAACAUGUUUUCUUUCUGAUUUCUCAUCAACACAUUCUCCAUUCUGUUCAGAGACAAAUGAACUCAUGUUUGUUCCUUGUUUCCCAUACACUUUUAUCAUUAUAGACUGGAAAACUACAUUCCUUCUCAUUGGCAUUUCUUCAAACAUCUUCCAUGCUCCUCGACCUCCCCUUAGUGUACAUACUCUGAAAUGACAAAUUCUGAGAAACCUCAUCUCUAAUCCCCACAUCAACCCACAAAUUUACAUUACUGUAACCAAGCUUAGUAAGUGCAUAAGCAGCCGACAAGCCACUUGGACAAUCUUCUUUGGAUCCCAUAUUAUGAUAACAGUUUCUACAGCAAUGGCCAGACCAAAAGCAUCAGCAGAAAACGUGGCAGCUAUCAAUGCCCAAACCUUGGAGUCACCCCCAUAUGAAGAGUUGACGACCAUAUGACGGGUAGGAGCAAAAGCAAAAACAAGUGUAGUGGAGAAUAGAGAAAACAAGGAGAUAACAAAUAUGCAGGAUAGAAAUCAGAUAAAACCACAUUUCAUGAUCUUUCAAUGGGCUCAGGCUAGUGGGGAAGAUCACAAACAGAUUUGGGGCAAACAAGCAAGCAACCAAUAUCAACAAAACAAUUUGUGGCAUUUUUUGUCCACACCAAUCAACAGUAUAUUAAAUAUUCAAAAACGAACAUACAGAGAAAUCGAAUAAGGGUAAGAAUUCCAAGAGUAACAAGAAACAUACUUGGACAAACUCGGCUGCAAUUGCUCAUUUCUUGCUCCUUUGUGCUUUUCCCCCAAAAUCUCCCCAAAAAGAAAAAAAAACUUCGUGAAUCCUCUUUUUUCUUCUUCCCCUCUUUUUUUUUUCUCACUCGUUUGUUCCCUCACCUUUUUUUCCAAAAUCCUUAUUUUUUUGUAUUUGUAUCAACCUCUCAAAAACUCAAUCUGCUGAAGGAAUUCCACUUUCAUUUCUUUUAUUUCCCUUCAUUUUUGAAAAUUAGAAUGUUUCUCCUUUCUAUGUGGGAUCUCCUCUUUCCAUAUGUAUGCAACCAUAUUAAUCCUCUUUUCCCUCCAAAAAUAUUUUUCUUACCUUCUUUAAGUGCACGUGCUUAGUGAGAGUUGAUUAGCAACCCCCAAUUCUCUUGUCAAACAAUAAAAAAAGAAAAUAAAAAGAAUAAAACCAAAAAAAAGCUAGCAAUCUUGCAACAUAUAAAGGAAUAAAGUAAAAUAAAAUAAAUAAAUAAAGUAAAACAAAAUAACAAAAUAAAAUAAAAUAAAAUAGAAUGGUCAAUCCUAUGCGGGAUAUGCAAGUCAUGCGGCUAUGUGAAUCAUGCAAGUCAUAUAAAAAGUGAGUCUAAAAGUGCCUAAGGUGGUGCCUAAUGGGUCGGGGUAUGCCUAUACGGGCCUAGGGUGAGACUGGGCGGGCUUAACUAAGUCUAACCUAAAGUGCACCUAAGUGAAGUCUAAUCUAAACUUGAUGGGCAGCUAAGGUCAUAAUGUCGAGCUAGAUAAACCCUUCAACCAAAGUCCCCAAAGUGGCUAAAAAAAAAGGUAAGCAGUAUGAGUAGCAAUGGGCCACCAAGGAACUAUUGUGGAGCACUGGAAUUGAACUUAAGGACAUGUGCUAAAAGGACAAAAUGGAGGGUCUAAAAAUGUACCUAGGGUUCCAAAGUUUGUUCGAAGUAGGGAACGAUCUCCAAUCACUUCUCAAAGAUCCCUAAAGGAAUAAACAAACCAUGGGUAAUAAGAUAGAGGUUUUGUUAGCUCAAGGAUUGGAUGUACCAAAUUUUUUUAAUGAUGUGCCAAAUUUUGUAAAGAAUGUACCAAAGGGGCCAAAGUUUGUUUCGAAGAAGGGAACGACCUCUAAUCAUUUUCUAAGGUUGUUCAAUGAAAUAAAUGAACCAUGGGAAGGAAGUUAGGUGUCCCGUUAGCUCAAGAAUUGGAUGUAUCAAAUUUUCUUAAGAAUGUACCUAGGGUUCCAAAGUCUGUUUCAAAGUAGGGAACAACCUCCAAUCACUUUCCAAAGAUCCUUAAAGGAAUUAACGGACCAUGGGUAAUAAGAUAGGGGUCCCGGUAGCUCAAGGAUUAGAUGUACCAAAUUUUUGGUACAGAGAUUCAACCGGUACCAUUUUAUAAUGCAAAUUGAAAUUUAUGUGAAUGAAACAAAAUAUACUAGCUAGUUUCCUGUAAUGAGCUAAAUAAAAAAAGUAGUUAAAAAUAAAAAGAUAAUAUAAAAUAAAAUGAUAAUAUAGAUUUAAAAUAAAAAAAAUUAAAUAACAAUUAAAAAUUUUAAAAAUAAUAAAUAUUUUUUAAAAAAAAAAUCUUUCAAAAAAUAUAUGAUUUUAAAUCAACAAGGAAUUAUUUCCACUACUUAUUUCAUAUGAACGUCAAGGGCCAACCUUUCAAGCUAUCAGCAUGCCUCCAUUUGCCUUAUUGCCCAACCCAUACCUUAAAGCAAGUCAUCCUAAAUUCAUGCCUCUGACAGAGAGUUAUGUCUAUUUUUUUCCUACUGCACAUAGCUUAACAAAAAUAAAUUUUUCACCCACAUUCAUGCGUCUUCCAUGAAGGUUGUGCUCUUAGGUUGACUAGUGCACAAAGCCUACAAAUAUAAUGGUUUCAGUAAUAGGCAUGCUUCUAAAAUCAAGGGUGUGCCCCUGGUUUGCAUACUGCAUAUGGUACAUGCUUCAUUAAAUUUGAUACAUCUGAUCCUAUUGUUUCCAGGUCCCUCAUCUGAACAUGGAUGGUCCAUGAUUUCAUUUUGGAACCUAUAAGGAAGUGAUUGGGGGCCAAUCCCCACCUCGGAAUGCACUUUGGAACCUUUGGUACAUCCUUCACAAAAUUUGGUACAUCCUUCAUUAAAUUUAGUACAUCCGAUCCUAUUACUUCCGGGACCCCCAUCUGAACAUGGAUGGUCCAUGAUUUCAUUUUAGAACCCAUAAGGAAGUGGUUGGGGGCCCAUCCCUACCUCGGAAUGCAGUUUGGAACCCUUAGUACAUCUUUCACAAAAUUUGGUACAUCAUUCAUUAAAUUUGGUACAUCCGAUCCUAUUGCUUUCGGGUCCCCCAUCUGAACAUGGAUGGUCCAUGAUUUCAUUUUGGAACCCAUAAGGAAGUGAUUGGGGGUCGAUUCCCACCUCGAAACGCAGUUUGGAACCCUUGGUACAUCCUUCACAGAUUUUGGUACAUUUUUCACAAAAUUUGGUACAUUCUUCAUUAAAUUUGGUACAUUCCAAUCCUAUUGCUUCUGGGUCUCCCAUCUGAACAUGGAUAGUCCAUGAUUUCAUUUUGGAACCCAUAAAAAAGUAAUUGGGGGCCGAUCUCCACCUUAGAACGCAAUUUGGAACCCUUGGUACAUCAUUCACAAAAUUUGGUACAUCCUUCAUUAAAUUUGGUACAUCCGAUCCUAUUGCUUUCGGGUCCCCCAUCUGAACAUGGAUGGUCCAUGAUUUCAUUUUGAAACCCAUAAGGAAGUGAUUGGGGGUCGAUCCCCACCUCGGAACGCAGUUUGGAACCCUUGGUACAUCCUUCACAAAAUUUGGUACAUCCUUAAUUAAAUUUGGUACAUCCGAUCCUUUUGCUUCCAGGUCUUCCAUCUGAACAUGGAUAGUCCAUGAUUUCAUUUUAGAACCCAUAAGUGAUUGGAGAUCGAUCCCCACCUCCAUAUGCACUUUGAAACCCUUGGUACAUUCUUCAUUAAAUGCGGUACAUCUGAUCUUAUUGUUUUCGGAACCCCCAUCUGAAUAUGGAUGGUCCAUGAUUUCAUUUUGGAAUUCAUAAGGAAUUGAUUGGGAGUCAAUCCCCACCUCAGAACACACUUUGGAACGCUUGGUACAUCCUUCACAAAAUUUGGUACAUCCUUUAUUAAUUUGGUACAUUCGAUCCUAUUGUUUCCGGGUCCUCCAUCUGAACAUAGAUGGUCCAUGAUUUCAUUUUGGAACCCAUAAGGAAGUGAUUGGGGGUCGAUCCCCACCUCAGAACGCACUUUGGAACCCUUGGUACAUCCUUCACAAAAUUUGGUACAUCUAAUCGUAUUGCUUUUAGGACCCCCAUCUGAACAUGGAUGGUCCAUGAUUUCAUUUUGGAACCCUUGGUACAUCCUUAACAAAAUUUGAUACAUCCUUCAUUAAAUUUGGUACAUCCAAUCCUAUUGCUUCUAGGUUCCCCAUCUGAACAUGGAUGGUCCAUGAUAUCAUUUUGGAACCUAUAAGAAAGUGAUUGGGGGUCGAUUCCCACCUCAGAACGCAGUUUGGAACCCUUGGUACAUCUUUCACAAAAUUUGGUACAUCCGAUUCUAUUGUUUUCGGGACCCCCAUCUGAACAUGGAUGGUCCAUAAUUUCAUUUUGGAACUCAUAAGGAAGUGGUUGAGGGAUGAUCCCCACCUCAGAAUGCACUUUGGAAUGCGUGGUACGUUCUUCACAAAAUUUGGUACAUCCGAUCCUAUUGUUUCUAGGUCCCCCAUCUGAACAUGGAUGGUACAUGAUUUCAUUUUGGAACCCAUAAGGAAGUGAUUGGGAUCCGAUCCCCACCUCGGAAUGCACUUUGGAACCCUUGGUACAUUCUUCACAAAAUUUGGUACAUCCUUCAUAAUGUACCAAAUUUUGUGAAUGAUCUACCAAAUUUUGUGAAUGAUGUACCAAAUUUUGUAAAUGAUGUACCAAAUUUCGUAAAGGAUGUACCAAUGUUGCCAAAGUCUGUUAUGAGGUGUGGAACGACCUUCAAUAACUUCUCGAGGGUCUUCAAAUGAAGAAAUGGACUAUGGAAAUGGAGAUAAGUGUCUCGUUAGCUCAAGAAUUGGAUGUAUCAAAUUUUCUCAAUGGUGCACCUGGGGUUCCAAAGUCCAUUUCGGAGUAGGGAAUGAUCUCCAAUCACUUCCCAAAGAUCCCUAAAGGAAUAAACAGACCAUGGGUAAUAAGAUAGAGGUUUCAAUAGCUCAAGUAUGUACCAAAUAUUUUUAAGAAUGUACCAAAUUUUGUAAAAGAUGUACCGAGAGUGCCAAAGUUCGUUCUGAUGUGGGGAAUGACCUUCAAUCACUACCUAAGGGUCCUCAAAGGAUAAUAUGGACCAUGGGAAAAUAGAUAGGGGUCUCGAUAGCCCGAGGAUUGGAUGUACCAAAUUUCUUAACGAUGUACCAAAUUUCCUUAAGGAUGUACCUAGGGUUCCAUAGUUCGUUUCGAAGUAGGGAACGACCUCUAAUUACUUCCUAAAAAUCCCUAAAGAAAUAAACGAACUAUGAGUAAUAAUAUAGAGGUCCUAGUAGCUCAUGGAUUAUAUGUACAAAUUGUUUUAAGGAUGUGCCAAAUUUUAUGAAAUAUGUACCAAAUUUUGUAAAUGAUGUACCAAAUUGUCUUUAGGAUGUACCUUGGGUCCCAAUGUUUGUUUUAGGGUGGGGAAUAACCUCUAAUUCCUUCUCAAGGGUCCCCAAAUGAAUAUAUGAAUCAUGAAAAUGAAAAUAUGGGUCUUAGUUCCUCUAAGAAUGGAUAUACCUAGGAUCCCAAAGUUCUUUUUGGGGUGGGCAAAGACCUCCAAUUACUUAUCGAGGGUCCCAAAAAGAAUAUAUAUACCAUGAUAAGUAUGAUAGUAUUUCUAGUUCUCCUAAGCAUUAAUUUACUUUUUUUUUUUUAAGGAUGUACCUAUUUUUUAUGAAAUUAAUAUAAAAGGUUAAAUACAUUUUUUUAUGAAAAAUAUAUUUUCUUUUAUAUUUUAUUUUAAUUAAAAAUUAAAGAUUUUAACCAAAAAAAAGUUAGAUCCACAAUCAAUUUAAAAUCAUAAGAAAAAUGAUAAAAGCACCAUUACUUAUUGUGAUUUUGAUAUGAUAAAUUUAAAAUGAAAAUAAAAAGAAAAAUAAUGUAAAUAAUAAAAUAAUAUUGCAAUGAUAUUUUUACUAUUACAUGUGAUAGAAUUUACAAAAUAAAUGAAUCUGUUGUUUAGUAUUAAAAUAAAAAAUCUUAUAUCAUAAACUUCUAAAUAAUAACAUGGAAUUUUUAAAUUUAAACCUUAAUUUAUAAAAUGUAUUAUUAUAACUAAUACUUAAAAUCAUUAUUAUUUGUGGGAUAAUAUUUUCAUUUUUGUCCAUUAUAUAUUUUGUUUUUAUUUAAUUUAUUAUAUUAAUUAUUUAUUAUAUAAUAUCAUUUUAAGUUUAAUAUGUCAAAAAAUAAUAAUUAAAAUCAAUAAAUAUAGGCAAAUUAGAGAGUAAAAAUAAAUUAAAAUUAAAGAAGUUUUAUGAGAAAAUGCAUGAGCAUAUUAAAAAGAAUAUAAAGGAAAAAAAGAAAAAUAAUAAUAAAAACUAUAAUAGGUGACAAUGGAUUAUGGUGGCUGGAGAGGAAAAAAAAAAAGAAAAAAAAGAAAAAAGUGGAAAUGUGGCAAGUGGUCAGGGAGAUAUAUUGAUGUGAGAAAAAUAAUAAAAAUAAAUUACACAUGUACUUGUUAACAUGUGGUAUUAAAUUGGUGUGUACUUUAUUAUUUACUUUUGAAGGUAAUUGUGGAACAAAUUUGAAAGCUCUAUUGGAGUGCAUGAAUAAACAAUAUUUUUUUCCCAUUUUACACCAAAAUUAAAAAGAAAAAAGUAAAGUUCCAAAAUCUCUUUUUUUUUUUUAGUUGGUGUAAGGUUAGAUGACUUUUCCUUUUUUUUAAUGCAUGGUUCAUUUGAGUGAUGCAAAUUAUGAUUUCACCAUUGUCUUGAUUGUGCAUUACUUAUUUCUUUGAUAUCCACUAAUUUACAAAUCAAUUGUCAUAGUUGUCUCAACUCAUUAGUAGAUACCUUUAUUUAGGCCUUAAAGGGGUGUUAUCGUAUGAUACAUUCCUAAUAGGUAACCUGGCUCUUGGACUUAAACUUGGGUUUUCAAAAACACGUUUUUUAGCCACUCUUAGGGUUUUAUUUCUUAUUUUGUUUUCCAUUUUUUUUAAAAAUAAAAUAAGUGGUGACUCCACCUUUUAAAAAAAAAUUAGUUUUUCACUAAAAAACGAGUCAUCAUUGAGUGAGGACGCACAUGAAAAAUAUAGGUCCACAACAAUGCUAUUCCAAAGGAUCUUUCCUCUACCAGAAUAUUCAUUCAAGGAGCCAAUGAUUGUAGGAAGAGUGUAAAUGUGAAAAGUGCUUUUUUUUUGCUUGUCCCACAUAGGAAAAAGAGGAACAUCUUUAGUGGGUUUAUUAACUAGCCCACUUUCCUUAGUCUAAUGGGCUUGUGAAGAGGUGUGGGAGAGCCUCGCGUGCCCAUGGGGCCCAAGCCCAUUUGAGUGGGGCUUCGGGCUGGUUGGGUUAGAAUUUCUUAAUGCACGUCGCGUUCGCACACGCAUCCUACGCGCGCGCGAUCUCGGCUAAUUUUUUUAAAAAUUCAAAAUAAUUAUUUUAUUUUAUUCUAAUAGUCUUAUAUUUUUGGGAAGAGUCCUAUUGUGAUUGUGCUAGUGAAGUCCCAUUCCACUUAUAAGUAGAAUCCCGUUCCACUUUGAGUCAUGUUUUGAUUACAAGUAGAGUCCCAUUGGGACUGUGUUAGUGGCCUAUGAAAGUAGGUCACCUUUCACUCUCUUAAUACCAAUUUUUUAGAGAGUUUUCAGAGAGCCUUUCAUACAUCUAUGUAGAGGAAUUUUUUUAGAACCUGAGUUGUACACGUCUCGCUUACAGAGUGCACCCAAGGCAAGAUUGGGUUGUUGAAUCCUGGAGGUAGACCACUGGUACCCAAGUGCACCAAGUUUGUCUUCGAGGAGAGUGGAUCUAUUUCAAGGACAGUGCAUGUUUGUCACCCUUCAGCCGAUAAGUUUUUCUUACUAUUCAUUAUGUUCUUUGUUUGCGUCUUUUGGGCUAGUCCUUUGUUUUGAUACCCUUAAACCAACAAUGGCUAGAUUAUUUUCGCAUAAUCAUUCAACUGUUGUUUAACAUAUAAAAUAGGAGAAGAUUUAUUCUUUCCAUUUGUAUCAGCACGAUUCAAUUGAUUAGCUAAACUUAAGCAGAAGUAGUUGACUUGUCUUUCAUUUUCUACCCAUUUUUGUAUAUAUAUUCUGCACAAUGAUGUUCAUUUAAUAAGGGUCUGCUAUUGUUUUAUUCUCUUGCACAAACUAUUCUUCAAAGUUCUUAAUUGUGGCAUAGAUAAACCUUUCAUUUACUUGACAUUACUCAAAGGCCUCGACGUUACUCAACAUUGAGCUUUUCUCCUACAGAUGCUUCAACGGCAUGGCAAUGCAACCAGCCUUAAGGCAAUGGCACCCACUUACAUACUGUGCAAGAGCCCACAAUGGAAAAGUAUUCCUAUAAGUUGCAUAGUGUAACAUGCAAUUCUUCAUGAAGGCUCCAGUGAUUUCCUGCCAUAGAUAAUUGAUGAUUAAAUGGUUAGACUACCACCCAGUAUAUAUAGUCAGCUACAAAAGAACAUCAUUUUCCAUUUCCCAAAACCAAGUGAGCUACCUGUUGGGGAAAAUCACCAUCUUCCAUUUGGGAAUUAAUCAACAGCUUUGCAGCCUUGUGAAGAGGUGUUGGGUCUCUCUCUGCCUGUUAGAAAGGAAAGGUUAGACUCAAAUAUUUGGGAAGAAGCCAUAUUGUGAAAGUAAUGUAGAAGACCAAGGUAAGCAUAUUGAUGAUGGAACUGUAAAAACUAACCUGCCCAGAAGAAAGCAGACCCAUGAGAGCCCACCCGGUUUGUACCAAAUUUGACCUGUUUCCUUUAAGAGGUGUAUAUUUCUGUAUCACCAAGCACAAGGAUUACUUGUUUUUGUCCAUGUUUAUACCAGAAAACAGAGCAGUGGGUGGCAUGUAAAAAUUACCUUAUCCGGGCAAGAAGUACAGUUCUCUCCCCAACCACCAUCAUCUCUUUGUGAUUUGAGUAGAAACUCAACAGCUCUACCAAUAGCAAGACAAUUGUGGUAAGUCUUGCCAGCAGCUGCUAGGCCCCCAAGUGCAAACCAUGAGCCAUAGGUAAAACAUACUCCCCAAUUGCCAUACCUGGUGAAAUGUUUCUUUGUUUAAAUGGAUCUGCACUGCAUAUAUAAUAAAAGAUUUCCUUAGUGAAAUAAUAAUAGUGCAGUUGAGAAACAUACCAUGAGCCAUCAGGCAUUUGCAUGUCUUCAAUGUACUUAGCAGCAUUUGUGAUGAAAUUGUCUAUCUCGUUCUUCCUGUGUCCUGGGUAUAACUUCUUAAACAAAACUAGAGCCUGAAUGGCUGAUGCAGUGCACUCAACAUACCUGCAUCACUGUUCUGUUAGUCUCCAAGGACGUUAAAGCUAUCAAAGUUAGAAAAGAAAGUUGGUCUGUUAUCAAGAAUCUUACUCAUGCUCGAUGACAAUGUCUGUAAAAAAUUCAGUGGGGUUAAGUAGCUGAAAAGAGAAGAGAUUGGCAUUGAUUUAGAUUCAAAGAACACAGAGAGUGAGAAAGAAAGAGAGAUAAUGCAAAAAUAUUGAAGUUACUUAAACAUGUUGAAGUAAUUUACCUCCAACCAUUUUGAAGCUCCUGCAGGCUCCCAGGCAGCUAAACCACCAUUUUUACUCUACGGUGGUUUAAAAAAUGGGGGUUAUUGCUACUAAGAAGUUAUGACCUAUUUUGUGAAGGGGAUAACCAUAGAAAUGGCAUAAGGAAGAUGAGUCUCACCUGCAGCGAAAGCAGGAUGUUGACAGAAUCAAAUAGUCGUUCAGGUUCCAUCUUCAUACCAACAAUUUUUGGUGCCAUCAUUGAAAAGAGAAGACAACACUAUGACAGAGAGGGGACUUCAGUAAGAAACCAAGUAACUUCAGUUAAUCUGCAAGCCCUGACUUAAUUGAAGUGUUUGAGCAAAAAGAGUUACCUUCAAACCUUCUGCAGUGCAAUCAGAAACUUGCCAACCAUGAUCCUGAUCUGAGAAUGUCCACGAUCCCUUGGAAAUGUGGCGGUACAUGCUUUUAAAGUCACCAGAAGGAUUGUCCUUGACCUUCAAGAUUUCAGGUAGUAUGAAGUAAAUAGACCAUGAGAAACCCAAGUAGAUUCUGGUUGAAGUAAAGAAAUAAACUAUGGAAUUCAAGAUCAAACCUGAGAUUCCUUUAUGAAUUCAUGUCCUUUCUUGAGUGCAAGUCCAAGUUCAUCAGUCAUAUUGCAAGCUAGCAGUGCUUGAAGGGCAAAACUAGUGUCCCACUCUUGACUACCAAAGCUCUACAAUAAUCGACAAUUUCAAAACCAAUUAGGCAGGAAAGGGAUAAAAGCAGCUUCAAACCAUUUGCAUACUUGAAAAAUUUUAAGAAAAAGAUCAACACAUAUUAUCUAAUUUUCCUACAACUGUUUAGGAGAUUAGUGAUUGAACUUGUCUUCUGACCUGCAUCUUUAUUCCAUCUUCUGCAACCCAUAUAUAAUCUGGGAUCCUAGCAAGGUGCUUCUUGAAAUAAUCCCCAUUUGGAUCUUCAACCCAACAUGCGAGCAUACACAAUACCUGUUCAAUUUAAGCGAUAUCAGUACCCCAAAGAAGUGACAUAUUGUCUGAAUAGUCAUUAUCCAUUACUGAAAAAAUACCUUCUCCACACAUCCAAUGGUAAUGUAUCGACUGUUUUCAUCUUCAUAAUGGAUGUGUUUCAUUGUUACUUCAAGAGCCUUCUUUCUCAACUUUUUGAAGGGCCAACGAGUAAGAAGAGGCUCGGUACAUAUGUACAAACUAUCCCACAUUAGAUCUUGUAUUAGGGGAUGGGGGUAGUAGAGAUCCUCCUGCAAUAUUAAACAAUUUUAAAUGUGUGUUUCAUGCAUGCGUAGCAUAUUCAUAGGAAAAAGAAAUUGUUUCCAUAAAAAAUCAAAACUUACCUUUGCACAAAGAUGUCGUACUUUCUUCCAGUUGAUUUCAUUAUAAGGUUGAAGGAAAAGCUCUUCUCUUAGUUCUAAAACAAGAGGCGUGAUUGGGCCAAUGAAUCGUUUACCAUAUAAGUACGACAUGGGCAUGUAAACCAUCCGACUGUAGCAAAACAUUCUUGCUGCAUUUAAGGACUCAAAUGAAAAGAAGGUAGACCAAGACAAAGCAAUACCAAAGAGAGGAAAAUAAAAUCUUUUUAGUAUAAGAUGUUUUGGUAGACAUCGCAAUGGAAGCCCUUAAGACCAAUAAACCGGUCCCAGGUUGGAUUUGUAUGUAUUCAUGUGCCAUCUUAUCAAUGUAUAAAGCUCAAGUUGCUCAACUUUUCGCUUAUCCUUUUUGUCCCGACUCUGUUCUGAGUCAAUGUGACAAAUUCCAAAUUCCAUGCAAGAAGAUCUUAAUAUGUAAAAUACAUUAAGUGCAAAGUAGAUGUUAAAUUCAAGAACUUGAGUUGGUGGACAUAGCAUAAACCUGGAUGCAUAGGAAGAAAAGAAGGGAGGAGCCAAAACUCUGGGGGCAUUGGGUUGCUUCCUGACCAGUCAAAUAAGCCAAAUAGCUGCAUGGAAGAAACAAUUUCAUAUAAGAUUCAGUCCAACACACAAGAAUAAAUGGCAUAGGAUGAAUAUGAAUUUGUGUUUAAAAUGGCCAUACUGAAAGCCAAGUCUUUCCCCAAGACGGAAUGGAUGUCACUCCACCUCGGUCAUGGAUCCAUUUACGCCCUCUUGCACAAGCAUUGUCUCUUCCACCAUCUCGCCCUUCUCCAAGGAUACGCAUACAAAUGUAGCUGAGGGUUGUACAAAACAUGGUGCUUUGUCCCUCAAUAUGAAAUCCCCACCCACCAUCUUCAUUCUGCAAUGUUCAUAAGCCAUUUUCAUACUUUAAAGCUCCAAGCCCAUUUAUGAGGUUAGAAUGAUGACUAGGUUCAAAAUAUAUGUACCUGAUGGCAGUAUAGGUAGCGAAGAAUUUCUUUAAGAAAUUCUCCGGGGAAUACAAUGUCAAGAUGCCCUGUAAUGUAUAGACACAUGACCUGCAUUUUCCAUGAAAUUAUGCCAUUGAGAAUGGCUGUUAAAAUGGUCUAUAUUCAUGAUUUUGAUGAGGGUGAGAAGAUGUUGAGUCGACUCACCAGAGGAGGAAGAAAAUACAAUGGGCCAGAAUUUUCUGCAGGCCAAUGGCCAUCACUUGCCUGCAAGGCUGAAAAGAAAUGUGCACUCCUUCUCAGUGCUAUUGUGGCUGUCUCAUAUGUAAUUGCUUCACCAUCCCCAACCUUCACUUGUGGUAUUGUUUGUUUGAAAUUCUUCUCUCUCAAAAACUGCAGGUUUUUUUUUUUUUUGGCCAAAUGAAAUGGGAGUUAGUGAAGAACAAGUUUAAAAGAAAAGAAAAGGUAAAUUAACCUCAAUAGUAAACAUCUAUUUGUACAAUUAUUCCAAGCUAGGUGGGACUAUUAGAGUGAAGAUAGGUGUAACAAUCGUUAAUGUGCAUAAUAUUUAUUAUGAGUCCAAAUCCUUUAAACUUAAGUUUUUAAGAAAUUGAUUGUUCAACAUGAUAUCAAAACUCGAUUUUACAAUAGGUCUUACUCUCAUUAUUGAACUAUCUGGUUGAUGGUCUCUCAACCUAGGGCAAGACCCAAAAUCACCUACUUGUAGUCAUGGUUUGAAACGUGGCAAGCUUACCAGGAAUCGAACCCAAGCCGAAAUGUUUGGAUUGAAAUUUGGCUACCACUGGGCCAAGCUCACUUUUGUUAAUAUAUAUUUAAUUUAAAUAUGUUAAAGUUUAUUAUUAAAAAAAUCUAAUUAUUUUAUUUUAAAUUUUAUUUAAUUUAUUAUAAAAGUAUAAAAACCAACAUUAUAAUUUUCUUAACAAGACUUUUUUAUAUCAUUGAUAUGAUAAUUAAAUAUAAAAAAUAUAUAUAUUAAACAAAUCAUAUAUGCGUCAUCAUUUAUUUUACAUUAUUAAAUGCAUUUGAAUUAAAUAAAUUAUAAUUUUAAUAUUAAAUAUAUUAUCAUGUAUCUCAUUAAUCAUAUUUUAAAAAAUUAAUUACUAUCACUUUACUUUUAAAUUUUUUAUAUUUAUCAUUUUAAUUUUGAAUCUUUUUAUUUUAAAAUAUUAAAAAUAUAAAUUUAUUAAAAAAAAUACAAAAAUAUAAAAAAAUAAUGAAGUUCUAAUAUUUUAUUAAUUUAAAUUAAUUUGAUAAGUUAAAUAAUAAAUUAUAUAUUAAGACUCAUAUAUCCUCAUUCACUAAUAUUUUUCUCUUUAACCAUACAUGUGUUAAUUACAUUUACAAAAUAACUUUAACAUGUAUAUUUUUAUUUAUUUUAUAAUUUUUUUUGGAGUUUUUCCAAAUAUUUUCAUGAAUUUCGAAUAAUUUUCAUCUCAUCAAUAUUUCUGUCAAACUAUCCACUGAUAUUUCUUUAAUAUUUUCGAUAUAUCCAUGAAAUCCAAGUAUUAAUAUAUCUGUAUUUAUUGAUAUUUUAAACCAUGCUUAUAGUAUCCGUAAUAUAUCUUUUUUUUUUUUUCUCCUUUAUGAUAUCAUAGCCUCAUUUGCUAGGAGCUGAACCUCAUAUGGUCUUCUUAUGUGGUCAUCUCAUUUGAUGGGAGGUCAAGUGUUCACCAACAUGUUCUUUUCCCAAUUUAUUAAAAAGUCUACGUGUAAGCCAAAAAUAGGAGGCUACACAUGCUGAGGAGCAGUAGAGCUAGGAAAUGAAGUGAAGGGGGGCAAAAUAUGAGAAUAUAUGUAUAUAUAUAUAUAUCAGGGAGCAAAAAUGAAUAAAGUUAACAAUAAGAAAAGCUAUGUAGCAUGUAUGCAUGGAAGACAUGUAUAGUCAGUGAAAAACUGCAAUCUUGAGAUAGAUGGGAUCAAAUCACCUGCAUCCGCCAAAGGAGGUCGCUGCUGGGCUUAACCUGAUAUCGGUUUUUCCAGAAGUUCUCACGAGCUGCUUCGACCUCAUUUCGCUCUUCUGGGGUUCCAUAGUCAGGAUCAAACUCCCAUAUCUGUCUUCCCACGAAGUUGUUGGUGCUGUAGAUGUAGGGAUCAUUGCCCCCAUCUGCAACCUUGAGCCUCCACAUUUCUAACUCACCAAACUGAAGAGAUAUAUCUCUAUAUAUAUCUAAGUUUACAAAUAUGUGUGUCUAUCUUCCGAAAACACCUGCUGAUCAUCCAAUCAUCAUAAAGGUAAAACAGACUUUUCUUCGCAAUAAAAUUAAAUUAAAAUGAUACAGACCAAAGACAGAGAGACAGGUGCUGGGUGGGCAGAGAAGAGAGAAACUUCAGAACCUUGGAAUGGUGAGUUGCAGGUGGAAUCAUUCAUUCAUAUAGAAGCACAACACGAAGUCAGUCACUAACCCCCGUCACUUCUAUUAAUUCUUUUUUCACCCACUUCAGUUUGUGGAAAUUAGUGUAGAGUGAACAUUUUUGGACUUUCAAGUAUUUUAUAAUUGAUAUAUUUUUAAAAACGGUUAGACCAUUAAAGAAUUCAAUGCAUUAGGUCUCAUAUCAUUUUAGGUCACUUUCUACUAUCAAUGAAUAGACCAAACACAUUAAAUUUUCUUUACUCUGAAGUCGUUUAACACAUGGAGAAAGUUAAUAAACUCGAUCGGUGUGGGAGGUUUAUUUUCUAUUAACUUCUAUAACAAAUAAAUAAAUAAAGUACAUCCCUUUUUUUUCAAAAUUCAUAGAUGAUUUUAUCCCUUAAGACUCCCAAAGCACAACUUUGAUAAGAAAUAUUUGAUUUUUUGUACAAUUUAUAAUUAAAAUAUUAAUUUUUAAUUUAUUCUUAUCUAUAUAUAUUUAUGUCUAAUAUAUUUAAUUAGUUUCUAAUAUAUUCCGCAGUCCAUUAUUUAGGUCAUACAAUCAAUCCUAAAAUUAAUAUAUUUUAAGACGUACUUAAAGAAAUGAUACAUCAAUUAGGUAUAUAACAUUUAAAUUAGAUUGUAGUUAUGAUUAAGCCACGUUUUUCCCUUACACAUCCCACUAAAGCCGAAAAAACAAAAAGGGAAAUAAAUGACCUUUUGUGUUGUUGCCAUCAGUUAUAAUUAGGGUGAACAUGGAGCAGAUGUGUUGUUGGACCUCCUUAUUCCUAAUUUCCAAUUAUAACUAGGCUUUUGAUCAAAUAAUUCAUUCUAAGAAUGCAUAUGAUAAUAUUUCUAUUCAAAGUAGAAAUAUUGUAAGUAAUUUUUUAACUUUUUAAAAGUGCUUUAUAAAUUUUAUCAAACAAUGCAAAAAUCAUAUCCUUUCUUUCCUUCUUCUCUCUUUCUAUCCAUUGUAACUUAUGCAGAAACUUCGAAUUUUAAAAAAAAAAAAAAACAACCAAAAACAAUUCUCUCUUUUAUUCUUCAAAUUUGCAAAUUCAUUAUGGCAUCAGAACUUGUCAAUUAAAGAAUUCAAACUCUGCAUUCAAUCCUUCAAAUUCAUCAAUGCUCAAACCCAAUUUCCAUUUAGUCGUCCACCACAAACUUUCUCCUCUAGAAGACUCAAAUGAGACAUAAGGUAGCUAGUAGAAAUAAAUUGCUACAUAUGUAUUCUUAUUAGUGCAACUAUGAAGGACCCCCACUAAAAGAUUUAAUUUUUUAUUUAGUUGUAGUUAAGAGUUGGCCGAAACUAUAGGCUCUCAUUUGAUUUUUCUUUUUUAGGAAUUAUCGAAUACAAACUGAUUUUCAAAAAAAUAAAAUUCUAUGAAUACCUCUAACAAUAAUAAUACUCAUUAGCAUUGAGAAUAGAGAAGAAUUUGUUGUAUUCCAAAUAAAAUAUUUUCAUAAUAAUUUUGAUGGAUAAUACCAUGAUGUUACAAUUUAUGGUUUAAACUACCAAACAAAAAAAUAACACAAUCCUCGCUACGAGUUCAUACUAACACAUUAAGCCUUUCUUUCUUCAACUUUGUUGGAGCGAUGAUAAACGAGACGUUUAUGAAGUAAUCGAAAUAGGGAUGUAGAGUGAGACUGGAAGAAACGGCUGAGAAUGAAAUCUAAACUCUUUUGGGGUGAGGAUGAAAUGCUUACAAUGUUGAAUAUAACAUCUGGCAUGUAAGGAACUCUACCAUAGUCAACUACUGAUUCUCCCAUUGGACUUGGUAGACUCUGGCAAAGCUAUGGAACAAACAAUUUCAGUACUUGACACUUGAAUAAAAAUUUCUAAGGAAACGCUUCCCAACAAAAGAUAACUUUUUAUAGCAAACUUUUGUUCCUCUCGCUUCUUCUUCUUCGACCAGUGUUUUGAUUCAUGGGCUGCAACAGAGAAGGUUUAGCUUUGUAGUUAAGAUAUUUUGGUCAGAAGCGCAGUAGGGACAAGCCCUUCAGCAAAAUCUAUGAAUUGAAGCAUGGGGGGCUUCUUUGAAUAAAAUCUACUUUUAUUCCCGCACAAAAAAAUAGUUCUAUAAAUGAAACUCCCAGACUGAAAAAUUUUGAUUUGCAAUGUUAACUACAAUUUAAUUAAUUUAGGGUUAGAAUCUUACCUAAACUUCAAACUCUGAACCUCUAACCCUCGAGCCCUAAGAUCUCUAAUUCUCUAAUUUUGGUUGAUAGGGUUUUCUGAAUAAAGAAGGUAAGAGGAAGAUCUAAUUUAUACCUAGGAUUAUUAAUUGUAAAAGGACUCUUUCACCCUUAAUGAGUUUAAUUAAUGAAUUAAUUACUUGUAAUUUACUAUUUUGCCCUUAAAGUAAAUUUUGGGGUGUUACAUCCUCCUCUCCUUAACAAAAGUUUAGUCCUCUAAACUUGACAUAACUGGGUCUUGAAAAAGACAUGGGUGCUUUUCUCUCAUCUCCUUUUCUAAUUCCAAAGUGGCUUCUCAAAUACUAUGAUUGCUCCAUUGGAUCUUUACUAACUUGACAACAGCAUGAUGUAGUACGUACCUUGUCCAUCACAUCCACAAUCUGAAUUGGUACUUCUUCAUAAGUCAAGUCUUCAGAAAUCUAAAUAGGCUCCAACUCCAUCAAAUUUGAAAUGUGGAAUAUAUUAUGAAUCUUAGACAAGCUUGGGGGCAAGGCCACUUUAUAUGCCAAAGUGCCUACUCUUUCUAAUAUCUCGAAUGGACCCACAAAUCGAGGACUAAGCUUUCCCUUUCUCCCAAAUCUCAUCAUAGAUUUCAUAGGCAAUACUUUUAAGAAAACAUUAUCACCUACCUUAAACUCCAAAUUUCGCCUGCGAUUGUCAGUAUAACUUUUCUGUCUACUUUGAGCUGUCUUUAAUCUUUUUUUAAUUAAGGCAAAUAUUUCAACUGUUAACUGAACAAGUUUAGGCCCCAAAAGUUUUCUUUCUCCAACAUCAUCCCAACAAACAGGAGAUCGACAUUUCCUACCAUAUAGCCCCUCAAAAGGUGUCAUCCCAAUGCUAACUUGAAAGUUAUUAUUAUAGGCAAACUCUACUAAAGAUAAGUAAUCAUCCCAAUUACCUUUUAAGUCUAAAGUACAAGCUCUCAACAAAUCUUCCAAAACUUGAAUUACCCUUUCUAAUUGACCAUCAAUCCGAGGAUGGAAAGCAGUACUAAAACUCAACUUAGUACCCAAAGCUUUCUAUAGAUUAUGACAAAAUUUAGAAGUAAAAUGAGGAUCUUUAUCAGAUACUGUUAGGAAUUUGAGGCUAAUCCAACCUAUGAUAAUCACCCUAAAGGGGGGGUGAAUAGGGUGAUGGUCUCUUUUUCAAAUUUAAACUAAGUAAAAAUAAGAGACAAUUUAUAUGCAAGUAUAUGAUAAGCAAAAUAAAGACAAUUGCAUAUAAAUUAAAAGAGUUAGGGAAGAGAGAGAGCAAACACGAGAGUUUAUAGUGGUUCGGCGCAACCCGGCCUACAUCCACUCUCCUCAAUCUCCUAACCGAGUGAGGGUUCCACUAGCUUGAAGCUUCAACCAAGCUUCCAAUCUUCUUACAAUUGGAUUAUGGUUCCAAUUGACCCUCUUGGACUUUUGGCUCCAAGCACCCUUUACAAUUCUCAAGAGAUGUCCCUCUCUUGAAACUUCCUCUCAAGGUUUACAAAUAAUGAUCUCAAAGGUUUACAAAAAUCCUAGCACAAGAAUUUUAAGCUCAUAUGAUACAAGAAAAGCUAGGAUUGAAUGGUGCACUAAAGAUAUGCAAGUUAUGAAACAAUGGUGCACUCAAAAACACUCUUCCAAGGCUCAAAUAUAAUCAAGAAUGACUUGGGAAGGUUAAGCUUUUUAAACAAUGAAGAUUGGAGCCUUUUUAUAGAAGAAAAAAGCCAAACUAGCCGUUUGGGGUUCGACCGGUCGAGCUGGGGGUCGACCGGUUGACUAGCCGUUAGCAUUUAAUGCUUGGCAGGAGACCGUUGGGCCUCGACAGGGUCUCGACCGGACCUUGACCGGACCUCGACCGGACGAGGUUCGACCUUGACCGGUUGAACAACCGUUCUGGAAGAAAGAGAAAAUUUUUACAUUUUUCGAACGGUCGACCGGGGUACUGUUCAUCCGGUUCAACCGGUUGAGCUGGGGGUCAACCGGUUACUGUUCAUCCGGUUCACCCGAUUUAGCCAAUUGAGUCGUUUUUUGCCCAACAACCAACUUUUCCAACUUAUAACCUUUUAAACAAGUUUGAAACAACAUUUAACACAAGGUUUUAGUUGAAAACAUGAAAUCAUCCAAUUUUAAAAAUAUUUAAAACUAAAUAACUCUUGGAUGAUUUAGGUGCAUAAGUAAGGAAAAUAAUGCAUGGAAAUCCUAGUGCACCAACAACCUUACAAAGAGACUUAAGAAGCUUUGGUCUUGAAAAACUCUUCUCUUUGAGGUGGUCUUCUUCUUCAUGAUUUCUCCUUGGCUUGAUUUGUCUUUGGAUUGCCACUUUAGAAGUCAUCUUGCCUAAUCACACUUAAAAUGUAGUCAUUAGUUCUAAACCUUGUUUUGUUAUCAUCAAAAUCAAGAUUAACCAAACCUUGGUUUCACAGAUACUAUGGAAACAAGUACACCAUGCAUUCUCACAAUCUCCCUGACAUAUAAAGAAGCUAGAUGGUCCAUAGAGAAGUUGAUUUUCAUAGGCAAGAAGUGAGCAGACUUUGUCAAUCGAUCAACAAUCACCCGAAUAGUAUUAUUGCCCCCUAAGGUCCUUGGUAACCCUAUCACAAAAUCCAUAGUAAUAUGUUCCCACUUCCACUCAGGAAUAGAAAGUGGUUGCAAAGACCCUGCUAGUCGUUGAUGCUCAUCUUUCACUUGUUGACACACUAAACACUAAGCGACAAAUUGUGUAAUAUCUCACUUCAUACUUGACCACCAAUAAUUUUGUCUCAAAUCUUUGUACAUCUUUGUUCCUCUUGGGUGGAUCGCAAGCCUAGAACAAUGAGCUUCCUCCAAAAGCUCCCUCCUUAAGUCUCCAUCAUUUGGGACACAAAGUCUAGUCCUAAACCUCAAAAUCCCAUCAUUUGAUAAAACAAAGUUAGGCUUACUGUCCUUUUUAACCUUUUCCAUAAGUUGCACUAAUUUCAAAUCAUUCUUUUGUAGGGCCUUAAUUCUCCCAACUAAGUUUGGUUGCACUCUAAAAUUCGCCACAAGUGCUCCUGAUUCUAGAAAUCUAAUAUGGACAUGUAAACUCCUCAAAUCCUCUACUAAUCGCCUUUGACAACCUUUAAUAGCUACUAGGGAACCAACUGAUUUCCUACUUAAGGCAUUAGCUACAACAUUCACCUUCCCUAGAUGAUAUUGAAUAAAACAAUCAUAGUUCUUGAGUAGUUCUAUCCAUCUUCUUUGUCUCAUGUUCAAUUCCUUUUGGGAAAACAAAUACUUCAAGCUCUUAUGAUCAGUGAAUAUUUCACAAGUUUUACCAAAAAGAAAAUGUCUCCAAAUCUUAAGUGCAAAAAUCACUACAGCUAACUCCAGAUCAUGAGUGGGGUAAUUUCCCUCAUAAGACUUCAACUGUCUAGAAGCAUAAGCCACAACUUUUCCAUGUUGCAUAAGGACACAACCCAAACCCUGAUGAGAGGCAUCACUAUACACUACAAAUCCUCUUGAACUUGAAGGGAUAGUUAAAAUAGGAGUCGUCACUAAUCUAUUCUUUAACUCCUGAAAGCUAUGUUCACAGUCAUCAAACCACUAAAACUUAACCCCUUUCUAUGUCAACUUAGUCAAAGUAGGGCGAUCUUAGAGAAACCCUCAAUAAAUCGUCUAUAGUAACCAGCUAGUCCCAAGAAACUUCGGAUUUCAGUCACAGUAUUAGGUCUCCUCCAAUUUGCUAUAGUGUCUAUAUUUCCAGGCUCAACUGAGAUGCCAUCCUUAAUUACCACAUGCCCAAGAAAAGAGACUUUAUCUAACCAAAACUCACAUUUUUUCAAUUUAGCAUACAAUUGCUUAUCUCUUAGAGUCUACAAUACAAUACUCAAAUGGCGCUCAUGCUCUUCUCCACUCCUUGAGUACACCAAAAUGUCAUCUAUAAAAACCACCACAAACUAAUCUAGAUAUGGUUUGAAUACCUUAUUCAUUAAAUCCAUAAAAGCAGUAGGUGAAUUAGUCAAACCAAAAGGCAUAACCAAAAACUCAUAAUGCCCAUACCUAGUUCGAAAAGCAGUUUUGCAUCCUCACCUCUAACCCUUAGCUAAUGAUAUCUAGACUGAAGAUCAAUCUUAGAGAAUACAGAAGCACCCUAAAGCUGAUAAAACAAAUAGUCAAUUAGAGGAAGAGGAAAUUUAUUCCUCUCAACCAUGUAGAUAUUAUCUGCUUUGGACCCAAAAGGGCCUUCACGGCUUUAAAACGCGUUUACAAGGUUAAGAGAAGUCUAUACUUAUAUAGCACCAGGAACUUUCCCCCCUAUCUAAUGUGGGAUGUCACACAUCAGAUUCUUCAAAGGAUUGUGGCAUGCAUAAAAGAUAUCACAACUUACCUUGUCUAAGCAUGAAAGGUAGCUUUAUCCCCAACCACCAUCAUCUAGUUGUAACUUGAGUAGAAAAUCAGUUGUUUUGCGAACAGCAAGACAAUUUUGGUACGCCUUGCCGAUAGCUGCUAGCCCUCUCAGUGCAAACCAUGUGCCAUAGGUGAAGUAAAACCAUGUGCCAUAGGUGAAGUAGAGUCCCUAUUUUCCAUACUUAUGUAAAUGUUUCCUCAUGUAAAUCGAAUAUUCAAUAACUCAUACAAAAAAAAAAAAAAAAUUGUGCAAAUUCUUGAGCAAAUCUAAUAGUUGAGUUUAGAAACAUAUAUACCAUGAGCCAUCAGGCAUUUGUAUUUCUUCAAUGUACUGUACAACAUUUUUUAUGAAAAUUUCUAUCUCUUGCUUCUUGUGUCCCGGGUAUAACUUCUUAAACAAAACUAAAUCGUGGAUUGCUGAUGCAGUGCACUCAACAUGCUUGGACCAUUCUUCUGUUAAUCUUGAAGGAAUUUAAAGCAUGAAGAGUCACAAAAGAAAUCAACAUGCCUGAAUAGAAUCUUGCUCAUGUGCAAAGACCACAUCUUCAAACAUUUUAGUAGGAUUUAGUGACUGAAAGCAUUCAAGGAUUCUAUUGAUUUAGAUAGAUAGAUAUACAAAGACAGAGAGAGAGAUUCCAUCAACAAAGUUUAAAGUUACUUCAAUAUGUUGAGGUAAUUACCUCCAACCAUUUGGAAGCUCCUGCAGACUCCCAGGCUAAUAAACCACCAUUUUUACUCUAUAAAGGUAUAUAGAAAAUGGGGUUUAUUGAUACCGGAGAAAUAAUUCUGAGAAAGGUAAAUCCAAAGGAGGAAAUAUAAGAAAGCUUCCUACAAUUCUAAAAUCACAAAAGCCAUGAUUUGUUUAGUAAUUGAGACCGUAGAUAUAAUACAAGAAAGAUCAUCCUCACCUGUUGGGAAAGCAGGAGAUUGACAGAAUCAUAUAACCAUUCAAGUUCAAUUUUUUCCCCAACAAUUUCCAGCAGCAUUACUGAGAGAAGGAGACAACACUGUAACAGAGAUGAGAAUUCAAUUAAUGGAAAACCAUGCGACAAGUAUAUGAAGUGUUUGAACAAAAUUUAGUUACCUUCAAACUUUCUGUAGUGCAAUCAGAAACUUGCCAACCAUGAUCCCGAUCUGAGAAUGUCCAAGAUUCCUUAGAAAUGUGUAUGUACAUGCUUCAAAAAUCACCAAAAGGAUUGUCCCUAACCUACAAGCUUAAUUAGCUUUCAAAUGGCAUCAAGAAAUAAUGAUGAUUCAUAAGAAGAGAUGAUCUGAGAAAUUCAAGACAACACCUAAGAUUUCUUUAUGAAGCCAUGUCCUUUCAUGAGCGUGGCUCCAAUUUCAUCUUUGAGAUUACAAGCUAUCAGCUCUUGAAUGGCAAGACUGGUGUCCCACUACUAACUACCAAUGGUCUACAUAUCUCAAUGAAAAUUAUCAAAGUUAGGACUUUGAAUGAAGUUCAAUCUCAAAUACGAAACAAACUCUAAAAAAUAUAUAUAUAUAUCGGAUCUAACCUACAUCUUAAUUCCAUCUUCUGCAAUCCAUAUAUAAUCUAGGGGCCUAGCAAGGUGAAUCUUGAAAGAAUCCCCAUAUGGAUCUUCUACCCAACAAGCAAGCAUACACAAUACCUGCUCAAUUUAAGAGACAUUCUUCCAUUAGAGUUUCUUUUUCCUUUUAAACAUUUCAUAAUACGGACAAUCGUGUUACCUUCUCCACACAUGCCAUGGUAAUAUACCGACUAUUUUUAUCUUCAUAAUGAAUGUUUUUCAUUGUUGUUUCAAGAACCUUUUCUCUCAACUUGUUGAAAGGCAAAAUAUUUGCCACAUCAAAUCCUGUAUUAACAAAUGGGGAUAGUAGAGAUCCUCCUGCAAUAUAAAAUUUUCCAGAAUGUUUCAUGUAAGCAUGAAAUAUUUGGACAGAUGGUUCUAGUAUAACUAAAACUUACCUUUGCACAAUGAUGUCGUACUUUCUUCCAAUCGAUUUCAUUAUAAUGUUGAAGGAAGAGCUCUUCUCUUAGUUCUAGAAAAAGAGGGGUAAUUGGGCCAACGAAUCGUUUACCAUAUAAGUAUGACAUGUUCAUGUUAACCAUCCAAGAAUAGCACCACAUUUUUGCUGCAUUUAUGAAGCAAUUUUUUUUUUUUAAGAAACCUCUAUACAAGAGAAAAGAGAAAUCAGUUUUAGCACAAGAUGGUUAAAGUAGACAUGGAAGUGGCAUUCUGAAUAUCAACCAAACAACAUGCCAAAGCUUAGGUUUCUAACUCAGUAUGUGUGACCUGAUAAUAGAAUAAGACUGAAGGUGACAUGGCUCGACUUGCCUCUUGUCUGUUUUUUAGGCAUUAUUAUUGAUUCUAUAAUGACCCAUUCACAACUAUAUAAAAAUGAUCCAUUCUAGGCCUAAUGUAAGAGGGAGAGAGAGAUUAUGGUUGUUUGGUGGUGAAAACAUGAUUCUAAAGAGGACCCCAUAUCUCUUAUAGAAGGAUGUAGGGAUCAUUGCCUCCAUCUGCAACCUUGAGCCUCCACAUUUUCUAACUCACCAAACAGUCGAGAUAUCUCUCUCUCUCUCUCUCUCUCUCUCUCUCUCUCUCUCUCUCUCUAUAUAUAUAUAUAUAUAUAUAUAUCUAAGUUUACAAAUAUGUGUGUCUCCCUUCCAAAAACACCUGCUGGUCAUGCAAUCACUAUCCUUAUAUCAAAGGUAAGACAAGCUUUUCUUUGCAAUAAAUUAAGCUAAAAUGAUACAGACCAAGGACAGAGAGAUGGGUGCUGGGUGGGCAGAGAAGAGAGAAACUUCAGAAACUUGGAAUGGCGAGUUCCAGGUGGGAAUCACUCAUUCAUAUAGAAGCACAACACCAAGUCAGUCACCAACCCCCAUCACUUCUAAUAAAUAAAAAUAUAUAUAUAAUUAUCAUUUUAGGCCACUUUCAAGUUUCAAUCCGUCAAUCGACCCAACACAUUAAAUUUUACACAUGGAGAAAGUCAACUUCUACAAUAAAAAAAUAAAAAUAAAAAUGAUAUAAUUUGUUUUUUUUUUUAAAAUUCUUAGAUGAUUUUAUUCUUCAAAAUACUGUCCCAACAUAACUUUGAAAAGAAAUAUUUGAUUUUUUUUACAUUUAUGAAUGAAAAUAUUAAUUUUUAAUUUAUUCUUAUUUAUUUAUGUCAAAGAUAUUAAAUUGAUUUCUAAUUCAAUUAUGAAUUUUGUAACAUAAAUUUAUAUUUUUUCAGAAAAUAUAUCAAUCAUUCAAUCCUAAAAUUAAUAUACUUUAAAACAUACAUGAAGAAAUGACACAUCAACUAACAUUCUAAUUAGGUAUAUAGCAUUCAAAUUAUAAAUUCAAGUUUGUAAACACAUCAAUUAAAGUCUCAAUCAACUAACAUGUGAAAGAUUCCAUUUUUGCAAACCCCCCAAAAAAUGGAAAGGAAAUAAAUGACCUUCUGUGUUGUUGCCAUCAGUUAUAAUUAUGGUUCUUGUGGUUGUUAUUUGAACAUAGAGUAGAUGUUAAUCAUGUGACUGCUGCAUUUUUUUUUAAAAGCUGUGGGGCCUCCUUAAUAGUACUAUAAUUUAUGAACAACAGGCUUUGAGAGAGAUGGCUACGUCUUGUAUGUUGGCCCUUGUUUUUCUUUUCUGCUUAUCAUAAUACCAUGUCUUAUCUUUUCCUGUUCUUGAAAAAUGGCCUUAAUGGAGAUCAUGGCCCAUGCAUGCUAAAUAGGUGGCCCUGAUGCUUUAUACGCUACAUGUUCUAAAAGAAAAUCCCGAGACGUCCUCAAAGUGGCAGCUUGUUGUCAUCUUCUUUGCAUGGUAUGGUUGCCCUCCAAAUUUCAUCAAAACGUGUGGAUGCCUUUCACAAAAUCCGGUGGUGCCAUAUUCUUAAAGUGGCAGCCUUCUUUUUUUUUUUUUUUUUACAAAAAAUAAACUGAUGUGUAGUGGAGGUUCAAAGUGGCAACCUUAUUCUCAUCCUAGUAGUGCGUGGUGGAUACCUCUCACAAAAUCUGGUGGUGCAAAAAUCUGUGCGUGGAGGGGCUUUUUGAGUGGCAGCCUGCUGUGUAAAAUCCACAGAUGCAGCCUUGAUGGAGAUCUCUAGGUGCGUCAGUUAAAGCUCCAAUGCAUAAUCAGUCCGGUGCGUCUUAAGGAAGAUUUGGACAUUCAAUGCAUGCAGCUCCCUAUUCUCUCCGAGUAACAAGGACUGUUUAAGCUUUAACUCAGCAAAAGUAUAGCCUGAAAAUUAGAUAUCAAUGAUUAUGGUGCAUUCUGUUGCUUCAAUUGAUAGAAGCAUUGCUGCCCGACCAUAUGUCGUGCCACUGAAUUUAAAUUCUGAAGAUUUUAUAAAAAAGGACUGUUUCAGUUCUGACAAUCCCCAUCUUCUCAUUCCAUUUUCCAGUAGAUUUUAUGUGGAGAUCCAACCACAUGAAUUAAGAGUAAGAAGCUCAGCUAUUACAGGUAUGACGGGCAUGCCUAAACAAUAAUUUCAAGUUUCUAAGAGCAGUAGAUCCCUUCACAUCUUCAGAUUUUAGAAACAAGGCGAAAAAAAUACUCAGACUUCUCCACCCCGCAACCAUUCCAUUGCAAUUGUAAAUAUGCAGUAAGUAUAACCAGUCCAGUCUUGAAGGCCACUUCUUGUGCCACUGUAUUGGCUUUCAUUUUGGGAGCAAAUAAUCACCAGUAGGUCUCGAAAUCGAAAAAAGUUAGUGGCUCCCUCAUCUUAUGUAGCUUUGUACAUAUCUGUCUAGUUAACUCUAGGCUUCAUUAUAGAUAUUACAGUGUUGCGAGCCACGAAAAUGAUAUAUAGCUCCCAUGUCAAACAAUGCCGCAUCUCCAUCCUCAGAGGUUUUACCAUUUAGAGCUACUGUGUGCCACUUUCCCCGCAGCUUGUUCACUUCAAGAAUGCUAAAGUUUCUCCAGAGACAUCCGCAACAAUCAUAAACAGAGGAGCUCUCAGUGAUCUUUUCUAACAAAAGAAUUAUGCUCUUUAUCAUUGAAAUCUUCUUAUUUGUGUUGAACACUCUUGCAUUCUCAAGUUCAACAAUCAGUUUCUCAGGGUAUGUAACAAACUAUGGGGAGAUAUAUCUUCUGUCAAUAUUUGUUCCUUCUUCAACAUCAGCAAUUAUUUCAAGAAAGAAUGAUGACUCAACAAAUAAGAGACCGUUUGGCUCAACCUAAUCAAUUGCAUCAACGAUCUUGAACCCAAUGAACUGUUUAUUUCCCACAGACACAGAAGCAAUAUCUUUGAUAUCAAUAUUGACUUCAACAAGUUGAGCUUACGUCUCCAACUCCUUCACUAACUCACGUACAGUUUUGUAGUUCCCUUUUUCUAUGAAAACUAGAUUUGGACCAGAUUUAACACUUGGCAGGCCCAAGGGCGUGAACCAGAAGUAGAUGAAAGCAACAAAAACAAGGCACGAAUGGGUAAAACAAAAUGGACUAACAAAAGCCACAUUUCAUGCCUAAACAACAGAUCAAGAACAAGUAAUACAAACUAAGAGCAGCAAUAUGAUUAUCAAAUGCCAAACCUAAAGAUAAAUCCAACUAUUUACAAGGGGAAAUCAAAGAAUCCAAAAUGUGACCAGAACAGAGCAUGCAUGCAGACAAUUAGAUUCAGUCAAAGCAACCAAAUAACUCCUGAUGUCCACACCAAAUCAACAAGAUAAUGCUCAUAAAUCUAAAGAAAAUGAAAUAAAACAGUAUUGAAAACAAAGAAGAAAUGAAACUCAUAGUGAUCUUACUUGAAAGGCUCCACCCAAGUAAGGUGUGUUCGCCUUCCACUCAUCAGGAAAUGACCGCUCUUUAAUACUGGUGAUGUUGCUGAUCUCUCAACAUGCCACCAUUUUUCUAAAUUUCCAAUUCCCCAAAUUAUGUGUCUUCUAUUCUCCAACUCACGUGCCUUCUCAAAAGAACCUGGAGAUCCUCCUCCAAAGCAGUGUUAGCUUGACUUCAAGUGAGACCUACCUCAAAAUUUGGCAAAGCCAAUCAAGCUUUCUCUCUUCUGCUCCUCUACCUCUAGUUUUUCUCUCCAUUUUGAACUGGAGAAUCCAUUUUUCUUCCUUCAAACAUCUUCUUCCUCUCUGUCCAAGAAAAAAUCUUGUGCCUUUCUUCCUCUCAAACGUCUCCUCAAUGUCCCAUCCUAUUCUUUUACAACUCUUAUAUCCCUCCUGUCUCUACUCUGCUCCACUCCAAAAAAAAACUUUUGAAUAUCCUCUCGUAAUCCACCAACUUCUCAUUCCUGAUGGCCCUUUUCCACUUUCCCACCAAAACUCUUUAAUUCUCCCAAAAAUUCAACCUAUGUCUCCUUCCCCCAUGGUCUCUUUUUCACUUUCCCACCAAAUUUUUUUUUAGCCUAAAUAAAUGAGUAAAUAAAAUAAAAACAAAUAAAAAGGAAUUUUGGAAAAAAAAAAAUAUAAUAAUAAUAAUAAUACUAUUAAUAUCAAUAAAAUAAUAAUAAUCUUAAUAGUAAUAAUGAUAAUAGAAACAAUGGUGACAAAAACAAUUCUAAUGAUAAUAAUUAAAAAAAUAAAAUAAAAUGACAAUAAUAAUAAUAAAAAUAUACAAUGGCUAUAUAUAUAUAUAAGUAGAUAUGAAAAUGAACAAAUAAAUAAAUAAAUAACUAGAUAUGAGUACGCAACAUGUAUUUAUAAACAAAACAUGCAAGCUACGUAGGUCAUGCAAGCCACGUAGGCCAUGCAAGCCAUGUAGGCCAUGCAAGCCAUGUAGGCCAUGCAAGCCAUGUUAACCAUGCAAAUGACUUACGAGUGAUGGGAUAAGCCUAAGUGGGCUAGGUGCCUAAUGGGCCUAAAUAUGUCUCAGCAAACUGUCAUAAAAGUGUACCUAAUAUCCAAAAUGGCUCAAAGAAGCAAGUUAUAUGAGUAGCAAUGGGCCAAUAAAAACUACUGUGGAAUAAUGAAAGGGCACUUAAUUAGGGCAUUCCAAGGAGACAAAAUGGAGGGUCUACACACUCAAAAGACAAGAUAAAAAGUCGUAUACAUUCAAUCAAUGAAAAAUUAAUCAUGUACUAAAAUAUUAAAAUUCAAUUAUGCAAUCACAAAUAAAAAAUCAAUUAUAAACUCAAAAUUAAUGUCACAUAUAAUCACAAGUAAUAAUCAAAUAGGAACUCAAAAUUAAAAUCAAAUAUUCAAGAUUCAAAUGUGAACUCAAAAUUAAAAUCACUCAUGCACUAAAAAUUAAUCAUGCAAUAAAAUCAAUCACAUGCACUCAAAAUAUCAAAAAUCAUUCAUGUACUUAAAAUAUAAAAAAUCAAUCACACACUAAAAAUCAAAUAACAAACCAAAGCUCAUCUAACCUAAAAACAUGCAAUCAAAAUCAAAAUCAGACCUAAUGCACUCAAAAAAUAGUAACUAAACAAUAGAAGGACUCACUAGAAAAUAAACUCCUAAACUAUAACCAGAGCCACUAAAAAAAACCACACUAAGGAUCCAUAUAAUCCUCCAAGAUAUAUAUCCAAAAAAGGUCCAAAAACAAUGAUAAGGUGAAUAGUAGUAGACCACCAAUGGAGACACAAUAAAAACUAAAAAAUAGAUUCUAAGUGCGCAAUGAAGGAUCAUGAUAUGAAGGAAGACAACUACUAGAUAAAAUGUGCCAAGAUGACAAAAUUGAGGGUCUACAAAUAUGCCCAUCUUCGAUAGAGAUCAAGAGUGUAAUGAAUAGAUCACUGAUACACGAGAGAUGAGUGAAACGAAGUGUCCCAAAUUCCUAAUUAGUAUAGAUUCUUUUUUUCUUUUUUUUUUAAAGAAUAUUAUAUAGAAUAUUUCUAGGUUGAUAUAUUAUUGUAAUAUUAGACUUUCUUAUAGAAUAAGGAAGGUUGUUGGAAAUAUCCCUAUAAAUAUUCUAGGUCAUGAGGAGAAAAAGUUAUGAGAUGAAGAUGGGCUUGUAAAGACUAUGCAAGGUGGAUAAAGAUGUAAAGAAGAACGGGAGGUACCCGAUGGAGUUAAAAGGCUCGUGGUAGGGUAGGGAUACGAAGAGUGGGGAAACACAAGAUGUUUCGAGAACCCAAUAAUUGUAUCUGGUUAUGUCCUUUGUAAUUGUUAACCCAAGGGUUCUCCUAAUUGAGUUUUGAUGAUAACCAACCAUGGUUAAGUGACUAAUUCGUUUAAUGGUUAAGAAUCUCAGGCAUAAACUCGAAAAUUCAUCAAAUGACCAAAUGGAUACAAGAUCGAGACUUUUGGAAGACUUGUGAUCAUAGAAAACAAAUGUAAGAUGAAUACAUGGGUGCACUUAAGUUUUUCAUACUAUUUCAUGCAUUUUUGAAAACUCGGUUUAUCAUUUAAACUUUCAAUUUCAUUAAAACCUAAGUUUUAUCAAAUAUACCUUAGGCAAAAUGUUUUAAAAUUGGCAUAAUAAUUCACCUAAAGACCUUGCCUAAGAGUUAGAAAAUAAAGGAAUUGAAAAAGAUAGGUUUUUGGGGCCAAAUGGCUCAACUGAUCGAGGCUAUGGUCAAUCGGCUCAACUAGUUGGGGAACCGGUUAACCGGUUUCCCUUGUCCGGUCGAGGAUGCCCAAAAUCUUCUCUUUCUCCCAAUAGCCUUUUCUUCCCGAUCGAGGUUCGGUCAAGGCAGCAGUAACCUGUCAAAACAUUAAAUGCUCCAAAGGCUAGUGAUAUGGUCGACCCCUAGCUCGACCGGUCGAGGUUACCUUUUACUGUUUUUGGCUCCCGAGAUUAGAAACCUAUAAGUUGAGAGCUCCACUUCAUUUAUGAACAAGAGAACACUUGCAAUCAAUUGUCUACCUACCUGUUCUUGACCAAAAAGCUCUCAUUUCUUUCUUAGUGCAUUAAAUCAUCACUUGCAUAUCCUUUAGUGCACUCUUAUAUGUCAUCCUAGCUUUAUCUUGUAUUUGAGCUAUCCUUAAGCUAGGUUGAGGGAUUCAUUCUUGUAAAAAUUGAGUGUUAAAGCCUUCAAGAGGUUUGAAUCUUGAGGAGAUUGUGUAAGAGCCCAUUAGAGCCAGAAUCUAAGUGUAAAAAGAUUGAAAGUUUGGUUGAAGCUUCAAGUUAGUGGAACCCUCACUCGGUUAGGAGAUUGAGGAGAGUGGACAUAGGUAAGGAAGUGUCGAACCACUAUAAAACCCGAGUUUGAAUUCUCUAACUCUAUCUCUUUAUUUUUGUUUAUAUUGUGCUUGAACUUGUUGUGUUUAAUUAAUUUUUAAAAAACCCAAUGCUCUGGUUUUGUCCUCUAUAAUGUUCUUUAUUGUAGAGUGAAAUAAUUUUCUCUCAUUCGUGGAUGUUGCCAUGGUUGGCCGAACCACGUUAAAACCCCGUGUACCAUUGUGUUGAUUAUUUUAUCUUUGUGUUCUUGAUUAACGAUGAUUGCGUCAAAACUUCCGCCAUCGCAACAUGAAGUGAACUAUACCAAAGAAUAAAAAAGAGCCUGAAAUUUUGUCCUGACACAUGACAUGAUAAACUCAAGGAUUGACCACACAUGGGGGAAAAUGUACUCUCGAUAAGGGACAUUAAAGAAAUCUUAUGCGAUGAAAUGAUGGAAACAAUGAAUAUGAUAAAAUAAUGAGAACAAGGACUAUAAAACUGCCAUCUCUGAACAUUAAGAAACUAUGACCUUGAUCGCCAAAGAGAGAAAAAAAAUUGCUUUAAACGUCAAAUAAAAAAUAAUGGCUCUGAACACUAAACCUAAGAAGAAUGGAUCUAAACGCCAACACUAGGAAAACAAAUGGCUUUGAACGCCAAUACUAAAAACAAUGGCUGUGAAUGCCAAACUAAAAAUGAUGACUCUAAAUGGUAAAUAAAAAAAUAAUAGCUCUAAAAGCUAAACCAAAGAGGUGGUUUGUACCUUUCCUAAGAAAAGUAUACUAGAGAUCUUUAGAAAGCACAUAUGCUAGAUUGUUCUGCCAUAGCCACGCUUACAUCUAUUAAAGAUUCACUAAUUAUAGAUUAUUUACAACCUUUGAAUUUGAGUAUGACACCUUGGUUGGUACCCUCAAAACCAAAUAUCACUCACGCAGUUAACAAAGUGUGCCAAGACCUCCAACAACCAAGGCAAAUCUUAAGGAUGUGAAACAAAUCCUAUGUUGUUUAAAAAGUACCUUAGAUUACAACAUUCACUUAUUGGCUUAAAGCUCAAUAUCAUUAUAUGAUUUUGUUGAUUCUAAUCGUGCAGGUUAUCCGAUAACAAUGAGUAGCACCAUUGAUUUUGUGUUUAUCUUGGCAGCAAUUGUAUUUCUCAGUCUUCUAAGAAACAAGAGUCAAUAGUAUGCCCUUGAAUAGGGGCAAAGCACCACUCCAAGAUUGCAACUUUUGCAAAAUUAACUUGGCCUAUAUUUCUUUUAUGUGACAUUAGCUUACCACUUCCCCAAUUUCCAUUUCUCUUUUGUGAUAACAUAAGUGCAUUACACAUGGCCAAAAAUCUGGUGUUUGAUGCACAAACAAAGCACAUUGAAUUAGAUUACCAUUUUGCCUGUGAAAAGUUGUUGUGGGACACCUUUAUGCUAAAUAUGUUCCUAGUUAUCUUCAAAUAUCUAACAUUCUUGCUAAGACUCUAGCUAGAAAGGCUUUUAGUAUGUUUAGCUUCAAGUUAGGAGCUCAAUGCAUGACCGCACUAGCUUGAGGGGGUUAAACCUCCUUUACAUUUAUCUCCACAACCAAACAAAUCAACAGGUCACCUUUUGAGACAAAUAUGACAAUAUGCAAGUGUAGACCCUCCAUCUUAUCCUAGUAGCAUAUGUUAUUCAAUAUAUUUUCCUUCACUUCUCAUUGCCUUAUAGUCGUCCCAUGGUGGUUUAUUUGUCGCUCAUUUGGUACUAUUUUUUAAGCCACCUUCAAAGAUUCAUUGUUGAUGGAUUUAUUUAUUUAUUUAUUAUUUUUUAUGGAUCCCAAUUGUGACCUUAGUUGCAUGCUUAGUCUAACUCACUUAGUUUACUUAGUUGCAUUUUAGGUUUAGUUCACUUAGUCACAUGCUUAGUCUAGCUCACCUAGUUCACUUAGUUGCAUUUUAGGUUUAGUUCACUUAGUUGCAUGCUUAGUCUAGCUCAGUUAGUUUACUUAGUUGCAUUCUAGAUUCAACUUACUUAGAUGCAUUUUAGGUUUAGCUCACUUAGAUGCACUUUGGUUUAGUUCCCUUAGAUGCACUUUAGUCUAGCUCCCUUGGGUUCAUGCAUGAGGGGAUUUUUAGGAAGGAAGAGACCUUUUUUUUUUUUUUAGGAAGACACAAUUGCACAUUGCAUGAGGAGAAGAGAUUCAUGCAUAGGAAAACUUUUAUUUGGAAUAUAUGGGCUAUCAUUGAGAGGUACACUACUAUUAGAGACUAAUUUUGGAAAAAGGAGUUAGAGCUGACACUAAUUGAUCUUGAAGAAAAAAUGAAGCAUCUUGAGAAUAAAAGUCGAAGUUUUGAAGAUCAAGAAGGCAAGACUCAGUGCAGGGAAACAAAGAAAGAAGUAAGCUUGCAAUCUUUUGGAGGAAAGGUAUGAUUUUUUUUUUCUUGCAUAUCUCGAUUAUGGUUAUCUCUUUAUUUAUUUUUUUUUUCCCAUCAUGUUUGAGUGUAGGAAUUCUCUUUGUUUGGGGUAGAUAAUGAAGGCCACUUUGAUUGUUGUUAAUUGGAUUGUUGAUGACAUAUUAAUGAGAAGUUGAUGAAUGGUUAAUUGAUCUCAUGUUGAUUAAUGCUUAUUAGAAUUGAGAUUAGAGUUAUUUUCUUUGGAAUUAUUUUCAAUUGAUUGAGGCCUUUUGAUAACAUACAAUAGGUGGCUAAGAGAUCCUUUAUUUGAUUUUUUUAUGCCUUAGGUUUUAUUUUUGGUUAUUCAUUUUUUAUUAUGAUGUUUGGAGUGUUCACCUUGCUGUUGUUUUGUUAGAAUUAUUGAACCUUUGUAAUUAAAAAAUUGAAUCAGGUUAUUUUACGUCUCUCUAAAAUUUUUCAUAUGAUUGCAUGAUGUUGUAGACUUCCCAAAUAUAUUGAUAGAAGUUUGUUUGAGUCUAAAAUCAUUUUUCAAUUAAGAGAUAUAAACCAAUUUUUCAAUAGGUUCAUUUUUUCACUCUAUUUUGCACACCCAAAAUUGUUUUUUAAAAUUAAAUUAUUUCAUGAUCUCUAUAAUUUUUUUUUUUAUAUUUUUCCAUUAUUAUAAAUUCUUAAGUUUAAUUUUAGGACCCUGAUUUGUUGAAAAUCGAUUCUCUAAGUAGAAGAAAAAAACUCUUUUUCCUACACCUAUUGCACUAACCCCUUUUUGUAGUCAAGGGAAGUUUGGCUUAAUUUAAAAAUUCACAUUGUAUUAUUAAGUCAUGUUGUUAUUUUUUCUGUAAGUUAGAUAUAUUGAAGGUAUUGUACAAUUUUUUUUUCAUAAUUUUGUCAUGCUUAUAAAUAGAUUAAUUAAAUUAGUAUUUUCAUGCUAUAGGAUUUUGCUCUAUUUCUAAUCAAUAUAUUUGUGAUUAAAUCAAGUAUUAAACGAGAUAUGAUUUGAUGAUGAAGCCUUUUGGGUUGUAAUCUAGACACAUAGGGGAUGUUGUCCAAGUAUUUUCAUGGUGAAAUUUCAUCUGUAGAUAUUUGUUUAGGAUAUAUUUUGCAAGUGUCUUUGUUCUAGAUGCAUGUUGAAUAUUGUUCUGUAAAGUGUCCUUAAUUAAAUGUUUUGGGAUUUUGCAUUGUAAUAUAGAGACAUUGAAGAUGUUACCAAUAAAGUAGUGAUUUUGCCACUGCAAGGCUCUUCAAUUUCUUUCUUAAUUUUUCAAUUUGCACGACUGUGGAAACUUUUACACAUCAAUCAUUUGCUACAAUAAUAAUCAUGUAAAUUUGGUCCACUUUUCCCAUUCUCUAUAAUUGAUUAGCUUAGGAGCUGUAUGGAGAGGAAAAUGACAUGGGUCGGUGUUUGACAAUAAUAUAUAGGAGACCUCUGAUGCAGGCUCUUGGCAUUAAAAUGAGCUAAAGAUGGGUUUGGAAACCACUUUCAAAUGAAAAUUGACAUGCAUAAUUUUUGGUGUAUUUGUCACAUGCAAUAAAAAUUACUUAAAUAGGAGUGACUUUGUCACAUGGCUUCAGAUGGAAUUACAGCACAGUAUUGGAAUUAGUAUUCAAAUGGCUGCCCUAUGGAGAGUUUUUUAGGCCUCAAUCCUAACAGUAUAGGUUGACCACUCGGAAAUUAGGACCACAAACUAGCCUAGGCUUGAUCCAGGCACUGCUUAUGGACACAUUUCACUUAACUUCUUUGAUCUGUUACUUGUAUUUAUUGUGACACUUGUUCCUUCUUGUUUAUCUGAUCCAGGAAGCUUGUUUUAUCAAAGAAGCAAGACCUUUCGAUGUUUAUGGAUGAAUUCCUCUUGUCAGCAUUGGUUCUUUAAUAUUCACCAAAAAGUGAACAAGCUUGGAGCCUUAGGUAGAUAUUUUACAAAGCCUUCUGUACUGUUAUCUUAUGCUAAGUACUGAAUAUAAAUGUUGUUGAGGGUACCACCAGUGACAUGCAGAUGCAAUGUUUAUUAUGAGAACACCAACGGCAUAGUGCAUCAACGGAUAUUUGAGUUUUCCGAGAAGGAGGCCUUUACAUCAUCGACCAGAUCAGGAUUAUUUGAUUUUAGUAAGGUCCUGCUAUUGUUUUAUUCUCUUGCACAAACUAUUCUUCAAAAUAUGAUUAGAUAAUCUAAAGUCAGAUCAAUGCAUUUUACUGAAUCACGGGAUACAUCCAUGGACUCACUACCAUAUGCAAAUUCUUUACAUACAAGUAGGUAAUAAACAAUAACACGCCAAGAAUUUCUACAAUUGGACUAAAUCGUGACCGUAAAGUUUGAGAUACGAAAGAUAUAAAAACGAAACAAUAAAAUCUUGUAGAAUGAAAAGGUCCCAAUCACGCCAAGCAUUGCUCGCCUAAUUGGAUAUUAAAAGAGGUGUCAUUCACGUCUCACAACCAAUCUGGCACGUUAAUUAGAAGACGUUCCGUAACUGAAGGGAACUUUCAUCUGUGUGCAGUCACCAGGGUUUCUAUAAACCGUAAGCCGUCGAAUCGGGGCGCGAAUUUUUCCUUAUCAGCUGAUGAGGAUGUAUGGGAAAUCUGAGUGUUAUUUUUCCCCAAAGACAGUGGCAAGCCCUAAAGAGAAUAAGACACGAGUGUAAGAGAUCGUGAAACUCUGAAUAAAUAGGAAAGAAAGAAGUUUUACAAAUGCAAAGCCCUAACCUCAAUCAUAAGUAGUAGAAAAAGGUGAUCAAACUUUUCAUUUGCUUAACAUUGUUCAAAGGGUUUGACAUUGCUCAACAUUAUCUGAGCUUUUCUCCUACAGAUGCUUCUUUGGCAUGGCAAUGCAACCAGACUUAAGGCGAUGGCACUCACUUACAUACUCUGCAAGAGCCCACAAUGGAAAAAUAUUCCUGUAAUCUGCAUAGUGUAACAUGCAGUUCUUCAUGAAGGCUCCAGUGAUUUCCUGCCAUAGAUAAUUGAUGAUCAAAUGGUUAGACUACCACCCAGUAUAUAUAGUCAGCUACAAAAGAACAUCAUUUUCCAUUUCCCAAAACCAUGUUAAAAUGUUACUCCUUUGGUUUUUUAUUCAUGUUCAAGUGAGCUACCUGUUGGGGAAAAUCACCAUCUUCCAUUUGGGAAUUAAUCAACAGCUUUGCAGCCCUGUGAAGGGGUGUUGGGUCUCUCUCCGCCUGUUAUAAAGGAAGGUUAGACUCAGAUGUUUGGGGAUAAGCCAUAUUGUGAAAAUAAUGUAGAAGACCAAGUUAAGCUUAUUGAUGGUGAAACUGUAUAAACUGACCUGCCCGGAAGAAAGCAGCCCCAUCAGAGCCCACCCGGUUUGUACCAGAUUUGACUUGUUUCCUUCAAGAGGUGUAAGGUUCUGUAUCACCAAGCACAAGGAUUACUUAUUUUUGUGCAUGUAUCUACCAGAAAACAGAGCAGUGGGUGGCAAGUAAGAAUUACCUUGUCCUGGCAAGAAAUAUAGCUCUCUCCCCAACCACCAUCAUCUCCUUGUGAUUUGAGUAGAAACUCAACAGCUCUACCAAUAGCAAGACAGUUGUGGUAAGUCCUGCUAGCAGCUGCUAGGCCCCCAAGUGCAAACCAUGAGCCAUAGGUGAAACAUACUCCCCAAUUGCCAUACCUGGUGAAAUGCUUCCUUGUUUAAAUGGAUCUGCACUGCAUAUAUAAAAAGAGAUUUCCCUAGUGAAAUAGUAAUAGUGGAGUUGAGAAACAUACCAUGAGCCAUCAGGCAUUUGUUGGUCUUCAAUGUACUUGGUAGCAUUUGUGAUGAAAUUGUCUAUCUCCUUCGUCCUGUGUUGGGGGUAUAACUUCUUAAACAAAACCAGAGCCUGAAUUGCUGAUGCAGUGCACUCGACAUACCUGGAUCAUCAUUUUGUUAGUCUCCAAGGAAGUUAAAAGCUAGUAGAGUUAGAAAAAAAAGCUGGUCUAUUAUCAAGAAUUUUACUCAUGCUCGAUGACAAUGUCUUCAAAAAUUUCAGAGGGGUUGAGCAGCUGAAAAGAGAAGGGAUUGACAUUGAUUUAGAUUCAAAGAAUACAGAGAGAGAGAGAGAGAGAGAUAAAACAGAAACAUUGAACUUACUUAAACAAGUUGAAGUAAUUUACCUCCAACCAUUCUGAAGCUCCUGCAGGCUCCCAGACUGCUAAACCACCAUUUUUACUCUGCAAUGGCUUUGAAAACAAGGGUUAUUGAUACUAAGAAGUUAUAACCUGUUUUGUGAUGGGGAAAACCAUGGAAAUGGCCCAAGGAAGAUGAUUCUCACCUGUAAGGAAAGCAGGAUGUUGACAGAAUCAAAUAGUCGUUCGGGUUCCAUCGUCAUACCAACAAUUUCUGGUGCCAUCAUUGAAAAGAGGAGACAACACUGUAACAGAGGGUACUUCAGUGAGAAACCAAGUGACUUUAGUUCAUCUGCAAGCCCUGACUCAAUUAAGUGUUUGAACAGAAAAAGUUACCUUCAAACCUUCUGCAGUGCAAUCAGAAACUUGCCAACCAUGAUCCUGAUCUGAGAAUGUCCACGAUCCUUUGGAAAUGUGGCGAUACAUGCUUUUAAAGUCACCAGAAGGAUUGUCCUUGACCUUCAAGAUUUCAAGCAAUAUGAAGCAAAUGGACCAUGAGAAACCCAAGUAGAUUCUGGUUAAAGUCAAGACACAAACCUGAGAUUCCUUUAUGAAUUCAUGUCCUUUCUUGAGUGUAGGUCCAAUUUCAUUUGUCAUAUUGCAAGCUAGCAGGGCUUGAAGGGCAAAACCAGUGUCCCACUCUUGACUACCAAAGGUCUACAACAAUCGACAAUUUCAAAACCAAUUUAGGCAGGAGAGGAUAAAAGCAUAGCUUCAAACCAGUUGCACACGUGAAAUAUUUUAAGAAAAAGAUGAAUAGAUAUUAUCUAAUUUUCCUACAACUGUUUGGGAGAUUAGGGAUUGAAUUAACUUGUCUUCUGACCUGCAUCUUUAUUCCAUCUUCUGCAACCCAUAUAAAAUCUUUGAUCCUAGCAAGGUGCUUCUUGAAAUAAUCCCCAUUUGGAUCUUCAACCCAACAUGUGAGCAUACACAAUGCCUGUUCAACUUAAGCGAUAUUAGUAUCCUAAAGAAGUGACAUAUUGUCUAAAUAGACGUUAUACACUGCAGAAAAAUACCUUCUGUCUCAACUUGUUGAAGGGCCAACGAGUAAGAAGAGGCUCGGUACAUAUGUACAAACUAUCCCACAUCAGAUCUUGUAUUAGGGGAUGGGGGUAGUAGAGAUCCUCCUGCAAUAAACAUAUUUGAAUGUGUGUUUCAUGCAUGCGUAGCAUAUUCAUCGGAAAAGGAAAAGUGUUCCAUACAAAAUCAAAACUUACCUUUGCACAAAGAUGCCGUACUUUUUUCCAAUUGAUUUCAUUAUAUGCUUGAAGGAAGAGCUCUUCUCUUAGUUCUAGAACAAGAGGCGUGAUUGUGCCAACGAAUCGUUUACCAUAUAGGUAUGACAUGGGCAUGUAAACCAACCGACUGUAGCACCACAUUUUUGCUGCAUUUAUGGACCCAAAUUACAAGAAGCUCGACCAACGAUAGGAAAAUGAAAG
This 240355-nucleotide long non-coding RNA is filed under the name Vitis vinifera (wine grape). RNAcentral's name for it is "long non-coding RNA (VVIN_LNC003050)". The record is from RNAcentral. Lineage: Eukaryota; Viridiplantae; Streptophyta; Magnoliopsida; Vitales; Vitaceae.